RNAcentral lists this long non-coding RNA (290539 nucleotides) under Coffea arabica (coffee). RNAcentral's name for it is "long non-coding RNA (CARA_LNC003612)". The stretch from base 12103 to 12400 matches the Rfam family "Plant signal recognition particle RNA". Lineage: Eukaryota; Viridiplantae; Streptophyta; Magnoliopsida; Gentianales; Rubiaceae. The record is from RNAcentral.
GGGGGAAAAAAGCAAAGAGCAAGCCACAAUGGAAGACUCGCCUAUCUAUUCAUUCUACCAGCAUGAAGCGGCAGCUGGAGAUACCCCCAGCCUUUAUAAUUCAUGUAUCCAUGGACACAGAGAAUCAAAUUAACUCCACAGACUAUCCAAGUCAAUCAACACUGAUCUAACUAAAACUCACCAUUGCUGCAUCAUAAACAUAGAGCUCCUCGCCUGUUGGGAUGUGAAUAGUCUUUGGAGCCUGUUUGUUAAGAACUUAUUCAGAAGUCUAAUAUUUGCAAAGGUUCCCCUUGCCAUCACUUCAUCAUUGCCACGACGACUACCAUAAGAAUUGAAAUCUCUACGGUCAACCCACGCUCCAUCAAGUACUUCGCAGCUGGACUAUCCUUAUGGAUGCUCCCUGCUGGAGAAAUAUGGUCAGUAGUGAUACUGUCACCAAAUUUCAGCAAGCAAUACGCAUCCUUGACUCCAUGGGGACCAGGUGGAUCCAUGGUCAUGUCCUUGAAAUAUGGAGGUUGAUGGAUAUAUGUUGAGUUGGGAUCCCAUUCAUAAAGCUUUGAUGAAGGAACAGACAGUUGAUUCCAGAAGGCAUUGCCUUGUGUAAUAGCUUCAUAAGUACUCUUAAACAUUUCUGGGAGCACGCUAGACUGCACCACCUGUGAUCUCAGCAAACAAAGUCAGAUAUGGUAAAAAAUGUCAACUGAAAGUCAAACAACCAAGAAAAUUACAAAGAAACUACCUCAGCAAUUUCUUCGGUACUGGGCCAGAUAUCUUUGAAGUACACACUUUUUCCAUCUUUUCCAAUUCCAAUUGGGUCCUUCUCAAAGUCAAUGUCAACCUGGAAAGAAUCAAAAUGUUAAGGAUCCUAUCAAAAUGCAAGGAUUCCCAUUGAUAUUGGCCCCAGCUGCACAAUAAAAAAAUCAAGCCCCUGGUUUCUCAACCAUAAAAGUGAAUAACCAAUAGAUCAUCAUCAGAUAAAAGUAUUCAACACCAUAAUUAAAAAGGAUGUAGACCACUAUCAUGGUUCGAGGGACUCUUGAUUCCUUGAAAAACACACAAUGCUUAUAAAAAAUUGGAGCAUCUCAACUUCGGUGAUCAUUAUAUUGAUAGCUACACAAAUUCAGAGGAAGAAACCGGAACGUAAAGUUAAAUAAAGUUAUGCAUAAUACCGUGCCAGCAAGUGCAUAAGCAACAACUAAUGGAGGUGAAGCAAGAUAAUUAGCCCUUGUCAGCGGAUGAACACGACCUUCAAAGUUGCGAUUACCAGAAAGUACAGCAGCAGCAAUGAGGUCUGCAAAGGAUGUUAAAAAACAUGAAUGUACAGGAGCAAUACUAGCAAACUUGCAAUAUCGCGUGUCACCCAAAUUUUAAAAGCAAUUUUACUGCUAAGGUUGCUGACAUAUCUAAUAUAGCGACCUAGCAUCAGAAGCAAAAUAGGUUAAAAUCUUUAUUUCUUGCUACUUUACUAGAUAAAAUGACAUAUUGGUCUACACUGGCCAUAAACAAAAGAGAAAAAAAAUACUUCAAUCGCAUCCUCUUUCAAAAUAAACGAACUUCACAAAAAUUCUAAAUAAAGAAAACACUCCUGUCUAGCAGAGCAGCCAUUUGCAACCAUAUCACCAUAUGCAUUUAACUUUUCAUUCAAUUGCCUAUGUGAAAAUUGUAAUAGGUCUCUAAGAUCAUUCAAAAGGCAUCAUUUAGCUUUCACAUUCCCUUUUAUACAAGACAAACUAUAAUAACACAGGCAACAGUAGCACGAUAUGUCUAAAAGUCAAGUGACUCCAAAGAUAUUCGGGCAAUGUAAAUGAAAGCUAGAGGAAAGCCUUGCACAGCUCUGAAUUUAUGUAAAUAUGGGAUAGUAACAUUAUAAACAACUUUAAUACCAUGUUCUGUGAUUGCUGAAGCUACUGAUUCUUGCAGAUCCCCAGAAUUUCCAAUGCAUGUCGUGCAUCCAUAGCCAACAAUGUGAAAUCCUUGCUGGUUCAAAUAUUUUUGCAGGCCACUAGAACAAGAAUAAGAAGUUUAGUUGCUAAUUUAAAACAGUACACUGGGCGAGUAAGGAGUAACUCUUAGAUGAAUUUGCAUCAAAACAUAAGUACCUCUGGAGCAAAUAUUUUGUCACAACUCCAGAGCCUGGGGCAAGACUAGUUUUUAUCCAUGGCUUUACCUACCCAACAGCCAAGAAAAGAAAUUAGUCAAAAACCACUUUCAAGUAUGACUACAACUAGAAUAUGCAGAGAGUCAAGUGAUUAAAGAGACUCUGCACAAAGCAAGGCUAAAGCAAAAGGUAAAAAUCAUAAAGCACUGUAACUUCAAACUGUGGUACAUGCAUGACCUGAGAAACUAAUACUAACCUCCAACCCCAACUCACAGGCCUUCUUUGCAACAAGACCAGCUCCAAGCAUGACACUCGGAUUGGAUGUGUUUGUACAGCUUGUGAUAGCAGCUAUAACAACACUACCAUGUUUAAGUUCAGCAGGCUGGCCACUGAAUGAGAACUUGGCAACCUUACUUUGUUCUUCCUUUGGCACUCCAAACCCCUGGCAAGUGACAGAUUCAGGUAGUUCACUAGCUUAACAUCUGAUCAACAAAAGCAGAACUGUUUCCUACAUUUCACCCAUGCAGUAUAAUCUCACUAAUCUUAUUAAUUUGACAUCAUUUGCAUGGUCAGCCACACAAACAAAAACUUGUCAGAUUAUGGCCAGGCAACUAAAGAUCCCUAUCCAACCAAGAGUAGGGAAGAAAAGGGGAAUCAUGUAAACAAAAAACUAGAAUUAGAGUUUCACUCCUUUCAAUCUUUUUUUCAUGCUUCACGGAUGCGACCAGGUGUAGAAGUAGAAAAGGAACAGUAGAAAAUAACAUUAAAAACAAACAGCAAAAAUUUUUAUCGCACCUUAAACCCAAUUUUGUUAUCAAGACAUGAAUGCCAAUCAUCCUUCAUUUGUCUUAGAGGAACUCGGUCAUGUGGUCUAAAACAAAGAUACCGAUCUCAUCAAUAUAAACAAAAAGAAAAACCAUAACCAAACCAUAAAUUUCCCUGAACAGCUCUAGAACAAACUACCUUUUCGGUCCAGAAACACAAGGUUCAACACCAGCAAGGUCCAAUUCCAGAUAAGAUGAAUACACUCUCUCCUGUUGAGGCUGGCCAAAGUUGAACACACCAAGCAAAAUCAGAUUUUAUGCUUUGAUCCACUUAUAUCACCUUAAAAUGUAUGAAACUGAGAGAUUCUACCUCGCUGUAGUCGACAAACAUCUUGUUUGAGCGCAAAUAUCCUUCUAUCAUUGCCACCUAAAAUAAUUUGAAGCAAAAAGCCACCAGAAAGCAUCUAAAUUUUCUUGUUGAAACCACAAAAAUGAAUAGACUGAGAUCACAGAACUUACUGUUUCAUCACUUCUCCCAGUUAAUUUAAGGUAUUGUAAUGUGACAUGAUCCACAGGGAAGAAACCCAUGGUUGCUCCAUACUCAGGUGACAUAUUUGCAAUAGUUGCCCUAUCGGCCAACGAUAAUUCAGCCAUACCAGAACCUAAACACCCAUAUUCUGUUAGUACUAAACUGUAAACAUAUAACAUGAACAACCCAAGAAAUACUUGAAGAGGUAUAUUUACCAUAAAACUCGACAAACUUGCCAACAACACCAUGCUUUCUCAACAUUUGGGUCACUGUUAAAACCAAAUCAGUAGCUGUGACACCAUUGCGCAACUUUCCGGACAAUUUAAAUCCAACAACACCAGGUAAAACCAUGCUCAUUGGCUGUCAGAUUUAUAAGAAAUCAAAGUCCUGUGUCAUGCCUUAUUCAACAAACAAGUUCAGACAUUCCUAGUUUGUCAAAACAACUAAAUCUAACUUGACAACUCCAGUAAAAGAUGAUAGAACAAAAGGAGAUCCAACUACCUGCCCAAGCAUAGCAGCCUCAGCUUCAAUUCCUCCAACACCCCAACCAGCAACUCCUAGUCCAUCAAUCAUUGUUGUAUGAGAAUCAGUUCCAACAACACUAUCAGGAUAAAGAAUGCCAUCAGUGUUGAAGACAACCCGUCCAAGGUACUCCAAGUUAACCUGAAAUAUUGCCAUAAGAGAAGCGUGUGGUCAAGUUUUCAUGAACAUGUUAACAACGUAAGGACAAAAUUAAAAGCUAAACUAUUUACAAGUUCCCCAAAACUAUUUCAGCCUAAGUAACAAUUCAAAUAUCUAUUAACUUUAUGCCCCAUUAUCAUUAAUAAACAAAAAGUCGCGUGAAAAACCUUCACACCAACUCCAGAUAGAGUUGAACAACAUUUUAUAAUCUAUGUCAGACUUUUACCUGGUGGACAAUACCAGAACCAGGAGGAACAACAAGCAUGUUAUGGAAGGCAGUGGAUCCCCACUUAAGGAAGGCAAACCUCUCAUUGUUCCUCUUGAAUUCAAGGUCCAUGUUUGCCUGCACUGCAUUCUCAUGUCUUGCAACAUCAACUUGAACUGAAUGAUCAAUAACAAGGUCCACAGGUACCUGUAGAAUAUAUCUCAUCUUAGACCUGAUGACAAGGAAUAACAGGAUAGCAAUACUUUUUUGUUAUCUGAAAAGUCAGGCUGCAAUAUGCAACUAUGAAGCGAAGUAAACAACAAAUAAACAAAGACACCCGAACACACCACCCACUGUCAUAACACACAUAUUACAGCAGAACAAGUGGCCAUUGAAGUCAAAAAUGGAACUUAAGGAAGGACGGCUGAAGAAAGAAUACCACAGAGUACAGGUUAAAGGAUAGCUUAGAACAUUCAAGCUAGAGGGUGACAAAUCCCAGUAACACAGGGAAAAAGAAUAAAUAUGUACCAAGGGAUUGAUCUUCUCUGGGUCACUGCCAAGACUCUUUAUGGCAUCUCGCAUGGAAGCAAGAUCCACCACAGCUGGAACACCAGUAAAAUCCUGAAGCAAAAAGAGAAAAAAAUAGUGUUCCAAAAGUUUACUGCAUAUAUUUUCUGAUUAAGUUACUAAACUCAUGCCUCUAACCUGCAACAAAACUCGGGCUGGCUUGAAGGGAAUUUCAACUAGCUUUGGUGAAGUAUUUUGCCAAUCAAUGAUCUUCUCAACAUCAUUCUUGGUGACUUGGAAGUUGUCACAAUUACGUAUAGCAGAUUCCAAGAGUAUCCUAAUGGAAUAUGGAAGCUUAUCUGUAUCCAAAUAAGGUUUUACAUUGUUAAGGAAAAUGAGAGCCUUUUCUCCUCAAAACAAGAAACCUUAAAUAUUGUACUAAUGAAAAUUUACUAAUGACCUUAGUCAAUUAGCGAAAAAAUCCCACUAGGUAUAUCAGGUUGAAAUAUGACAACUUUGUUUACAAAUAGGCCAGGAGACAGAGAUACCUAAGGGAAGAGAAGAAUAAUAAUGCCAGAAUAAAACAAAUAAAUUUCUACCGGAAAAGACAAGCCAAGAUACCCUGAUAACACAUGAGAAUAGUACGACUAGGAGCACAUACCAAUUCUGGGAUCAUUUAAAGCAGGAAGGCUAUAGAACUUUCCAAAGUCACCACCUCCAGGCUUGGGUAGACUGGUCAAUAUUCCCUUAUAAGGAUGUUCAGGAGCUGGAACAUAAAUCAAUAAAACAAUCACCACAAAGUUAAGUUCAACAGGCUAAAUUGUGGCAAUAUUAUUCAAGUAAGCUUAAUUAGGCAAUUGAGGUAAAUAAAGGUGAAACCACGCAGUUGUCAUUGUCAUCCCAAGAUAAUAAGACUUGAAGGGGAGAGAGAAAAAUGAAACAGAGCAAAUAACUGCAAAAAGCUAAUAUCCUAUACUAAGGCAGCAACAAUUACAGCUCUUCAUUUUAAAACAAUAAAGAACAAAACCUUUUUUUUCAAAGACAAAUCAAAUGUAGGUACACAAACGUACAUUUCAAGCUGGUUCACUUCAGCAUGUAAGUUUGACGAGGAAAAACAGUUGUGCAUAAAGUAAAGCCUUUUUUUUUCCAAAGAGUAUCAGAUGCAACCCAAUAAACCAACUUUUACAAGUAAAACUCCAACUUUUCACACGAAUGGCAAAUUCGACUAGAUGGAUAACAAUUCAUCCAACCCGAAAUGAAUAGCAGACAUCAAUUAAGCACGAAAUAAACUCAUGAUCAAGCAAACCACACAAAAACCUUUCCACAUGAGGAACCGAAGAAAUACAUUAGAAUCAAGCUAAAUUGAAAUUGAGUUAAUAACUCGAGAAAUUUGAUUGAAUUAUACCCAUAGUUGCGAUCUUUCGCUCGAAGCGUUCGAUGACAGGAGCAGCAGUUCUGAUCUGAGCUCUAAGACUGACAGGCGAUCUCCAGUCAACGCCGUGACUCCACCGAGGACAGAGCAACGAAGCGAUCGAACCGCCGACGAAGGUUUAAAAGACCGACAAGUGAUAAACGACGACGGUUUGGAUACCGAAGGAGAAACGAAGCUUCUGGAAACAGAAGAGAAAAUAGAAGAUGGUGAUGAUGAUGAAAUUGUAGAUGCAAAACGAACCCUAGCAGCUCUCAAGAUUGCAGCAGAAGCAGAUUUGACACUGACGAUGAAGGUGAGCAUGUGGGUACAUACAUGACGGGAGAGCAUCCGGUUUGUCAGAGUGUCAGUGAACCCUAAAUAGAAAAAUCACAAUGGGGGAAUACAACUUCAGGUUUCUCUCUCUCUCUCUCUUUUUUUUUUUUUUUUUGCGUUUAUUUAUAGAUACUGAUUUUUGUAUGUAUAGGCUCGUUGAAGGAGGAUCGACAGAUUGUUCACUUCGCUUGGCUGCUUCUGCGUGGAAAUGGAUAUCAGGAUAGAGAAUGGAAGGGUUUUGAUAAGGUGCUGCAGCAGUGUGGUUUUGGAAUGCAAUUGGUAAUCAUGGACCAUAGGAUGAAGAGUGAUGGGAUAAGAGACGGUGUGGAUGAAUUUAGGUGGUGUUCCCCGUGAAAAGGGGGGAAAAUGGAAAAAGUACGCCUUCUUAUUUUAAGUUGUUUAUAGAGUAAUUUGUAGAUGCUAUGACUAAUUAUACACACCCUAGGUGUGUGAUUGUUUUAAAAAAAUGAAUGAUUUAUUUUUCACACAAGUACAUAUUAUGAUAGACAUGCAUGGGUUUACUGAAAAAUCUAUAAUUAUUACUUUUGCUUUGGAGGAUAUUAUUGUAUUUAAAGUCAUGUUGAAAAAAAGAAAGAAAGAAAGAAUGUGAAUAGUUUUAAAAAACUAACGUUAAUGGGAUAUUUUUGAUAUAACACAAAGUUACCUAAAUUAUUUACAAGUUCUCCUCCGUAAUAUAUAUAUUACGCACGUAUAUACAUAUAUAUAUAUUCAUCAUUCUACAUGCAUGUAUGUAGAUGCACGCCGCGCGCACACACACGUAUAGAAUGAUGAUUAUACAUAGUAAGAUAUUAAUGAUCAUUUUCAUUUCUUUAUAUUUGAGUGGGUGGGUGUGAAUUUAUGUGUAUUUUUUCAGUGUAAUUAAUUCUACCCAAACUUUUAUUCAUUGAUAUGCUUAAUCACAUGCACUUACAAUCUAUUUUUGCAGUGCACCAUGUUUUCUAUAGGCUACUUCUUCAAAUGCAUAUGACCUCACAAUAAAUCAAAAUUAGGUUAGCCUCUAUAGUUAAAAAGAUAAAUUUAUUUACGAAUUAACCUUAUGAUUAUUUGAUCAAUAACUGUUGUGUUAAAAGAAAAAGUAUUGGUCAAAGCAAAACAUUCGCAACUAAUUUAGGUCAGGCGUGUUUGGAUAGCCUUUUAUUUCUCAAAGAAUUAUUUACUUGUACCACAAACAUAUUUUUUAACACACAAUUUUAUCUAGUCAAUCACCUUUUUUUAUCUCACGUGUAAAAAGGACUUGGUCUGCUGCACAGGCAUGGUUGAUCAGGUUGAGGCAUAAUUGUCGGCAUAGUAGUUGCAGGGAAGAGAUGAUUCAUCGCCACUGUAACAAACGAUUUACACUACUGUAAAAGGGCAAAUACACAUUCAGCCUCCCAGUUAACUAGAGAGCUCAGAAAAUUCAUGUCAUUGUCCAUGUAAUUGUAAGGGUCAAAAUUUUGGCGUUAAAACCCCCUUGGAAAUAAUUGAAAAAGACGAUCUUUGAGGAGCAAAAAUCACAAAAUGACCACCCAUCAUCACUCGAUGGUAAAGCAUAUAGUAGUAUCACGUAGUCAUGUUGGAGGUUGCCAUGUCCCUGGUCUGAACGAUUCACCUGUUCCCGUAGGCUCGGAAGAACUGAAACAACAGUUGUGUGGGUCAAAACAUUUUGAGUAUAGAAGAUGAUGAUUAUGCUAUUUCACAUGAAAUCAGUAAAAUAGAUCAUCCUAGUUUCAAAUAAUAACACGUCACUAAUAUGGACUUUUUUGUUCACAACUUUUGAGUUGCCCGCUCUUAAAAGUCCACUGAUGUCGAGUAGACAAAAUCUUGGCAAUAGCACAAUGGCAGGCAUACACGAAAUGAAAUGGAGGAGUAGAAACACACUAACUGAAUGAACCAGGAAACUUACUCUUCUUGUUUUUGUCUAACUUCAUAUGGUGGUUGCUUCUCUGAAUCAGUUGCUUUGGAGGCCCUGUGACCACAAAGGCAUGCCAAAAGGGAAAUUUCAGGAUCAGAUGUACAUCCGUGCAACGCUAAUUGACAACGAACAAAUAAAGAACAAGAUAGACUUGUUGCGGGUUUAAUUUCAAUUCACUUGGACCACAUCAUUAACAGGUGCAUAUACAAUCGACUGACCUCCCUGAUGCAUCAAGUGCUUCCCCACGUCCAUCACCUUCAAGAAUAAAAUAACACAGGGAAAAAGUAAGAGACAUGGCAUAUUCUCAUGAAAAGAAAGGAGAUAUUAGCAGACGAGUAAGGUCGGAGGAUGGAAGCAAUCAUGCUCAAUAAAUAGACAAAUGCAGAACCAGAUUACAGAAUUGUUCAUUCUCUGCAUCCUCUCUUCUCUCAAGACAGUGGUUCUUUAGUAAGUAUAUGAAGAAACAUGUAUAUCUAACUCUCGCAGUUUCCAAAUUUUAUAGAGGGCACAGGGUUAUGCAAGGAGUAAAAGGACUGUAGGCAUAGAAGCUAACUAAUACUGGAAAAGAUGCAAGAUGGAAGUGAUAGCAGACAGCAGAGUUUAGACACUGGGAAGUAGUUCCAGAAAGUUUAUCUUCCUACAGCUGGCUUAAAAUGUCUGUCAAGCAAAGCUUUUGUCCAUUUAUUGGAUGGAAAGUUCAACUUAAGAAACGAAAGUUCAGGGACUUAAUUUCAAAUCCAAAGAAGAAGGCUUAGGAUGGCACGUAUCUUGAACUCCAAAGCCGACUAGUGAAUUUUGCAUUCUGCCCAAUAUAUUAAUAGUUUAAACUUUGCAUUAUCCAUGCAGAAUUAUCCCCUCAGCUGUGGGCUAAUUAUUGGUCAUUACAAGUAUAAGAAAGCAAGUUCAUAACAGCGCCUAAUGUUAUAAAAAGGACAACCAAUUUAACAAUUAAAAUGGUAAAACAAUAUUGGCUACCUUCUGAAGUAACUGGGAGCUGCCGGAUAAAACUCUUCAAGUCUGGCCCUACAACUUUACCUAUACCAAUGAUAGCCUUCUGUGAGUUUAGUACAAUAACACCAUGUGAAAGUAUACAAGAAAAUGCGUGGCUUACCAGUCUUAGCAGCUUCUUGACUAAGACCUUUGGCCCCCCUUUCCUCCUCUUCUUUCUUGAGAACUUAGUGCAGUAAAAUAUUUGUUAAGCACUUGCUUUGGUGAAAAACUAUAUCACAACAACUUCAAUUUUUUGAAAUCUAAUUAAGAAGAUUAAGCUCAUCAUAAAAACCUGGAGAUGCUGAUUUUUUGAAUCUAGGAACAAUAGUUCAAAAUUACAACACAUUUUAUAUUCUUUUAUGGACAAAUGCAAGCUUAUUAUUCCAUGAAAACCCUGCAGCACUGACCAUUUAGCGUUCUGCCAUAACUUACUCAGAUAUGAAAAGAAUCACCUCACAUUAGACUGUUCCGGGAAACAUGAAAAUAUAUAGCAUGAGCUAUUACUCAUGGUUGAUUGAGAAGCUCUUUUCUCAGAUUCUAUCACAUGCCAAAGUUUCAGAUACAAGGUUAUGGGAAGUCAAAUCCAGAAAAGAUAAGCACUGAUGGAAGUUGAAAGAGAUUACACAAAUUAUACUUACGAGCAACAUUGAGUCUAACACGUUCCCGUCUAGCCUCAAGCUCAGCCAUUUCCUGACAACCAAUUAAUAAUCAACUAAAUGUUUCUGUUCUCUUUCAACUUCUAGUACAUGAUGUAUGGAGAACUUCUAGAAUAUCCCCUGAAGAUAAAAACAAAGACAGCGGUAUAUUGUCCACAUAGAACAUAAAAAAUUUCUAAUAGAAGAAGACUUUCCUACCCUAUUCACCUAUUGACAAUCGAAAGGAUGGGAACAGCACUUUCAGAAGAGAAGUGACCUUCAGUUUGCUUAGCAUCAUAUGAAACAAAAGACAGACAAGGUUGCUUAAUUUACCUCAGGCGUAGGAGUUAUCUUUCGCUGUCCAUUCAGCCAACAUAUCCAUUCGACUACAAUGGUUUAAGCAUAAAAUGACUGAUUAUGAGAACAAAAUGUGGAGAAGCAAGGUGCUUGUGAUCAUAAAAUUGAACAACUUCACCAACUUAAAGUAGGAAAAUCAAGGAUUCAGGUUUAUAAGUGGGUAUGGAAAAGCAGAAGCAUUUUCCCUCAAUAAAGAAUUCCUCAAAUUUAGCAUAUCAUUGUAGAUAAUUAACACAUUAAACAACAAGUUCCAUUCACCCCGAUAAUUUUAAAAUAAUCCAAGAAAAUAAGCCACACAAUAAAGGAAAGUAACAAGAACAAUGCUCUGUCCGAAGAGAUAUACCUGGAACUGAAGUUGGUUCCUGCUCUCCUUUGAAUACCACCCAUCGUUUCUCUUUCACUGAUGCAGUCACAUACGUAGACAUAAGGCCAAGCACAUUUACAAUUUCAAUUUGCAAAAAAGCUGAAGAAACGGCAUUGCAGCUACAUAAUAUUAACAGAGAGCCAACAGACUUCCUCAAGCUAGUAGUUUAUCUCAUUAAACUAUCUACACGUUCCGCCAGAUCAUGCAGUACAAUAAUCUGAUGAUAGCAGUUUCCAAUAACUAAAUGAGUGUGGAAAAGAACUACUAGCACCAUGAUAUUAAGCUUCACUAAAACUCAAAGUUCCCAUCUUUGUAGGCCUUACUGCCAGGACAUCUUUUGGCCUAAAAUGGCGACUAAAAUAAUUGGACAAACACCGACGAAAAUCAAACUUUUCUGCGUCCUAUAUCACACCUUGACCAGUUUCAUUUCAUCUAUACUUUAGUUCAGCUUUUAAAUCAAAGUUCUUCAAGCAGCAUUUCAAUAAAUAAAAAAAAUAAAGGAAUCAGCAAGAAUGUGUGCAAAUUCCUCCCAAAGUUCCCAAUUCAUACAUCGAAAUUCACAAAGUUCCAAACUUAUUAAUACAUGUCCAAAUACCAUAUGCUUUAUGCCCAUUCAUUUACUAAAAUUAUAUAUAUUGCCAAACUAGCACAAAGUGCGAGAGAGGAAAAAAAAAGGAAGAAGAAAGGACCCACUUACUGACACCAUCAAUUUCUUCCAUUCGAGUAAAGUAUCGAUUCCCAGCUUUGUCCAUUCCCGCCAUAGUCGAUUUCUGAAUAAUCCCACAAUUUUGCCCAAUCUCGACAUCCUUUUUCUUUUUCGAUAUUAAUCAGCAGUAAUCAGGAAAUAAAUGGUUCUUCAACAGCUUCUUCUGCUUUCUGCUUCUUCUGGACUCUCAACCAUAAGCUUCUGUUUUCCUUCCUGAAACCUCAAGAAAGGAGUUCGAACCCAGGUGACUUCAAGUCUUGAAUAUUGUGUACCACAUAAGACAGUGUUUGGAAACAACCUGAAACGUUAACUUCUGCGUUAACUAUUGUAAUCAGCACUUUUCAUGCUGCUCCAUUCCUAUUCCUAUGGAUCAAAAUCACUUGAUUCAACGUAAACAAAUCACCCGAAGUAUGUUCUCUUGCUCUUCGAACUCCAUAAUUACAAAAUAAUCAAGAACAGAUGUCAUUGGUCCCAGUAUUGGGUAGAGUCUGGGGUUGGGUUUGUUCUCAGUAUCGCUGGUAUCUGCCAAACAGUUCCAUAGCUGGAAUCCCACAUCGGAUAACAGAACAGUCUGGACUUCUUCAAAUCUCAGAGAAUGAGCAAUCUGCCCGCCGAGCCUGUAGCGCGGGCUUGUAACCAAGCGGGGGCAUAGAGUGAUGGAACAUUGGUCCGACUAGAGGGUAGGGUUGAGAGCGCUAUUUACUAGUCUGCCCACUCCAAGCGGAGAGCUGGGCCGCGUAAUCUUGGCGAAGGCUGAUGUUUCACGGUCCCUAAAGAGUGGACACUGCGCGAGGCUGGCUUAACAGAGCAGCGAAAACCACCCGCUCCUUGCAGUGGAGGGACUACAGGCUGGUGCGCUCCUGGCCCAUCAUUGCCCAAUGGGCGGCCCAAAUUGGACCAUCACUCUUUUAAUCAUCCAAUUUUUCCUUUUAAAUCUUUUUUCUAGAUAAAGGGAGGGGGAAAUUUAUGCAGCAAUUUUUCUUUUAAAAUAUGUCUUCCAGAUAAAGGGAGAGAGGGGAUUUAGUGGCAGCAAAAAAGAAAAGAAAUCUAAAUCUAGAUCCUCUUAUUGAAAAAGGGCAAAAGAAUGACGCCUUUCAACAGUUUGUUUCAAUCUUUCAUCCAGAUGAAGAGAGGGGUAGGAUUUAUGCCACAGGAAAAAAAUAAAUUUGAAUUUAGGUCCUCUAAAUUCUAAGGGCAGCUAAUUUUCUAAUUAUUGAAAAAAUUGAAAAAUGUCUUUCAACUGCUUGUUUAAAAUGUCUUUCAAUUACUUUUUUUUUCUGCAACGAUAACAUUAACAUUCCUAUAAGUUAAUCAUUUUCAUAGUCUUUUAACUACUAUUUCAAUCCAUUUUUCAUUUUACAGGUGUUUGGUGUUUGAAUUGAGUAACUAUCUAGAAAUUUGUUCUUCUUUUGGUGAUAUGAUUGUGCAUACAAAAUAGAAAGUGUGAUCUAAAACCAUAUCUAGAAAAUAGUAACAAAACAUUUUUUAAAAGUAAUCAAUUAUCCAAACAUAGGAGAUGAAUUUCUAGAGAAAGCUUUCCCAGCAAAUGUUGCACACGGGACUCAAACGAUGCAAAUAUUAGUCAAUUGUUAAAAUUUUGGACAUUUGGACAAACAUUAGGCCCAUGAUUGAAAAGUUUAGGCCCAAUUUGUGCUUAGUCCAAUUUCAAUCCUCUGUCACAGUCUCACUACAUCUUCCACGGUUUCACCUGAACUGUUAAAAGAAGAUCUAAAACCAAUUUGAUAGCCGCUGGCCGGAAUUUCAUCUCCGGCGGGCGUUCAACUAUUUCAUUAUUUGGAUCUUCUUUUACCAUUCUCUCUCCCAAGCAAAACAGUUCAAAAUCCAACUUCAAAUUCCAAAUAUCUCCAAAAUCCCCAAAAGCUCGAUCUUUCUAAUCUUAAACCCUCUAUUUCUUUUGCUGCAUCUUCUUGUAUGAAACCUGUAACGUGCAAACUAUGAUGUCUUGCUCCAACAUAUCAACAACGGUCUCCUUAAAACCUUCAAUUUGUGACCCCUCUUCAAUUUCUUCCCAUCUCAGCUCAACCCCCAUCGCAUAUUAAAUUAUCAAACAAUUACAGAUACAAAAAGGUUUGAUUUUUAUCAUAUUUCGAGAGCGCCCCUUAUUCAAAAUGGCCUCCGUGAGCUCAGGGAGCGGAUGGAAACAGUAAAAAACACCCAAAAAGUGACAGAAGCAAUGAUGCUAGUUGCAGCUGCAAAAGUGCGGAGAGCCCAAGAAGCAGUAAUCAAUAGCAGACCAUUUGCAGAGGCCCUUGUUGAAGUCUUGUACGAUAUCAAUGAGCAGCUUCAGUUGGAUGAUAUAGAUGUUCCUUUAACAAAUAUUAGGCCAGUCAAGAAAGUUGCUCUCGUUGUGAUGACUGGAGAUAGAGGUCUUUGUGGGGGUUUCAAUAAUGUUAUGCUGAAAAAGGCUGAGGCCCGGAUUAAGGAGUUGAGGAAUCUUGGAUUGGAUUAUUAUUUGAUUAGUGUUGGAAAAAAGGGCAAUGCUUACUUUCAUAGAAGGGAUGGUUUGUUUGUGGGUAGAUUUGUCGAGAGCGGGGGAUUUCCUACUUCUAAAGAAGCUCAAGUGAUUGCUGAUGACGUUUUUUCUCUGUUUGUUAGUGAGGAAGUUGAUAAAGUUGAGCUACUGUAUACCAAAUUUGUGUCAUUGAUAAAGUCUGAUCCAGUAAUUCAUACUUUGCUUCCACUGUCUGCUAAAGGAGAGCUUUAUGAUGUAAAUGGCAAACGUGUUGGUGUAGGCAAAGAUGAGUUUUUCCGAUUGACAACAAAAGAAGGGAGAUUGACUGUGGAGAGGGAUCGCCCAAUUCGAAAAAAGAGGGAAUUUUUGCCUAAUUUGGAGUUUGAGCAAGACCCUGCUCAGAUUCUUGAUGCAUUGAUGCCACUUUAUUUAAAUAGUCAGAUUCUGAGGGCAUUGCAGGAGUCAUUUGCUAGUGAGCUAGCUGCAAGGAUGAAUGCAAUGAGCAAUGCCACUCAGAAUGCGGUGGAGUUGAAGAAGAACCUUUCCAUUACUUAUAACAGGGAAAGGCAAGCUAAGAUCACAGGGGAGAUCUUGGAAAUUGUUGCUGGAGCAGAGGCACUUAUUUAGUUUGUUUCGGUUUUGGCUAUGCAAUCUUUAAUUCAUUGUAUGAUCUCUUCUAUGAUUCUAUCCCAAGCCUCUCAAUUCCAAAACUUUUGAAUCCGUUCAAUAUGCUUAUUUCACUACUUUAUUAGGCGGGGAUGAGAUGGACCGCUUUCUAACAGCAAUCAAUCAAAUAAGGACCAUGGUUUUUAAUGUGGUAUCGGCGGGGUAGGACGGAGGGUUGCCAAAUUAAAUCCAUUUUUAGAUGUAAUUUGCAGUGUAAAAGGAGCAGAACUCCAAAUCCAUUUCCUUAUUGGAAGAAGAAGUCCUAAAGGAGCAGAACUCUGCUCCAAAUCCAUUUCCUUAUUGGAAGAAGCCCUAAAGGGAGCAGGACUUGGUCGUGGUCAUGGACCCUAUAUAAAGGACAGGACCUACAUCGUUUUCACUACAUCGUUUUCACUACAACACAGAGAGAGAAACACUAGUCUAGAAUUGAACAUGGCGGAGGUAAUAAAAAGCAGACCAAUCCACCGUUGUCCACCCCCUCCGAGUCUAUACCCCUGGCUUGUUUUCUUUCAUGGCAAAAAUAUGGAAAACCAAACCUUUUAUUGCCUGUCUCAGCCCAGUACCAAAUACGUUAGAUCAAUUCUUGAGUUGCAGAACAAAAGAUUUUGGCUGUCAUCCCACGGCUGGUUAGUUUUGUCAGAAAAAACUCAGUUUCAUCUUUGGAAUCCAAAAUCUUUGGAAUCAAUUUAUCUCUCUCCUUUGGACCUGCAACCUAGACAACAUGUCGAAGGUAUCCUAUUAACAUCGUCUCCUGCAAAUCCCGGAAGCUUUCUCUUGUUAUUUUUGGCUAAUCCUCAGAGCAUUGCGUUCUGUUACAUCAAAGACCAAAGGUGGACUAUAAGAAGCUGCAGCAAAGAAGAGAUCAAUAUUAUAAGCGGGACCGACGAUGGUUGGCGUCAUUUUUGUUUGCCAAUUGUCUGCAAUGGUAGAAUAUAUGCUACUGCCUGUUGCAGACGUCGUCUGGCAGAGAUUGAGAUUUUCAAACAAAGGCUUGUUAUAAGAUCUCUUCACUGUCAGCUACCUCUUUUUCAAUCCGUAUGCGAUCACGUAAAAAUGUACUUGGUGGAAUCCGAUGGGGAUCUCUUUGCGAUAAAUUUUGAGAUACACUCCAGGGAAGCAAUGAAUAUUGAUGUUUUCAAUUUGGAUUUCCCAACUAGGAAAUGGAACAGAGUGGGCAGUUGCCCAGAUAGAGCUUUUUUCUUGAGCAAUGAUGAAGCAAUCUCAUGCCGAAUUAUGAUAACUGAUAUAGAACGAAUGGGAAAUCGAGUUUACUUCACACGUUACCAAGGGACUUCCCUAUACUCCUACCACAUUGAAGACAAAACUAUCUCAAUGUCUUCACCUUGUCCAGAUUUGUCGACAUCCUGGAGCACACCAAUUUGGGUGUUGCCUGACCCUGAGGGGACCGAGUACCAUCAUCAUCCAGGCGGAGAUCAAAAAGAGAAUGGAAAAAAGGAUAUACAAGUCGGAGCAAAUGGACAUUGUGAAACUCAGGAGAAACUUGAGGAAGCAAAUAGAACAAAUUUGAACGGGAGGAUCAGAAAAUGGAUCAGAUAAUGGACGAGGAAGAGGAAGGAAGCUCAGACAAUGGAUGAGGAAGGAAUAGGAGUGCGAGUUGAAUCACACUUGGAGAGAAGGAAAUGGGUGUUGUGCGGAUAGCCUGGCAGAUAAUGGACGAGGAAGAGGAAGGAAGCUCAGACAAUGGAUGAGGAAGGAAUAGGAGUGCGAGUUGAAUCACACUUGGAGAGAAGGAAAUGGGUGUUGUGCGGAUAGCCUGGCAGGCCACCUGAUGUUGUUAAGAAGUGCUUAAAUGAUUAUGCAAGGGAAGUUUGAAUGAUCUUGGUGGUGAAUGAUGAUGCAAGGGAAGUUUGAAUGAUCUUGGUGGUGAUUUAAGUAUUGGCCAAACUCAAAUCACAAGUCAUCAAGUGAUAACCGUGCAUGGCUGUAGCUCUUUUUAAAAUUCAAAAAAUUUCGACAUUAACUUUUAAGUUCUUCAUUUUCUCUUUUAAAUAGAGUCUCUCUCUAGCGAGACCCAAAAAAAGAGUUUUACUUCCAUAAAAUUAUUUUUCAGUGAUUAACUAGAAUCUUGUCAACUAUAAAUGUUAACUAAGUUUAAUAUGUACUUCAAUCCCCAAGGCGUAAGAUUAUUGUAUGUUGCAGUGUAACAACUCCAAACACUAACGAACUGCAGCCAAAGCCCAAAGGCAAAAAUAACCCAAGUAAAUCGUACUAAAACUGUACAUUAGCAUUGUGACAAGUAAUAAUGCAAAUUCAAAUAUUCAAUCUUCUUUGGCCAUUUCAACAUCUAAAUUGAAAGAAAAAUGUCAACUCUUCUAGACACUUAUAAGUCUUUUAUGAGAACUUUCGGUCAUGGAGAACAUGUUGCCCCAGUCUCGUUGUCUCAUGUGGAGCAUUGCUGGGGUUUGGAACUGCUAUAGUAUGCAUGGUGAACGCAGUGUAACAGAAUGUUUCAUUUCGAGGGGUCCAAAAGAGACAGAUAAAUUGGACUUAAAACAGAAGACAUCUGCAAGUUUUUGGAUUCCAUAUUAGCUUCAAAGAAUUUGGAAUUUUGGAUGACUGACCAGUAUGAAGGUCCAGUAACUGAUUUUGCUUUGGCAUACGCAAAUUGCGCAGAGUUGGAGGACAACUUGCCUUCUUAUUAGUAAUUAAAUUAGCUGGCGGACAAACAUCAGAACAAGCCUGCAUAUAAAAAAUUGACUGAAUUAGAGGGACAGAAUCGCCCUAACCUGUGGGACCUCGUACCGCCGUACUACUUAGUUGAUGGCGGCUGCUAGUGAUUCCAGACGAGAUUUGGUAUGUGACAGCCCACCUCCCCUAAGGCCGGAUUUGCGACGUGGCAGUCACUAUUCAUCCUUCGGUUUUGAUUUUCGUUUGUUUCGUGGUUGUUGAAUCGUUUAAGCGUGCUAAUAUAUUUCGGAACGUUUUAAUUUGUGUAUACCCGUCUUAGUAGUCCUGGCGAAAGUUAAGUAGGCGGUCCGCCGAAUCCUUUGGUUCGGCUUAGAGGAGGUGGGGCUGUCACAUGGUAUUACGAGCAAAUGAAUCUACUGAAGAAACAUGAAUAUGUCCUCCUCUAUCACCAAAGAUACUCUUCUUCAAAUUUGAAGAAAAGGGAGAGGUCGAAAUAGUUUAAAUUGGAAUUUUGUCAUGCUGGAAUGUCCAAAGCUGAAGGCAGCCGCAUUCAUUGAAUGGCGGCCAUGCCUCUUAUACGUCAAUGUAGAAGCCAGUUAGCCAACAGCUAAUUUCGGGGGACUCAUUUUCAACGAGCAAGACAAAGAAACAUGCUGCAUUAUUAUUUUAUAAAGCAAAACCUUUGCUGGAAGAAUUAACUAUUUUACAAGAUUUAAUGCAAAAAGAGAAGUUAUCGUCCUGAAAGAUUUUUCUUGUUGCUCUAGAAAUUUUCUUAUGUCACGUUGAGUAUCAUGUUUAUCAGAUGUUCUUUUUUAUCAUUUUAAGCUAAGAUGAUUUGCCCACCAAAUUUGACCUCUUGCUGGAGUUAAAAUUUACGUACCUGUGGCUGUGGGUCUGGGAGUGUGGGUUAUUGUUGUUUGUGGAAUACACUGAUUGGAAGGAGAAUAGACAGACAAAUAUUACUACUUAUAGCAGAGUCAUGAGAACAUAUGGCAUCAUGAUUCUUUUCCUAUUAUUAUGCAGAUAGUGAAAAGAAACAAGUUGGAUCCAAAGAUAUGCUUAGAUUUGGAUCGGAUAUCCAUUUCACUGAGUCAAUUGAUGUCAAGGGCUUAACCUGAUUAGUCGAAAAUGGUCUGGACCCAUCUUUAUAAUCAGUGGGAUACUGGAUGGAAACCUCCCUCCCCUUCGCGAGGGGACCCUUUACUGUAAAAAAACCAUAGAUCACUUGAAAGAAAUGCUUGAAGGAAAUUCCACGGCAAGUAACCAAAGCAACCAGUCGUUCAGAGCAAAACAGCAGGCGGAUGAUGAAAUCAAGGUUUGAAUAUACAUAUGAUAAUAUUAGAUUGUGGAAAAACUACAUGUGCAUUGCACUCAGCAGCACCAUUACCAUUACAGGUGGUAGUUGUCUUUCAGAAAGUAUCCGGAUUUUAGUCUUACAAAGUUCAAAUGAAGUCCAAAUCAGAGAAACAACCGGGAAAGGUUUUUGAUGCUUGACUACAUAAUUUUCUAUACCUUUAUGACGACAUUAACCACCUUCUUCAGGAGAUUAUAAAUCAAUAAAAUAAUUAUGGGUCUCCCUACUAUUAUUGGCAGAGUCACCUCCUCAUUUCUAAUUGAAUCUAUUUAUCAUAGUGUUGUGCAUUCUCCCCCGAGUCCGGAGCCACUAACUAUUACAGAAUCAGAAAGUUAAUCCUCAUCUUGUGUGAACUUCCACUUCAUACUCUUCCAAUCUUCUAUCCUUCAAACUUUUUGAGACAUAUUGUCUUCUUUUUUGGCUGGGAGAUUGGAGGCUCUUGUCUUGAUAUAGGAUAUUUUUAAGCAUACAAAGGGGUCCUGUAGUCUUUGUUAGGUAGAUACAAAGUGAAACGCAUAUAAUACUUGCAGAUGUUAUUCUGACCUUUCACUAUCAAGAUUCAAGAGUGAGUCAUUUAAAAAACAAGGGAAACGCAUGCACACACGUUAUUUAGAGAAUUUCUAGGAUUGGCCGACUUCUGCCAUCUCUCUUGGUGGCUAUCUACUUUCAGCAGACUUCCCAGCUUCAUUUGAUGUUCAUAAACUGUAGGUGAGAAACUGAUUCUCUAAGCAGAAGUAAUGCUUUAAGCUUCUAAAUCUGCUAGCCGGUCCCUUAUGUUGCUCUCCCUUUCUUUCUCAGAGAUACACACACGCAUCACACAUCACAAUCUCGCUCACGCAGCAUUUCUCACCCGAUAGAUUGUUGAAAUCACUGUCUCAGAUUUAGAGCUGCAAUUCCUGAAUCAUGACUUCUUAACUCAGCGAACUGUGGAUUCUCUCUGUAAAAACUUUUGAUUGCACGGGAUUUGCCUAGUAAAAAGAUAAUUCCACUCUCUUAAAACUUUGGAUGCUUUCUGAGAUUGUUGGUUCUGAGGUGGGAAAAGCAACAGUGAGAGAUCCUCUCUUUUCUACUUGGAAUAGCAUGUAUGCACCUGUCUUUUUUGGUUAAUGGAUUUAGCCAGUUGACUUAAUUGGAUUUUGUGUUUUCAGGGGGAUGUCAUCAGCUGAAGGCAAGUAUAGCUUGUACAGGCAAGGCAGCUCUGGUUGGUCAACCUUGAGGAAUGAAGAAUUUCAAGAAGAAGAUGUCUGGGGUAUUCUCGGGCGAAGUAAAGAAUUGAAGAAGUCCAACUCUGAUUCCUACAGAGAAUCGUCCUCUAUGGUUUCGAGGCGCCGGCCGACUGCAUCGAGAAUGAUUCCAAAAGCCACCAGUAGUAAUUCUGGGACCGAACCCAAAAUUAUUCAACAGUCAGCCCCUGUUAACAUCCCUGAUUGGUCCAAGAUUUAUGGAAGCAGCUCCAAAAAACCAUCCAAUACUGUUUCACGGCUUGAUGAUGAUGAUGAUCACGGCAAUAGCGAUGGCGUGAUGUAUAACAGUUGGGACAGUGAUGAAGAAGAGGAAGAUGAUGGCAGUGUGGUUCCACCCCAUGAAUGGAUCGCCAGAAAGCUUGCAAGGAGUCAAAUAACCUCAUUUUCUGUGUGCGAAGGUGUUGGAAGAACACUCAAAGGUAGAGAUCUGAGCAAUGUCAGAAAUGCUGUGUUAACCAAAACAGGAUUUCUUGAGUAACUAUUUGUGAUGGACAUGAUUAACAUUGUCAUGAUGGUGAUUCUGUUUCAUCAAUAUGAUUGGUAAUGUAAUACUGCUAGUAAAUAUGGGUCCCUGUGAAAUCAUGCUGCUAUUAUCUUAUCGCAAUUCAAUUGUACAGGUUUGUCUGCCUGCUUCAGGAUUUCUGAUUAGACAAUUUGCCUUAUUUGGUAUAAAUAGACAAUGUGCUUCCUGUAUUUAAUACCAGUGUAUUUUCCUGUUAGGUUAGUGCUGCUGUGGGUAAGAGAUUAACUGCUUGCCCUUCAAAUUAAAAGUGAACUAAUAAAAUAAGUACGUGAUGUUGAUAAUUUUUCAUUUCUGUUUUUCUAUUUCUUCUUUUGGUUACCAAUGGGGUUAACUGCAUGGAGAUCAAUCAAAACUUGUUCUUCGACAAAAAAAAAAAGGGUUCCAAUAUCCACUACCACUGGCGCUUUAUUCGAUGUUUAAACUACUUUAUGAUUCUUGCCUCUCCUUAAUGCAAAAUAGUUUGUUUAUUGCUAGUCUGAAUUUUGCAAGUUUACCUCUCUUUUUUUUUUUCUUUUUCCUGAUCAAUAAAUUUCACCUAAAGCACGUAUACGACUUUCAUACAACGACAAUAAUAGAUACAACCAGACAAGGAGUACAAAAAGUAUUGCUAGUACCUUUGUCCAACGGUACCUUUACUCGUGUUCAUAAAGAAAAUACCCAAAUUUAGAAGAGGACAACGAAAAUGACAUUAUCGAAGAGUAAAAACAAGGUGGCAAUGGGAAAAAAAAAAGUUGUGUAUUCUUAUAUUGUGAUAUAACAUUUAGUACAAAUAAAAUUGUGCGACCGUCGCCCUAGGGAGCGAAAAUAAAAAAAGGGCCCUCCCUCGUUUUUCUUGAUUUUUAUUGAUUAGUUUUCAUUUCACCGUAUUAAGCUAUAAAAUUCCAAUUUUUAUAAACUUUUUUUUUUUUAAUAGAAGCCACCACCCUACGCAACUCGUCCUUGACAAUUCAAUUAUAACCAGAGAGAAAAAAGGGAACAUUUUUUAACAUGAUACCCACCAUACUAUUCAAUGUACACUCAUUGCCUCGUUGAAAAUUAACAAGGCAUGGCCGUAACACACAAAAUCAGACUUGGAAAUUUUGGAAUUAAGCGGGCGCAAAUAUAUAUUUUCUGCAGCUGAAAAUAAUUUAAUUGCGUGUCUAAAGUCACAGGAAGAGUAUCUAGUUGCUUUCUCGUAAUCAAACAGAAGAAGAAGAUGUCACACAUGCAGCCAGACACAUUACAUCAUAUUUUGUCUUCACACUUCAUCUUUGAAAUUUCUUUUCUUUUGGUUUUGGUAAUGACAUUUAUUAUCAUUUUUGAUAGGUACGUACACUACGUAAAAUAUGAGGCUCUAGACGAAGCUGAGUUCAGGCUCCACCAAGCUAGAAAUUGCCUCAAUUUCUCUGUUCUUGAAACUUUCCACUUCUUUCAGGGCCAGUGCUCUCAAAUUUUCCACCAUUUCUCGCACUCCCUUUUGAUUUCUUCCAAUUCCAUAUAGCAUUCCUUGUAUGGUUCCGGCAUAGAGUCCAUAGCUUCUCAACUUCUCGAUUUCUGCCUCGCUGCCUAUGUUUUCAGAACCGGACCGGAUAGCGACUCGGCCGAGGUCAGGGGUCAGGGGUCAAUGGGUUCGACCGGGGGUCGAUAGGGGUCGAACCGGAUGACGUCAUAAAUAAAAAUUAUUUUAAAAUUAAAAUGUUAUAUAUAUAAUAUCUAAUAAUAUAUUGAUAUUAAUAAAGGCAUAUUCAUAUAUAUUUGAUGUUUCAAAUAUAUUUAACAAGAAAAUACAAAGAAAUUAGAACAAUCAAGUAGCAAUUUAUAUUAUUUAAUAAAUAUUAACAAGUUUAGAAUUAAAAUUAUGAAUUUAAUUGAAAAAUAACAUCAAAUUUUAGGACAAUAUUUAUAAAGUAUCAAAUAUUUGAGGUAUAUCAAUAAGUUUUAACAAUUUAGGGGGUCAAAACAUAAUAUUAAAAAGUUUGAAUUUUUUUUUAAAAAAAUACUGUUGAACCGGAAAAACCGGUUUUUUCCCGGUCAAACCCGGUCAAACCCGGUUUUUGACCGGCUUUGACCGGGUUUUAAAUUUCCGGUUUUCUAAUGUGACUCGGACCGGCUACCUGGCCGGUUCCCGGUUCGACCGGCCGGUCCGGUCCGAGUUUGAAAACAGAGCUCGCUGCCGCCUCCUAAUAUUGCUCCACAAGCUGCAGCACAAGCAUGCAGUUCACCUUCUUUCUUCCUGCUCACAUACUCAAUCGAGCUCGCAUCGACCGCCCCUUCCUCAUCCGAUUGGCUGAUGAUGAAUUCCCUGAAUUGGCCAUCCACCACCCCUGCGAUCCUGUGGCCCUGGCGAUUUCGGUCAUUACCCUCAACACCCGAUCCGGAUUGUUUUGGGCUGAAUACAGCGAAUCAGCCAGCAGCUCGAACCCAAAUGGCACGAUUCCGUCCCCGGUCAGGAGCUCAAUAUUGGGGCCGAACUUACGUUCCGUUGCGGGCUUGGUCUUGGGCCUGGUCCUGUCGGUCAAGGGAAGCUGCUCGUGAGCAGACGCAGCUGCAUGCAUGAGCUGAAUAGCAGACGCCGCAGCCAUGGCCUGGCUCCGGUGGCCGCCGACGAGUUCACAAGCAGCAAUGCACAGGGCCGGGGCUGUGGUUCUCGGCGCUGCAAAGGCUAGAUGAUGCAUGGGCUCGAAGACCGAAACCGGAUGCCGGAUUGGGAUGGCUUCCUUUAGAUGUGUUUCGACGUCCGCUUCGAUAUUUGCCCAGUAAGGUUGCUCUCGGGACAUUCUGACCACCAGAGGCCUGUAACAUACUGACGAAGGGCUAAGAAGAUUUGAUGUGGAGGACCCGAAAAGAUUCGCCCUUCCAUUGCAAGUUGAAAGAGCUCUAGCCAUCUUCUCUUCGCUUAGAUAGGAGUAUAUGGAAAUGAUAUAGUACUACCGCUGACGACUCCGGAUCUUGCGGGCUAAUAUUUUUUUUGCAACUGGUGCGGGAGACUUCACUCUUUAUGGCUUACUCUUUAUAGAUGAAGUCAAGAUUUCGUUUUUAUGGCUUACUCUUUCUUUUUUUCUUUUUUUCUUUUUUUGGGUGGUGGUGGUGCAUGAGCACGCGGGCACGGGUUUGUGAAGCUGGAGGUCUCUGUUUACGUAACAAUUAUUGAUACUGCCUUAGGUCUCACGCUAUUUUAGUAAUGGUAAUGGAACCGCGUGAGACAUGAGCGAUUGAUUGACAUUUUUCGCCAACUAACGUUUGGUUGGACGUUUCAUGUGUAGAAUGGUUCACAUCUCUGCACAUGACAGAGCCUUAUAGAAAGAAAGAGUACGUGUAAGUAAGUUGUAGUAGUAUUGAAUAUGUUUUUUCUUUUAAACGUUUUUUUUAUGCAAGAGACAAUUGUCCGAGGAAUGGAGGAUCAAGCAGCACAGAUGCGUACAUCAAAACUUCUUUUCACUUGUUGUACUGGAUAUGUUGACAUACGACGUACGUACAAAUGAUUUUGAUUUCAGGGAAAAGGAGGACCACAGAGAAGAAGAUGUCUAGGUUUUACAAUACUACUACUAUAUUCUACCAAACGGAGCUGAUGAAUUAUCUUUAUAUUUAUCGUCAAAAAAAAUUUUCUUCUUUUUUUUUUAAAUUUUGCUGGACCACUGCCCUUUUUAUUGUGCUGUAAACUAGGCAAAAUGUAUGUGGUUGAUUGAUGCACUAGGCCCCACGGGUUUAAUCACAUGGUAGCAGCGUUCCCUUGGAACCUUUAGGUUCCGGGUUUGAAACUGCGCUAUGGGGACGCCUGUGUACUUAUUGUGCCUUGGUCGGGUUGGAGGGUCGGACUCUGGUUACAGAGAAUUAGUCGGACCCGUAAGGAUUGACUUGGACACCCUGUGUCGACAAAAAAAAACAAAAAAAAAAAAGAUUGAUGCACUAGAGCUAAACCGACAAAACUGACCAUUUGCAGUGGAUAAUCCAUUUAGACGUUUCCGGCACGUCUCUUAUCUUUCAAGGGGGGAAAAAAUUAAAAAUACAAACCAGUCCCUCUCCCUGUCGUCGACAAUGUCAUAACGAAAUAUAUCUGAAUAAUGGCUUCUUUUUUUAUCUUACAUGUAAAUUCCUUCCUCGUCACUUUUAAUGAUAAGUAUUUGGGAAUAUUUCAUGGAUUUCCUCCAAGGGAAAAAAAAAAUUACGCGCUGAAUAGCUAUGGGAGUAUAUUUAAAGGGUUAGCUAAGGAGUCAGUCCAUUUCUCCCAAAAUUUACAUAUUGCUUCAGUAGUGAUUAAUUUCACUUUUUAAUAGUAUAUGCUCUAUAACAAUUCUUGUAACGGUCUAGAGACAAGACAACAUUAUGACUCAAUUCCACUUGGCACCAUGGAGAGAUCAAUGAAUUUGGGACUAUUUCAGUCAAUCAACAAUAGUUACGUUAUUUUAAACUUGCUUUCAAUGCUUAUGACGUGAAGAUCUCGAGGCAUUAUUAUGAUUCAAUUUCACUUGAAACCAUGAAGAACCCCGUUCGAACAAAAUUGAUCGGCUCACCAAGUUGAUCGGUUGAACAGUCGAUUCGUCAAUAAAUUUAUUAUUUAAAUAAUUCGAUUAAAGACUUAAUUCAAUUUAGUUACUGGUUCAUUGAAUUGAUCGGGUUAAAUCAUCGGAUCGGAUAAGGUUUAAUAACACUAAUGAAGAGGUCAAUGUUUUUCUUUCUUUUUUUUUAAUAAAAUAAAAUUGUCUACAUUUAUAUGACUACUAAAUUAAUCUAUAUAUUAAGGGAGAGCCUAAUUGAGGAAAAAGGAGCUAGAGGGAGAUAAACCAACCAAAGAAGUGUAUCGGCACACACCUUUGAAUUUAAUCGGAAAUGUCAGGACACUGCCCUAAUCCGAGUUGAGGAUAAUAAUUACCAAGCCAAAAUACUCCGGCCAAUCAAAUCAAUCUUGUCGGCAUAUGGGCCUAACCCAUGUGCCUCGAUUGACUCGUGCACGGAAAAUGUUAUGCAUAAACAGCGCUUGGUGCAUAUCCAUUUAGCUUUGAGACAGCUACGCCCAGAGCCCAUGUGUUCAAUGCAUUGUGACACCGUACUGGGGGCUUUACAGGAAAAAAAGUAGAUUUAAAAAAGACAAAGUAGCACAAUGUACACGUCCCAAUUUGCGUUGGACGUGGGCUUCCUAGGCUCAGUUACGGGGCUCCACACGAGUGAGGUUGUGAAUACUUGUGAUUCGCUUGCAGCCCAUUUCCCCCACCAAACUUGCUGAACCAUAUAUAUAUAUAUAUCUUACAUAUAUAUAUAACAAACGCAAUUUCAUUCCAAUAUUUACACUAAUGGCAGCAACUACAUUAAAUAUAGUAUUAAUGACAGUAAAUACAUCAAAUACGAUACAGAUAUAUAAAUCUAAAAUUUAAAUGAUAGAACAUUUUUUAUUUGAUCUGAAAAAAGAUUUGACUUCGCUAUUUGGUUUCUUAGAUCUAUCAAAUAUCUAAUCUCAUCCACUGAAAAAGAUAGAAAAAGACUGCUUCAAACCCAAAAAAAAAUUGGUUUAUAAGAUUUACCAAAUCUCUAAUCUCGACCAUUAAAAAGAGAAAAGAUAGAAAAACAAAAAACACUUUCACAAGAAUAUCUUACGAGAGAAUAAAACUUCCACUAGAAAAAUUUAAUGGAGAAAAAUCUCUCAUCAGAAAAUUAUAGGAGAAAACAAUCUCUCACUAAACAGCUCUAAAAAAGAAUUUAUUCAAACAAAGGAAAUAAAUUUGGGAAAGGGCAUCCUCUCAUGGAGAAAAACCAGAUUAUCUUGUCUAAUCUCUCUCCCAUAGGAGGGUUGGUUAGAGGAGUUUUAGAGAGAAAGAUAAGAGAAGAAAUUCUAACAGGAGAUGGACCAUUCAAAUAUAGGACCUAAAAUACAAGCCUUUUAACGUAAUUAGUCACACAACACAACCACCGUUCACCAACUGCAGAAUUUCGACCUUUCGAUUGUCUGCAUUGUGAGGCUUCUUAAUCAUCUGUUGCUCUACAUAAAUUCUUCAUUACAGGUGAAGUCAAUGAGGCGAAAUCCAGUUUUACUUGAUACUGCAACAUAUUGCUUAACUUUUAACGAGACAUAUAAAAUUUGAGCAUUUCUGACAUGUAUACAAUCCCAUCUUAGACAAAAUCAUGUCCAUCUUAUCUACUCAAUAAAUUAAAAGGCUUUUGAAGCUGUUUGUUGAUUUCAUUUGGAGAGAUAAGAUAAUGCAUGUUAACGGAAUACAUUGGGGUAAGAUUUUGCCGAGUAGUUAGCUACUGAGUCACUAUCCCACCAAAGAUUCUAGACGUGCCUGUUUCGGCACUACGAAGGCAAAAGGGCAAGGCAACCACCACCUCAACCUACAGGCCACCGGGAGAACAUUGACAAGAAAGCCCCAUUAAUAUGUAAAGUUUGGUGCGGCUUAUGAAUCAAUCCUUUGCUUUUAGUUCUAGUAUAACGAUAACGACAAGGGGAUGGAAACAGGGCUGGCACUUGCAGAAAGUCACGACUUAGACUUUCUACCUAAUACGGGUCUCUAUUCAAAAAGCAAGAUACUAACAUGCAUGCAUCCUCGAAUAUGUUCUCUCAAAAAUAAAAACAUUCAUGUUUUCAAGAAGAAUCUCCUAGCCAUGGUGAUUCUCAUCGCACAUGAACUUUCUAAGUUGUGAGAUUAAAUGUGUCAGCAGAUGUUGGGAUCAGGUGAUUGCUCAUCGUAUCAAAAUCCCCCUACCAACCUUUCGAACGUGUUCCCCAUGGGGCUUAGUCCUUUCCGAACAAUCUUUCUGUGAUCACUGAUCACGGAGUUUCUGACCUUGGACUAGGUGGUAUUUGGUUGGCUAUUUACGCUAGUAGUGACACAUCAUGAAGUUUCCUGCCUUUGUUUUUUAAUGGCAGCGCCAGCCACAUUAUUAUCACUAGAAAGAAAAAAAGAGGGGUAGGGUCUUUCUCGUUAAAGCGUGUACCAACUGUGAAUCACAUAGGAUUGCAACUUGCAAGGCUCACAGGGAGCUUACUGAUAUUAGACAUAUUUACAGGGUGUGUGGACUUUUUAGUAAAAAUGGAGUAACAGGGAGUUUACUUCUUUUUCUUGGAGAUCCAUUUCUAUUUCUAGAUUAUUAGAAGAUGACUGCAGGGGUUUUUGCUAGCCUCAAUUUUGUAAACGCUAGCUGACUUUUGUGUGUGUGUAUAUAUAUAUCCUACCAAAAAGAGAAAACAUUGGACAAUAGGGUCAUCGAUUUGCUAAUCAUAUUCAUAGCGGUCAAGCGGAGUCCUUGUAGAUCGAGUACCCUACAAUGUGCAUGAUGUUACCAUCUCCAUUUCAACCCUUGUCCAGAGAAAUCGGAUAGUCAUUCCAUCGCAAUUGAGAGUGUAAACAAACAACAUCACUUUAGAAUAGAGGUCAACCCUUGCACAACUCAGAAUUUGAAGGGGUGUAAUUGAUUAAGUAAGGAUUAUGUCCUUGUAGUCUGUCUCCUUGAGCAGAUGGACCAAACAGAACAAGGAAAAAGCAAUAGUAGCAAAUGAGUUUGGAGCCACCGCAGGGGUUAUUAGCGUUAGUAAUUACUGUAGUAUUCUGCGGCGGUUGCGAUGGCCUGUGUUCCGGGUCCUCUGUGUACUGUACGUAACUGAAGAUGGCUUUUGACCAUGAAAUAGAGUGGCCAUGUUACUUGCUCUUGCAUCAUGUGUCCACAGCUCAUCAUUUCGUUAUUUGAGAUCUCCAACAAAAAUAGUCCGAAAUGAUUAGGUAACACAAAUCUGACUAGUACUAAAUUGGAAUGCCAAAAAUAUCAAAGGAAGUACCCGGGUCCUUCUCGAUGCUCCUUCCUUUUACGUGCGUUCUCAAGUCAUUUUCCUCUCUCCGACCUCCUUAAUAACUCAUCUUUGUCUUGCCAGGAAGAAAAAAAGCAGAAACAAAUCUCUUUCGUCUUAUCUGUUGCUCUUUCGCCCACAUAAGGAAAAUUUAUUGGAUAUUUAAGCAGUAAAUGCUUCAAAUUCUAAUAACUUGGGCACUGGCAAGAAAAUUCACCUACCUAUUGUGAAAGAUGAAAAAGGACAUUUCAGUAAUUCCAUCCCAAAAUGGAGGCUGAAGCUGCUUUCUGAUUCCUGUUACGAGUCAGCCACCGCGUCACCGACAUUUCCAUAGAAAACAAUUGUUGAAGCGGUGUAGUGAAAACAGAGUGUAAUGCCACUAGGAAAAAUCAAGUCUUGAAAACGGUGCAGUUUUUUUAAAGUUGGUUGGCUCUGUUCUACCAAAACUGUCCUUGAUUUCCACAACCCACCAGCCCCCUACCUUCUCCUCCUCCUCCACCUAGAAUGUUAGAGCUCUAAGUUAGUACUACUAGUAUAUUACCGGAAGUUUCCAACUUUGAUAUAUUUAAGACAUUUACUAAGAAAAAAAUGUCACACAAACAAACAAAUUAGUUGGUUAGCAUUGGAAAAAAGGCCAAUGCUUUUUAUCUGGUCCUGAUUUGGGAUUUUCUCUUCCUUUACAUUCUUCAAUCUUUUGCUCAGAGAAAGAGAGAAUUCAUCGGUUUUUGUCGAGCUGUGUGCAUUAGAAACUGAACUGGGGCACGUAGCUUGUGGCAAUAGGGCUGAUUGAAAUCGAAGUGAAGGACUUGAACUUCGUGGUCCAAAGUUGAGGUUUUAGCAUAGUUCAGUUGAGAUUUGAAGUGGGUUUUUUAGGUAAACCAGAUUUUGAAUUGGGUAUAGCUUGAUUUCGGUGGUUUGUGGAAGUGGCUGAUUGGAAUUCAAGUUAAAGUCUUGAACUUUAUAAUCUAUUCUUGAGUUUCCUUCAGCUAAGUCAGCCGUGAGAUUUGAAUUGGGUUAUUUCAAAUCUUACAUCGAAUUUGAUUAUGCAAGAAUAGCAUAAUGUCUGGGAAGAGCAGAGGAGGAGCAGAGUCGAGUUAUAAAAGUGUUGUCUCUCGAAGACUAACAGUUUGGCUAUGUAUUGGAUGCUUCUGUGCCGGGAUGCUCUUCACCGACAGGUUUAUUUAUCUUAUCUUCCUUUACAUUUCUAGUGAUUCUCUUUCCCUUUAAAAUUUAAAUGCGCAUCAGAACUACUUGAAUUGGUCGUUCUUGAUCAGUCUUGUAAAUCUGGUCAUCUGAGUGGUAAAUUUUCAAUAGAAAAGAUUAUUCUUUGUUCCAAAGUCCCAUUUUUGGUUACUGAGUGUCUUGGUGAUAAAAAGUAUUAAUUUCGUCGGUUUUCUAGAGUUCGUAUUGAUAGUAUGUAUGGUUUAGUUGCUUUUCGGUGCAGAAAACUCUCGUGGCCAGAGACACGAGAAUUUGUAUAACAGUUGUGCAUAUUGGUGUUAGGAUCUUGCCAUCGGUUUCAGUACAAUCGUCUUUAUUUGGAUGCUAAAUAAGGUUGUGGGUUAUCUUCCUUGUCAUUGUGCCAGUUCCUGAGUUCAACAUCUUCAGAUUAAUUAAUAAGUAAAUAAAAAGAAGAUAAAGUUCAACACCUGCAAGUGGAGUGCCUCAUGUUACAAACGGAGAAGACAUACCCAUAGAGCAGGUUAAUCUGCAGCUGGCGCAAAUGGCAAAAGUCCAGUUCUCUUCCAUUAGAUCAUUUCAUGUUUUGCUGGCUUAAAGCGUUCUAGUUGAUGAUUUCAGUUUAAGAAAGAAAGUUUGAUUUGGUGGUUUUAUUAAAACAUUUUUCCUUAAAAAGGAGUUUCAAGAACUUGAAGAUUGGACGAAAGUGACAUAAUUUGAUGUUCAGAAACUUGUGAAGUUCCAUUCAAUUCCACAAUAACUAUAUAAUUACACUGGUGAAAAAAUAUGGCCUGGGUUCGCACAUGGCAACUUCCUAUGUAGAGUUGCUUGUUUUGUUUGUGUCCCUAAUUAGAAUUUUUGUGAUGUUAGAAUGUGGACGGUCCCAGAAGCUAAAGGUAUAUCAAGGACAUCAUCAGUUGAAGACGAAAAACUAAAGCUAGUUGCGGAGGACUGUAAAAAUGUGAGUACUUAAAUAAUUUUGAGGACUGCAUUUUAAGUUUCUCAUUUUGAGCUUGGAGAUUGUCACUGAGUGCUAUAAUAAGCUCACAGUCAAUCCAUUUUCAUGUACGAUGUUGAGUUACUAGUCAUCAGUGACUUUGUAAAGAGGUUUGUGGGGACUAAGUUCUGCUUUCCUAUUCCUGUUUGCUACUAGAAUAUGAAAAGUAAGUCCAACGAUAUUCCGGGAGAAGUGUCAAAGACGCAUCAUGGCAUACAGUAAGCUCCUUAUGCUUGUUUACCUUAGAUAUCAUUAAUUUAGUAGACAUGCAAUUUCAAAGUUUUGUACGGAUUUUCAGAACACUUGAUAAAACAAUUUCAAGUUUGGAGAUGGAAUUAGCUGCUGCAAGGGCUUUGCAAGAUUCCCUACUUACUGGUUCACCAGUGUCUGGGGACUUGAAGAUUCCAGAAUUGAUCAAGAGAAGGAAAUAUCUCAUGGUUGUAGGCAUUAACACAGCUUUUAGCAGCAGGAAAAGAAGAGACUCUGUUCGUGCUACCUGGAUGCCGCAAGGUUUCUGAAUAUUAAGACAGUUUGUGUUUGGGUUUUGAAUUCUUCUUCUAUUAAAUUGAAUGGGUGUGUGGAUGAAUUGCUGACACUGUAAAAACAGGUGACAGACGCAAGAAGCUUGAAGAAGAAAAGGGCAUUAUAAUCCGCUUUGUAAUAGGUCACAGGUGAGAGAGAUUUUUUUGCUGGAUGUUGUGUUGACCUGUUUCCACUAGUUUGUUCUCUUCCUAUGUUUCCACUUCAAAAACUUAUGUGAUAAUUUUGUUGAUGCUACUUGUUAGGAUAAUCAUGGAAGUGCCUUUUAUUAUGAAAGAAUAAUGUGAAAAAAUACUACACAAUCAUUUGAAUUUCCCAAGAUGCAAUUCAUUUUUUGGCAAAUAAGGAUCACUGAAGUCUGAUUCUUACUCGCCUAUUCAACAGUGCUACAUCAGGUGGUAUUCUUGAUAGAGCUAUUGAAGCAGAAGAAAAAAAACACGGGGACAUCUUGAGGCUGGUAUGAUCAAUUUUCCUUAAUUAAGUUUUUGCUUGAUAUGCAUUGCUGUUCAGUAUUGGAUCAGAAUAUACUGUAGCCCAGCCUGCCUUGUAAUGACCUUAAUGUAAUUUGCUGCUUUGCGACUUUCAUAAAGUACAUGAACAUCUGAGAAGACAGCUCACUGAUGCUUCCAUUUUUAUGCUUUAAUAGGAACAUGUUGAGGGAUACCUUGAAUUGUCAGCAAAGACCAAGUCAUACUUCACUACUGCUGUUGCCCUGUGGGAUGCAGAUUUCUAUGUGAAAGUUGAUGAUGAUGUUCAUGUGAAUAUAGGUAAAAGAUUUGAUUUUUUUGGUUUAUCAUUUGGAAACUUGGGUGGCAAUGUAAAUUCUUCCUUUCUUGUUUAUAUAACCAAAAACUUUCAUUUGUCUUGUAUAUUCAAAAUGUUGUGUAUCAUUGCCAUUGUGGGAAACAUUUUCGAAAGACGUUAGUUUUCAAUUUACUUGAAUAACUAUGUUCUUGUGCACAAUUGCAGGAACCCUGGGAGCAACUCUAUCCAGACAUCUCUCCAAACCCAGGGUUUACAUAGGGUGCAUGAAGUCCGGGCCCGUUCUUGCUCAAAAGUAUGAUACUACCACAUAACUGCUCUUCCAAAUGAUGUUGAUAGUACAUUUAUGAUGAUAGUGGCCUGUUUUUUAACCUUUGUCUCCUCCAACAGGGGAGUGAGAUAUCACGAACCUGAGCAUUGGAAGUUUGGAGAGGAUGGAAACAAGUACUUCCGUCAUGCUACCGGUCAGCUAUAUGCUAUUUCAAAAGAUUUGGCUACUUAUAUCUCAAUAAACCAGUAAGCAUCUUAUUUCAUUAUAGUACUGCUGCAAUGGCAUCGCCUUGUAUGUGUUAACCUUAUUCUUUUAAUCGUGUAUAUUCAUUCAUAUAAGGCACGUGCUUCACAAAUAUGCCAAUGAGGACGUCUCGCUAGGUUCUUGGUUCAUUGGUUUGGACGUGGAGCACAUAGAUGAUCGGCGAUUAUGUUGUGGAACUCCACCUGGUAAGGUUAUACGAGCCUAUUUGUUGAAUAAUCAAUUUGUAAUCUGUUGGUUACAAUGCUCCAAAGACACGAGGCACACUGCAGUGGACUUUAACACAAUGACUAGACCUAUUUGAAAUAGGUCUUUUUUAGUGAAUGGCUUCCUGUAAAUUGAGUCUGAACUCUACGGAGUUCUACCAAUAUGUAAAUAUUUUGUUUAAAAACCCAGCUUGAUCAGCACCCUGCCCAUCCGAAAGGAGAAAAAAUGAGGAAGAAAAGAAUUGUGCUUGUUAAAAGCAAGAGUGUAAAGAACAAGAUCAGUUAAGUGGGUGCUACCCAGUGUUGGACAAGAGUUUGAACAAGCUUUAAGACUCAAAUGGUUUGAUAUUUUUUCUGUUAAUGUUGACCCAGAUUGUGAGUGGAAGGCUCAGGCAGGCAACAUCUGUGUUGCUUCCUUCGAUUGGCGGUGCAGUGGGAUUUGCAAUUCUGUAGAGAGGAUUAAGGAGGUGCACCGGAGAUGUGGAGAAGGUGAGAAUGCUUUAUGGAAUGCAGUCUUUUGACAUGGAGCAUAUCAUCCAAACUCUGGAGGAUGCAAAUUGAUCAUUGAGAAUUUUGUGUUGUAGAUAUUGCCCUUUAGGUAAUUGUAUGUUAUAUCGAUAUGUAAAGCAUGAGAGAUUUUUUUUUUUUUACCAUUAUUUUUUUUCCUUUCUUCCUUUUUCUUUUUCUUCUGGGAAUUGGGGUUAAACUUGGCCUCAACCCAUUUGAUGGGAGAUCAACUCCUUUUUUUGUUCAGGAGUAAGAUCAUUUAGUUGCCAAGAGACAACUUAAUUGUAGGCAACCAUUCUUUGGUGUCAAAAGAUGCACAAGUUCAGAUUGCAGCUCUUAAGACUGCCGAAACUCAAUAAACGUCUACGAUAAGCGAUCAUGCGAGUGUCUUGUUGCUUCAUCAGUGGAAAUGUGAUGCUCUCCAUCUACUUGCCAGUUUCUCAAAAUCUGAUCUGAUUCUGCAUUUGACAAUUCGCGUUUGGAUCGUGUCGAAAGAGACAAUUGAGGGUCGAUCUCAAUGUUAAAACAGCCAGAAGAGAAGUAAAGGUUAGGACGCUGUCUUAUCCGAAAGGUUAUCGCAAACUAAUUGGCUGUUUUGACCUCGAAGACUAACCAAAGUGCCUGAGGCUUAAAGAGACUGGAAAGUAGUGUGGCGUAGUUUCCAUUUCGCCAAAGUAAUAGUACUAGAGGAGUAAUACUUCAAAAGUCAGAAAUACGCCUUGGUAAAAAGAUAAAAAGGAAUAAAAGAAUAACCACCAGCCCAAAGGGGCUGGUGGCCACCACCUAGCUUGGUAUCUUGCCUCCUAUCAAAAUGUCACAUUUAAGUGGUUUGCUUCAAAAAAUUCAGGUGGGUGUGUUGUGCAUCCGUUUGGUCCGGUGGUGGUUUAGUUUCCUUCGGAUUAUUCCUGAGCCUCCUUAGGUCCGCCCCCUCCCCCUUAGAGUAGAAUAGAUUAGGUUAUACAAUAGUUGUCGUGUCUGAAAAAAAAUAAGAAUAAAAGAAUAGUGGAGAGGUCAGAAAUAAAUUUCUAGUAACUAGGACUGUGGCAGUAGUAGUUGUAAAUGCAAGGUUUGAAGCUGUGUGGAAUCAAUGAUGCCAUUUCUGCCAGAUAACAAAACCAACGACCCUUGGAUCAUCAUUCUUCUACUGAAAAGGCUAUCCACUGCUUCUCUUUCUUCCCACUAGCAAAGUGAGCUCAACAAGCCUGGCUGCUGCUUGGCUACUGUCCGUUCAAUCUCCAGAGAAAAUUAUUUACAUAUGUACAAGUGAUCAGGCAGUUGAUAUGUGUCUAUUGCUGGUUCAUACUCAAAGCUUCUACUUAUCUUCUGUUUAUUCUUUCCCUGAUAACACCACUCACUUCUUGUUUCCUUGAAGUUUAAGGGCUUAUUCAAUUUCUCUUGCUUUUGUCAUAAAAAAAUGGGGAUUUUUGAGGAAAAUGUAUCCGGGCUCAAAGUCCUGGAUUGUGCUCUAAGGUUGUUUCUUGUUCCUUUUAGCAUUGCAGCUAUCUGGUUAACCCUCACCAACCACCAAGACAACAGCAGCUAUGGGGAAUUGGUCUCUAGCUACUUCAUGGGGCUCAAGUAAUUAGCAAUAUGACCAUAUAUCUUUCUCAAGUUCUUUGAUUCUGAUGAUUUUCGCGUGGUCAAUAUGUUAAAAAUCCAAGCUUUUCUGCAGGUACAUGGUUUACAUCAGCGCAGUAUCAGCUGGAUAUGCUCUUUUAGCUGCUGUUUCUUUGUGGGUCAGAUGUUUGGUUGGUAAAGCAUGGAUCUUCUUUGUAUCUGAUCAGGUAUGUCUCCACUUGGAAUCCUUAAGACAGAUUUCAACCAAUCCCAUCAAACACUUGCUCUUAGCACUUGAAAUUGGAUACUAAGUAUGUAUGCUACUUACAAAGGUUAUCAAGAUUUUGAGCUAAUGGGGCAUGGGUUAUUUAAUUGGCUUCUUCAAUUUAUUAGCGAAGGGGAAAUAGGUUUGGUGAAGUUCAAUUGCAACCUUAAAAGGUGUAACAAAGUAGUACUAAAACUCGAGAACAAAUUUGUUGUCCAACAGCAGUAAAUUCUGUGCAAUUGAUUCCCUUGAUAUGUUGUUGUGGCCUUGAGGAUCUGUCCAACGACUCCCAUAAUGUUGGAGCAAACGCAAUAAAUGCAUUGUUUUUAUCUUGCAUUGUCUAUUUUGUUUAUGGACACGGCAUUAAAUGGGGGUGAUAUGUAAAUGGGGCAGGUGGUUGCAUACUUGAUGGUUACAGCGAUGGCUGCACUGGGGGAAAUUCUAUAUUUGGCAUAUAACGGUGACCAGAAGGUUACAUGGAGCGAAGCUUGUACUUCUUAUGGAAGGUUUUGCCACAGAAUGAAGCUGAUUUUGGGAUUCCAUGUUGUAGCCCUGUGGUGUUUUUCUCUUAGCUGUUAUUUCAGCUUAUAGGCUCUUCAGCAGAUUUGGUCCUCCUACCCUUUCUUCUAAAGAGUCUGAGGAAGAACGAACCUGAAAUCUUUUCUUUUUCUGGGUUCCAUCUCUUUUUGUUGUGUACAACUGUAGAUCAUGUCUUCUUGCCUUGUGAUCCAUAAACAAUCAAGCCAUGAUUAUCCCUCAAUUGAAUACCGGUAGGUAUUUUUGCUGGUGGAAUAGGAAAAUGGGAAAAUUACAUAGCCACUCUCUCGGCGACUGAUUUUCUGUUUAUCUCACCUCUUAUAUAUAUACGAAUGAGAAAUGCAUCCAAAGCGGACCAAAUUGGGAUAUGAUCAAGAUUUUGAUAUGCUACCAGUAAAUAUGAUGCUAUGGAAUUACUCGCUAGUUUUUUGAUUCUAUGUUGUAACUGCUAAGUAUGCUUCUUCCACCAAGUUUUGGAACGUAUUACAAUCCAAGAAAAAAGAAGUGUUUCGUAAAACUGAAUUCAUCUGAAACAGGAAUUAAGACAAAUUUCUUGAAUUGCAGAGCUAUUUCAUCCUCUAAUCUCCCCUUGAUACGGUUAUAUUAUGCCAAUAAUCUACAUUACGUUUGAUUAUAAAAAUCAUUAAGAGAAUUAAUGGCAUAUUGUUGUAUCAAAGCACUGAAGGACUCGUUGUUGGCAAAUUAGGAGGUCCAUUUGAUCUCUCACAAUUGCCGUUUUCACCGGCCGCCAAAACAACACUACUAUAUUGGCUGCUAUUUUUGAGAUUUCAACUCUAGUCGCUGAAUCAUUUACUUGAACAAUUCUUGAGAUUUCAAUCUUAGUCGCUAAACCAAAACCUCUCCGACCACAAACUUCGUAUAUCUAACAUGCAAUUACUUCAUAUCUAAUGACAUAUGGAUAGAUAAAUAAUUUGCUAAGGAUUUGCGGCUCCUUUUCACAAUCGACUUAGCUGGAUGCUACUCCCACCGGUGAUAGCAGCAGAAGGAAGGCGACAUUCAUUAUAGACCUUGCAUUCUCGGCAGAAUUCAUAUGCCAUCUGAUAGAAAAGCAGUACGAUGUCCUAGUUAGUUAAACUCGGACUGGACCUCCCGGAGGCCAAACUAACUCUGGCCACUAAAAGGUUGUUAAGGUUGCAUGUUGUCCUUCAUUAACUAAUGGAAAAAAAGUCUCAAUGGCCCUCCAACUCUUUCCCAAGUAAAGUUUUAGCCCUCCAACAAUUAACGGUAAAGUUUUGACUCUCGAUCUAAUAAAAUAGCAUAUUUGUGGCCCUUCUGUCAAAUCAAGUAGUUAAAAUUGACGGGAAGCAUCAUCUCGUGAGACGCGCGUCCAAAUAUCAAGGAUAUUAUAGUCUCUAAGCAAAGACAGAGCAAAAACACUUUCACUACUGAUUUUCCCUCCGGAAAUCGUAUUUGCCACUCCAUUUCUGCCUUUACAACUCCUCCCACGCUGGCAAUUAGUACUUUCGUUGCAGCAUUCGAAAAUCUUCAAAUGAACAUUCCGGCUAGACCCAAUUUCAACUCCUUGAGAAGCCCAUUGCCCAAUUUUUUCUAUUCUAUGUGCGAAUUGGAUUUUCUCAAAGCCCCCAUAUAAGGAAAGGAAAUCAACGGAGUCCAUCCAUCCCAUCACACCGCCAGCGUGUUACUUCCACAGUCCUUGCCGGACUAUUAAGUUAAUAACAUAUGACCAAAGACGCAUAAGCUCUUCAUUUUCUCUCUCUCCGGAUAAUGGGUCAGUCUGCUUCUAUACAUGUAUACUCACCGGGUAGGUCAAGCCCGACUUCCAGCCACUGCCGCUGCAUCACCGCUAAUCAACCGGACGCCGUCUCUUCCACCGACGUCAUUGCUCAGCUUACUCUCCCUAUUUUCGGGGAUGGGCAAGAUUAUACCUCCAAGAUUCCCGACGAGUGCUUAGCUUUAAUCUUCCAAUCCCUCAGCUCCGGCGACCCAAAAAGCUGCUCCUUGUUUCCAAGCGAUGACUCCUUGUCGAAGGUUAGAGCUGCCACCAAUUAUCUCUCAACACCACCACCGAUAUAUACUCGCAAAUCCCUGCAAUAUUCUCCCGUAUUUGCCACUCCAUUUCUGCCUUUACAACCUCUCCAACGCUGGCAAUUAGCACUUUCGCUGCAGCAUCCGGAUUGAGUUAUCUGAUUUUUUCGCACUAGGGUUUUAGAGCAAAAGGGGUGGAAAUUGUUGGAGGAAAAAUCGGUGAAAGUGUUUUUACUCUGUCUUUAUUUAGAGACUAUAAUACUUUUGAUAUUUGGUCGCACGUCUCAUGAGAUGAUGUUUCCCGUCAAUUUUAACUGUUGGGUUUGACAGAAGAGCCACGAAUAUGCUAUUUUAUUAGAUCGAGGGUCAAAACUUUAUUAUUAAUUGUUGAACGGCUAAAACUUUACCUGGAAAAGAGUUGGAGAGCUAUUGAGACUUUUUCCCUUAACUAAUCAAUGGUCAUACCAUAAAGUUGAUACUUCUAGGUGCAUAUCUCUAGUAUAAUGGUACUAGCAAUCAACAAAACUCAUAAUCCCCAAAAGGGAAGGGGACAAAAUGAAAUUUAGUAUGAAUACCAGAUACUCUUAUUCUUGUAAAUCAUCUUUGGAAUUUCCAUAUUAGUUUACUUUAUUUAUCCUUCUCAGUUUGUAUGCUCCAUAUUUUCUUCAACUUCAAUCAUCACCUACACCAUAGAUCAGCCCUCAUUGAGGGAUUAGGGCUCCUACAGUUACAAUUUUGAUUGUAGAGUGCAAUUAAUGAUAAAAAUGGAUUUAAUUUGAAAUUGGGUUGGAUGAGAUUGAUUACAGGAAACAUAAUUUUUUUGAAGUGUCAAGAUUUAUUGUAGUUUUACGAAUUAUGGUGUCAUUAUCUAUACUUGUUAUAUUAGUGUGUACGUUUGAUAUAUGAUGGAUACCUACAUUGCAUUAUACAGUUGGGACAUUGUAAUUGUAUAUAUCGCUUAUCCAUCAUUGAGUAAUUGGACGACUAAUCAAUCUAUAUCAUCAUUCAAGAGCCAAACUGAAGCAAAAAUUAUGUAGUGAAAAAGGUCAAAUUGAUAUAUUUUUGGGUAGCUAAAAAUUGUUGGCUACUUAAAGGACCAACUUGUAAUUAUCGCACCCAAAAGAGAAUAAUGUAAUUAAUCGAAUGAUGCAAAGCUACUAACGUCGACGUUUUGGAAAGCCUUAGGCCCUUAGCAAUAGAAGUUCUAACGCGAAACAAGACGCAAGGCCACACGGCAGCAACUAUAUUUAUGCGAUCAAAACCUCCCCAAUUUUCAGUUUGAGAGGACAGUUCUGUAAUUAUUCCUUUGAUCAGACAACUAAACCGCCGUCUGGAUCUCUCGAGGUAGAAAUUUUUUUUUUUUUUGUUUAACGCCUUUCUCAAUCUUUUACUUUUAAUUCGAUUAUUUCUUGGAAAGGGAAUAAAAAAAGAUAAAGAUAAAGGGGAAAGCUCUAAUUUUUAACCCUAAAUUUUAGUUUUUUCAGGCCUUUCGAAUCGCAGUUAGCGAAACCCUAGAGGUAGCUUUGAUUUAUCGUCGAUUCGUCAUCAUGGCCAAAAGCUCCUUCAAGCUCGAGCACCCUCUCGGUAUCUUGAUUUGAUUUGAUUGGAUUAUACUUUUUGUUCAUAAUUAAGUGGCUUUUUAUUGGUGAUUUCCUAUUUGGGAUCGAUUGAAUUGGUGAUCCUUUUGUGCUUUUUAGCUUGUUGAUUGAUAGUCGCUGAGAUUGACAACUAUUUGUCUUAACGGGUUCUUGAUUUUCUUGCAGUUGAGAUUGUGCACAUAGAACAUAUUGCGUUUUUUUGUUUUGAUAGUUAAAGGAAAAAAGAUUAAUAGUCAAUGAAUUAUGUCAAGAUAUUGCUGAAAAAGAUGAUGAAAAAGUUGGUCUUCUACAGUUUACGGACGAACAGAUUUUGUAUUAGUACUAGUGUAUUUACAAGAAAUAUGAGAUGCUUUUUAUUGCCAUUAGGCCUAUGGUUAUUGUUUGUUUUGUUUUUUCUUUUACUGUUUAUUUAGUAAGUAAAACAUGUUCCUUCUCUGAUUUUUUCCCAUCUUAUGAUUCUCCAUAGUAUAUGAUAUGGUUAUAUGAUUUUCCAGAAAGGCGACAGGCUGAGGCAGCUCGAAUCAGGGAGAAGUACCCUGAUAGAAUUCCGGUACUGAAGAAAUCACUGUCUGAUGUACUCGCAAGAUUGUACCUUUCGCAAUAGCUGAUACUUGUAUUCUGUGUUAAUGUCGUUGCUUUGUUUUUGCUUUGCAGGUCAUUGUGGAAAAGGCUGAAAAGAGUGAUAUACCUGACAUUGACAAGAAAAAGUUAGUCACUUCAUAAUCUCACAUGUUUGCCUUCAUAUGAUGAGUUGGUAAUUGUAUCAAUGUGUCUAAUUUCUUACUUGGAGUAGCUAGCCUCUUCAGUGUUGAAGUGCCUUUUGCUUGUAACAAGAAAAUAUUAAAUUGUUCCUACAAAUAUAAAGUUGGUUAUUGUUUUCCUUACUGAAGAACAAGUGGAGGAAAUUCUUUUCUUCUGAUUAUGGUCAUCAUGAGUUCAGCUGAUUCUUCACCUUCAGCAUAUGAUUUCUCAUCUUUUACUCAUCAUGCUUCUGCAGCCUUCUUUCCCAGCUAUCGCACUUUUCUCUAACUCUGGUCAUCUGUAGGUAUUUGGUGCCUGCUGAUCUGACAGUUGGGCAAUUUGUCUAUGUUGUCCGCAAGAGGAUUAAGCUCAGUGCUGAGAAGGCCAUAUUCAUCUUUGUCAAGAACAUUCUCCUCCAACUGGUAAAGAAGGAACUUGAGUUUUAUAUCUUCUCUACUUUUAUGAGUCUUAAUAUGACUAAGGAUUAAAAUACAUACUUGCAAUUUGGCCUUUCUUUUUGAUAUUUAUCUGUCUUCUUACUGCAGCUGCUAUGAUGUCUGCAAUUUAUGAGGAAAACAAAGAUGAAGAUGGUUUCCUAUAUAUGACUUACAGUGGAGAGAAUACUUUUGGAAGCCGCUGAAGUGCAAGUCAUCCUGAACUAUGUAUAUAGAUCUUAGAGGAACUUGUAAAUAUCUUUUAAUUUUGAUCUUGGUUGAAGAACUGCUUCUGGAAGAUCUGCCUUGUUUCUAUUGGACAUGUAAUAUUUACUUAUUCCAAGAAGAUUAUCUAUAUAUGCAUAUUCUGAUUCCCUUCGAAUUAUGUUGAUGCUACGAAAUGGGUUUUCUUGUUCAUUACAAGAUGCUUCUCCUUUUCACUUCCAAAAUUUUUUAAAUUGCUCCCUUCACGGAGCACCAGUAGUAGAUCUGGUUGGCUUUUCUCUAUCUUCUCACAUGUUUGAAGUUAAGAUGAAGAUAUUUUGAUAACAUUUUCUGACCGCAUAUUGUGUUUGUACAUUCGGAAAUUGGAGGUUGGUUGUGGGCUGUCAAGCUGCAUAUUGAAUCAUGGUGGAGAUUGUAGUUCCGGUAAUAAGCUUUGUGGUAUUGUCCAAGUUGACGCGUUCACAAGAAUAUCUCUAUUUCCUGCACUAGUUGUUGGGAAUUCAGGAAUGAUUCCAAAGUGAGGUGGAAGAAAGGGCUAAUGUGGUGUGUGAUGAUACUGGCAUUUUAAUCCCAAAUCUGAAUUCUCUACGACCAGCUAGAUGCUGAAAAAAAAAAAUGGAUAUCACGAAAUGUUAAGUAGGUUUUCUUUGGUGUGAGGCGGCUAUGGCAGCACCGUUGUUGGUCUAUUUGGUGAGUGAGGAUUGGAGCUGAUGUAGGCUGGUAAAGAUCCAUUUUCCAUGCGGAAACUUUUGUCUGUGGAUUAUACUUCAGGGCAUAUAGUUGUUUCAGUUACAAGAAUCGAUUAGGUGUAAUCUUUUUCUUUGUUCUGCAUUUCACCAAUUUCAGCAACGCAUUCUGCGUCGAAGUGCUAUUGUGCGAGAAUACCAGUGUGCUAUAAUAGCUCACAAUAAAAAUUAAAAGCAUGGAUCGUUGUCUCGCCGCGAAGGGCAUCUAAACUACUAGGAACAUUGGUGAAGAACUUCUAUUACACAUAGAGAAAGAAGACAAACUAAUUUCAUUGUUUACUGCAUAUUUCUAAACUAAACGAUGACAUUGUCGCACUGGACGAGCUUGGAAGUGCUUCAGCUUGUUCUAAACUAAACAAUGACAUCCUCGCACUGGACGGAUUCAGCGUCAACCUUGGAAGUGCUUCAGCUUGUUUCAAAGCAACGUUAUCUACCCAAACUUGUCAGCAAACACUCUUGAUCAGCCAUAAGGAUAAGCUCUCCCGGAAGGUUAUGGUGGGGAAAAAAGAGGAAGAUGAUCAAGACUUAAAUUCGCCGUUGGUUCAAAUCAAAAGUACAUUGCCAGCGCUAAAGAAAUCUAGCUACAUACUAUAUUUGAUUUAUGAGUGUAGUUCACCCGUGCUCUAAACCCAACAAUCCUAAUUCAAGAGACACGCUUUUACCUAUUAAUUGAAACCAAAAUGUUUCUCACUGUUGAAUGUUUUAACUGCUGAGUCAACAGUGAGAACAUUUGAGUUCAAAAUGUCUCGAGUUAACCUUAUGCAAGACUACUGCAGAAACCAAACUUUUACCUCAUUUAAGGUCCUAUCUCAUGAUAGGAUGAAGGUGAUACAUCUCAAGCCCAAAAGUGAUGUCCAUUAUGCUUGAAGUUUCACAACCAAUGUCAUGCCAAUCUGGUAAGGUGGUCGGGGAAAAUUCCAGCAAGCUGGAUAGUUCUUCAGGCAAGGGAUGGGGUUCCUCUAUCUCCUGCUUUAACUUUACUCCUGAAGGUUUAGGGGAACACAGCAAGUUAACAACAUAUAAAAGACCUGUAGCAUGGCCAACCAAUUAUAAAAAGAAGUUACAAUUAAAAUGACACGGGCAAAAAUGGAAGUUGUAAAUCAGAAUAGGAGCUUUAUGCAUUGUUCUCCAAUUACUAAGUUGAGCUUAGAAGAAAAUAAGCCAUUGCAUCAGUUGCUUCUCAGCAUGGUAAAUUAUUGUCCAAGGCCAAAGAAGAAGGUAGUAUUCUGUAGACAAUAUGAUGAUGCAAAUAAACUAUAUUUAGACCCUAUAUCCAAUGGACAAGAUAAACCAAUUUCCAGGACUUGAGAAUACAAAAUCCACACCAAAUGCUUAUGGUAUUGAAUGGUGGGAAUGGAAUGAUUCAACCAUGAACAAAUUAUGGUAAGUUCUUAGUAUUCUUAGGUACUUUUCUGCCAUAUUCAUUCCCAUAUCAGGAAAUGAAAACAUUACUCACCUUCAUAGCACUGUGAAGAGCCAGCCUCACUAAAUUGAUCACGAGAUGUCAACAGGUGGGCUACAGUGGUUUGCCUAGUUGGUGAAACAAACUCAGUUAAAGCCACCUCAUGCAAUCCAAUUACAUUUGCGCUUGAGCUUUCUCCAAGAAAUAUAUCUCGUGAGCUUUGAUCCAGGGAAACUCCAUUUUUCAAGCUUCUGCUUGAUGAACCUUCUAUGCUUAGAGGAUCUUCCAUGAUACCACCUCCACAUUCUUGAGGAGUGUUCAGUUUACCAUCUGGAGUUGGUGAUCUCAACAAAUUGGCCGUGAUAUAUUGGUCAAGGUCCGAAAUUGACCCUCGUAGAAUUUCGUGCCAGUUUUGCGAAACCAACAAACCUUCUGUCAUAAAACCUCCACUAACAACUUGACCACCUUGGGACUGGUCCUCUAUAAAUUCUCCUUUGGGAGAGUCGGGACAUUUUUCCCUUGAGCUUUUAUCCAAGUGAUCACCUUCAUAGAAUUCACCACAUGUCGAUUUACCUCCCCCAUCAUAGCCAAAAUUAGACAAAACCAGCUCAGGCCUGUGGCUGAAUACAGGACCAAAUGUCUCAAUUUGAUGCUCUUGCAAUUGUGAAGCCAAUGGUGCACCUCCCCUCAAGAUCUCAUUACAAACUUCACCAGCAACAACUUGACCAGAGCUUAAGUUCCAUUGCAAAUCAUCUGAUAUGAACUGUGUAGUCGUGUCUUUUGGGCUGUAAGAGAAACCAAAUGUGUCACGAUUAGACGUUGACCUCGUUGGGCUAAUAUCAAGAAUAUCUUCUACCAAGUUUUGGUUCCGCAAACUUGUCAAGUUUUCAAAUGUGGACACACCUUCCUCUGAUUUUUGACCACUGAACUUUUUCUUGCAGAGAUUUGACUCAAUGGAUCUUCAAUACUCACCCUUUCACCAAAUAGCUUUGUUGUCUUAGUGAGUCUGCCCAACUGCAGGUCCACAGUCUUUGAACUUUGUCUUGCUAAAACGUCUUGUGUCAAAUUGUUAUUCAUGAGUUCCUGCAACAAAAUUUGUUUCUUCUCACUUUCAACUAACAGAACUCCCGUCUUUGAUAUUUCACUUAAUAAACCUUGUCUUCUGGAUAUUUUCCCCAUUAAAAUUCCUGGUUUUAAGCAUUUAUCAUGCGAAACUUUUUUACAUGACCUUUUGUUUAUUAAAUCUUCAGUCUUUGGCGUUUCUCUUGUUGUAUUCUCUUGCUUCAAGCUUUGACCCAGCAAGUUUAUUGUUCUUGGCUUUUCGCAAGAGAAAUCUCUUUCGCUUGAGCUUUGAUAAAACACAUUGUCCCUGAUAGAUUCCGUCACCAAUAUCUUUCCUUGCAGGUCAUUGUUUAUCAGGUAUCCAUCAACAGACAGUUCUUCUGGUGAAUUCUUGUGCAAGGUGUCUGUCUUUGCUUGAGCUUCCUGCAAUGGAGCAUCCAAUACCGCAACGCUUCUUUCACUGUCUUUCAUCUCAGGGGUAGGUCUCAAGGCAGAUGUUGGAGUUUGGACUGAAGGGGGCUCUGCUUUUGAUGCAUUCCAUGACUGAGAAGAUAACAGAAAUGGUGAUGCACAUCGAUUGUGUUGGAGAUGGGAAUCUAAUGGUAUUGAGCUUGUUAAGUUCAAACGGAGGGGAGAAUGUGGAGAUGCUAUCAUGGGAUCAUGUAUUUUGGGUGAGUUCAGAUUACUAGAAGAAAGAGCAGAAGGCAGGGAUGAAGUCUGCAGUGGGACAGAAGAUGCGGUAGGCAGUUGUACGGAUAGAUGCAGUUUAGGAGAAUUUAUUAGGGAUCCUGUUGCGGUUGAGCUAAAUUGAGAAGAAGUAACUGAAGAUGAAACGUCUAUCUUGGGGGAAGGUGCUGAAGAUCCUUUUGCUGAGAUAGAGCUCCCUUGUGCAGGAGCCGAAGAUUGAGUUACUGCAGUUGGUGAAGACUGCAGGCUGGAGCUUCCUCGAGAUCCCUUGAGAUAACCAACGUAAGGGGAUAGAACUGGUGGAGGUUUCAAAGGUGUGAAUGCAGGACCAGUAGGGGAGUUGGACUGAUGUAUAGAUGAGCAGUCUGGUGGCAAUGAUAAAAGUGGAUUCUGGAGUGUUGUAUCAGGGGUUUCAGUUGAUUGGGAUCUUUGAAUUGAGUGGUAUUGAGUUUGGGAAGGUGUACUAAGGGGUGAUUGAGGAAUGUGAGUUGGAUAGCAUGCAGGGCUUGGGUAAUGUGAAGAUAAGAAGCCAUGUGGUGAUGGGAGUGGCUUCUCUUGUGGAGAGAGGAGCCGAGUUCGAGGCAGUGGAGUAAAGAAUGAAGCAGGGUUUUGAUUUAUUACAGGACUUGGUUGCUGUUGGAAGGGAACAGAAAGUGAUAGUGGGGCUGAAAUUCAGGCAACGUAAUGGAGGGGAAUGAAGGAAUACUGUUAGUACCAUUCUUGGCGCUGGAGUUAUGAUCAUUGUCAUUGAUAUUGUUCUUCCCAUCAGUAUCUAAGCCAUCUCCACGUGAUCCACCAUCCUCAAUGUCCUCUGGGUAGAUAGGUAGGAAUUUUCUUCGACACCUUCGCACCCUUCCAUGCCAAAAAUUCUUGAUCUCGUUGUCUGUUCUCCCUGGUAGCUGCACAUACCCCUCAAAAGCGUCAAGAGUGAAUAAUCACACAGAAGACAACAUACAAAUUAAAGCGAGACAUAAUGGUUCACAUUUCAGAGUCAAGUAUGAAUCGCUAGAUGGAAGGAGAAUGAUUUGGCUAUAUCUAAAUUGUACCAAUAAGUUUCAAAAAGCAAUUCACUUGCAACUUUGACAUUGAUCUUGGGCCUAAAUCCAGAAAUGCAACGAAUCAAGUACCACAAAUUACAACACAAAAUGCACCAAAACCUAAUCCCAAGAUUACAAUGUACCGAACUCAUGCAUUUGCAAAGUACAAUUAAGACUCACUCGUCAGAAGAAUAAAGAGACAUCAACAGGGUGAAAGAGACAUUGUGUUUGAAACAAGAAGGGCUGCAGGUAACCAUCUAAAAUAGUUGUAUAAAGAAUAACACCAAACACAUAAAACAGAAGAUUGCACAAAUAUCACACAGUCAGCAUUUACAGAAAAUAAAUUGCAGCUAUACAUGUACGUACGCACAAUACUACGAUAGGAGGUACCUUGGAGGAUAUGUAUGACCAUUUGUUACCAUAUUUUUUGUGCAAUUUGACCACAAGUCUCUCUUCUUGUUUGGUAAAAGAGCCCUUUUUAAGAUUUGGCCUUAGAUGAUUAGUCCACCGAAGUCUACAGCUCUUUGAUGUCCUACCCAACCCUGAAUACUUCUCUAUGGUUAUCCAGUUCCCUAUCCCGUGCUCUUCCACACACUUUUUCAGCCUCUCAUCCUCCUCAGCCGACCACGGCCCUUUUUUCACCACCAUCACGUCUCCCUCGUCCCCGCAGCUGCUCUACCUCCCUCAUUUUCGAGAGGACCUUGGAUGUCAAGAUCGUCACCCUCUUCCAGCAUGCAAGGCUGGUCCUUUAACUUGGACUUCCCGCCGUCAAAUGGGCCGCCGGAGCUUACUUCCGGCAACCACCAAACCAGGUUGCAGCUGGUGCUUCCUAACAAGCAUCCUUCCACCCCAUUUUGUGUCAUCAAGAAUUUAACAGAUCUUGGAUUGCGAGACAAAUGCAGCUCUGGAAAGUCUAUUUUUGCUUUUAUUCUGGGUUUUUCUUCAAGACUAAAUUUGUUCUGACAUGUAUAUAGAUUCCUCCUCCUUGCAAAACCCUUCAAGGAAACAGUUGAAUCCUUAAUGGGUUGUUCUUAGAAUAUGAAAUGUCAAUGCAAAUGAACGAAUUCUUUAAGAAAGGAACGGAAUUUUGAUCCGGAAAAAUCUGGUCUUAUUCUUGUAGUGAUUUGCGACAUUUUUGCUGAUUAAGAUCGUUAAUAGUUGUCAUUAACACCUAACUCGUGAUUUUUUGAGGUAACGAAGUUCUGAAAGCAAGAGACAGAUUAUGGUGGGAAAAGCAUGGGGGAUUAGGGAAAAGCCAGGGAUUUAGACAGGAUUUGCAUCUUUAUUUAGGCAAAGGCCAGAUCAGAAUUUUGCUAAAUUAUUUGCGCUUUUUUCUCAGACGUUUUGUGGAUGCUGUCUGUGAUAGGUCCCGAAAGAAAAUGCGGCCAGAUAAGUCCAGUUUCAAAACAAUGCAACAAGAUAUUUGAUUGGUUGCAGCGGCGGGGUUAGAUCGAGGUUAGGGAGGGUAAUCUAUUUUGUUUUAAAUCUUUCUUAUCACCUCUCUCAUUUUACCAUCUGACCCAAUCUUCCCUUUUAUAAUAAUAUUGAAACACCUACAUGAUAAUUACUUUUUUUUUUUUUACAAUAGACAGCAAAGUUUUUAGGUUCAUUUAUUAAAAUUCCUUUUUUUUAAAUUUUCAACUAAUAUUUGGUUUCCUUUGGGACAUGUCAUUAUUUUUAAAGUAAGUGAUAAUUGUAGACUUCAAGAACUAAGGGAGCAAAAUAAAAGAAUAUAGGACUAUUUUUGAAAAGUGUAUGUAGUUUUUGGACAAUAUUAAAGCAAACAAUGAGAAUUCUUCAAAGUUGAGGAGGGGUAAUCGCUUAUCUUCAUUUGAAUCUGACUCCCCAGUGAUUGGCUGUAUAUUUAAUGCUCUCAGCGUUACAUUAUGCAUGAUAUAGAAAAGAAGUAAAAAGACUUGCACAAUUUAAAAUCAGUAAAAUAGAAUAGCGAUCUUCGCUCUUCCAACUCAAAUUUUGUUCAAAUUGACUAAUUUUUCAUUUGAGUAUGAAGUUGAUCAAAAUUUGAUAGUUUAAAUACUAAAUUGUGUUGCGGCAGAAAGUUUGAGAACUAAAUGUGUUUAUAGUCUAAAGUUUAGAGAUGAAAAUCGAUAUUUUCCAACAAAAUGAAAGCUGGAAUGAGGAUAAUGGUUAGUAGGACAACGUUUUUGUAAUAAAGAAUUUACUUUUAGGCACUAGCACUAGUUAAAACAAUUUAUUUAGGGUUAAUUCCACUUUGUCCCCCCAAACUUUGGACGAUUAUCCACUUAAGUUCCUAAACUUCAAAAUGGGACACUUAAGUCCCUAAACUUAUAAAUACCUCCCACUUAAGGAAAAUUGUUAACAAAUCCUGAAUGCUGUUGGUGGUCGAAGUGUCCCAUUUUAUAAGGGUUUAGGGAUUUAAGUGUCCCAUUUUAUAAGUUCAGGGAUUUAAGUGGGAGGUAUUUAUAAGUUUAGGGACUUAAGUGUCCCAUUUUGAAGUUUAGGGACUUAAGUGGAUAAUCGUCCAAAGUUUGGGGGACAAAGUGGAAUUAACCAUUUAUUUAUUGUAUGAUGCAAAUGUUUACCUGUAUCAUAACAGGUCGAAACCAUAAAGUUGAUGUCGAAGACACGAAUUGUAAUACAUCUAAAUCUAAGCAUGCGAUAUAAAAUAACUAUAAAUCUUUAAGGGGACAAAAAUCUUAAAUUAAAAAAAAUUUCAAUUAUCUAUUUGAAAGAAAACAAAUUAUCAAGAACUUGGGUCUCAAUCCUCCCUAUGUCGACCCUUGAUUGUCACCCUAAGGCAUCAUCACCUUCUACAAAUCCAAAUUUUUUUUUGUAAAUUUCAAGUAUACGUGACUUUUCAGCCUUCAUAUUUUUUGCUUUUAGGAGCCAAUAUUGACGGUUUGCCAUAUCUGAACAUAUUAUCACCCCCCAACAAAAAAAAAGGCUUAAUCGUAGAAUACUACUUUUUUUUUUUUUUCAUUUGAUUUUUGCGACUCACACUAGUCUCCACCUACCCAGACUGAAACGAUUUUUUGUUCUCCAAGCUUUCCGCGAAGACGCGUAUAAAACCAAAAAAGAAAAACGUGAUGGGACACGACAACAAUAUGACAAUAUCCAUUAUCCACUCGUAUUGCUAGACCAGAAAGAUACCAGCACGUCGCGCUAUUAUAAUAUUGUUUGUCAAUUAUUUCAGCUUUCUUCAUUUCUCUGGGCUAUGUUCCCACUGAUUGAAUACGAUAGAAGGCCACUGGCCAUUUGGUCCGGUGGUCAUCCAUUUCUUUGGGAUGCUGGAGGUCAGGGGUUCAACCCCUGCCUCCCACAAUUUACCACCUUACGUGGCUGGUCUUUACUCCCACGGGGUAGCUCGAGUGGUUCGCUCCCCCUCCUUAGGGUAUGGCGACCUUUCUGGCUUGUUCAGAGCUCGAGUCCCGCUGUUAACGUGUUCGGUGUGGAGUGCGGCCUCCUCUCCCAGACAACAGGAGAUUAGUCGGGCCCCGUAAGGAUUGACCCGGACACCCCUGUAUCGACAAAAAAAAAAAAAAAAAGAAUACGAUAGAAGGCUGUGGGUUGAAGCCCCAGUUCUAAUAAGAGAAGAAAAAGAACAACUAAUUACCAAAUGUAAUUAAUCGUAAAUUUUGUCCUAAAAGUUUUGAAAUAAAAUGAUUACUAAAAAAUUUUGAGUAUUAAUCGAGUUAUAUAGACAGGAAUAAUAUAAUGACAAAAAUUUAGAGAUUAUUAGGUCUAUUUUAUGCUGGUCAGAGACCACAAAGAAGACUCCAUCCAUACUCAGUCCAGACUCCAGACGUGGCUUUGGACCUAUUUCUUCUGCACCAUUUGUUCAGCCCUAAAAAUCUGAAACAACUCAUUGAUUGAUUAUAAUAUUCUCUUGUCAAAAUUGUCGACCAGAGCCGAUGUUAUGUUCCUUGGACCCCUCUUAAGUUUGACCUCACUCCUGAUUUUGCCUGUGGCGACUUUUCUAUCACAUGGAACCAUUCAAUUUGCUGUUGCCAUUUCAUACUCCCCAUUCAUUCGUCUACACGUCCUAUAUAAAGCAUUCCAUGGAUCUCAAGAACACAGCUGAGAGGCCAGACAUAUUACAACAAUCAUUUUAUCUGUUGAUUGUUUCUGAAUCUUCAUGUCCAUGGCUUUCUUGAAUUUCAUGAAUUGCUUCAGGGAGUCGUCAGAAGAGUCCAGGCGAUUUGUAUGUAAUGGUGAUGUUUGUAUCUUGCGUGAUCCCAAGGCUUCAUCAUCAUCUUCCCCGGGCCUCUAUCUGAAGAACAAGAAGCGACAAGAAGUCCCUCGUGGACGAGCUCGAGCUUCUGUUGCCCGAUUUUCUUUUCGAAAAGAAAAGCACGAUUAGCUCAGCGUAAUGGUAUUGAUCUUUCUUCAUGUAAAAUUUUCAAUAAUGGCUCCUCACAAGCCUCCAGUAUUACUUUUUGUAUAGAACAGAACACCACCACCACAAGAAAAGAGAGAAGCUUUUUUUUUCCGUAGGUUUUUUCAAGAGCUUCUUACAAGAAACAAUCUGAAUAUGUAUUGCUAAUGCAGUAAUGCUUUGUUGCAACAAGGAUUCGUGCUGUCAUUUUCAGGACCGGGGAUCUGAUUGGAUUACCCCAGUCCUGUAAUUUCGUCCGUAAUAUUUUGUCUGGCUUUAAACCCUUUAGCGCGUAUAGCCUUUCGGCUUGGAUUCAUUGGAUGGCUAUUGAGAAGACUCUUUUUUUUUUUUUUUCGCAACGGUAGAAUUUUUAUAAUCUAAUCUAGUUUAAUCUAGAGGAAGGAGAUUCGAUGUAAGUUUCGCAACAGUAGAAUUUUUAUAAUCUAAUCUAGUUUAAUAUAGAGGAGGGAGAUUCGAUGUAAGUAGAAACUGAGGACCAAUGUGAGGAGACUCGUCCGAGGAGAAUGUUAGAUUGCGAAGGCAUUUAGAUGUCAAGCAAGAAUACAACAACAGCUCCUCUGACCAUUGAGCUAUUCCCGAUUUUUUUGAUGUAGAAAUGAAAUCGUUCCCUUGACUCUGUUAAAGCGAUCUCUUCUUUUCUCGUCCAUCCAUGCAGAUUAAUGUCUGAUUUAUGUCAUUAUUGAUCAAGAGUGCAUGGAAAUUAAAAUGACAUCACAAUCGGUGGCGGGUAAGAGAACCAAGGAAAGAACACACAUAUUAGACUUCAAAAUAGUGCGACUAAAAAAGAUCCUAAGAGAUUCCUAACAAUUAUAAUCAUCACGAAAUGACGCACUAAUAAAGAUGAAGUGCAAGUGCAAGAAUAAAUAGCUCUUUUUCAUUCCCCAAGGGUGAUUGUUUGCGAUGUACACAGCCAAACAGCCAACUCCGCAGAGGAUAAAGGUAUGCUACCACAAAAUAAUCAUGAUGCCCAAAUCACAAUAAUAAAGUAGUAAUCUUCCUUGAAGAAAGCCUGUACCAAAUUUACAAGAAACGACCUCAUUUUUCUGUGUCUAAAUCACUGAAUCGGGAUAUGACGAACAGUUAAUUAUUACAACCGACCUCUCCUCCAGGCCUUCAGCUAGCCGAUAUCACAUAAAUACAGCCGUUGCAGAUCAACAAACCUCAAAUCAUAAAUUAUCGAGGCCGCUUAGACCAAUUUUUCCAAUGCAGUCGACCACCGUACUUAAUACCUACUCAUAAAACCUAAUCUAAUGCACCGAGGUCCUCCUCUCUUCCGAGCAAACAAGCCCAGUAGAAAAUCAUAUCAGAUAUCCUCCAUAUCCAUCUUAUACAUUUCAAUCCACCACAACAUUUUGGAAACUAAGCUUGCCAUGAUGUCAUCCAACUAACAAUUUGGUAUCCAAGUUUCAAGAAAGUACACCACCUCUUUUAGGAUCGUAAACCAACAUAAGUUCUGAAGUUUUCCUAUUGCUUCAAAAUUGUAUGCCAGCCUUAAAGCUGCAAUGCCAGGUCUGGCUGCUGAGAAUCAACCAGAACACUUGAAGCUGGUCUACCAGGAGACCCUGAUGACUGGAAACUAACAUUCAAGUCUGGAGGCAGUGAUUCCUGUUUCUGCAUUGGCUGCCAUUGUGGACUAAUAGGCUGCCAUGGAGACUGCACCUGGAACCUAGACAAGUCAGCAGUCACUAAUUGAGGAUAAACCAUUGGUUGAUUAUGGAACUGCACAUCACUGCCUAUUCUAGUAGGUUGAGGCACAAAGGGAUGAAAUGGAAAAUUGUUCUUGUCAGGCUGCAAAUGCAUCGCAUAUGGUGGAGGGUCCCCACGAAAUCUUGAAACCUGGGACUGAAGAUCACGAGCAGGGUUAUACAAUGAAUCAGCAGAUAUCUGGUUCUUAUGGAGGCCUGUGUUUUCCCCAGCUGGUCUAAAUCCUCCAGCCCCUAUAGACAUCCAUGCACGAGCAGCAGCUGCAGCAGCAUUGCCUGAAUCUUCUUUUCUCAAUGGAAGAGCUGGAGACAAAACUGGACCACUGUCAACUGGGGACUGAUUAGAUGACUUUUGUUGAUUUUGAGCCUUCUCAGUUAACAUUUUCAUCAACAGGACUGGAUCUGUUAAACCCUGAUCCUGUGCAUGAGGAAAAUAUGUCGCCCCUUUGGCCAAGUCAGAUGCCGAACUAGACUUUUUAUUGCUAUCUAUAUUAUUUACUUUUCCAUUGGGCAGUCCACCAACAGCCACUCCAUUAAGAUUUGAUUGUUUAAAAGAUCCAGAGAGGCAAGAGACUUUUGUUCUUCGAACCAUGUCCUUCGACUUGAACCUGGUAUAUCAGAACUAUUCAAAAUCUGCCUCUCUACAACAAAAUCAGCAGCAGUUUGACUGCCUGAGGGUGGACCAUUCAGUUCAACCUCCUUCAGAAACCUUUUCUCAGGCUCAGUGAAAUUUCUUGGUUGUGAAUUUUGCUGCUGAAAACCAGAAGAAGCUGAAAAAGUAGUUUUGUUUGCAGAACCAAAAAAAGAUCUCCCCUCCAAAACCCUAACAGCUUGCUCUUUAGCCGGAAGUGAGAUACUGGGGCUAGAACAGGCAGUUGGUUUAAUUACUGUAGAACCAAAAAAUGCUGAUUUCCUCUGCACAGUGGAGUCCUUGUAAGAAGGUGCUGCUUUCACCAAUUUGUCCACACAAGGUUCAGUAACAAUGUUCUCCCUGGAAGAAACAGGUUUCGUUGGCAUUUUCUCCUGCUUUCUAGUGACAACUGUCUGUUCAAUCUUGGUAAAAAAGGGUGGUUCCUUAAGAGUGCAAUUUUCAAGCAUUAGCACAGGUGUUGGAAGUGGCUCAUAUUCUCCAACCCACCCACGACCAAAUUUGGAUCCUGAAGGCAGAGCCUGCUCAAUUCUCUUGGAAGCGAUUCUCCAAGCAACAGGUCCAAGAGUUGCUGCAAAUCUGGCCAGGCUCCUAGCAUAAGAAUGAUCCGCAUAAAGACCCACCUGAAUCAGGAAAUCACUGAAUCCAUGAGCUAAAAGGUCAUCAGUAGAAUAAGAUGUCAAUUUACGCAACGUACAGAAACUAGCUGCUUGCUUUCUCCAUCAAAAGUUGAAAAUACAGAAUCGAAGCUGGCAACAGGCUGAGUAGACAAGUUAUAAGUUGCACGACGAUUCUCAUCAUUCAAUGAUUGUUUUCUCUCAAUCUUAGCCAGAGGUCGCUUCCCUGCAAAGACAAGUGAAGCAAUCAGGAAGGCUACCCACAAGCAAACUUGGUAGAGAAUAGAACUUCUUGUCCCAUAGAAGAAAAGAUUGACUAAUGAUUUUCACCUUGACAAACAAUCAAACUACACGACACUAAAUGAUUAGACAGAUAUAACAGUGUUCACUGCCAAUCCUUACUAUCAGAUCACUUGCCCAGAUUUUAAUGCCAAUGGAAUUUUAAAACAUAGAGAAAAGAGAAUUUGCUCGGAUACCCGGCAGCAAUUCUUCUGCUUUGUCUAUGCUGUUGUCAAUGACAGGUGGAACCUCAAGCCUAUCAACACUGCUAGCCCUCUCAGAUCCACCAACCUGAGCUGCACUUGAACCAUUUUGAAUAUCUCCAUUGGUUGCAAGUGUGGCACCAGAUGAGAAAUCAGACCCCACAGGGUCCUGCAAUGUCCGGCUGAUUGGCUUCCUUAUUUGCUUCUUAACAACAGAGUUUAAUCUUGUCUUCUGGUCUGAUUUGAGUUCGUCCGACCGUUCAAUGCCAAGUCUUAUUUUCUGAAAUUUCCUUUUUGCCAGCUCUUGGAUGGCGCGAGCCUUUCAAAAUAAAUAGGCAGUAUAUUAACGAAUUGCUCCCAGAAUGGAAAAAAAAGGGGGAUGGGGUUGCACAUGGUGCACAGAGAAGUGGUUAAAUAAAACCCAAAUUCCUAACCUGUUUAUGAUAUAUGGUAUCUGGUCCAUUGUAUUGCAUCGCAUUCGAGCUAAUAAGGAAAACAUCACUCUGCAGAGGAAAAAACAACUAAGAAACUGCAUAACAGUAAGAGGCAGCAGCUUAAAGGUUAAGUGGAGGAAAACAAGUCUAAAUGAAAAGAAUAUCAAAUUUUGUUCUUCCUUUUCGCAUUUUCAAUCAAAAUUGAGUGAAACAGGUGUCUCUAAUGCUUGAAGCUUGAAAAAAGAUACCCUGAUUCAACAACAAAAUUGUUUAAUAGUUACCAACAUUUUUUUAUUAAAAAAAAAGCAUGAUAUUCUAUCUUCCCCCAAAACCAGUUCAAAGAAUUCAUCCAGACAAGCAAGACAAAUUUAUCCCUAGCAUAUUAGAGCCAAGUGUUUCAAGCGCAGAACAACCCAACUCUCCAACCGGUAUAUUCCAGGGGGGUGAACCGAAUCUAUAAAAGACACCGCAGAAUCCAAAUGGGUAUUCCUUGAAAAGAAGUAAAGCUCAUCGCUGCAACAGGUCAUUGCAGCAUUAACCAAAAUGUCAUUCUAGAAGGUUAACAACUCUACAAAAUUGGAUGUUAAUGAUGCAAGCUGUGCAGCUUAGGAAUGCGGAUAACGUAAGCAAUAUCACAAAUAUUCUCUUGAGAUCUGAAAUGAGAGACUCUGACAAUCAGAAUUGCCACCAAGCAUCUAAGUGUCAAUCCCUGCAGAGGAUUUUUCCUAUACUUCACCUUAAACCUAUAGAAAACCUAGCUAGUAUAUUAAUGGCCAUAAUAUACUCUAGAAUCCCAUAGAUGAUCUAAAAACUCAGACUUGAAUAUCUCAAAGAGUUAGAUCAUAAUACCAAUAACAUUAACCAAUUAUAUAUAUCGCAAUGCUUUAUACUGCUUUUUUUAUUAACUUGAUACUGCUUUUACGAAGAACAGUUAAAGAUUGAUUGUCCACCAGCCGGUUUCUUGGCAGAACAGAUAAAAAUUAAGAUCAUGUCUCCAUAACACCCUUUACUUCAUUGGAUCAGAAAGGUUUUACUAUUCAUUCUCAAGUCUGUAGUAGCACCUAUAUUCUUUAUGUCCUCUUAUAACAAUACCGUAUAGGCAGCAUCACUUGUGUGCCAAUUUGAUUGAUCAUGAUCUAGCAGAAGUCAAACAUUUUAUGAUAUUUUUCAAUAUGAACAGAACAAUCUUAGCAUCUCACGGCAGUUGUAAUCAAUCCAAAAGCACCAGGUUCGGUUGCAUCAUCGAUUGAAAUGUCUUUCAGGUGCUGUACAGAAGCAAGUUGUUAUCUGUUCCCCACAAGUUGAAUUAGGGCAAUGAGCAUCCGUAUUUUGAGAUUUGGCAAUUCACCAAUGAGACAGAUACUAUUCACUCAAUUCAAAGCCCUAUAACGGCCGACGUUCCAACAUGAUACAACCACAAACAACUCUUCCCUAUUUCCAUUUACAUAUUAACCCCUUAUAUAACUGCCUGAGCUCAUGACGUCUCAUGUACCAAUUGGAGAGGUUAUGCUCAAAAGAAGAAGAAGAAGAAGAAGAGUAGAAAAAAAUCUGAGCAGAAUUACGAAAAGCACCUCAAAUUGUUCCAAGUUUGCAUAUGAUCCAUUUCCCAGCUUGUUCCUCGCGGUGGUAAAGUCCAUAGGAUGCUCAAUAACUUCAUGGUAAUCAGGUAACUAGAGAAGAGAAAAUAACAAACAAAAUAAGAAUCUUCAUCAUUUAAACACUGCCUAAGAUUACCAUAAGAGAACGCAUACUGAAAACGGCCAACCUCCUCAGGAUCAGCAGGCUCUGCGUAAACACCAUAAAUGUCCUUCCUGGCAUCAUAAAAACAGAAACAAUUAAAGCCCAAAUCACCUUAUUACCACAAACCAACAAAAAUAACCGUCUAAACAGAAACAGAACAACAGAUUACACCUACUUUUGAAGCUUGUCAAGAAUUAAUUCCAACGUCUUCUUUUCUGGCAAUGGCAACCCAGAAGGAGCUUCAGUAGGCGUCCCUGAUUGAACAGAAGUAAUCAUUUCAUCAUCAAAUUUUUCACAGGGUGACACCAAAAAUCAUGCCUGACCCACGAAUCAAAAUUCAAAACCCACCUGGAGCAGAGUCCUCCACCCCUUUCGGCUCAUCAGCUUUUCCACCACCUUUAACAACCUGUCAAAAUCAAACAACAGAAACCCCUCAAACCACAAUAAAACAAAACAUCAACAGGCUCAAACAUAAAUAAAUGCUCCCUCUGCUCAAUACUACGAACCAAAAAGUCGGCGUCUUUCAGACGGGGACAGAAAACAAAGCAGCAGACAGACAGAGAGAGAAAAGGAAGUACGUACUAAUCCAUGUGUUUUUGUGUGCAAGAAAAAUUGUAUGGAAGCAGAGAGAGAGAAAGACAAGUAGAUAUAGAAAGAGAGAGAGAGGUGGGAGCGUGAUCAGAUUCUGUGGGGGUUAGUUUUUGACAGUUGACCCGACCGUUACUCUUCCAACCCAAUCUCUCCCGACAUUGAUACUACUCACCUAUACAUACACAAUUUCACAUAUAUAUAUAAUUCUAGAGAGAGAGAAAGUAGUGAGCUGAUAGGAGUGAUUUACAAGUCUGGACCAAUUAGAAAAAUCUCAGCUGAACUUCCUCCCCACCUCAGCUGAGCUGGACAACCCUAUGCUCAUUUUCUCUCUCCCCAUGCAAAUUGCUUACAACAUCCAUCGUUGAACAUUCAUUCUAGCUUUGUUCUUCUACUUAGCUACAAUUUUUCUGAAUUUUGAUUUUUUUUGGCUGCAAUCAGAUCCAUAUCGAUUUGAUUUUACUUUUUGUUUCCGGUUUUUCUAUACCUCAUCAUCCUCAACAUUUUCAUUAUCGUCAUCAUCCACGUCAUCAUUUUCAUCUUCCUCAUCUACCUCUGCCUCGGCUUCAGCUUCUUCAUUGACGCCUUGGCGGCUGCGGCCGCGAGCGAGGCUGUCGCUCAUUUUCCUCUUCUUCGACGGCUUAUUAUAACUCCCAUCACCGGCGAGGUCCGACGACGACUGAGAAGCUGCAGGCGCGUGUGACGCACGCCGAGUCUCACUCGGAGUCGACUCAGUGGUGGUGGUUUCUCUGCUAGUCUGGAGCUUAAGAAGGAGCUUGAGCUUCUUCUCCCGCCGCCGCUCGUCUUCCUCAUCAUCGAAGCCCUCGAAUAACUCGUCGUCGUCGAGGUAAUCAUCGAAAUCGAAGGUGUACCUCACGUUCCGUUGACGGUGACUCUCCGAAGCUCACGCUCCGGCGCCGAUGCAUCCUCACCUACGCUGCGUCGUUUAGCGAGAUCUGCCUUGGAUGGUCUCCCUUUCUUCUUCCUCUUCACGAUCUGCCCCAUCUUUGUCAUGCGCCUCUUAGUCUCUCUCUAGAAAACACGCACUACGCACACUCACUCAGUGUCUUUCUCUCUCUUCCUCUCUUCCUUUCUCUCUCUACUAUUUCUUUUCUCUCUCUUCUUUUACUCCAUUAUUUAUCUGGCGCUCUGCUUUGGCUUCUUUUCUUUGGGGGUCGCUUUUGAGCUCCGAGCCUAGCUCUGAAUCUCAGGCUUGGAGGCUCGGGGGUUUUGAAUAUAUGACAUGAUUGCCUCAGCUUUGUAGAGAGAGAAACGGCGUUACUGGGUGAGAAAGACGGCGUUAGGUACUGCCGCGGUGUGCCCGAAGUGCUUGCGUGUCCACUGGUCUGCCCGUUAUUGCGUCAAGCUAGACUGUCAUUGCUAUAUUUCCGGAGAUACUUGUUGGCAGGGUGCAGCGCGUGCUGUCACGUCACAGUAGUUCUCCUGGAAAUAUCCUGAGGCAACGGUGAUCAUUUGCGCGUGAACUUCACUGUGUUAUUAAGACGCUGACUAUAAGUGAUUUGUAAUACAGCAAAUCUGCUUUUUUUUCUUUUUUUUCUUUUUCUGCCGAACAACGCAGUACCUUCUUCACUGGGAUACGUCCAAAUAAGAAAAUGGAGACUACAGUAAUUUCUUUGACUUAUGGCCAUGAUAGAGUUUUACUCCAGAAAUAUUUUUUAAAAAGGGAAAAGAGUAAUUAUUCUUCUGAGAAUUUGAGAUAUUUUUACUGUAUCACUUUUUAUGAUAUGAUGUAUGUGACAUAAAAAAGUAAUUAAAAAAAUAAAUAGGUAUAUUAGAAAUGGUAAUGAUAAUGUAAGCAAAUAAAUUUUAGCAAAUAAUCUGCUGUCCAAACAUUACUAUUUACACAUUAUCUACACCUUAUUUAUAUUUACUUGUAUCAUCAACCAAAUUUUUCAAUUAUCUUUUUAUUUCACAUACAUCAUAAAAAAAGUGCUAUAGUAUUUUUUUCACAACAUUGUUUCAAAUAAUCUACUAUCAUUUGGAAAGGUCGAGAACUGAGGUCCAAACUCGAAUCUCUUGUCUUGAAACUUCACGAUUCGGUACGAAAAAGGUAACAUAAAAUAUGUGUUCUUCUAUAAUUUUGGAGUAUAAGCAUUUGCUAAUGUCGAAAAGCAUUGGUUGGAUCAAAAACAUAUACUAAUUCCUUUUAAUGGUAGGGAAAUGGCAGGAUUUAUAAGCAUUAAUUGGAUUAAAAACAUAAGAGAAUGAUGAAAUUUAAGAAACCGAGAGAAUAUGGGAGAUUCAAAACCACAAAUGCUAAUUCUCGGAAUUUCAACUUUAGCCACUAAAUCCUUUGAACCAAAGUUUAAUCACGUAGAUUGAAAAUGUAAAGAAAAAUAAUCCAAAACGUCCAUAACAUUUCGUCAAAUGAAUUUUUUCAUCAUUUACUUUUAAAUUUAUAACUUUACGUCCCUUACAAAAUCAAUAUAAUAAAAUUCAAUCCUAACUUAAGUUUCCAACUGCUUUUUAUUUUGAAUCCAUCGCGUGAUCCUAUACAUGAUCAUUUUUUAGUGGCAAAAAAGGUUGGAUUCCAUUUACAAUAAAACAAAUGAUCCGAUCCAUAUUCAUUUUUAUCAUAAAAAAUAAGAUAUAACUCGAAUCUUAUUUAUUUAUUUUUCUAAAAAAAGUGAGAUCGAACCUAAUCUAUAUUCAUUUUUGUCAUAAAAAAAAUAGGAUUUGACAUGUUUUUACAUAAAAAUGAUUGUAUAUUGGUCGCAUGGUGAUUUAAAGUUAAAAGGUGGUUUAAAACUUAUAUUGGAACCAAAUUUUAUUAAUUUGAAUUUAUAAAGGAUUUAAAUUAAUGUUUUAAAAGUGAAUGACAAAAAAAUUCAUUUGAUGAAGUGCGAUGACGUUUUGAACAAUUUUUUCCAAAAUAUAAUGUUACAAUUAUUGAUAUUUCUUAUCUAAAACAGUUUAUUUUACUUAUGAUGCAUAGAAAUUGAAUUAUGCUUGUCAAAAGGCCAACUGCGUUUCACGUACUAUUUGUCCAUUUAGCAGUGUAUUAUCUUUGAGGUUCUUUCCACUCGACGAGUGAGGAUCAAAACUAUCAUUUGAGAUCUGGCGUUAAUUGUUGAUGCAAUAAUUUACAUGCAAUUCAUCGACGAGCGGUAGUAAUUCAUCAUCAUGAUUGGAAUUGGCAGUACGCCUACGUGUGAUGCGUUCAAUAAAUAUUAUUGUCACGAAAAAUUAAAUCCACUUUUCAAGCUCUGCUGAAUCAUAUGGUACUACUACUAAACUGAUUGGUGGCGACAACUAAUUUGAUUGGUUACUCUCAAUUUUCAAAUCGACACAAUAAUGGUUCAGUACAGAGUCUGUGGAAUCUACAUUUCAAACUGGAAAUGCCUCCAAUAAUUUUUUUUAGCAACAAAGUACUUUUUUCUCUAAUUUUUUUUUUUCGUUCAACAACAAAGGGUGAAACUUAAGAAGUGGAGAUGAGAAGAUUUGAACCUCCUGAGGCCUGUAAUUUCUGGGUAUGAAACUGGCAAAAAGUCUCUCUGCCCUGAAUCGUUCUUCUUCGGCUAAUAAGUAAGUGUUUUUGGCUGUUGUGGGAAUUCACCCAAAACAAAUAGAACCGGCUGGUGACUGUACAGCCAUGCCUAAUUUGCGAGUCCUUCCCAGUCAUACCAAACCAGCAAGACGAGUCAUUUAUUUCCUUCUUUAACUAUUUCGUCUUCAUUCAUUCAAGUCACUCGCAUGAUAACAUACUUUUUUGUUUGCUUCAUUUACUCCUGAGUCCUGAAAAAGCGUUGUUGCGGUGGGUAGUAUAUUCAUGUGUUUUAGCACUUUGCAGUAUUGUUUGAACAUCUGCUUUGGUCCCUCAUAAAGAAGAAGAAUGUGUCGUGUAUUGGAUUAUUUUAUGUGUUUGUUGCUGAUUACAAACUGGAAGGAAGAAUCAAGCAGUGUGGACGACUCUGCAAUCUGCAUCUCCAGUACAACAUAUCUGACCUAUCUAUCCACAUUCUGUAGAUCAUAUUUCCUAGUUAUCAUCCAGAUGUUCAUUGUUAUACCUUCAUUUGUUAUUAGGAGUAUAAUUUACCAUCUCACUAUGGCCACGAGUAUUUUCCAGGCAUGGUCGCCUUCCACGCCACUUAUCUUUUGAACAUAAAAACAAAAGCUUCUCCAUUCGAUUUCUGUAGUUUAUCUGUCAAGAGAAAAGUUAUAGCUAACAAAUUGAGCAAUGAUGCAACAAGAUCAUGUUCACCUAAUUGAAUGGAGGAUCCUUAUGCAAUAUAGUAGUAGUUUUUUUUUUUUGCACUUAGGGGGUGUAUGAGCCUUUUUAUGGCCAGACUAAUCACCCUAAGGCCAGCAGAGCCCUGCCCAAGAAUGCCAGUAAUUUUAUCACAACGAGAGUCGAACAUGGAACCAUACCGUAAAGACGGACUUACUAGUCCCGCCGAGCUACCCGUGGGGCUAAUAGUAGUUAAUAAGCGUUAUAACUUAUGGUACUAACUGCACAACUAGUACGUUUUUGCUAGCGUGCAAAUCUUAUCUGUAUCACCACCAAGAAAAAAAAAGUCAAGGAAAACAUUUCAGAUCAUCUAAUUGAGGAAAACAUUUAACCUGUAUCUGCUCUAUUGAUGAUAUCAAUCAUCAUAUACGAAUUAUUGAAUAAAGCCAAUAAACAGUGCAUAUGCAAAUUGAUUAAAAUUUGAGUAGCAGGCGGCUCACCUGUUGUUAAAAUAGGAAUGGCAACGGGACAAGGAUUGUCCAAACAUUCCCGCGGCUCCGCCUUCCCAACCCCACUUUCUCCGCGGACUAACAGAGUAAAUGUAUAAUUAGUAAAAAGUGUAAUUAGUAAUUUAAUAUAAUUAUAUUAGUAUAAGUGAUCAAUAAUUUAUAUUAAUAUAAAUGUAUAACUAUUAAUAUAAUUAAUAGUAUUAAUUAUGUUAACUAUACAUAAUCUGAUACUUAUAAUCAAUAAUAUAAUUAUUAUAACUAAUGAUAUUAAAUAUAUUAUAUAUAUGUGACUAUAAUAUAUAUUUUUUUUUAAAUGAGUGAUGGGGCAAGGAUAUACUCCCCUAUCCCCGGGUUCCUGAGGGGGAGAAAAUGAUUCCCGUCUCGCCCCAUUAACCCCGUCCUAAUUGUCAUUCUUAGUCAAAAAGUUUUAGGGUGAAAUAUUUAUCAACUUCUCAUCUUUUAAUCAUCUUUUUAACCCUCAAAUAUCUCAAACUGGGCAUAAUUGUUAUACUAACUUCAUGAAUUUUAAAUCGAAAAGUAAGAUCUAAACUUUUUCGAGCUUGCCUAAAAAAAAGGAAACAGAAAUUAGGAUGAUUGAGGCAAAAAGGCUUUUUUUUGGGCACAAUACACUUUACUCCCUUGUGGGGUGUUAUUUAUUGCAAGAUCUAAACUAGAGGGGAGUUAUAUAUAAAAGAACUAAAUUAUAGGGGUUAAAGUGUAAUUUAUUCAAAAAAUAGUUUUCCCAUUUUAAAUUCGAGUUGUUAGUGGAAGCAGUCAAUCUUCAGUCUCCAGUCCAAAAAUGGAGAAGCUGAGGAGACUGGUGAUUCAAAUAGCCAGCAGUCCGCCAUCCCAGAGAUUCUCUGCUCUCUCUCCACUCCAGCUUUCUCUCAUUCCCCUACUCUCCAUCGCUUCCUCCAUCUACAACCUCGCUCUUCUCAUCCGACACCGCCUCUACUAUCUGGGAAUUUUCCACAAAUGCAGGUAUUGAAAAAGAACCCCCGCCGGGAGGGGGGGGGGAGGAAGAAAAAUCUACUAAGCAAUGAAAGGAAGUUUUAGUCUGUACCCUUUUAACGUAAAGCAUUUUUCUCGAAGAGAAUCUCAAAUAGGCAAAGUUUCAAUUUUUAUCAUCUUUUACCCUUGAUUCUCCCUUGAGAACCCUGAUAAUUGUACUAGGUGUUUUUUGUUGCUUCUUUACGGAACUUCUGAUUUCUUGAUACAGUUUUACUUUUGUUGGUUGUGAACUUUAAGGUUGCCAGUGCCAGUUUUUAGUGUUGGAAAUUUGACAUGGGGAGGAAAUGGGAAGACUCCAAUGGCUGAGUUCGUUGCUCGGUGGUUGAUCGAUUCUGGGAUUUCACCGCUUAUUCUGACAAGGGUACUCAAUCGACUUCCUUCUUUUUCUUUUUCUUUUUUAUUUUUGUGGCAAGAACGCAUUUGCAAGAUGGAAUUUUGAGUGAACUAAAGCUUUUCUGUUAUUUGUAUGUUGUUUUUUGCUCGGUCCUUUGGGUCUUGCUAUAUGAAAUUGUUGACUUGUAUGGAGUGGUAAAAAAUUUGAUGCUUCAGUUUUUUAAGGUUUAGUAAUUAGACAAGUACGCAAUAAUAGAAGUUGUUUUGGCUGUUGAGAGAUAAUAGACAAACGUGUUGUUUUGGAUGUUUUAGUUGUUUUCUACUUUGAUUUGGAGUUUUCUAGUUCUUACUUCACCAUCAUUUGCAAUUAUUGAUAUUAAACGUUUUCUGCAAAUAAACACACACACAAUUAGCUAGUGCUAGAUUGAGUGGGACCCAUAGAUUAACGUGAAAACUAGUGAUGCCUGACCAAUGUUGUAAGCGAAUUCCUUUGAAGUUAUUUUGUUUGUUGGGCGUUAUUCUAAAUAUUUCUUAUCUCAUCAUUUCUGGAUUUCAUGAUAUUCGAGGUUUCUUUUUCUUUUCUUUAUGAGCAUGCAUUUGCUGCUAUGGAGGUGGGAGGGAUCAGGGAUCAGUACUUUUUCUUGGCUAGUCCAUAGGUGUAAAUGUAAAUAAACAUGGAGUAAGGCUUGUUGAGAAGGAAUAACUUCCUGCCUGUGGAAUUUAAUUUGCUUGCUUAUGUAUUUGCAUGAGGGUUCACUUUGCAGGGUUAUGGCGGUGGUGAUGAAGCCAAAAUGCUUCAACGACAUUUACAUGGGACAUCUGCUAAAGUUGGUGUUGGAGCUAACAGGGCUGCCACUGCUGCUAGUUUUCUUGAAAGACAUGGAUAUCUGAACUUUUCUGAUAGUACAUGCUCCACAAAAGCUUUCUUGAGCAAGAAAGCAAGGACUGAUUCUUUUUCAGACAAAAUUGGAGUGGCAAUAUUAGAUGAUGGAAUGCAGGUAUGAUGGCCCAAAGGACCUUCAUUAUUUUAGAUUACAUUCGGCAGCACGCAAUGCAGUAUCAUUUCUGAGAUUACUUAGUCCAGAUUAUAGGCCUUCUGCCAUUUAUGCAUUUCCACAUGAAAAAAAAAAUAGCUGUUUUCUAGUCACAAUUCUUGAAAUUGAAGUGGUGAUUAUCAGUUAGGACUUGUAUUUAUUGAUUGUUAAAUCGAAUGAUUGAAAGGCAGCAUUUGCAGCUGUGGCGUGACCUAGAGAUUCUUAUGGUGAAUGGGAUGAUGCCAUGGGGAAAUAUGGAGUUGAUUCCACUUGGACCAUUAAGGGAACCUCUUGCUGCACUUGGGAGAGCAGAUGUUGUUGUAAUCCAUCAUGCAGACUUGGUACAAGUUGUUUCUUCUCUGUUUUUCUCUUGUUUAGACUAACAUCAAUUCGCUUGUAAUUGUUCGAUGGCCACUUAGCGUAAGUUAUAGGAUAACAUACAUAAAUGAGUCUAAUGCAGGGGACUCAUACAGGUGGCUGAACAAAAUAUUGAAGCCAUUGAAUCAACAGUUUGGAAAGUCAGUGACUCUAUCCCCCAUAUUCCUGACACAAAUGGCACCUUCAUACUUCCUAAAAGCUGGCAACACUUCCUGUGUUUUAUCCCUGAGGGCAGUAUAUGAUAUGAUUGUCCUGUGUGUUUCUGCUAUUGGUUUUCCUGAGUCCUUUGUGCAGACAAUUCUGAAGGUAGUGUUUUUUUCAUGUCUUCUUUUUCAUUGUGAGUUCAAGAUCUUGUCAUAAUUAACUUUUAGCUUAUGUUAAUAUGCUUGUAUUAUAACAGAAGUUGAGGUCUACAUGAUUCCUUCAUUUUAUUAGUCCACCUGCAUUCCAGUUUCAAAUCUGAGAGGUAGUUUUGGUAUUGACAAUGGCAGAUGGGACCAAAGCAUGUUGAUCGAUUAGAUUUCAGUGAUCAUCAUUUGUUCCAAGCUAAGGUAAAUCUCCUUUUUGAAUUUUUCUUUUUCACUUGGUUUGACUAUCAUUGUCAAUUUUUUGGAGGACAAGAAUGAAAUUUCCUUUCCUUCGCUAUCCAGUUUCAAGAAAGUUCUUCUUGUUUUUUUAGUUCCUGAAGUUGAAUCAAAGAAUAUCUUCUCUCAUACUCACAAACUAGUUGAAUCAAAGAACAUCUUCUCUCAUGCUCGUAAACUAAACAAAGGGUCACAUAGUGAUCUCUUUUCAUUUUUCUCUCUCCUCUCUCUCUCUCUCUCUAAAAGUGGAAUUUGCCUUUAUUCUUUAAUUCUUUUCAUAUUAUAAGUUUGACUGUUGUUGCUUACCUCCUGGUGCUCUACUGCUGUAGGAUAUUACUAUCAUUAGAAGGAGACUUAAAGAACUUGAAUCUGCAUAUGGCAUGCAGCCAAUUGUUGUUGUGACUGAAAAGGUAAGCAGAUCUUUCAAAGCACAUUGUCUAUAGAGCCUAGUCUAUUGCUAAUUAUUUUAACAAACAUCAUAGAUCAAAGAAGCUGUCUUUGGAACAUUUCCUCCAUCUUUUCUUUUGCCUAGAGCUAGUAACUUGAUAUUAAUCUUCACCCACUCUUUCUUGUUUACAUUAGGCUUUGAAGAAAUGAAAGUAAUUUUGUGAACUUAACUGUGAUUUAGCAUAUUUGAACCAUGAAAUGGCUUCUUUUAACCCAUCAAACUGAUAUAUUGACCCUUUUGGAAUGAGCUUUCUUUUAACUUGCUACUUUUGAUGUUUGAUGUAAAUUGAAUAAGUUUCACUGAAUGGCGGUACUUUUCCUUUUCAAUUCUCUCCUUGGCAUAGGAUUAUGAUCGUGCUCCAGAUGUUCUGAAUCAUGUGAAUCCUUAUCAAGUAUUGGUGCUCUGUUCUAGCAUGCAAAUCCUACCUCGUGAAGGACGCACAGAAGAUAAUUUCAAGAAGUUCCUAAGAGAGCGCCUUAAAUCAUUGUCGGACUCGAAGAUUACUUGAAGCCUUGAACUUACAAGAAGGAGGGCCCAGGAGAGUCCCGUUGAUUAUUUUCGGACUCGAAGGUCACUUGGAAGUUGGAAGUCUUGAGCUUGUAAUAUGGAGGGAGAAUAAUUUUCUUUGGUCAUGAGAUUAUUUCUCGCAUACGAUUCAUGGUUCUUAUUCCUACAUGAGAUUCUUGAUCAGGCGUACGAUGUGGAUCUUGGGCUUUACUUCCUUCAGUUAUUACAUAUUAGGAACAAUAAUCGGAUGAAACUAUAAGCUACUCCGCUUUCUGUUCUUUUUUUUUUUUCCCAGAAACGAUAACUGUUAUAUAAUCUAAUCUAUCCUAUACAAGGAGUAGGGGGCGGAUCUAAGGAGGUCUAGGGGUAAUAUGGAGGAAACUGAAUUAUCAUCCGACCAAAUGGGUGUAUUACGCACUUAUCUGAAUUUUUUUAAACAAAGUCACUUUUAAUGUGCCCGACAAUGCUACAGUGCCUAUAGUUAUGGUAACGAUAUUAGAGAAACCUACUAUUACAGGUUUCUAUUACUUUAGUGACAGAUUCAAUUUUUUAGCGACUUUUGAAAUAUUAUAUUAAAAUAAUUAAUAUUAAAUUUAGUAAGUUUUUAAUUAAAACAAGUAAAUUUAUGCCUGAAAAAUAAGUUUUUGUCAGAAAUAGAAAUUUACACUUUGAGUAAUUUAAUUUACUUAUUAUUUGACGAAAAUUACUUAUUUUUGAAUUAAACUUACCAAUACUACAAGUAAAAAAUGUUCAUAUUUAAGUAAAAAAAUUACCAGUUUCUAAAAACGGUUUUGGGUUCCUGAAACACUUUCGGAUAUCAUCUUGUCAAAGUCAUCUCCCUCUUAUUACUUAGUUCUCAGUUCCAACAUACGAUUGAAGGCAAAGAUUUCCACUUUGGUCCACACUUUCUCUUGGUUACAAGCGAAUAAAUUUUCCCACUUCAAAUUUUCAUCUUCAGUUCCCACUUUCCCUCUAUCCUUUCUCAUCGAUAGAUUGUUUUUGGGUGCUGCCAAAUGCAGACACAACAAAAGGGUUUUUCGACGGUGGUAGCCAAUCAAAGAUAGCAGUGACGAGGUUAGCCCAUCAUGUCCUCUUGAAAUCGUUUGAUUAUAUUGCUGUAAUUUAUUUAUAUUUCAUUUGUUUUGUUUGUCAAGAUUUUCUUGCGAAAUCAAGGCUGAGAAUUUGAAGAUUUUAUUGCAAUUUUGGGGCUGAAAAUGUCCACUGAAACAUCUAGCCUUGAUUUGGUUGUAGUUUGGAUUGUCUACUGGUAAAACAUGCUUAAUAGCCAUAUGAAGCAUCUAGGACUUGACUAGGCGUUUAAGUUAAAUGUGAUUAAUUUGUGAAUGCAUAUAAGAUGUUUGGUGAAAUGUCAAAGAGAAAUCUGUGUGUUAUGAUUGCUACUCUGUGCUCUUCAGCAGCCAGAGAUGAGACCAGCUCUUAAAGAAAUCACCCUCGUCAGUUGACAACAGCGCUCAAGAUCACCCUUGGGAUUGGCUGAAAAUAGACCUACUUCUGUUGGAAACUAAAUAAUCAUAUUAGAGACAGUGAUUUCAUCUUCCUUGUACCUGCUUUCUUCCUCUUCUUCUUCUUCUGUUUUCCCCCCCUUUUGUCUUAUGGGUUUUUGUAGCUUUUCUUUUUUUUGUUGUUGUUGGGUUUAAUCAGAUGUACAUAUUUAGAUGAGAAGCACUAAUACUCUCUUUCCAGUCUUGUUUGUGGUGAUGGGAUGAGUGCAGCUUCAUCAGUUUCUUAUAAUAUAACUUGAAAUUUUGCAGAGAGGGAAAAGAUAUUAAUAUACCUCCUUCAAUUUUGCAUAAAGGGAUGUUUUCCUAUCUUCCUUUUUUGCUUGAUUCUGAAUUUUUUGCCUUUUUAAUUUCUGGUGUUCCAAUAUAUAUAUAUAUAUAUAUAUUUUUUUUUUAAGCUUUAAGUUCUUGAAUCUAAGGUUGUGAAUUUGCUGCGUCCUGAUUCUUCCUCCAACCGACAAAACAGAGGUCCUUGCUGUUUUCUUUGAUUUUAAUUUUUUUGUCCUUUAUUGUUGUGGCUGUUUUGCAAAACGUGGAAGUUAAGGCCCCCUCAAGGGUGGGUUUGGCCGGUGCAAUUCAAUACUAAGAAAUGAAAAUCAGUAGAAAUGACUUGCAGACAAUGACUACCUAUUUCCUGGAAAACGGUUUUGUCCUUUUUCUCUAGAUAUUUUUGAUCUUUCAUUUUGUAUUCCCACUUGAAAAAUGGAACACAUUAAUUGUUAGUUAUCAUAUUGUCUCUGGUUGGCUGCCCCUUAAAUUUUAAAAAUUAGAAGUCAUAAAUCAGACUUUGAUUUUUCUUUUCUAUUAAUUUUCGGUAUGUAUAAAAAUUACCGCAAUUAUUUUCUAUUAAAAUGUGCCUAAGUAUCCGUUGACAGCUUUGAUGAAUGAAUUCUGUACUUAUUUUCUAUUAAAAUAUGCAUAAGUAUCCGUUUGUAUAUCCUCUUUCCUUUCCUCUUGCUCUCAAUCCAGUGAUCGGUAAUGGGGUAGGUUGGUACUGAUUGAAAUAAUUUUCUCGCAAAAAGUCUUCAACCAGAAUUUUAAAAGGAAACCUAAGGUUUUGAUGUUGCAUUGGUCUUUCUUUUGUGUUUUAUACGCUCGAGUUGUUGAGGCCUCCCUCUUUCUAUCUCAGUCAAGCCAGAUUCUUUGCUCCUGCGUUGUAUGUUCUUGUUUCAGAAAGAGGGUUUAUCAGGUUGGGUAGUUUAGUUCAUGUUCUUGAUGCUAGAGGGAUGGAAUUGUUUUUCUUAUCAAAAUGGCAUGUUGUAGUUCCCUUUUCGUUCAUUGUUGUGCGAUAGAUUUAGGUGAUGAAUAGCCGAGAGCUACGGAAAGCUUGUAAAUGUGAUUUUGCAGAGAAAGGUCCUGCUGCAUUUUUUUUCUUUUGCUGAUUAGUUCCCUUUGUCCCUGACGGUCAGCUCAGAUUUUUGCUUUAAUCCUGCAACAAAAUGUAGCUUUUGAUUUAGUUGAUAAUUGAGAGUUAAGAUCCUGGUAGUUGGUGAACAUGUCUGCAUGCUGAAAUGGAAAGAAAGUUGCGGUAUGGAAACUUGCAGAACCUUGCGGAUAAGAAAUUGCAGAAGCAUAAGAAAGCUUCGUAACAUGCAUGCAACAAAUUUCAGAAAUUGCAUGUUUAACCCUCGAAUUUUGGCUUAAUGUUACUAAGGCCCAUAACAAUUAGGAAAAUACAAUCAAUUUUGUCCCUUCAAAAUCUGAAUUGUUGUUGGCAUGCCUUAAUAUGUUUUUUGGACAGAUUUUUCGUGAAUUUUAGGAUGAAAUAGGGAAGGUUUAAUAAUUUUGAAGAAUUUAUAGUUUUGAUUUUCAUUUGAUUAAUAUUUUAGCUAAUUUUGUCAUUUAAUCAUAAUAAAUCAGUUUCCAUUCAUCAUUUUGUGAAGUUUAGCAUUUGAUCUUGACAAUGCUACAGUGCCUAUAGUUAUGGUAACGAUAUUAGGUGUUAUACAAUACUCAGCAAAUCUUGAAGAUGUGUUGUGGAAGUGUUGUGACUGCUAUGCUAUACUAAUAGUCUGCAAUUUCCUUCUAAGAAAUAAGCAUGACAUUCACUUUCCCGUGGCAUUUUUUGCUCUGUUAACCAAGUACCUGUGUGUUUAGGUGCUUUGCUUGUCUCCAUAAAGCCUCUAGUUAUGAUGCUUGAAUUUUCACGCUUGGAAUCUGCAGGGGACAAAUGAAUGUCUGGGAUGGUAUAUUACAUGGGAUUGAAUCCCCCCCUUCUUUUUGGUUCAAGGGUAACUGAAACAAAAUAGGAAACAGUUUGCUAUAGACAAGUUUCUCACAUUAAAAUAGGUACAAGUGGUUUACUAUAGACAUGUUUCUCACAUGGCUUGUUCUGCUACUAAAGCUUAGGGGCUUGAAGCACGCAUACGUUUUAGUGUUAUUCUUGUCAUCAUUUGGUUACUUCCGCUUCCAGAUAUGCUUUUCUUGAAAGUCAUGUUCUUUUUCAGGACUGGAUAUCUCACCGGGACGGAUUAAGUGAAAGAAAGCAGGGAAGAGAAAAGAGUUUGAGCACUUGUCUGUCAACUCUGCUCUCUGUGUGAUCAAAGUUGAGAAGUUUAUGUGCAGGGCGGCAAUCUGUGCCUUAUGGUGGGGGAAAAAUAAAAGAAUUUGAGGACGUGUCUGUCAACCUUUUCUGUGUUUGAUCAAUCUAGAGAAAUUGAGGUGUUACCAAGCUGUCUGUACUUUUAUCUCUGUUUCUUUUACGAGCUUUUAACCUUAUGCAGUGAUUGUGAAUGGAAUAUGCAAGCAACUCUGUUUAAAGAUGUUCCCUGAGAUGUCCACUGUUACUCGUGCUAUUGAAAUUAGUAACAUUGUAGAACCUGUGGAAUCCAGGACCAAUGAGCCUAUUGAAUGGGCAUGUCUGAAACGGGACCAUAAAGUAUAUGCAUUUCUGGCUCAAGGUAUUGCCGCCUUCCCAAGAAAAGAUUGCUUGUCUGAGGCACUUGGUGCUUCAAGCACUGGCAAUUGCUUGUCUGAGGCACUUUAUGAUUCUGCUCUGAAGCACAAGAUAGAAUGUGUAACAUAGUCUCCUCCCGUAAGCUCUGCUGCACAAGGGAGAGUCCAGAGAAUUUACUUUGAAUAAUGGGACAAACAUUUAGCUAGGCACCUGCAUCAUAUUGACAUUUAAUUCCUGCAUCCGUGGACAUAGAAGAACCAAGCAGCUCAACUUUCCAAUCCCGCACAAAAAAAAUGACAAUGGAUGGAUCACUUUUUCUUUUAUCACAGGAAUAUCCCAUUAGUCUCGCAGCAUAUAUAGAAAUGUUUGUCAUAUGCACUCAGGAGAAUACCGCUUCUGCUCUUCAAAUAUAAAGCACAUUUAGUAAGAUAGGAGAAUAGCAAAUAUGCAGCACUUUCUUGUGCCUUAUGAAGUUCAUUAAGCAACCUUUUUUUUGGGGUGAUUUAUGCUUGACAAUUUUAAUUCUUGAAGAUUUAAUUUCACCUGUGAGGAUGAAGUGAUGAUCGAGAUUAGCUGAUAGGUGUUUGGUCUAGUUCUUGGUUCACUCAUCUUUUCUUGAUUUUGUAACAAGUUUAAUGGUUACAUGGAUGGAAUACAAGGCAUCUCCUGCUAUGCAUUGGUGGUGUGGUGUUGUUGACUUGUUAUUUUCAUAGCUAAUUUUCGAUCGGGUCAUGAUAUUAACCAGAAAUUGUAACCAACUCUCCAAUUUAAAAUAGAUAGACGACAAAAGACCAGUGAGAUCCUUAUUGCGGGGGUAUCCUCUCCAAACCCUGCUUUGGGUUAUGUUUAUCCGCGUUCCAGGAAGGAUCCUCACCGACUCCGCUUCUUCUGUUAUCGAAUGGAUAAUUUGGAAACUUUCAAAACUAAAAUCCUACAAGAGAGAGGAUUAUCGCCUAAUCCCAGAACAAACCAGACGAUUUCUGGUUUCCUGAUCCCAUCGUUCUUUAGAAAUAGCUCUUUUAGCUCUGUAUAAACGAAAUCAAGACCUCGUCCACCCUACAAAUUUAACAGAAGUAAUCCAACAUAUUAACAUUAACAGCAUCAAAUGAUUAACAGCAUCAAAAAUUUAAGAAAACUAUAUUUUAGUAAUUGUUGUCAUUGACACUUAAUUGAAGUUCAUUAAGAAUAAUUGAAAUAUGUAAAUAUCAAUACUCUAUUCAAAUGUAAAUAUUCAACCUAAGUAACAAAAUAAAUGAUAGCUAAACAAACGAAAUAUGCGUUCAAUUGAUCGUGUUCAAACUACACAUUCUGUUAAUAGUUAGUAUAUAUGAAAUUGUAUUUUCCAUUUGUAGAAAAUUAAUAUGCAUUUUAUAUCUACUAACGAAUAUAUUACCUAUGUUUUGAACAAAUCAAACGAAAACUUAUGGUGUGAUAUGUAUAUAGUUGCUCACAUUUAUACGUAUGCCAUCAUCCUUUCUUUAUGCUACAAAUUUCUUUUGAUUAUAUUUAGGGGUCGCAAUUAUAAAAUGUCGACCUGAAAAAAUGAUAUGAACCUAGCACGAAAUUAAUUGAUUCGGAUUGAGGUUUCGCGGGUUUGGGUCAGAAUCGAGUCGCAUGCGAUGAACCCGAAAUGAAAAUGGGUCGAAUUCGGGUCAAACCAUGUGUGAUCCGAUACGACCCAUCACCUGUUUAUGAAUGAAAUUUUUUUUACCUAACUAACCUACGUUAUUCUUUUUGUUUCAAAGGCAUUAAUCACUUAAUCCUAAAUGAAUUUAUUUAACUUAUUUGAAGUUGAAAUUAUUAUAUUUGGACAAAUAAUGUAUUAUAUUAUUUUUUACUUUUAUACUGCUUAUAUUUAUUUUAUAUUUGGUUUGGAACAAAACACUUUUACGAUGUUUUUAAUUUAUUUUAGAUUUGGUUUGGGAUUAUUUAUUUAAAUUUUUAUUACUUGAUUAUGUAAUUAGGCUCCGUUUGAUAACACUGAAUUCUGAAUUCUGAACUCUGAAUUCUGAAUACUGAAAUAAUUAAUUUGUUGAAUUUUAAGUACUGAAAAGAGAUAUAUGAAUGUCUGAAUCUUAACGCUGAAUCUAUUUAUACUGUUUGAUAAAUAUUAAUAACUUAAUGCUUAAGAAGCUAAAUUGUACACUUUUGCCCUUCUAUCUUUAAUCCAAAAAGGAAAUAGAACCUAUGAUUUAAUUAACUUAAAAUUGUUAGGUAUGAAAAUGACAAUGAUUGUGAAGAGCAAUGCAUACAAUGACAACAUUUCUUUGCGUGGGAAAAGGGUAUGGUUUCAUCGUUUUGAAAAUGGGAAAACGAGCUUUUAAUACUCCAAAAGCACGUUCAAUUACAUUUCUCAAUCUUGCAUGUGCUUGGUUAAAGCGUUAUUCUUUUGAUCUUGGACGAGAAGCAUUUCGAAAAUCAGACAACCAAUAUCUAAUAUUUCGAUAUGGUGUCAUAAAGCCACGUGUGUGUGGAUAAGUUGCAUCACAUAAAUAAUAUUUAUCUGCACAAAAAAAAAAUAUAUCAAAAUAUAAAUGUUUGUGGAUGAAAAUUACUGCAAAAAAAUACUAUUGUUAAAAAAAAUUUUGAAUAGAGAAUAUCAGGUUGUUUUGUUUAAUUAGAUAAGGAUUUUAAAUAGGAAAUAUUAGGUUGUUUAAUUAGAUAAGGAUUUUGAAUGUAAUUAACAAACAGGGAUAUAUUUGGUAGAUAAGAUAAAGUAGUUGAAGUAAAUCUCUUGAUUCUUAUCAAAUUAAGCAUUCAACUACGAUUCUUGUGCUGAAAAAAAUACAUACAAAUUCAGUACCACUUAAUAAGUUCAGCAGGUGAAUUUUUAUUUAUCAAACACCCAUAACAUCUGAAUGUCUGAAUGAAUUCAGUUUCAACACUUUUUUAUGUUAUCAAACAGGCACUUAGUCUUGUGUGAAUUACAAAUUACAGUGGUAAAUUAAUAAAUUAAAAUUAAGUUUUGGGUCAUUCAGGUCGUCCCGCCAACCUGACAACCUGGAAUUUUCAGAUUCGGGUCGGAUAUCCUGGCCCGUUUCGGGUUGGGGGGUCAAGUUCGGGUCAGCCAGUUAUCUAUUAUACCUGGGUCUCAACUCGACUCGUCACUCCGAUUUGGACCCGAUUGCCACCCCUAAUUAUAUUGUCAAAAAAAUAACAUAUUUUACAAAUUAUUCCAAUUUAUUUAUAAAAUGUUACUAAUUUCAUUAGAAAUUAUGAAAUGUAAUCAUGGUUUAUUAAUUUUUUACUAAAUAUAAAUACAACUUAUAUCAGGUAAAAAUAUUUGACUUUGUUUUACUUUGAUCACAAAAACUUGUGGUAGAAAUAACGAAAUAGUGACAAGGGUGCAAAUUUCAAAUCAACAACCAACGUACACUUAAUUACGCUAAUUUUUUAGUUGAUCAAACUAAUAUAUGCCAUAAAGUAACUAGAUUUUAGCAUUUAUAAAUUGGCCAUUUUAGCAGUUUAUAUACCAUUCACCUAUAAAAAUAUGAUUAUUAUAAAAUGACAUUUUAUAAUAAUUUACAUACUAUUUGCCAAUUAAAAGUAAGUUUGAUAAAAAAAAUAUAUAUGCAUAUAAAUCCAUAUUGUAAAUGAUACAAAAUAUAUUUGAAUCUCACGAAACUUAAUCUAUGGGUAAAUUUACUAUAGUUUCCAAAGAUUAUGCCACAUUAGUACAAAUUUAACUUUUAUGCUUGUGACCUAGAAAAUAAAUUUAUUAGAACACAUAACCUUUGUAAAUGAUACAUACAUUUAUUAAAAUGCUUAAAACACAUAACAUUGAUGAAUGAUACAUACAACCAUAUAUUAUACAUUUACGUUACCAACAAUUACUAACUAUAAUAUUAAGUUUCAAUCCUUAACAAAAAAAUCUUAGCAUUAUUUUAAAUAAACUUUCUAAUACUUGUUUCAUAUAAGUUUUUUUAAGUAAAAUAUUAAAUUUAUGCCACAAACUAGUAAGUCUUGAUGAUUAACCAAAUUUACUAUUCUAUUAACAGGAUUUACUAUUAAUCCGUGAAAACUUACUAUUACUUGAACUAAACUUACUCUCCAAAAAGAAAGUUUCGAAUAAAGGCAGUAAUUUAUUUUUUUUUUAAAAGUAACUUUCAAUUUUAUUUCAUUUUACUUUUUAAGACAUAAAUAGGAUAACAAAUUUCGUUACCAUUUUCGAUUUAUUUUUUAUUUGCUUUUAGCGACCAUUUGAUUAUUUGAUCGGUCUAUCCACCUAAAUAGGAUAACACUUAAAAAUAAGAAAGUAAGUUUUCUAUCUAAAAUAAUAUGUUAACAGUAAAAAAUUAGUAACUUUUAUACUUCAAAAGGUAAGUUGGAAUAAAUAUUAAACUUACUUUUUAAAUAGAUAAAUUACUACUUUAUUUCCCAAACUUACUUUUUAGAGAGUAAGCUUAAUUCAAGUAAUAGUAAGUUUUUAUACAUAAAUAUUAACUCUUGAUAAAGUAAUAGUAAGAUGAUAAAGUUUUAAUAAAUUUACAUCUGAGACACAAGAAAUAAUAAGAGUUAAGGCCUAAACAAAAUGAGAAAUAAUAUAAUAAUAAAAAUGACAAAAUUAGUAUAACAAUUAAUAUAAGAAAAUCAGUAUGAUCUUGAUUUUUUUCUUGGGAGAUUGUUCAUAAGAAUAGGAUCCAAUAAUUAUAAAUGAAAAUCACAUGCAUGUAUAAUCUAUUGUAUAAUUUAAAUUAUAUUUAGUUCACCUAUAAAAUGGUUCUAAAAUAAUUAGUACACUAUGAUAAAUGUUAUUUUAACAACAAAAUUUUUUUUUUACUAAAAGUCGGAAAUAUCCAUGACAUAUGUAUGAGGGAUAUUUUACCAUUUUUGUAUCUCACAUCCAAUCAUUAAAGUUAAUUUGAGAAAAACUGUUUUUGACAAUCGAAUUAUUUUGAAUUUAACCAACAAGUUGAGAUUUUUUAAACAAUAAAAGUGAAAUAUUUUGGAACUUAGUUGUUUAUUUUCCCGUAAUAAAAAAUUUAAAAUAUGACAAAUUAUUCUUACAUAUUUUAUAAGGUCAUAUGCAAAAAAAAAAGUUUUCAUAGUAUAUUUAAAAUGCUUCGAACAUAUAACAUUUAUAAAUGAUACGUACAAUUGUAAGUUUCUUUAAGUAAAAUAGUAAAUUUAUGCCACAAACUAUUAAGUUUUGAUGAUUAACCAAAUUUACUAAUCUAUCAACAAUAUUUACUAUUAAUCUAUAAAAACUUACUAUUACUUGAACUAAACUUACCCUCCAAAAACUAAGUUUCAGAUAUAGAGUAAUAUUUUACUUCAUAAAAAAUAAAGUUAGUUCCAUAUUUAUUCAAGUUUACUUUUUGAGACAUAAAAGUUACUAAUAUAUCGAGUUAACUUACUAUUCUUUAUGGAAAACUUACUAACCACCAUUUUAGGUACUAUUUCAUUUAGAUGACCAGUACAACAGGUCAUCAAAUGGUCGCUAAAAGUAUUUUUACCUGUUAUAUCAGGUAAAAAUAGUUUCGUUACCAUAACUAUCGUUACUUCAGACUUUUCCUAAUGUGCCCUACCCAACUUUAAUAUUUUGAUGGUGGCCACCAGUUUAAAGGUUGGUGAUUCUCGGCUUUCUGUUCUAAACAAAACAAAUUUUUUGUCUUACUUACUGCGCCUGCCGACUCCUAGGGAGAAUAUUGAGCCUACAUAGCCGACUGCUUUCUUUUUUUCCAGCUCAAGUUUUGCAGCCAAAUUGAAGCUACGGAAUGUGAAAGUCCGAAGUCAGAAGACAAAGCCAGCUUUGUUUUUCAGUUUUCACCGACCCAAUGGAGCAGCGAUAUAUGUAUGUAACAAGUCUUGAUUGAGUUGUCCCGAUUGUAGUGUGUAGAAAGAAUUAUAAUUGAUAGCGUUCAGAUUCUUCUGAGACGUAUUGGGGCCAUGGACAUGGACAGAUGGUGCAGGUGCAUGGACCCCCGGCAGCUGCCUAUUUCCCCGUCGUGCAGAAACGGGUUCAAACUUCAAACUGGGGCAAUUGGAUGACAUCCUUUUCAGUUUGAAGCACAAUUACUUAAUAGUUGACCCGUAUAAGGAAAUUAUUAAUACAGUGUAGAAGCGAAUCAGUGAUCACCUAGGCAAAAAUUUACCGUGCGAGACACACUUAUUUUUAUUUUUUUGGUAGCAAGAAAAGGAAAUUCAAUUGCAUAUAGUAUUAAAGUUGCAUUAUACUCAUCCCUGGGUAAACAAAACAACAGCUCUCAAAUCAUUCGUUGCAAAGUUGAUCAUAAAUUCAGGGAUAUCAUCGAAACAAAAGAAAAUCAUGUUCUUGAUCUGAUCCAUCCUUUGCCAAUGCAUCUCCAAGAAAAGUUUGCUUCUGAGUAAACGUGGGUGAUUGCAGCACACUAACGAACCUGUUCAUUAGCUCCAUCUCCAUGCAAUGGAUGCGGGUGAUGUUGGCUGGUGACUUGGUAAUUAAAUAAAUUAUCAACAGCCAUGAAAGUCCAAGUUCAGUUUGCAGAUGCUGAAUGCCCACAUCCAAGGCCAAAUUGCAAACCAUUUCCAUCUGUCGCAUGGCAGAUGGCGUAGGUUUCUUCCAAAUCCAGCAACCGGAUAAGAGCCAGCUUUUCCGGAAUCGUGAGGAAAGCUCUGUCAUAGCUCCAUUUCUUUCUAAGGUUGAUUGUCAUUUGAGAACUACAAACUACUAAUCGAAGACAAAAUAGAGAAGUUGUGCUUCCGUGGAAUGUGAAACAAAAGAUAGCACUAGUAAACAAGAUGUUGUGCAAGUUGAAAAUAAAUCACACGCAGAUAACUAUGGCUACUUUUGGAUAGCAAAUUUUUCCAAAAAAACUUUUCACUUGUAUCAUAAACAUAUUUUUCAAUUCACCUUUUUAUAUUCUCAACCACCUUUUUAUUUCACAUAUAUCACAUUAUAAAAAGUAUUACGGUAAUUAUUUGGAAUAAUACUCUAUCGAAACAAAGCCUAUAGUUCUGAUCCCAACAGUGUGUGAAGUCUACUUGCCGGUUCUGGGAUGAGAAAAACGAAACGUUACGCUAAUGGUUAAGCUAAAAAGGUGAUUAUCUUGGUUGAAUUCAAGGAUGGUUUUUUUUGAAUAUGCGUCAUAGUCUCAUUAUUGCUGCCUUUGAAGAAAUAUUUUAUCAGUCAGCAGACUCAGCACUCAGGCAGGGGUUAUCAAAAGUCUUUGGCCUUGCUUGGAUUGCUGUUUUCCGUAGAAAAAUUUCGUCAUUUUCCGUGAACACAUUUCCCUAUUACCUUUUUUCCUCACAUACAUCAAAUCGCUACAGUAAUUUUUCCAUGAAAAAUGACGGAAAAUGCAAUCCAAACGGGAUAUCCUCCACUGCAAUCAUAUGUUGUGGCCUGCCUGCUUUGACAACCAACUUAAAUAAGAUUCACAUUAUCAAGAGAAAUUUUGCCCAAGUCGAACAGGAAAUUCAGGAACAAAAAUUGGAGUUUACAAGUGUAAACCUAUCGACUUGUUGCGUCGAAAAACAUGAAUUUCAGUAGUUGCCUCCCUCAGCAAAAAGCAAGAAAAGACUUCUCUGACUUUGUUUUGUUUCGGUACCUCAGCCACAAAUGUAGAAAAAAAAAAAAAAACUAAAUGGCAAUUACACAUGUUCAAUGGCAACAAACCUGUACCAAGUUAAGAGCUGAGAUUUGAUUUGAGAAGGGAAGAGCUAACCAAGAAGGCUAUGGGUUGGCUGGUGUGAAUUGUGAUGGGACGGUGGAAAAUAGCGGUGGUGCCGAGUCUGUUCUCAUUUGAAAGUUGUAGGCUAAUUUUCAUUGGAACAUUUUGACACGUACCCAUUUCUGUUCUGUUAUCUAAGGUAUUACCAAUUUGAUCAAAAUUUUGGGCAACAUUAAGUUUUGGCAAAAUAACAAAUAUUUUUUUCAAAUAUUUUUUUUUAUUUGCGAAGCCUAUCCUUUCUUUACUUUUUAAUGUAGAAAUGUGAUACAUUUCUCAAGAGGGGGGGGGGGGAGGGGAAUAAAAAAAAACCUCUCAUUUUCAUUCCCAGAUGAAAAUUACCAUAAAUCGAAAAUAAGGAACAACAAACAAUAACUAUCAAAUCACUAUAGUAUGGACUAACGGGACCAUUUCAAUGGUGGUACCCAUACUCCAUGCCGAUGCCGCGUGAAUAUGAUUUCUUAGGGUGUGUUUGAUGAAAUUGAAGUUUGAAAUCUAAAAUCUAAAAUUUGAAUUUAUUAAAUUAUUGAAUUGUUAAGUAUUAAAUAGGGAAAAUGACCUGUUUCAUCCCUCACAUUUCGCAAAAAUAUUCUUUUCGUCCCUCAUUUUUAAAAUGAAGCAAAUUCGUUCCUGACAUUUAAAAAUUAAAACUAUUACAUCCCUAAACCUAAUUUUCAAUCUGAAUCAAACCAUCCAAUAACCCAGUAAUAAAUUUCGAAAAUAGAAUUGAUAGAUUAUUCAGUCAACUUCAUCAUAUUCACAUGACAUUUAUUAAACCAAAAAAAUAAAAAUUAUAACAUAAAAAGGCCAUUCUUUGUUUUGGAAUAGUAGAGUUUUUUUUUUGGUAAAUCUUUUCAUGCACCGUUAGUAUAUCCGCUUGCGAAUCUAGAUAUGUAUCAUAAAUAUAAAAUUUGGUGUUUAAAUUUAAAUUAAAAUUAUAUGGCGGUACAUAAAACCGUCAGUGUAUACAAUGAUAAUGUAGAAAAGAUUAAUCUUUCUUUUUUAUGUUAUAAUUUUUUAUUUUUUUCUUUUAAGGUUCAUUAAAUUUCACAUGAAUAUCAAGUUGAGUUAACCAAGUGAUCUACCAAUUACACACCCAAAAUUUGUAAUUAGGUUGAUUGGUGGUUUGAUUCAGAUUGAAAUUUGGAUUCAGGGAUGUAAUGAUUUCAGUUUUUAAAUGUCAAGGACGAAAUUGCUUCAUUUUAAAAGUGAGGGACGAAAAGAAUAUUUUUGUGAAAUGUGAAGGAUGAAACCGAUCAUUUUCCCUAUUAGAUAUAAUAUAUUUGACUGCAUAUCACAUUCAGUGAUAAAUGAAUAACUUAGCACUUAAUUUUGAGAACAAGUUUUGUCUAGAAAAUUCAGUGCCACUUAAUUAAUUCAGAUGUUCAAUUUUUGUUAAAAAAAAACGGUCUGAAUAUAUGAAGAUUUGAAUUUAUUAAAUUUAAAUGCUAAAUUGGAUUAUCAAACAACUCCUUAAUCAUCGGGCAAUAAGCAUUAUUAGCAGCGACGCGAAAGAGCAAAGUGGGAGAAAAAAACCAAGUGCACUACGGGAUUGAUAUAUAAAUAAAGCUAACAUUUAAAAGGAGAGAGGCAGUUGGACUCCUAAAGUCAGGAGAGUCGAUCUCCGAUGGCGUAUAGAAUGUAGUAACAACGAAUUAAAUUAAAUUAAAGUCUAUGUAAAACAUACAUUUCUUUUUCUACAUAAAAUAUGCUUAAAAAGCAUAAAUUGUACUCAAAAUUUAGCAAUAAAAAUCACUCUACCAAAUCGUAUUUACAAAUAUCGACAGAAUUUAUACUUGGAUUAAUAUCUAGUUUUUUAACACUCUAGUAAAUGGUAGCAAAUAUGGAAUGGAGGGAAUUGCCCACCCUCAACAACAUAACAUGUGGUUCCGCCUCUAGAGAGAGGCUCAUCUCGUUCUAAGAAUUUGACAGGCGCGUGAAACUUAAUCCCCUCUCUUUCUAUCAUAAAUUUGACUGCUUGAGGUCCAUGAAUGAGAAUAAUGAGAAUUUAGAGAACAAACUUUAGGACCAUUUUUUAAUUAUUUUUAUUUAGUAUAUUUUUUAAUAUUAUUCACAAUUUUUAAAAUAUUAAAUACUUCAAAAUUUACGUUUCAUAAAAAUCGUGACCGAUAUGUCAAAAUCAAUAUGAAACAGUUCGAACCGCGACCAUAACUUUGAAUCAUACUCCGGAGAUAAACUCGUCUCGUUCUAUUGUUCUAAGAAACGGAGGCACGAGCCCAUGAAUUUGACAGGCGCGUGAAACUUAAUCCCCUCUCUUUCUAUCAUAAAUUUGACUGCUUGAGGUCCAUGAAUGAGAAUAAUGAGAAUUUAGAGGACAAACUUUAGGACCAUUAUUUAGGAGUAAUAAAGUUUUCGUACUACGUAACUUCUUUUUCCUACUGCAUGCAUUAAUGAUUAAUUAAUUAAUGUUAUGUGUAUCUUCUUCUACUUUCUAAGGACUUUUAAUUUGGAUUUAGUUCAGAUGGAUGCAGAAUACCGAACCAUUAAUUUCGCUUUCAGGCCAUCGUAAUGUAUAUCCAGACUAGAUGUCAAAACAGACAUUGGCGUUAAUGCCAUGCAUCUAUACAUCGACACGACUUGUUGAUCGAGUAAAUGGUGUCCAUCAAAGCCACCAAGAAAGGAAAAAAAAAAGUCUCAAAUCUUCUACUCGUUCACAUUACCGGGGUUGCACUCCUUCUCCACUGCCUCUCAGGAUAUCCCUAUAAAACCCAUCCAUCAGUUCCCCAACUUUAGUGGAGAUACUCAUCAUACAAGUCGAGGAUCGAGAAGCCUUGAAAAGGUAUCUGGAACCUUAUUGACAUGGCUUGUCUCAGGUCCUCCACAAUAGCCAACUCUGGGUUUUUCGCCUUCAGAAAUAUGUCCCUAUUCUUCUUCUUCUUUGCUCUCAUCAGUUUCUCAGAAGGACAAACAGUUCCGGCCUUGUAUGUUUUCGGUGACUCUCUUGUUGAUGUUGGCAACAACAACUACAUUAAAGACUCGCUUCUCAAGGCAAAUUACCCUUACAACGGCAUUGAUUACCCUGGUGGAAAACCAACCGGAAGAUUUUGCAAUGGCAAAAACGCUGCAGAUCUUAUCGGUACAUUAUUUAUUAGCAAAAAAUUUACUCCAUCACAGAAAAGAAUUUGCCCUUUUGCAUCUUGAUGAUUCUUGCAUUUACCGCAUGGCGAUCAAGUUAGUUAAUGGGGUCUAUUUUGGCCACUUCCUAACCUUGCAAUUUGCAUGCAUGUUUUGGCCAUUUUUGGUUUCGGUACUCCCUGCCCCAAUUAAUUUCAUUUAAAGUCCCCCGACAUGGCUGAUUUUCGUGCAAUAAUUUGCUAACUCCGAAGAAGCAAAAGAAGGAGAGGGGGAUGGAUUUCAGGAAGCGCCUAGCAUAAAAUAAAAUAAUUCUUGUAGUCCCAUUUCUUGAAAAAUACACAUAAUAAUAACACAAAGAGUAUGAAAAGAAUUUGAGGAUGAUGAUGACAUGCCUUCUGUUAUUAUUAUUAUUUAUUUGAAGAUGACAACUUAAGUGCACUGACAAAGACGUCAGCCACAAAAGUGUCCGAUCAUUUCUUUCCUUUUGUCCUUUUGCUUACUGAGAUUUUAAAUUCUGAAGCUACGUACGGUUGCGCCAAUGAAUACUUUCUUCAAUAUUAUUAGUAUUAUUUUUUUUGACGAGUGACAGAGAGAUUUUCUAAUACACAUAUGCGGCACUUUUGACAGCUGAAAAAGUGGGAUUGCCGACUUCCCCUCCAUAUUUGUCCAAUACAAGCGAUGUUUUCCUCAAGGGAGUAAGUUUUGCAUCUGGAGGAUCAGGGCUCUUCAACACCACCGGCCAAGGCUUCCUCGUAAGUACAUUUUUUGUUUUCUGGGGUUAAUCCUUGCAAGAAUCAUAGGAUAACAGGAUUCCUUUCCCAUUUGCGCGUAUUAAAACAACCAAAGCGAUUGCUUAUCAAUUGGACGGGAAAAUGUCUUGGUCAUCAUAAGAAAUUAAAAAAAAAAAGAAGGUCAAAUAUGGAGAUUAGUGCGAGUGAAAAAUUUUAGUGUAUCUAAUAACCUGUAAAAAAAGGAAAAAAAACUGUCAGCCAUUAUUAAAUUUUAUUUCAUGCUGACCCUAUAUAUGAAGUUUGCUGAAUGAGAUAUUAGUUAGUAUAUAAAUCUAGAGAAGAGGUAUUUUCAUGAAUCCCUGGGGAAAUUCACAAAAUACGGGUACAGGUAGUUUCCUGCCUGAGUGCGACAAGUCCAACCUAAGCAAAACAAAAAGCCUUGCAGUGCUGAAUUAUGGGCAGCACACACUUGGGACCAAAGAAUUUCCCAAAAUUUGAUGACAAGGGGGACUGUUAAUCUAAAAGGCUUGAUUCUUGUUUGAUGUGCUUCCGUGCAUUUCUUUUGGCAUGAGGCCCACCUCUAUAAACUUGACUUCACUCAGAGACAAAGCCCUCUCUCAAGUGUAAAAGGCUAUCUUUCCCAUCUGGUACUUUAGUCCAACAGCACGUCUAACAAACUUAACCUUGGGCUAGCCCGAAAAAGCCCCACCAUCCAAACGUUUGGAAAAGAUUCAAAAAGUCAUGCGGUGAGCGUGGAUCGAACACGCGACCUUCAGAUCUUCAGUCUGACGCUCUCCCAACUGAGCUAUCCCCGCGAUGAUGGAUGGUGAAGGAGUUUUAUGAACUGAUUCUCUCUGACUCUUUGUUUUACAGCGCAAGACGCUCUCUCUGCCCCAACAAGUGGAUUAUUUCACUGCGCUGCACGACAGACUAGUGAAACAGCUUGGACCUGCUGCAGCACAGCAGCAUUUAUCAAAAUCUCUGUUUCUUGUGGUGAUUGAAGCAAUGAUGCUUUCGCUUAUUUCGAGUCUUUAAACAACAGAAAAGUUAUGAAGGUUACUCCAGAUCAGUACGUUGGUCAGAUGAUUUCCAUACUCCAAGGAUUGUUGAAGGUACAUCAUCCACACCCACAGAAGUUCAUGCAUUAUCGACUUGUGUAAGCUUCUGAUGAUCUUUACUGAAUUUGGUCAGCAAAUCCAUAGUUUGGGGGCUCGCAAGUUUGUUGUGGUUGGACUAGGAUCACUUGGGUGCUGUCCAGGGCAAAGACAUGACACCGGCAAUGAACAAUGCAAUCAAGAUAUCAACGCUUUGGCGAUCAAAUACAACCAAGGACUUGCAUCAAUGUUGGCGGGACUGAAGUCGGUUUUUGAACGACUUCAGCUACUCCUUAUUUGAUACUUAUACGGUCCUCCUCGACAUCAUUGACAACGCAGCAACUUAUGGUAAUCUCCACUCGCGUUUUCUUGAAUUACGACGUCAAGGAGUCUUGUUUUAAUUAAACUCAUGACCAACCAAGUUUUGAUGUGAAUCAUUCUGACUAGGUUUUACCGAGGCAAAGGCAGCUUGUUGUGGAUUUGGAAAACUAAAUGCGGACGUGUUUUGCACGCCCCUGGCCGUGUACUGCUCCAAUAGAACCGAUCACGUCUUCUGGGAUAAAGUCCAUCCCACACAAGCAACGGAUAAAAUUAUGGUCGAUACCAUCUACUCUGGUUCACAGCCAUACGUGUCUCCCAUUAAUGUCAAGCAGUUGGUUGCUCUAUAAAAUUGCACUAGAGAGAUCAAGAAGUUGUAUUCUUCCCUUUUUAUUUGUGUGUGUGCCGGAGCAAAAACUAAGAGGAUACCGUCAUUGUUGUGUCGCCUGGAUAUACUCAACAUGUUGCAUACCAAAUUAACAAUGUUUAUUUCAUCAUCCACAUGUUGCUAUACUUACAAGAUAAUGAGAUCAUUUCAUCAGUGAGUUGAACACAACGACAACAAUAAAAUGACUUCAACUCGAAAAAGAACAGAUUAUCCUCGAAGUUAAAUGAGGAUAUUUGUGAGAAGGCAUUUUUGAAAGAACAUAGAAUGCUACACUAUUAUUUGGUUCUCUGACUCCUAGUGAAGCAUAUAUCCAAGUUCACAUUAUUCAAAACAAAUCUGCUGAAUAACAAUCUGAAAAGAACAGAAUUCACAGCAAUGCAGCCACAGAAUGCGCAUGAUCCAGAAAAGCAUAGGAAUUAUGUUGCGCUUACUGUUGAGAAGGAAAAAAGUCUUGAAAGAAGACAGAUAGAUCGUCGUUGAGGCAUCAAGAGCUAACACUUUGUCCACUGCAUUCUGCAUUUGCUCGGUACGAGGAGAUAAUAAAGUCAGACACACCAAAAGCAAAAAAUAUACAGCUUAAAGUUAGAUACACAAACUCAUUCAGUUUAUAUCCGUGUAUAUUAACACCUUGUAUUGCUGAUCCCGAGCAGAUAUAUUCUCAUUGCUUAGUCGCUCAAUGUGCUUGUUGUCUUGAAUAGCAUCCAACACAAGAGAUGCUCUUUUUAUGACUCCCUCGAAUACUCCUAGCAUGAUUGGAUACAGUUAAUACCUAAAAGUAGCCUCUCUAUGCACCAAACCAUGUCAGGUUGCAUAUAUUUACCCAUACCAAACCCACAAUUAUAAGAACUUGUUCACUGGUUAUGACAUCAAUUUCUAAGAUGCUAUGCAUGUCCAUCACUUUCUUAAAUUGAGAGAAAGUAACAACAAAGUUGAUCAAUUCUCUGAGGAAACAGGAAAGCAUUAUAAUUGAAACAUACCAGCAAGAAGUGCACAAUGUAGACCUUCAAAUAAACAGAUGAAAAUCAAUUCAGCCGCUGUUAGUAAAUCUUCUGACAUGCAUGUUGCAGGUGCAUUAAAAUUUCUCAAUCUUACCAUAGCUAAGAGCUGCACGUCCGGCAACCAACCUGCCAAAGUACAAGAGUUAGAACAACCAUGAUAGAGAACUGAUACCAAUAUGAGAUAAGGUUAUCUGGCCAUGAUCUGAAAGAGAGCUUCAAGCUCCACAGAUGGAACUCAUACUGGACCAAUAAACACAAUGAAAUUUUAGUUAAGUGUUUGAGGUGAGCCAUCAACUAGAAUAUGAGAAAAUAGAUUGACCUUAUUCCUGGAAGAAUUCUUCAGAACUUUGGAAAGAAUUUAUAUUCAGAAGCCAAGCAAUAAUUUCGUACCUAUACAAAAACACUAUAUCUUCAAUAUCAUUCUCUUUAUUGUCUGGAUUCAGCACGCUCAUGGUGUAAUACUUGACCUUGUCACACUGAAAGUUGUCAAGCUACAAGAUUGUAACUCAACCAGUAUAGAUAACAUUCUGAAUUUGAAUACACAAGUCCUAUCAAGCACUGCUAAAUGUUCUACCUCCAGCAAACAGCUAUUGUCAAAUAGCUCAGUCAAAUGAGUACAGAUAAAAACCUGCAAGCAUACUCAGUAAUCAAAAGGCAUAUCUCAACAAUGUAAAAAGCACAUAUAACGCACAAGAAACUGUAGGGUUUUACAUGUCUUUAGCAUAUUUGGAAGAUUCGCACCGUCACAAAAUAACUAUCUGAGUUUGACUAGGGAGACUGUUAAUUAAGAGUUGAAAAUAUUUAAAAGAAACAAACAUUUGGGAAUAGAGAUAAUAUGUGUCAACUACCAGCAGGGAGAGGAAAACAGUUUUCUUUCUUAUAUAAGUUUCCAGGCAUGUUCAAAUAGAGAAUCAACUUGAACAACAAAAUUUAUCAGGUUGCUAGAGUCUCUUCACUUGUGUUUCUACAGUUUUAAUGAGCGUAACUUCCAAGUGUUUCUAACCUAAUUGUGUGUGUGUGUUCUACCGUUUACGGGAAAAAGCUAGAGUCUCUUCACUUUCUUGUUGGAAGUAGUUCAAGGAUCAGGUGAAAAGAGAGCUCUCAGUAAAGGUGGUAUUAUUGACUGCAUGAGAGACCAUGAUAUAGGCCAUCCUUUUUUACUAUCCCCCUUCAUGCAUUUCUAAUUUGUUUCUACGCAUAACAAUUCUUCGAGAUGAACACUGUGAUUUUGAUUUUACUUCUUUUGAGAAAUCUGCUCCUGUUGAGGAACCUAGAAACUGGCAAGUACUGAACUCCUUUAUUGUGAUGUGAUGGGGAUCUCCUUUUAGCAGAGUGAAUUACUGCUUUUCCUACAAAGCUGCACCUAUAACAUGAUUGAUGCACAAAUAGGUAAUGCCAACAACACCUUAGGAGGAUCAUAGCACGAGACAAAAUGGUUUAUAGUUCCACCGAGAAGACCAACGCCAUCUGAAAUAAAUUGUGUCAUUUCUAAAUAACAACGUUAGAAAAGUUGAAACUUUUAAGAGCUUAACAGUCAACAAUUGCUGAAUAAACUGACCUUCUGUAAGCGUGCCUUUCCCAAAUUCAUCUAAUAAGCACAAUGAUCGAGAAGUUGCAUGCCUAGAAGGAUGUAAAAACUGAGUCAUGGGACUCCAGAAGAAAGUAAAACAAAACAAGGUACUUCUGAGAAUCUAUAUAUGACUGUAUGAGCACUCUCAGCCACACAUUAGUGGACUAAUUACUCUUUUACAUAUACCUUAGCAUCACUCCCACUUGAUGCAAAUCAAUCAUGAAUGUUGAUUGUUCAGCUGUCAUGAAUUUGCUCCCAGUUGCACAAAAUAUCCUACAAUAUAAAGUUCCCGUCAAGGUUGGUAAAGUAAUUGACAUAGUUUAUAAUUAGGGUGACCAAAAAGUGAAACCUAUCCGUCAAGCCCACAAUAGCAGCAUCAGCAGGUACAAAACUCCCAAUAUGUGAAAGGAAAACUAUCAAUGCGACCUGAAAGAAGUAUAUACUUUAUAUGAAACUGGGGCGUCAAAAUUUCAAUAGUGAAUUCAGUUCAGUGUCUGAAGGACUAAUACAAACAAAACCAUCAAUUUGAAAUUUUCCUCCUUACUUGGACUAUGAGAAUCUGAUAUAAAAUUUUGGCUUUCCAAACAAUGGUAAAUCAUUGAAUGUGUUGCUUUUAUACAGAAAAUUCAGAAACACAGCAAAUUGUGACGCUAGCUUUUCGAGAAGCAUUUAGCAGAUCAAGAAAUAAAAAGCAGAUGAGAACGCAUGUUGACAGAUAGAGGACUUUAAUGCAGUUUCCAACUCUAAUUUUGCCAGUAAAUGAUUAGACAAGUUGAAAAGUAGAACAACCAACACAUCUGCUUAUAAUAGGAAAAUUAAAUUGCAUGAUAUACACCAUACAAGAUCUAUGGACACAACGAGGUACUUAAGCUCAUGGAUGCAUUUGUGGCCGAGAAACAACACAAAAUUGGAACAAUGAAGAAACAUCUACUGCUGUUCAUCAGAUAUAUAUACAUGCAUCUAUACACACAUACGUAUACAUAUAAAUAUAUAAAAAUAUAUAUGUAUAGAGAUAUAUGUAUAUAUAUGUGUAUAUGUAUAUGCUGUUAUUCACCUGCUUUAUGUAGAUGCUUUUUCCUGAAUAAUUAGGGCCAGUGAUGAUAUUAACCCUUCCUGAAACAUGAAAGACACCCAAUUUUUAACGUAAUAAUCAUGCAGAUGAGGAUAAAUCAAUCCAAAACUUAAAUCCAUAAAGAGGCAUGUAUAGUUUCCUAACCGUCAUGCAGAAUCUUUGUAUCAUUGGGUAUGAAUGUGUCUACUGUCAUUUCCUGAAGUACAUGUCUGUCAAACAGAAAAUAUUCUGUUACUGCCUUAUCAAAUUUAAUAAGUAAUAGUUCCUGGUUAUUCACAAGGAAAACAGAAUUAAUAAAAUCAGUGCAUGUUCUCUAAAUUGGACAGGAUAGCGCUAACCUUCCGUUUAGUAUAUCAAGCAAAUUUUCAGCAGUUACAAUGGGCCUCACAUAAUUGUUCUGACGAGCAACCAAUGCUAAAGACAAGAAACUUGGAUAUAACACAAAUAAUUGUCAGGAAACUUGUCAUGCAAGAGAGUCAGAACUUUUGCACUAGAGAGAAAAGGUAGUCAUCACUAUGAUGCUUACCAAUCAAGCUCAGCAACAAAAUUAACACCUUGUUUUAAAUGUGAAGAGAACUGAAGAAUCCGAGAAACUAAGUCCCCAAUGAUUGCUCUCUCCAUGUCUUUGAAGGAAGUAGAUUAAAUUCAUAAGAUAACAGGAAGAUGGAAAAAUCAAACCUAGUUCUAACUUUAAACUUGCCAGUUGGCUUUGGAUUAUAUGAAGUUGCACCUUAUACAAAAAUUGUAUCACAUUCUAUGUUCUUAAUAGAAACAGAUACCAUUUCAAGCUAAUGGAAAAUAUUAUCAGAAAGAGUUCACAACCUUCACUGCAUACCCAAUAUUUUAUGAUAUAGAUCUCCAAGAAGGCUAUCCAAUUCCCGUGUCUUUGCAGUGCGAUAAAAAAAUUUCUUAGUAUUCUCAUCCUCAUCGGAGAACUGUACAUUCCAAACCCAAUUUCCAUGGCAGGUAAAGAAAUGUUCACUAACAGCAAAUUAAUGUUAACUAAAAACAAGGUUAUGCAUUUCACAUAACAAGUCAAAUGCGUACAGCAAAUUCAUAAUCUUCAAGUUUUUCCAACAUGCUUUUGUCAAGAUUUUCUUGGAAAAUGCACAUCAAGUACCCUGCAGAUGAAUUACAAACAAAUGUCAUUAUUAGACCCAAUAAAGCUAAACCAGAUAAAAUCUUCUGCAAUGUGCCAUCUAUGUAUCUGUUAAGAGAUUAUUUGCACUUAUUUCCCAACUGGGAACAAGUAGAAACGCAUCUAUGCUCCUUAGGACAUGAGAAGUAUAAACAGUUGUUGCAGCGUACAUAAUGUCACAGGUAGAUGCACCACUCUUCCCAAGUUUUCUGUACAGAAUCCACUUAAGGAAAUUGGUAUUUAAAAUCGUUUCUUGUUCAAAGUGAAAAAAUCCAUAUGGUUCAUGAUGCGAAGAAACUAAUAUGUACUUCUGAUAAACUUUCUCAUACUUCCAACAUCAUCAUCAGUCAUUUGACGCCCAUGGCCUGAUCUUCAGUUUAGUGAACAUAUUUGUAGAAUUUAAAAGAAAAAUUCCAUUGAACUGCAAAGGAUUUUGAAGAUUAAUGCUGCAUAACCAACAAAAUUGAAUCGAUUGACUACAAUGAUGAUUUUAACACCAUAAUAUCUGUAUACAAUUAAACUGUUUGUGGUCUUUACAUAAGAAAAAGAAACAAUACAACCAAAAAAAGACACUGAAAGGAUCCAAAUACGCAUAGUGGUUAGAUGUAAGUGAUAAUUUUAUAUCCUGACAAACUUUUGCAAGGUAAAUCUGAGCAGAAAAAUUGCAAAUAGUACCUAUCUGAUGGAUAUACACAAUACAAGGAAUGAACUUGUCUCCAGACAUGUAAGGCAGCCGUGUGAGUUCCACUGAUGAAACCUGCAAAAAAGUGGUAACAUCAAUUUAGACAAUGUGUAGACACAAUAACCUUCAUGCCAUUCAUGCAUGCAUUAAAAAAAAUAAAAGCUAAAAGCUAGCACCUCUUCCAAAAACUCUGGCAACUCCUCAUAUAUUUGCCUCAGCUCAUCCAACUACAUAUGAAGAAGGAAGCUUGUCAGAAAAGCACAAAAGAGAAAUUAGAAGUUAAAUACUCUAGUCAGCAAAGCCUAAGAACCUUAGAAAUACCACUUAGAGAAGUCACACCUCAUCACAAAAACCAUCUUUAACAAUAGUCUCAUAACCUUUAUCCUUACUUCGAUUCACAUCAACAACGCCAACAACCUACACCAGCAAUCAGCCUCAACAAAUCAACUAAACAGCAGAAAGAAAGAAAGUAUAGAUGGUUGUCCACUAUACAAACCAUUGUCCAUUACUUGUAUAUAAGCUAAACUAGAAUCCAGAUAAGCAAGCAUAAUGAUCUUCAGCAAGUACAACAACAUAUGCAAAACUCCCUGCUGAUUAAAAAUUCCCAAUAUCCCCUUCGUAAAAUGCUAAUAAAUGCGACAACACAGGCAAAGAAAGCAUAAACCAAAGCCACAAGUGAGGAGCACAUCAUGAAAUCAAAACUGACCUCAAAAAUAGAUGCAGACAAGAUCUCUUUAAAUGCAAAUUUCAUAAGAACAAAAACUGAACUUUUUGGAUAAUUUGGCUUCUCAAAAGCUGCAAAUGCUAACAAAGGUUCCAUGCUUCUUUUCAUUAUUAUUACUUCUCUUCUGACAAUUAAAGGACGUUCUAUUUGCAAGUGAAAGACCUAUGCAAUCCAGAAAAUAUGAGAUAAUAGAAUUAAAAGUUGUUCAGAAGAAACAUCUGACCAAUUCAUAGACAUAUGCCAGAUCCGCAGAUAGGUAAAAUUCAACCUGCGACAAACUCAAAGAUGAUUUUAAAAAAGCCACAACUUCAUAAAGGGGAAGAUUCAAAUUCAAACAUUCAAGUUAAAAUGUUAAUUCGACCUGUUCAACAAUGUCCAAGUUCAAAUACUUCAAUUCUUCUUGAAGAUUUUCUGAAAUGCCAACUUCAAAUAUUUUGUUUAUGUGCAAGAGAGAACAAAUGCUCUACAAAACAAAAGCAUAUGAAACAAAAUUAGGCACAAUAAUAACACAGUACAUAGGCUAAAAUUAAUGGCAGUAGUAGCACCAGCUACAAGGGAUGAUGACAUCUCCUAUCCGGUAAAUACUUCCCUAUCAGAAUCUUAAUGUAUAGCAUUAGACAAUCACAACUUCAAUGCUCAGGAGUGGACAAAUACCUACAAAUAACAGCAUAAAGAACCAUUACAACAAAAACCAAUGCAGUUAUUGUCUUUUUUUAAGCCUUACUUUUACUUAGAAAGACAUCAGAAGUGUAGCCACCCUGAACCUAAUGCAGAUGUGAAAGAACAUGUUGCUUCAACCUAAUAGUUGAUGGCAGACACCAUUUCUGACCAUUGUAAUAUCAAUAUAGGCUUGUCCAAAAAAAUUUAUUGAGAGCUCCAUCAACCAGAGGUUUAUUUCCUAAAUUUCUAUAGCAAUCUCCAUGACAAAACUUAAUCAGAAAGUGAUAUAUGCUUAAUAAACAAAGGUUUUAGUAAACUUAAGCAAAUUUUUUUUUAUGCAAACUUGAGCAAAUAUGAUAUACUUUAGCUAUUAUUUUAGUUCAAAUUAAAUAACCAGAUGAUCACAAUGAAGCAGAAAAAACCUACCUUUACAAAAGCUUUCCAGUCGCUACUUGUGCACAAAGAACUUGGAGAAUUGAACUUCUUUAAAGACAAAGAAAACACACCAUGUUAAACUACUAAGAACAACUCUUUACAGGAACAUCAAUGAUUUGGUUGUGCUGGACAAAUCCGAAUAAAGAAGUGCUCGAAGGGCAUAUUUGGUGAAACAAAGAGAAUAUGGAUGCACCUUGAGUAUGUGAGGAAUAUCUUUUAUGGACUGCAGUGUUUCACGCAAAGAGGCCAAAAGUUCUUCAGCAGAAUGGAAGAAUGUUAUCUUGAUUUGUCAAAGAAUAAACCUAAUAUGAACUGGUAUUCCACACAUCCCUGCAGCCAUCUGCAUUACAUAGUCUCAAAGUAUGUAAACCUUCAACUCUGGGCAUAAAUUCUUUAGCAACAUUUCAUCAAAGAUUUCAUUCAAAUACGACCAAAUCUCAUUUUCCAUCACUUCAAAUAAAUAGUAACUCCAAUAGCACUGGUAUGGUGCUACUUCAAAAUAGAAGGAUACAGCAUCAAAACGCUUGUUCAGUUUCUCAAUGUCCAGUAUAGGCCUCAAAAACCAGUUCCUAGUUGACAAUUGAGUUAAUUGGUCAGAGGAUUGAGGUAGCACUGACAGAUCAAUAGUAACAAUGUUGAUUCUUGAUUGUCAACUAACCUCAAAAGACGUCUGCCCAUUGCGUUACACACUGGCACAGUCAGAAAUUAUCUAUCCAGUCAGCAAUUGCAAAUUAAGACUAGAACAGGCUAUUAAAACCUAACAGCAGCUGCUGACCUUAUUCAUCAUUCCAAAUAAAGAGAACCUGCACUUGAGGGUAUUCUUCAAUAGUUAUUUUCAAGUUAAUAAACUCAGAACCCCAACUAUGGUUCAUAAUUUACCCUUCUUUUGCCCUGCCAAUCCCCAUGUGGCUUGGAUGUUUGUCAAUUUGGAAUAUUUGCAGUGCCUCAUGUGCAGCUGAGUCAACUUUGAGAAACUUGUUUCUGCGGUUUUUGUUAAUUAGAGCAUUGCACUAAACUUUUGGAUGAAAUAUAACAAGAAAAUCAGAUCAUAUGAAUCAAAAAUUGGAGAACUUAGUAUUCAAGUUUGUUAAGAUACAGUGAGAUUUCAAUGACUGAGUCAACAGCAAUGGAUGCACUUCCACACUCCUUCUGUUCAAGGGUGUCUAUAAUCCUUUCAUUCUCUAGAACCGCAAGAAGCCCUCCAGUUGCACGAACUUGGACCUCACUUUGAAUGUCCAUCAUGGAGUUCAGCUAAAAUUAUGAAAAGAAACCGGUUAGAUACGAUGUGAGUGAUUGGAUACAGUUGAUCUUUCAUUUUCAGUAACACUACAAUACUCAGAUUUUCUUUACUUCAAGACAUUGGCAAAUAUAUGGGAACAUGAGUUCUCUUAUAAAUUCUCCCUUAACCACCAAACUAGUUCUAUCUCAACUUUGCAGAUUUUCCAGAGUCUAUUCUUGUAGAAAGCAUGAGGAAAGAGCAUCAAACAUCUUUUUGAACGAAAAGCCUGUGGAGUAGCCCAUAGUAUUGAACAGUCAAUUUGAGCUAAACAAAGUGCUUAUAAUAAGAGGCAUGACAGAUCAAUCUACACUGAAACGAGAAAUUAUCUGUACUUACAAAAGACAUUCUUUCCUUUAUGUUCAACCCAUCAUCCAUCCCUUGACCCGAAGGUACAUUAAUCUGGACAAGAACAGAAAAACAAACAAGAAUAUAUGUGAAAACAUACCACUCUAUUAAAUGAUACCAUUGGGUAGAAUUGAUUUAACAAAGAAUCUAGCAACGAACUACUGGUGGAAUGAUAAAAUUCUCUGUGAGAACAAAGCUAAUGAAAUAUUUGAUGACAGCAUCACCAGAAGAACUCAUGAAAGUAAUGCAUAAAAGAACUUGGAAGUUCAGGAUUGCUCCAAAUGAAAGGAAAUGAAAUCAUAGACAUACUCUGCCACAUUGAUUCUGCAUCAUAGCGGCCCAACAAGAAACAGAAGAAAGUAGCAAUCUGCUAAUUCCUUAUUUUCUCAUAUUUGUGAAGUACUUUAGUGGCCAACUAAUGGUUAUAAGGAACACAUAUCCUCAUUUUACAGAAAAAAGAAAAGUUGCAAACAUUCAAAUACUGCAAUGAAACUGUAAGCAAGGACAAUUUACUGGUGAAAGAGAGAAUAAGUUGAAGUAUAGGGCAGUUUCAAGUUAUAUUCACUUCAGUGGAAAUUCACUUCAUUUUUUAGACUGAACAGAACUAUCCAAGGGGAUGUAAUAGUGCAACAUCCUACUGUAUCUUCCGUACCUAUGCCAUGCUUGCUCGUAGCUGAAUAAUGAACUCUUGACAAGCUUUACAGUAGCUGCAUUACUUGUUCCGUCUGCAAUAUUUAAACAGGUCACAGUGAUUUGACAUGCAGGAAAUUUUUGCUAGCCACUUUAAGAGUGAGAAAGAUACCAUUUUUUUGUAAAGCAGCCAAGAACAGCCUCGCUUUUUGUGCUUGUGUAAAUGAUGGAUGGUUUGGCUUGAUAUAUUACUGGAGUAGAGUAAGAGGAUUUUAUAAGAUGCAUGAAGAAGAAACAAAACAUCCCAAGCCAAUUUGUCUUUUUCUCAAAUUUCAGAUGGGAUCUCCAAAACCAAACUAUCAUUAAAUCAAAAGACACUUGGGAAUGUUACCAAUAAAUCCCAUUCGAAAACCAUAAAGCUGGAAAAGCAAUUUUAUGCUCUACUGGGGGAAGAAUUCAUACUCAUAUCUACCAACGGGAAAUCUUCACUUCCAUCUUCCCAGAACUCAAGCACGUAAAGCUGUCGGAUACUGGAAUCAUAGUAUGAAACUCCAAUUCUGAAAAUGCAAUUUCAUUUAUUCACAAAACUCUUCUGAGAUUAAAAGUUAAUGUACAAUCCCAAACAUCAUCUUAACAUCUAAUUACACUCUAAACAUUAUAGUGCAAUAUAAAAGAGAGCGCACCUAUGUCCUUGCAUGAUACAAGCCAUAUAGACCUGCAAUAAAAGGCACAUUUUAGGAAAAUCGUCAACAGCGCACAAAAACCACUAAAAAAUGUUCUACAUCAGAAGGCAGUACUCUCUACUUCUUAUCUUUGGUUGAGAAUUAAUGCACAAGCCGACAUGUAAGAGACAAGAACCAUUAAAUUUGGCUAAAAGUUUCCAACAUCUUUUGCAAUUUGCAGCAUACAGUGACCGAGUCACAUAUAGAAAUUAAUCUUCUACUGAAACACUAUACCGUUUUCAGUUCAAAGCUCGAAUUCAUGUAGCAGGUGUCAAUUAAAAAACUUCAAAAUUCCGUAGAAGAGAUUAGAAAAAGUGAAGACAUGGAUUCUAGCUGAAGAGCUCGAAAUGAAGGUGUGAAUUGAAACCAUACAUCGCACGACGAUUAGCUAAAUCUCCUCGGCUUAUGAUUUACAGACUCGAGAUUCACUAAAUUUGAUCUUCUUUAAUACACUUUAGUUCUUCCACAUCAAAUUCUUCCAUAUUAAUCCAAACAUAAGAACAUAUCCAUCCUUCAAAUUCUCUCGGGAAAAUCCUGAGGCCUACUUGUUAUUUUUGCAGUGAUCCUCAUAUAAGCAAACUACCUCAGCUGAAAUAUUUUGGAAUUGAAAUGGCAGAACAAACAUUGAUUAUUUUAUCGAAAUUGAAUUACCUGAGGUGUGGCCUCUGUUUCGUCGACUUCUUCCAUUAUCCUAUAGGCUGAAUUUGUCGUUACAGGGAAAAACAGAGAAAGAGCGCGAAAAACUGAAAUUUAAAAUUGAUUCUGUGUUUUAGGCUUCAACUUAUGACAGGAAGGGGUAGCCAAUGCGUUUGUCCAGAAAUAAUCAGUCGGACUCUGCUGCUGCUCCAAACGUGAUGCCUUUGUAGAUGAGAGACGAAGGCGUGGUGGAUUAAAGUUGUCAAAUACGCCUUUGAUAAUCAAGGGCUUCUGAUUUGAAGGCGUGGGCUUAAGACGGCAGUAAACAACUGAAGCGCUAUAAAGGUAGGAUUCUAUUUAUUGUGAUUUUGAAGUCCUUUUUAAUAGAAGGGAUGAAUUUAGAAACUUUCCCUGUGGCUUAUUAUCACUCGUUACAUCCCUGCCCUCCCUUACUUCUUUUUUUCUUUUUUGCUUUAUUGUUUAAUUUUUACAAAUUAUGAGUAUAUGAACAGAAGGUUGAAAAUAUAAAAGCAAAAAGCAUGAAGGUGUAAGUUUGGUGAGCAAAAUAUAGCACCCACAAUCAUAAGUAGCAAGUACUAACAAAAAUUCCAAUCGGUUUAUGUUAAAAGUUUACUUGAGUUGUUUUCAAGUUACCAAAAAAAAAAUGUUUUGCUUAUAGUGAGGUGUUUUGGGACUUUAAGAAGUUUCAUAAAUGGUUUUAAUUUUUUUCAAGUGAUAAUUUCACAAACCUCCCUGAGGUUUUUGACAAUUAUAGAGAGCAUCCCUCAAGUUUUAAAAAUUAUAUGUACCUCAUUUACUUUUAUUGUUUAGUAACAAUAUAGGUCAAAUAAGAUAAAUUUUCUCACAAUAUACAAAAUUGCCUUUUUGUACAAGACAAAAAACGAAAAAUAUAGUAUAUUCAAUCAUUUUCUUACACAUUUUGCACAAAUCAACAAAUCUAAUUCCUAACAACCAUCCAAGUAUAAAUUUUAAAACUAAAUAGUCAUCCAAAAGAUUUCAAAUUAUACAUACAGUAUCAAUAUUUACCACACAAGAAAAAGAAAAAACCACACACAAACCCUAUUGACAACCAAUUUUAUAUCCUAAAAUUAAAUAUCAAUGUUUAAAUACAUUUUCAAUGCAAGCUAAUGUGGCCUAGAACUACCAUUAUAAACCUUCUAUGUUCUUAAAAAUAUUAAUAUCUAAAAAAUAAAGAAUAAAUUUCACCUCCAUAAUAAAAUCAUAUUAAAAAAAUUUAUAAUCCAUUGAAAGAAAUUCUUAUGUAAUUAUUAAUAUUUUAUAAAAGCUAGAUGAUACUUCUGAAUAGGGAUGUACGCGAGUCAAGCUACUCGUGAGUAACUUGAUCAACGGCUUGGCUUGAACUCGGGUUGACUGAGUUCGAGCCGAGUCUCGAGCUACUCGAUUGUCAUUCGAGUCGAGUUUCGAGCCAAAAUUUUGAAGCUCGUGGCUUGUCGAGCUACUCGUCGAGUCGGAGUAUUUAAAUAAUAUAUUUAUGAUUUAAAUAAUAUAUAUAUUAUAAUUAUAAAAUGAACGUUAUGGGUAUAAGUUAUACAGAAUUUAUAAUAUACUUUUCUUAUAAUAAAAUUUAAUAAUGGUAAAAAAGUAAUAACAUAAUUGUAAAAAUACCUAAAAAAAAAAAGUCUAAAAAAGGGAAGAAAAGGCUUUCUUCUCUGUCUGUUCGAAGAAAGUUGAGAAGAAAUUCACUUUCUGUUCGAAGUACAUCCCUACCAACCACUGACUCUGAGUGAUUUAGAUCUAAACCCUAUCUCCGUUACUCUCAGUCUCUCGUUCGUCGCCGACGCCGUUGCUUGCCGCAUCUGUCAGACUCCAUCGCCAUCUCUACAGAGUGAGCUCGCCGCAUCUGGUUACUGGUAUGUCUGCCUCUGCUCUAAUGUAGUAUGAUUGAUUACCGCAUCUGGUUACUCCAAUCAUAUUGAGAUGCCCCCUGACAAAUAUUAUGCGCUCUGAGUUUGUUAAAGUUGGUGUCUUGGUAAUUUUCGCCGCAGCUCUUAUGGUAUCCUUUGCAAUUAUGAGCCACUGGAAUUGGGACCCUGAUUCAUGCAUCUGUAAUUGUUGUCGGUUGUUUACAUUUAAUUGGGUAAGAAACCCCUACGUAUUUCUAGCAGAUGUUUUGAUUUGUCAUGAGACGACAAAUUGGCCUGGGUACUCUUAGACCAUUAUUCUUUACUUUCAAUUCUAGAAUCAUAGGCAUGAGAACUUCUUGUCUGGGUUGAUCAGUUGAUUAGCAACUUGCCAAGCUCUUCUAGUUGACCCAACUGGCUGAAAAACCAAUUCUGCUUUCUCCAUGUCGACUGAUGGAACAGAAUAGCUGCUCUGUUUUGUUUUCUGGGGAUUUAAAAGUUUGUUGUCUACUUCUUCAAAAGAGCCGUGUCUUAUAACCAAAAUCUUGGUAUAGAUGCAACCCAGACAAUGAAUCCUUAACAUUUUUUUAGCUACAAAAAUUGUAUGUACAAACAGUGGAGUUACCUUUUCUUUAUCAAUUGGCAUUUAGGAUACUGCUAUAAAUUGUUUAUGCCUUGUUUCAGAGCUGUGAAAAAUGGUUAACGUCUCUAGUCAAAUGCACUACAGAGCAACAAAAUUUAAUUGUGGUGACCAAUUUUUCUCAUUUGUUCUUUCUGUCUCAUUUAAAACGUGGCUGUCCCUGUCUUCUACAUACUGCUUAAUUGAUGUCUCGUUCAAUUGUUUUUUUAAUCUCAACUAGACAAAUUAUAAUCCAAAAGAAAAAACAAAUUGUGCUGUAGUUCUUAGUUCUUGAAAUUCAUGUAGCUUGUUGUGCUGUAGUUUUAAGUAGGUGCACGAAUUGAUAUACGGAGUUAUAUGGUUAUGAGGUGGAGCUUAAAAUGUACUUAUUUAUGUUCUGUACUGGUCCUCUUUCUUUUGUCUGUUCUGUGUAAAGUUCAUAGUCAAAGUAAAAAAAAAAUGGCACUUUACUGUCAUCGACUUAGAGGCUGAUAAGCUUUUUACAUGCUUUUUUGGUGUCAGCAUAGGUGAUACAGCUAUAGUGUAUAAGGUCAUCUUUGCUGGGCUUGUCUGCUUUCUGCUUCAUGCCAGCAUUUUCACUCUUCAAAGCUAUUCUUGUUCUGUUAGUCGAGUCAGGUUAGUGACAAGAGUUUUCAACUUCAUUCUUCUAUAUCUUUUUCAACACUUGUAAUUCUGCUAUAUGGUCCAUUUCUGAACCAGGAAUAUAUUUUUCUGACAGUUCUUUUUAAAGCAGCUUUCUUUAGUUAGUAAUUAGUGAUAUUUGUGGAAAAGGAAUUUCUGGAUAGAUCUUGGCAUUGGUUUCUUGAAUUGGCUUGUUGUUAUGGGAUAUUGUGGCUGUUUGAGAUAAUUGUUUGUCUCUCAUUUGGUGGCUCAGCUCAUGUUUUGCUGAGUUUUGGAAUUUUGUGGGGAAUUUUGGUUAGUUUGGGACUUUCGCAGGGUGUUAAAGAUGCUAACUGUGGGAGGUAGAAUGUGGAUACUUGUAUUUGUAUCGAUGAAUACAUGGAUUUUAUGCCUCAUUUACUCCAACUGAUAGCUACUUGCUUGCUUGUGGAUCUUCCCAAAACGUCACCUUGAUUAUAUGCCUCAUUUUUGAUCGAGUCGAGUCAAAAAGCUUGAUUAGACUCGACUUGAUAAGCUUGACUAAAGGUUGAGCCUAAUCGAGUCGAGUCUCGAGCUUAAGGGAGUUCUUCGAGUCAAGCUUCGAGUAUCGAUUUUUUGGACUCGGUCGAGCUCGAGCCUAGAUAUAUAUGAGUCGAGUUGAGCUCGAGUAUAGCAAUACUCGAGCUUGACUUGGUUCGAUUACAUCCCUACUUCUGAAGCCGCUUCUCUUCUAUUUCUUGUUCUGGGCCUCUCUCACCAUUGGUGAGCUUUACAUUCUUCUCUUUCCCUACCCUGUCACUCUCCACAUCUUGAAGCUUCACUUUCACUCCCAGUUCUCUUCGCCUCUUCUUCUCCCAUGUAGAAAUCUCAAACAUCGUUUUGUUGAUAAUUGUGAUUGAGAGACAAGUUUAGACUAAAACUGGUAUGUGUUGAGUAUUUUGGAUUUGAGAACAAAUUUAGAUUACAAUUGGUGACACUAGGACAAGGGAAAACAAUUCUAGCUGUUUAUUCUGCCAUCUUUUUUUUGGGUUGAAUUUUGAAGCUGUGAGGCUAGAGUCGCUAGACACAGCAAAUCUCGCUUUUAUAUAAUAUAUAUAUAUUAUAUUUUUAACACAAUUGGUCGACUGGAUCAGGACUAGCCAGAGUUCAUCAAGUUAACUCCGAUUCUAGCAUCUCCGAGUAAAAGUAGCCCGGAAUGGGGGCUGAGUCGCAGUGACAACUUGGCCGAAGUUAAAAUCCUGAUCAAAACCAAUCAGUAGCAUUAUUGUUCAAUGAAAACAGCUUUAGUACCGUAGAUUUUUCAUUUUUCUUUUUCAUUUUUUCUGUUUUGACCACUCCCCUAGUCUUUUCUAUUUUUCAUGAUUUGCCUCUAGUUGUUUGUUUAAAAGUUUUCAUUAAGUUUCGAACUGAAAAAUGUUAAUUGUCUAGCUUAAUAAUCUUCUUGUUUAGUUGAGUGUAAUUGGCUUUAAUUUUCCCUUUUCGGUACAGAACUCAUGCAAGAUAGCGAUGGAUGUCUUGCAAAAAGCAGUGAAAGAAUCCCUUUGAGUCAGAGGCCUGAAUAUGCCGAUGUGAAGCCUGUCCCCAGGAUACGGUCCAAAUCCAUUGUCCCUAUCUCCUAUACUGAUGAAUUUAGAGAGACAAUGGACUAUUUUAGAGCAAUAUAUGUAGCCGAUGAGCAGUCUCAUCGAGCUCUUCAACUCACCACAGAAGCCAUCAAACUUAACCCUGGAAAUUACACUGUUAGUUCUUGUUUUGUGUUGAUGCAUGCUUAUAUGUUUAGUACCCUCUAUAGAGAAAUUGAGUAAGAAAUUUUUGAAGUAAGACCUAUUGUUUUUGCUGUUUAGGGAAUUUGCAGUAAAUAUUUUAUGAUAAACAACACAGAAGAGUCUAAAUUUGACCUUUUUCUGCUAUUUUAAAUUCUCACAACAAGACCCUUUUUGUUAAAGUGAUUUUUUGAAUAAUCAUGACAUGCAUUUGGCUAUCUUGUUCAUGAUUCUUGAUGUAUUAGAUGGGCCCUUUAGGCUCUUGAAGCUUCGGAAAAAAGAAGAAAAUAUGGAGGGGAAUUAGUUUGUGAAGAAUUAUGUGUAUUAGGCAUUAUUUUGCGUGUCUGUUGAUUUAGGUAUGGCAAUUUAGGCGGCUAGUACUCGAGGCGCUUAAUGCUGACAUGAACAAGGAAUUGGACUUUUCGGAUGGCAUUGUGGAAGGAAACUCUAAGAAUUAUCAGAUAUGGUAUAGCUACAUUUUUCUUCUGCAUUUGGACCCUUAUGUAGAUAAUUGCAGUUUUGUUGUUUAUUGUACCUGGUGCAUUGAUCAAGGACAAAGUCUAGGUGUCUGCAGACUGAAUUGGUGAGGUGAUCCUUUUGACAAAUAGUUUUCUUGUUUUAUCUGCAUGUCCUCUUAUUUUCUCUCUCCUCUUAAGCUUUUAACAAUCAUAUUUGUGUGGAAGCUUUGUUUCGUUUAACUUCUGGGUUUGCUUGAAUUCUGUUUGUUGCUAAGGAACUUUUUCUAUGCUGGGACAUUGUUCAUUUCCAAAUCUAAAAAUACUUUAUACAUAACGGGAAAAAAAGGAUUAUCUUUGUACUAGUAGUAUUUGGAAAGUUAUCAGCACCCUUUGCAAUACCUAUAUCAUGUCAAUUCGUAUCAUGUCAGUUAUAGUUCUUUGGUUGGUAAAAUAAAGUGUCAUAAUAACAUGCAUAGUUGAAUGGAAUAUAAUCUGACAUGUAGUUCAACAUACAAGAGUAAGCUACUAAAUUUGAACAUAGAACUAUUGGCUUUGGGAUAUUAUCACAUGGGCAAGCUAUUUUGAUAUUGAAUUUUGCUUAAUUGAAUGGGAGGCCCCUAUGGAGUCGGUGAGGGUUUAAAAUCAUAACCUGACAUGUAAUUUCAAAAAAAGACCAAUGUCCAUCUGGGAACCAGCGAAAGCUGGAUUGGAUUUUGCUUGCUUGAAAAAAAAAAGAAUGGGUUUUUUUUUAUUCUUUUAAUACAUACAUUUGGCACAAGCAUGCAUUCAAAACUUUCCUUUUAUGUUGUUUCAUCCAGUUCUAUUGUUGGUUAGUUUCAAAUCAUUCUGUUUUUAGGGACUUGAAACUAAUUAGAAAAAUGACUUUCCAGGCACCAUAGGCGUUGGGUUGCUGAAAAUUUGGGAACUGAUGCUUCAACUAGGGAGCUUGAGUUCACAAAGAAAAUUCUUUCUAAGGAUGCAAAACAUUAUCAUGCCUGGUCUCAUAGACAGGUAAUUUUUGAUUUAGUAUUAUUCUUUAUUCUGUUCCAUUCUUUGAGGUGCAAGAGUUCUCAAUUGCCUUAAAUGACAAUCACCAUGUUUGCUCUGGUAAAGGAGGUGUAAAGGGACUUUUGUUUGGUAUGUGUACAUGAAGAGACUGAAUAUCUAAAUCUCUUGUGCAGUGGGUCCUUCAGGCACUUGGCGGAUGGAAAGAUGAGCUAGCCUAUUGUGAACUACUCCUCAAAGAUGACAUUUUCAAUAAUUCUGCUUGGAAUCAGGUAAAGAAUGAUGCUUUGGUUUGGAUUAGAUCCUAAAUGUCAUGAUGUCUAUCUCCAAACGUCAUCGGUAAAUAGGCCUCUUUUAUGUUUUGGUCUACCAGUAUACAUUGAGUAAUACAAGAUGGUGUUGGCUUGAAAAUAAAAAUUACCAGCUGGUCCUUAUCCUUUUUGCAAGUUAAAAAAUUGGUAAAUAAGGUACAGAUCAAGAAAACCAAUUUAUGCAAGUCCGUGAAGCCAGUUACUGUAGAAAAAUCAAAGAGAGCCAUGACUCUCUAGCCAGUCUUGACAUCACUUUAAAUAUUCCUCCAGUUUAGAUAUAUAUUUUGCUCCUGUUUUCUCCAUAAAACCUCCACUUGUGCUAGAUGCCUAGAACAGCCCCAAAGCCACUCCAAAUCCUCUCCUCUUUUCUAAUCGUCUUAGGUGGACUAUCUAGAGUUUUCUUUUUUGUGUCAGCAUUGUUAUUAGUAAAAUCUCGCAUUUCAUCUCACAUGAUGACUCAUUCUGCAACUUCGUGACCAACUUCGUGUAAAACCUUCAUUGUUUUAAUGUAAAACUAAUUUAAAUUUCCAAGUUCAUGACCAGAUGUUCUUGAAAUUCUUGAAAAGGGGAAAGAAAAAUGCUGACUAAUCUGAUUAACAACGUUAAUGUUUCGACCCAAUUUGUGGCUAGAUUGAAUAUUCGAAAUCUUUCCUAGUUGAACUGAUUAAAUCUUAGGUAUUUCCAGGUAAACCAAACUAAUUAGUUAGAAGCUUAUCAACUCAAACCCUCUGACCUUAUGCAACACAAUUGUAUUGUGCUUAUAUGCCUAUUUUGAUAUCUUGUUCACAAAAUCAUCUGUUAUUUGUUCUGUACUGAUAGAUAAAUAUGUAAAGUAUUCAAUGUGUGUCGGUGAACGUAUAAAACGUGAGAUUUAAAAUUCAGCUUUUUAUGGAUCUAAUGUCAAAACUUUACUGGUACCAUCAUCCCAAAUGCUAGCAGAUAGUUAAUUGUGUGAUUCCAACUUGCGUCAUAUAAUCAUCUGAUAUGCUAUGAGGAGGUCAUGUUUUAGUUGUCCUUGCAUGAUCUCUUGUCACAGUGUUGUACCUUUGUAGAUUUCUACAUCUGAGAAAUCCCAUGUUGAAUUAUUGGUUGCAGAGAUAUUUUGUUGUAACAAGAUCUCCUCUCCUUGGAGGCCUGGGGCAAUGAGGGAGUCAGAAGUAACUUGUACAGUUAAUGCAAUUAUGGAGCAUCCUGAAAAUGAAAGUCCUUGGAGGUACCUUCGAGGCUUAUACAGAAAUGAUACACAGGCUCUAGUUAAAGACCUCAAGUAGCGUCAGUUUGCUUAAAGAUUUUGACUGCCAAAAACAAUUACGUGCACGCCCUCAGCAUGCUUUUGGACCUUCUCUGCCAUGGUUUCCAGCCUAGCCUGGAGAUAAGAAAUGCUGUCUAUGGUCUUUCUGACUCGGGUGCCCAAGGUUCUGAUUUGGUGAAAGUGGUCUGUUCUAUCCUAGAACUUGUAGAUCCAAUUAGAGCAAACUAUUGGAAGUGGCGGAGGAACAUGGCGCCUGCUCAAGCAGCUCAAUGCUUGAAAGAUGAUGGAUUGACUGGUUUGAGUUUAUAAAGGUGCCCAUAGAUCUUUCGUCUUAUCUUACCUUAUUUCUCUACUCGUCGGUAUUAUCAGAGGAGAGAGAUCCUGCAUAGAAAAGAACUUCUUAUGUGGAAAGUCCUUGUGUUGCUCUUGACACCGCCAUAUUGAACUAUCCUUUUGUUGCAACACCACCAUAUUGAACUACCCACUGUAGCUGAACCUCUAAUUUACUCGAUUUGAGUACCGGAUAAAGGAUGCAAUCGAAACAUAUAAGCUCUGCAACUUGGUGUCUUCUGUCUUUCUAUUUUCACGAUAUUGACUUGUUUUUGUUUUUUUUUUUUCAUAAUGUAGCAUCCUCCUCCAUAAGAUUUGCAGAAAAUGAGUUUUAUGACAAUGGGAUGCUCCCCACCUAUUCCAUUCUCGCCCUUUUGGGCUCUAGACCGCAAGUUUCUAGUAACUAUAGGCGUUUCAAUGUCACUACUGACAAGCAUUCUAGGAGAAAUUAAACUAGUGAUGGACUUUGUCGGUUUAUAUUCCUGUAUCACUUGUUUGCAAGUAACCUUGUCAGUUUGUCUCAGUGGUUCACUAGUGUUGGAGAUGAAUUUGUUCAAAGCUCAAAUUCAUGUAGCAGGUGUCAAUUAAAACUUCAAAAUUCCGUAGAAGAGAUUAGGAAAAGUGAAGACAUGGAUUCUAACUGCUGAAGAGCUCGAAAUGAAGGUGAAUUGAAACCAUACAUCGCACGACGAUUAGCUAAAUCUCCUCGGCUUAUGAUUUACAGACUCGAGAUUCACUAAAUUUGAUCUUCUUUAAUACACUUUAGUUCUUCCACAUCAAAUUCUUCCAUAUUAAUCCAAACAUAAGAUAUCCAUCCUUCAAAUUCUCUCGGGAAAAUCCUGAGGCCUACUUGUUAUUUUUGCAGUGAUCCUCAUAUAAGCAAACUACCUCAGCUGAAAUAUUUUGGAAUUGAAAUGGCAGAACAAACAUUGAUUAUUUUUAUCGAAAUUGAAUUACCUGAGGUGUGGCCUCUGUUUCGUCGACUUCUUCCAUUAUCCUAUAGGCUGAAUUUGUCGUUACAGGGAAAAAACAGAGAAAGAGCGCGAAAAACUGAAAUUUAAAAUUGAUUCUGUGUUUUAGGCUUCAACUUAUGACAGGAAGGGGUGGCCAAUGCGUUUGUCCCGAAAUAAUCAGUCGGACUUUGCUGCUGCUCAAGCGUGAUGCCUUUGUAGAGAAGAGAGGAAGGCGUGGUGGAUUAAAGUUGUCAAAUACGCCUUCCAUAAUCAAGGGCUUCUGAUUUUGAAGGCGUGGGCUUAAGACGGCAGUAAACAACUGAAGGCGCUAUAAAGGGAGGAUUCUAUUUAUUGUGAUUUUGAAUUCCUUUUUAAGAGAAGGGAUGAAUUUAGAAACUUUCCCUGUGGUUAAUUAUCACUCGUUAACAUCCCUGCCCUCCUUACUUCUUUUUUUUUUUUUUGCUUUAUUGUUUAACUGUAUACAAAUUAUGAGUAUAUGAAUAGAAGGUUGAAAAUAUAAAAGCAAGAAGCAUGAAGGCGUAAGUUUGAUGAGCAAAAUAUAGCACCCACAAUCAUAAGUAGCAAGUACUAUCAAAAAUACCAAUCAGUUUAUGUUUAAAAAUUUACAUGAGUUGUUUUCAGGUUACCAAUAAAAAUGUUUUACUUAGUGAAUAGAGGUGUUUUAGUUGACUUGAAGGAGUUUCAUAAAUGGUUUUAAAUUUUUUAAAUUUCCUAGUUUUCUAUUUUCAAAUUGACUUACUCUAAGAUUUUUUUUUUAAAAGGAUACAAUAUUUAAAACUAUACUUGAAGACUUAUUUGAGGUGUUUUCAAGGGUAUUUUUAUUGAAAAGUAUUUCGAGUGAUAUUUACAACCUUUAUAUACUAUAUUAAUUUUAUAAUUAUUAUUGUUCACUCAGAUGACACGAGGGUUUUGUAACAACGUCAACAACUUGCAAUUUAUCAUUAAAGUUAAGGAAUUAAAUUGAUUUUUUAUGACAAUUAAGCCAUUAAGAGACCAUAAAAGCUUCAAUAUCAAAAUGAAAUAAUCUUCUUUCCCAAAAUUAAUUUUUAAAUCUUAUAUUAGGAAUUGGGGGUGACAAAAUUAUAAAAGUUAAAAGUUAGAGAAUAGCUAGUUUGGAUGUUUAGGUUAGAAAAGAAAAGAUGGGAAAUGUUAAGUUAUGAAAGAAAAUAAUAGAAUCAAAAGGAAGAUAUGAGAUUUUAACUUUGUUUGAGACUUUUAAAAGGAAAUAUAGUGAUUUUGGAUAUAUAUGUCAAUAAAAUUUCAUUCAAUAGUUUUGUGAGGAUAAAAUGGCAAUUUGAAAAAGUUUUGUAAGCUUCCAUCAGUUUUCUGUCAGCUGCAAACUAUAGGUCCUUAAACGUAAUAAUGGCUCAAUUUGAGCAAUAGUCAGUUAGCUCAAUAGAUUAGCAAAACGGUGCAGUUUUGGUCUUACUUAAGUACCAGUAAUACGAUGCCGUUCCAAUUAAUGAGGUCAUUAGGUAGUUAAGUCGAUUGUUAGCUAUCUGACAAAUCUGUUAGAGUUGGUUAUAUAAGUGGGACUCACGUGUAAGGAAUACGAUCAUUGAUCACAUUUCCUUUCCUCUUGCAUUCUUGCCUUCUUCCUCUCUCUCUCUCUCUCUCCUGCUCUCCCUCCUCUGAUUCUUCCCCAAUUCCUCUAAUUCUUCUGAUUUCUUCUUUUUAAUCCAAUUUCAAUCCUAACAAUUCCAGAAAUUAACCUCGAGUCCGUGACAUUUUCAUUCACUUUCGGCCUGCUUUUGGUCAAAAAAAUUGCACUGUAGUAGAGUUGGCAAUUUGUCCCAAGUCCCAAUGGGCUACCCAUGCCCAAAGGAACUUUGGGCGGGAUGGGUAUUAUAAUUUGGUAUUGGGUUUAAGUUGGGACACAUCCCAACUAUACCCAUUAAUGAAUGGGAAAGGAUGGGAAAUACUUGGGUACCCACUGGGCUCAAAUGGCAAGGGCUCCGUUUGGAUUAGCUGUUUUUUGUAGGUGUUUUUGAAAUAUUUUAUUGUAGCAGUGUAUAUGAAAAAUUUUUACUAUAAAAUUUUUUUGAAAUAUUUGAUAUAUUAAUAUGGAUGGGAUGUUUUUUGAGUUAUUGUAUAUUACUGUAACAUUGUAUUUGAAAAACUUAUUUUUUGAAAAAAAAGUCAAUCCAAACGGAAUCUUAGAUUCAAAAAUUAUCUUUAACAAUUUUUAUAGUUAUACCAGCGAAUAUAAUCUAGUAGUCUUCCUAGUCAUUAUCCACAAGAAUUUCCAGCAUUUCAGUUAGUUUAGACCUGUCAUCCUUGGACAAUGAUAAGGAUAAAUAUUCAACAUCCUAAGGACCUUGGCCAUCUUGAUAUAUGUUGGAAUAUGGUUGUAUAUCUAUCUUUUCCUUUAUUUGUUAAUCCAAUUUUUGGUGGGAAUCUUGAGUAUAAAGCACUUGCAUGUUUAUUUAAUAAAACUAAAAGAAAUUUAAUAAAUCAAAAAUAUUAAAAUUAUAUAAAAUAAAAAAUGAAUUAAAGGAAAAAAAUAUGUAGAAAAUGGAUUUGGGUAUUGGGCGAGAUCAAUCUAAACCCAUCCCAAAAUGAUCCCGCCCAAGUUAGUCCCAAAACACAUAUGGGUAAGGUUGAGCCCAAACCCAUAUGACUCGGUUCCAUCUCAAACCCAAGCAAAUCCCGCCCAUCCCGCCCAUUUUGCCACCUCUACACUGUAGUAGCGCGUGGCAUCUUUCAAAAUCCGUUCGUUUGGUUUCUUUUCAGUCUCACUUGAAAUUCCCAAACGUAGGAAAAUCCAUCUCUCUCUUCCUUUCUUUUUGAUUCUGUUGGAAUCUCAACUCCCAAAUUAGCCAUUAAAGUGAUUUUUGUAACAUUUGGUCCUUAGGGAAAUGCUUAUGAUAUUGUGGCCUACCGGAGGUUAUUGUACUCAUAGGGUACAGAAAACACCUAUUUCACAUUUUCACCCACUUCUCGUUGGACAAAAGGAAAGAGAAAAGUGGUCAUGACCUCCUCUCUAAUUGUAUGGGACAAAUCUAUGUGUAGCUUUAAUGCUGUCUAGUACUAAUUUCUUUUUCUUCUUCUUCUUUAAAUGUAAUAUGAUUUGGAGGUUUUGAAUUCGGAAUCUCUCACUUAUACUCUCUCUUAUCGUAUCACCAAAUUCAUUCAUUCCCUUUGAUACUAAUUUCAGUUGGUAGUAAGCAGAUAGACUCCAAGGCGGACAACACUACUCAAGCAUCAUGAAAAAAGAUUAAUAAAAAUCAGGAAAUAGAAAAAUGCUCAACUAAAUUGGUGUAACGUAGUGGCAAAUGGCAAUAUUCCUCCAAGCUCCCCAAAUCCAUUUCCCCUAAUAGCCAUCAUCCUUUUUAAAAAAAAAAGGUCAUAUCACUAAUGCCCAUCGCCCUAUAAGGCUCAAAAAAGGCCUUUUUCCUGCAAUGUAUUGAGGUAGUUUCAAUUUGUAUUAAAAGUACGAACAAACCAAUGGAAAUGUGACACAUUUCCAAGUGUUGAAAACAACGCUGUUUUGACCCAUGAGAUGGGCUUUCCCAGUUGAAGGCAAUAUAACGCACAGGCAAUCUGACAAUCAAAAGCAGUCUAAAACGUAAAACUAGGCAUGGCAACUGGGCGGGGGAUCCGGACCAAAAAAUUCCUCCCGCCUCCGGCCCAUCCCCUGUCUAUGUUCCCCCCACUCCCGUCCCGCCCCGUCUUUUCUACAGGGUGCUUGCAGGUGAUAAUUUUUUUUUUUUGUAAAAGUUUUUAUUUAAUAGAGCAAAAUUAAAUUCAAAAAAAAAGAAUAAAAUACGAACCUGAAAAAAGUGGAAAAAUAAAAAUGAAACAUGAAAAGUGUUGAAAUAAAACACCAAAAAAAUUAAGAAACUCAAUUGGAUUGUAUAGAUAACAUUUGGGAAUACUCAUAAAAUGUUUAACAUAUUUGUGUCAAAUAUCAAUUAGAAAUUUAGAGAGAAAUGAAACAAAAAUUAUGUUUAGUUAUCAAAUAUUCUAAAUGUAUUAUUAUUAUAUUAUAUAAUCUAUUGCAUUUAUGUAUAUUAAUAAAUUAAAGUGAGGGAUGGGUAGGAGAUGGGCACAAGUAUCGUCCCCCCCCCCCCCCCCACCCUAUUUAAAAUAGGGGGAAAAAAAAUUCCCCCCGUCCCGCCCCAUUCCCACAGGACGGGUACCCGCUUCCAUUGUCAUCCGAAUGUAAAACGUUUCAUGUAAUCGUUGGAUCACUUAUUAAAGUAAUCAAAAGGGUAAAUGAAGAAGAAUAUUGUUAAUUUUCUUUGAAAAAAAAUUAAUUCUCUUUACAGGUAACUCAUUAUGGGUCCCAUGCUGAAAUUGUUCAUUUUUUAAGCUGACAUAUUUGAAGUUGAAAAAUCUAAACGAUAGCGAGAGAACAAUUUUUAGUCCCACCCUCAACCUUUUUGGUUUCAUCAUAAUAGUCCAGCUCUCUACCUUUUUUACUUUGCUAUUGCAGUAAAUGUUUUCUGGUUUCCUUCUUUUUCUUUUCUAAUGUUUACACAAUUUAACGUAUUUUAUAUUAAUCGACUGCACAAGGAGAAGACAACUUUAGUUUUUAGUACUUUAGGGACUAAAACGUGUAAAACAAAAUUAGAUUUAUAUGAGAAUUUAAAAGUAGUUUGGAGACUAAUUAAAAAUUAGAACUCCAUGAGAAUUAUCUAAUUAAAAGGAAAUACAUUAAAUAGGUUUCAUUGUUUCUUAAAUUAGAAUGAUGAAAUUGAUGGGAAGGUUAUUAAUAUACUCAAAGAAUUAAAAAAGAAAAAUAUUAAAUUAACUGAAAGAUAUAGGGAACUUAAAAGCUUUAGUAAAAGAAAAUUUGUGACAACGUAAUAAUGCAAAGUAAAAGUAAAAUUGUGCAAAUAUUGAUAUAUUUACAUAAGUUAUAUAAGUUGAAAAUUGGAAAUCGGUGUAUUGCCUAAAAUUAAAACCAUAAAAUUUAGAGAGUUUAGGUUUAAAUUCUCAUUUUCCUCAUAGCAUUUUAAAUUUUAUUCCUUCCAUGUUAAUAAAAAAAUAAAAUGUUGGAAAUUGGGAAAAGUUGCAACAGAAAGUAAAAGGUAAACUUUGACAAAUAUUUAGGCAUUUAUAAAGUUAAACAAAUGUAACAGUUACGUGGACCAAGAAGCCAAAGCACAACUUUUCUUGUUGGAAAUUGGGAAAAGUUGCAACAGAAAGUAUAAAGUAAACUUUGACAAAUAUUUUGGCGUUUAUAAAGUUAAAAAAUUUAAGUGAUGCGUGGACCAAGAAGCCGAAGCAUAACUUUUCUUUAAAAAGAAAUGUAAAGUAUUCAAACGUUAAAUAAAUAAAAAUGGUAACCACAGGUAAUAUUAGAUUCAUUGAUAUAUUCAUUCUUUCUCCCUCUUUUUUUUUUUUUUUUUUUUUUUUUGUAUAAAUGGGAGGGUUCAAACUGAAAUUUCUGACUUAUAUUGUCUCUCUUAAACCACCCAAUUCAUUCAUCUUCCUCUUUUUUUUUUUUAAGACGCAGUAUUAGAUUCAUUGAUAAAUUACACACAUACAGACACACACACACACUCUCUCUCUCUUUUUCUCUUAUAUAAGUGAGAUGGCUCGAGUGUAAGAUCUCUCGCUUAUAUUUUCUCAUUCGAACCACCCAACCCAUUCAUCCAAUUUUUUAAGAGGAUCAAUAGUGAUUUUUCACUUAUUCCUUUAAUUAAAAUUUAUAAUAUGAGCAUCUUACUCAUGACAUGUAGUAUACGGCACUUUACUAGAAUUAGUAGAAUGAGUACAAUUAACCAGGCCUGCAACCAGAAAAAACGAUGGGAUCGGAUUUGUAAUAGAAAAAACGGUGGACAAGAUCAUGACAGACUAGCUAAACGAGUAAAUGUAGAGUCAACUUUUCAAGUUGAGGUAACCGCACGUUUGGAGGCAAAUGACUCGUGCAAGGAGUUUUGGCGAUGCAUCCCUAUGUAUAAAAACCAAGGAUGGCAAUUAUAUAUGUAUAUAAUUAAAUAUAUAAUAUUUAAUUUAAUUAUUUAUAAACUUAUGAUAAUGAUAUUAUUAGUUAUAUGUAUUAUAUAAUGUAUAUUAGUAUAUGUAAUAUAAUUGAUAUUAUCAAUUAUAUUAAUAAUUAUAUAUGUCUACUAAUAGAAAUUAUUAAUUAGUUAUACUAAAUUUACUAAUACAUUUAUAUUAAAUCUCUAAUUACACUUAAUACAAUAACAUUUUUCUCAAAAAAAAGCACAAAUAUAAUAAUAAAUUAGUGAUUGUAUUUGUGCCAAAAGUGAAAACUUGACUACUUUAGUUGUAUUUAUUUUAUCAUGUUAGAUUGUAUUCAAAUAACUUUUGUUUGAUUGUUUUUAUAAGUUUCAAUUGUGAAAUUACAAUGAAUAAUAAUUUGAUGAUGUGUUGAUAUUUUAGUACUUGAUUAUUUACUAAAAUUUAACUAUAAUAAAUUUUUAUUAGCCCCACAGGACACUCAGGGGGAAGUGGGGGGCGGGGGCGGGGGGCGGGGAACGGGGCGGAGCUAGGGGUAAUUUGUAGGAAGCAAGGCGGGGUAAAAACAGAUUGUAUCAGUCUAUUAAAUCAUUUGCAAAGCUCAAAAUUAGAGACCUCUUCUUUGGAAAUUAGAUCGGAACUUCCGGACAUUAUUGUCUUGGCUCAGAAUUUUAAUCCGGUCAUGUUUGUCAAAGUGGAUAGGACUGUGAUAAUGGGAGCUCAUGAGUUAGCUAAUUUAGCUAGAGGGGAUGACUUUGCAUGUAAUGACUUUUUCAAUUGUAAUAUGAUCUAAUGGAAAUGAUAUUUAUGUUUGGUUCAAAAUAAAAAAAAGAAAGAAAGAAAGAAUCAGGAGUAAAGUUCAAUGGAAGCUAAUGAUUAAUUUGUUCACGAGUUAAUUUUCCUUCAAUUAGUUUCAGUGCUUGUUUUGCACUUGGUAUUUUAAUUCUAUAAAAUCUAUUAUUGUAAUUCUUUUGUACAAGUGCUCUUCGUUUAAUUUUAAUUUCUUUAAGAUAACGAUGCCUGUGUAUUUAUGCAUACAUGAGUAGAAGGAACAACAUGAAUUGCAUACCUAAGUGCAAGUAUGUGUGUAUAUAUAGAGAGACAUACACAUCCAUGACAAAAAAUCAUGAAAUGGAAAUAAUUAAAAGAAAAGGAAAAAAAUUAACAUUGUAAAAGGAAUGGAAUGGAAUGGAAAGAAAAUAAAAUUAACCCAAUAUGACUUUCUUGAACCCGUACAGCUGAUUUUAAUACAAUCGUAUUGAAAAUCGCAUCAAUGCACCACAGAUGAACUGCUUCAAAAUUUCUCUCAAAUAUUGAUUAUGCGAUCUGGUUCUCUCUCCUCUUGAUUACGGAAAAUCUCAAGAGCCGAGUUCUUUCAUCAAUCAGGUAAAUUUACCGUCUUCAAGAAACCUUACCGUCUUUCAUUGUACUGUCCUGCUGCAAUCAAGUCCUGCUGCAAUCCCCUAAUUUUCCAUGUAAAAUGAGCAGAAGUCCAAAUCUAUUUCCUUAUUGGAAGAAGCCCUAAAGGGAACAUGACUUGGUCGUGGUCAUGGACCCUAUACAAAAGACCGACAUCGUUUUCACUAUAGCACAGAGAGAGAAACACUAGUCUAGAAUUGAACAUGGUGGAGGUAAUAAAAAUAGACCAAUCCGCCAUUGUCCACCCUGUCGAGUCUAUACCCUUGUUUUGUUUUCUUUCAUGGCAAAAAAUGGAAAACCAAACCUUUUAUUGCCUGUCUUAGCCCAAUACUAAAUACGUUAGAUCAAUUCCUGAGUUAAAGAACAAAAGAUUUUGGUUGUCAUCCACGGGUGGUUAGUGUUAUCGAAGAAAACUCAGUUUCAUCUUUGGAAUCCCAAGACUUUGGAGUCAAUUUAUCUCCCUCCUUUGCAAUUGCAACCUAAACAAUUCUGACAAUAUCCUAUUAACAUCAUCCCCAACAAAUCCUGAUAGCACUCUCCUGCUAUUUUUAUGUUGAUCCUCAAUGCAUCAUGUUCUGCUGCAUCAAAGACCAACGUGGUUUAAAAGAAGCUGCUGUAAAGUAAAGAUAUCAAGAGUAUAGGUGAGACGACUUUAGUUGGGAUAAUUUUUGUUUGCCAAAUUGUCUGUAAUGGUAUAUAUGCUACUAUUGCUUGCAAAGGUAAGCUGGUAGAGAUUGAGAUUUAUGAAACAAAGCCUUGAUAUAAGACCUCUUGAAUGUUAUCUACCUUUUGUUCAAUCCAUGUGCAAUCAACUAAAAACAUACUUGGUGGAAUUCGAUGGGAUGUCUUCGUGAUAAAUUUUGAGUUACACUGCAGGGAAGUAAUCAAAUUAAGACUGAUGGAUUAGACAUGCCUUUGACCUUAAUGAAUUAUAAUUUUUCCAAUUGCUUUUUGCUUUUACCAUGAAUUUUCAAAUGUAUUUUUUUUUGCUGCCCAUGUAGAGAAGUCAUGGCAGCAAGCAUCAAAGGCAUCCACAAGUAUAAAGGAAAAUGGCAGUAUCUUUGUAUGAAUCACAAACAAUGCAUGACUCAGUCGGUGCUGAACACAACCAGAAAGUUCAUCCUCUUUGUGUAUGUGUUGUGUGUUUUUUUUUUAUUUUGGUAAGUAUUGAUAUUGUAUAUACAAGUUGAAAUAUUUUGGAUAUCUACUUGUCACAGACUACUUAAAUUCCUAUGAGCCAACACGCCGUAUGACAAUCGUUAAAGAUUUGAGUAUAUGAACGGUGCUCAUUCAACCUUUAAGUCUAAGUGCGUAAAGAAUAUGCAUAAACUAAAAUAGUGAGUAAAGAAAGACAUUGGCAGCUAAAGGAAAUUUGUAUUACUCUUAUGAACACUUGCACAAGAUUGUUACAAAUGAGGAAGUUUGAUCUAUUUAUAGCAGUUAAGAAGUUAUACAAGUCUCUAGAGAAUUUUACACUGAAUUCUCUCUUUAGAACUUUGUGUUAUUCUUGAUUUUGAUGAUCACAAACACUUUGAAAUGUUUAUCUAAUUCUCUUCAAUAUAAGUUUUGCUUUUUAGAGAAUUAGGUAUAAAGGUGUCAAGGAAAGAAAAUCAACUAAAAGAAGAAGCAAAAACAGGGCACUCAUGUCGGACGUCCGAAAGGAUGAAGAACAUCAAGAAGGAAACUCUGUCGGACGCUCGUGAGGAAGCAUCGGACGUUCGGGAGGAUCGGACGCACGCUUCGGACGCACAUCGAUCGUGUUGGACAUCCGAAAAAUUUCGCAAAGUUUUGAUAACUCUCUGACGACGUUCGAACGCAGAAGCUGUCGGACAAUAAAAUCCCAUCGGACGUCCGAACGACAACUUGGCUGAUUUUCGGACGAUGGAUCAGACGAUGAUUAAGCUGUCGGACGUCCGACAGCCCCAACGGCUAGCUGACUCUUCAUCUGUCUUCUAUCCGUUGGAAGCAUUAAUGAAGCUAUUUUUUGUCCCCUUUAAAUACAAACGAUUCUGAACCAGGAAAGAACGAGAAGCACACUUCAUUUACAAGAUUUCAAGAGAUAUUUUAGCUAGAAAAUAGUCUCCUAAGCAAGAUUUGUUCUCCAAAUAGUGUGAAGUUCUUGUAAGCAUUCUUCUUGUGUUUGAAUUUUUCAAUAGUGUAGCUUUGUUAGAGUUAUCUGAGUGAUAGUAAACUUCCUAGUUUAACUAAGUGAGGCUUGGGGCAAGGAGAAAGUGAUCCCUCCAUUGUACAUUGAGUUGAUUAUCUUUCAUCAAAGAGAAGGUGCUCAUCUUUGUGAUUGGUCUUCAAGUUUGAGGAAAGCUUGGUAGACAAUCGGUUUGAUACUCUAUCUUAUUCCUUUUGUUUAAUAAAAUUAUCAUUGCUUAUAUACACUCUUAUUUCUGAUCAACAUUGCUCUCUUCUUUAAAUUUACUUGGCUGAUCACUACUAGAAAAGAAGGUAAAUUUAAUUAAAGAAAAAGUGCAUAAACUCAAUAAAGUAUUUUUAAUCAACCUAAUUCACCCCCCUCUUAGGUUGUCUUUGGAGCUUACACUUUGUAUACAAAACAACUCUUAUGUACAAAACUCUAUAUCAUUUCAUAAAACUCUUGAACAAUUAUAGCGUUUCGAAAACCUCUAGGACUUGCUAAAUAUUUCUAAAACUUAUACUUAGAUGGUUGUUAGAUAUUUGGCUUUGUUGAUUUAUGCAAAAUAUGGAAGAAAUGAUUGACUAUACUAUAUUUUUUAUUUCUUAGUUUUGUACAAAAGGGCAAUUUAGGAUUUUUGAAAGAAAAUUGAAGUUCUUAGGCCUAUAUUGUUUCUAAACAAUAAAAGUAAAGAAGGUAUACAUAAUUUUUAAAACCUGAGGGGAGCUCUUUGUAAUUGUGUGAAAUCUCAGGAGACGAUUGUCAAAUUAUCUCUUAAAAUUAAGUUGCUGUAAAGAUAUCAAGUAUAAAUGAGACCGACUAUAGUUGGGAUCAUUUUUGUUUGCCAAUUGUCAGUGAUGGUAGAAUAUAUGCUACUACCUCUUCAAAGGUAUCUGGUAGAGAUUGAGAUUAUGAAACAAAGUCUUAUAUAUAAGACCUCUUGAAUGUUAUCUACCUCUUGUUCAAUCCAUGUGCAAUCAACUAAAAACAUACUUGGUGGAAUCUGAUGGGGAUGUCUUCGUGAUAAAUUUUGAGUUACACUGCAGGGAAAGUAAUGAAUAUUGUUGUUUUAAAUUCGACUUCCCAACUAUGAUAUGGAACAGAGUGGAAAGCUGCCCAGAUAGAGCUUUUUUCUUGGCAAUAGCGAACCAAUCUCAUGCCGGACUAUGACAACUGAUUUAGAUCGAAUAGGAAAUCAGGUUUACUUUGCACAUUAUCAAGACAAGUCCCUAUACUCCUACCACAUUGAAGACAAAACUAUCUCAAUAUCUUCACCUUGUCUAGAUCUGCCGACACCCUGGAGCAUACCAAUUUGGGUGUUUCCUGACCCUGAGAGGACCGAGCAUUAUCAUCAACCAGCCAGAGAUAAAAAAAAAGGAGAAAAGCACAUAUUAUCUCUAUGGCUGAUGCUUUCAAGCACAAUUGAAGGAGUUGAAUGUUUGGUGGAUCCUGACUCGGUGUUGAGCACAAGUACUACAUAAGAAUGCCUCAGGUAAUUGAAGAAGCAAUGAUAUGUUAUUCCAAAUAUGGUUGGUUAUUAAUGUCCAGAGACAAGAGUUGGAAGCUAUACAAUCCUCUAACCAAGUCUAUUAUAUGUUUGCCUGAUUUUCGUCCACGCGGUCAAACCUAUUACUUCUCGUCUUUGCCUAAUUCCUUGGAUUGUAUAGUUGUAGCAAUUUCUUUCUUUCCUGAAGCUAUCUCCCUGACUCGUCCUGGGAUGAGUGAAUGGAUUGAAAUUUCUGCCUAUGACGGUUUAAGAUAUAUUUGUAUUUGUUUUUGUUUGGUGAUUUUCUGGAUCAAAAAUUUCUUUUAAUUGCUAUUUGCAAAUCUUAAAUCCUAAAUUCUUGUUAAUUAAUUUGUAGUUUAAAUAUACAUUUUUUUUGCCUGUGCAGACGUCAUGGCAGCAAACACCGACAAGAAUAAAGGAAAGGGGUCGUAUCGCUGCAGCAGUCACGAACAAUGCAAGAUAAGCUUUCUGUCUCUCCAGUUGCUCUACGAACACAACACCAGAGUCUAUAGUCUCUCUUUUAAAACUGUUAAAAAGACAGACCUAUGCACCCAACAAAUCAUUGAAAAAAAAUAAGUUAAAAUUGGCAAAACACACCUAAAAAUUCAGCUACUUGUGGAUGGAACUGAUGUAUAUUUUGAUGCCCCAAGUGGAGCACCUGGUCAAGCAAGCACUUUCCAGCCCAAAAUGAAAAAUAAAAAAUCAGCUCAGAUGGCUCAAGACAACAAUAAAGGCAAACGCAAACAACAGAACAAUGCAAAAGCCAGCAAGCAGAAGCCUAAGGAAACAGCCAAAGGGGAAGGUAACAUCAAAUAGGAAUGGCAAGACCUCACAGACCCAUUGACUUCAUCAUUUGCCAAAGCUAAAAUGUAUAAAGCUAUGUUUCUACUGCUUAACUACUAAGUGCAUAAGCAAUCUAGACGUACAAACUGAACAACAUGCAUCUAAAGCAAGCACAGUUGUGCAAAUUUAGCCCAGACAACAAUGCAUGAAUAUUUUCAAUGAUUAUGUCUAGCUUUUCUCAAGCAUUUGAUGAAUAGUUACUGUUUGUGUGUGAUACAAGACAUGUAGAGCAUCACAAAACUAGAAUCAAUAAAAGAAUAUAAACAGCAGAUAGAACUACUUGCAACUUGAGAUGAUAAUUGAGAAUUUCAUUUGGCUGGUUAUGCCUCCAUCCUAAACGCUCAUAUGAUUAGGAAGAAGUCGCCUCCUCUGGAAGAGCUGAUAGUGCACCUACUGAUGAGUUCCCAAAACAAAUUUUCUUUUUUUUGAGAAAUAUUAGGGGUUUGUUGAUGCCAUACAAAUAGCCAACAAUCUGAGUUUGCAAGUUAGAAUUGCAUAUGAAAUUCUUCAAAGCUUUUUUUUUUUUUGGACAUAAUGCAAAUGUAAUCAGUUUUAGACAGAAGCAUAGACAACAAAAUACCAACUCUUAACACUUGUAUACUUCAAGUGGGGAACAAAUAACAGCCUUCAUAUCCUUAAAAUUUACAUAUAUGCGAUCCACUUGGGAUAAAGAUUCAAUUCAUCUACAAGUACACUUGUGGUAACUGUGGUCAACUGACUUGCUUCAUUAGCCUAAAUACAAAUUAAUUGGAACAAUCCCAUAACAGCAUGCAGUUGAUCACCUUUCAUGCAACUAUUAAAUAACUGAAUAGACACAACCUAAUUACUGUCAGAUACAAACAUAACCAAAACAUCACCUGGUCUCUAUCUCUACAGUUUGAGAUCGAUGUUGAGAAGGCAGAGUCAUGUCAGAUCCAAAGAUUACAGAACAAAUCUCCGACUGUGUAAGGGUUCAGAAAUUGACGUUCUUCUUCUUGGCAUAAUACUGCAAUAUGGGAUCUCUAGAAGCAACUUCAACUAGUAGAACAGACCGAACCUUAAUUUGAUUCAAAGAAAAACUCCAUCAACAAAAACCCCAUCACAGAGACAAAAAAGUUUGACUUUCAUUUUCUACUAUUAUUCAUGUUAUCUUUUUAGAGAUUGGGUUGUCUUUUUUUUAUUAAAGGAAAUAUUUUAGUUAAUUUCAUCUUCAUCUAGUAAUGACCAGUAAAAGAAAGCAAAAUAUGAUGUGGUUCAAUGACAAUUAACUUCUCAGGCAACAAUAACAUCCUUGCCUUCCAACUGUCCAUAUGAAGUGUGCACAAGAUCGGAAUCAAUUGGAAAAAGCCAUCUAGAAGGAAACCAUUUUUAAGCCAAUCAUCAUAGAUGUUGACGAAAACAAUUUUUGGUUCUGCAGCUUUUAGUAUUAGUUAUCAAAUUUCUCAAACUUCAAGGAUGCGCGCGAACGAUAGCUGAAGCCCACUUCCAUUAAAUACAAUAUUUAAGAAAAUCCAGUAGGUGAACCUCCAAGACAUCCUACAUUUCCUUCUAAGGCUCAAAUAUUAGCUUCAGCUGUUCUUUCAACUGGUAAAGAAUGUAUCAAAGCAGCUACUUCCUUAGUGUUUUUUUCAAUUGGCCAGCUGCCCUACACAUUUGUGCCAGCCCAAAUACUUGCAUGCAUAAAUCAGAAAAAGGCAAACAUCAAAUUGAUGCAUGAAGAUCAAAGGGAUAAUAUGUUAUGCCAGGAAACAAACCUUGAAAAAAAGCCUUGUUAUACACAUUGGAAAUGAAGAUAGUCAACAGGACAGAGCGAAAGAAAAACCUAAAAGUUCGUUUGCUUUAGAGAAAUCACAGUACCCAAAUGUGUGAAUAUGCAUAUCGAUUGCGUGCUAGGAUUUCAUUAGUAUACAAAAUAACGUCUAGAAUGACUUAUUGCAUCUAGAUUUUCAAUUUGUCCAAAUCAAUUAUUAUAUCACGUCGUAAGAACGGAUUGAGCAUCACAAAGAAGACUCGCACGAGUGCAUGAACACGACCAUAAGCCAACUACUUCAAUGCCAAAAUUACCAAGACAACUAGAAUAAGCCAACUAAUUCAAAGUCAAAAAUUACCAAGGCAACUAGAAUAAGCCAACUACCUGAAACAAAAAUUACCUUACCCACGCAAGGAUAAGCAUCGACAAAGCAUAACAAACUAGCAGUAUGUAUGAAAACAGCAGAAAUAUAUAGGCAAAUAGCAAAAUAGCCAUGACCAAAGCCAUAAAAGAAAGAUCUUUGGUUGCCAACACAGGCACAAAACAAAAACAUUCAGGAUAUCAAAGUGUUUCCAUCUAAAAAACUAAUUUUAGAAACAAUAAAAAUGUACCAAAAAAUAGAUUCAGUUGUAGAUUACAAUUGAAAGGCUUCAAAUUAACGACCCCUUUUUCCCCUAGAAUCAGUAAUCCAAUCACGGAAAAAGAUAGAAAAAUUUAAUCUUUACAAAGAACAAAGAGAAAAGAAAAAAAACGUUACAGAAACCUUCUGUUUUGUUCAAAGGACAUUUAAAAAAGAGGGAAAAAGGGGAUCUUGCUGAGAUCAAGUCACAAAGAACGAUAUUUGCUAUCCAAAAACCCAAACUUAAAAAGAAAACACUAGAUGUCAAACUGUGUCUGCCCGAAAGAGAAAAACUUUAAAGGUUUCUCUAGACACUGAUCUAUUUGUUGAUUUGUUCAGGUGUAGAUCUAUGCAAAAGAGAUAGAAAUAUUAUCAGUUACAUGGAUAGCUUACCGAUGAAUAAAUCCCAGAUCAGCAUCAUCUUUUUUCUUCAUCUUCAUCUUGAAUUUUACAUUUAGGUUGUGUAAGGUUUGGCAUAGAUUAAGGUUCUUGGUUAAAAAGCGGCUUGGGGUGUUGAUGGCUGCGAAUGGUAUUAGGUUGUCGAAAAGACUUGUUUAUUAAUGUUGAAAUAAGGGCACAGGAAUGGUCUGUGAUGUUUGGUCCGUAAUGGGCCUAUUGUUGUGGAAACCAAACUGGAUCCGCAAGUAUGAUAUUUUUUAUUAGCUGAGGCAUUGUAUUUUUUAAUUUUAGAAUGCCAGACAAUAUCAAUUUAAAUAACUUUUUUUUUGUAAAUUACAAGUGAUGGGGUUAUUUGGUAUUUAUGGUUACUUAUGAAAGUCGAAAUAAAAACAUGGGUGGUGGAUUUAAUUCCUUUUAUUUCACUACAUUAUUCGACGGGGAUGGGAUGGACCGCUUUCUAACAGCAAUCAAUCAAAUAAGGACCAUGUUAUUUAAUGUGGUAUAGGCCGGAUAGGAUGCAGGGUUGCCAAAUUAAAUCCAUUUUUAGAUGUAAUUUGCUGUGUAAAAGGAGCAGAACUCCAAAUCCACUUCCUUAUUGGAAGAAGAAGUUCUAAAGGACCAGAACUCUAAAUCCAUUUCCUAAUUGGAAGAAGAAGUCCUAAACGACCAGGACUCGGUCGUGGUCAUGGACCCUAUAUAAAAAACAUGACCUACAUCGUUUUCACUUCAACACAGAGAGAGAAACACUAGUCUAGAAUUGAACAUGGCGGAGGUAAUAAAAAAUAGACCAAUUCGCCGUCAUCCACCCCGUCCGAGUUUGUAAAACAAGCAGGGUAGGAUGGGGGGUUGCCAAUUUAAAUCCAUUUUUAGAUGUAAUUUGCCGUGUAAAAGGAGCAGAACUCCAAAUCCACUUUCUUAUUGGAGGAAGAAGUCCUAAAGGAGUAGAAGUCCAAAUCCAUUUCCUUAUUGGAAGAAGCCCUAAAGGGAACUGGACUUGGUCGUGGUCAUGGACCCUAUAUAAGGACAAGACCUACAUCGUUUUCACUAUAGCAUAGAGAGAGAAACACUAGUCUAGAAUUGAACAUGGCGAAGGUAAUAAAAAACAGACCAAUCCGCCGUCGUCCACCCCGUCCGAGUCUGUACCCUUGGCUCGUUUUCUUUCAUGGCAAAACAAUGAAAAACCAAACCUUUUAUUGUCUGUCUCAGCCCAAUACUAAAUAUAUUAGAUCAAUUCCUGAGUUAAAGAACAAAAGAUUUUGGUUGUCAUCCUACAGAUGGUUAGUUUUAUCGGAGAAAACUCAGUUUUAUCUUUGGAAUCUCAAGACUUUGGAGUCAAUUUAUCUCACUCCUUUGCAAUUGUAACCUAAAUAAUGUCUAUUAGGUAUCCUGUUAACAUCAUCCCCAAUCCUCAAACCAUCAUGUUUUGCUACAUCAAAGACCAAACGUGGUUUAAAAGAAGCUACUGUAAAGAUAUCAAGAGUAUACGUGAGACCGAUUUUAGUUGGAAUAAUUUUUGUUUGCCAAUUGUCUGUGAUGGUAGAAUAUAUGCUACUACCGCUUGUAAAGGUAAGCUGGUAGAGAUUGAGAUUAUGAAACAAAGCCUUGAUAUAAGACCUCUUGAAUGUUAUCUACCUCUUGUUCAAUCCAUGUGCAAUCAACUAAAAACAUACUCGGCGGAAUCCGAUGGGGAUGUCUUCGUGAUAAAUUUUAAGUUACACUGCGGGGAAGUAAUGAAUAUUGUUGUUUUCAAAUUCGACUUCCCAACUAUGAUAUGGAAUAGAGUGGAAAGCUGCCCAGAUAGAGCUUUUUUCUUGAGCAAUAGCGAAGCAAUCUCAUGCCGGACUAUGACAACUAAUUUAGAUCGAAUAGGAAAUCGGGUUUACUUCACACAUUAUCAAGACAAGUCCCUAUACUCCUACCACAUUGAAGACAAAACUAUCUCAAUAUCUUCACCUUGUCUAGAUCUACUGACACCCUGGAGCACAUCAAUUUGGGUGUUCCCUGACCCUGAGGGGACCCGGCACUACAUCAACAAGCCGGAGAUCAAAUAAAGGAUGAAAAGUAGGAUAUACAAGUCAAAGCAAAAGCACAAUGUGAAAUUGAGGAGAAACUUGAGGAAACAAACAUAACAAGUUUGAAUGAUCUUGUGUUGAUGUUGGUAAAAUAAUAGCUAGGUAUUUUUCACCCUUAGACUACAUGAACUUCUGAGCUGUUAGCCAAUGGUGUUGAUUUUGGCCGCAGCAAAACAAUGGAGAUGUAUGUCUCCAAUAGUGGAGUUAGAGAAGCAUAUAUUAUCUCUAUGGCUGAUGCUUCCAAGCACAAUCGAAAGAGUUGAAUGUUUGGUGGAUCCUAAACUCGGUGUUGAGCACAAGUACAACAUAAGAAUGCCUCAGGUAAUUGAAGAAGCAAUGAUAUGUUAUUCCAAAGAUGGUUGGUUAUUAAUGUCCAGAGACAAGAGUUGGAAGCUAUACAAUCCUCUAACCAAGUCUAUUAUGUGUUUGCUUGAUUCUCGUCCACACUGUCAAACCUAUUACUUCUCGUCUUUGCCUAAUUUCUCAGAUUGUAUAGUUAUAGCAAUUUCUUUCUUCCCUGAACUUGAAGCUGUCUCCCUGACUCGUCCCUGGAUGAGUGAAUGGAUUGCCGUAGAGUUAUACAAGGAAGAAAACGACGGUGUUUAUCUUAGACAAACCCAUUUUCACCCUGUGUUUCUUCACUAUUAUUUCUACUUUUUAGGUGAGAAUGAUUGUUUGGGAGUUGUGAAAUUAGAAAACUCAUACGCGACUCUAACAGUUCACAAACUGAGAAGACCUUGUAGUGCUUAUGACGAAAAUUUCUUGGUAGAAUGCGGUGGAGAGAUUUUAGCAGUGUUUGUAGGCAAGGCUGGCGGAUGGCUAUGAGUUUUCAGAUUGAAUCAAUCGGCAAUGGCAUGGGAAGAAGUAAAAAAUUUAAGGGAAUACAGCCUAUAUCUAUGCAGUUUGUCAACUGUUGCUGCAAAGGCCAAGACUUCAGGCAUGAAAAACAAGAUUUACUUUCCUAGAUUUUAUGAUGAGAUGAUGAUCUUCUACACUUUAGAGACCGGGAAGUUUCACUCCUCGAAAAGCGAAGACACACUCGUGAACUAUUGUGGAACUAAGAAGCCGAUGGGGUCCACUUGUUGUUGGAUUGAACCAAGGUGGUGUAUGGAAGAAUCAAUGCAUUCAUCGUCAUUAAUAUUGGAAGAGCUAAUUAAGUUGUAAAUGCAAGAUUUGCAUACGUACUAGAGAACUGUGUGUUGAAAAUGUUAUUUAUGUUAUUGUUAAAUUUAUUUUUCAAAUGGAAUCAAUCAUUUAGUGGCAUAGAGUUUAGGAAUUUGCGGUACAUUGGAGUCUUUCAGUUUUGAUUUAGUCAGCAAAUUUGGUGGCUUAUUGGUCUAGUCUUUAGGAGUAGUUGGGUUAUGGAGAAGAUGUCAGAUAUGGGACCUAAUCUUUAGGGAUUUCAGUUGUGCAUUUUGCCUAUUUAAAGGCUCCAAAGGUUCUGAGUAAAACACAACUUUGGCUACAGUACUAUUGUUAUCUUUUCUACAAAUCUCUUAUCAAUGGCAUUAGAGCUACAAGACUCCUGAGACCCGAGAGUGAAAUACUUGAAAUUAUCUACUCAUUUCCCACUACCCUAUCCAAAUGGCCAAUGAUUCAAAUUAUGUGCAAGCCGCUAUCCCUCGCUUAGAUGGUCACUAUGACCAUUGGAGCAUGCUCAUGGAAAAUUUUUUACAGUCCAAAGAAUAUUGGUCAGUGGUUGAAUCCGAAAUUCAAGAGCCACCAACAGGUGCAUCCGUGAUAGAUGCGCAGCAAAUAGAUGUUAAAGCUAGAAAGCUCAAAGACUUGAAAGCGAAGAACUAUCUCUUCCAGGCUAUUAAUCAUCCCAUCUUGGAGAGUAUUCUUUGCAAAGAUACAUCCAAGGAUAUUUGGGAUUCAAUGAAGAGAAAAUAUCAAGAAUCUUCUAGAGUGAAGCGUGCACAGCUUCAAGCCUUGAUGAGGGAUUUUGAAGUUUUGCAAAUGAAGAAUGGGGAAUUUGUUACAAGUUUUUUUGGAAGGACGAUGGAAAUUACAAAUAAAAUGAGAUGCUAUGAAGAAAAGAUGAAAAAUAUUAACAUAGUAGAAAAAAUUCUGCGUUCUGUGAUGUGAGAAUUUAACUAUGUUGUUUGCUCAAUUGAAGAGUCAAACGACAUAGAUGACCUCUCUCUUUAUGAAUUAUAGAGCUCUUUGUUAGUCCAUGAACAGAAGAUGAACCGAAGCUCAACAGCAGAGGAACAAGCUUUAAAAACUUCUACCAAUACUCGUUCCAACAGCUCAAGAGAAAGAGGCAGAGGCCGAGGAAGAGGAAGGGGAGAUCGAGAUCAUGACAAAUCUAAGGUAGAGUGCUUUAGAUGUCACAAAUAUGGUCAUUAUGCUUCUGAAUGUUUCACUGAGCUGCCAAAUUAUAAAAAAAGAGAGGAGAACUCAAAUUUUGUGGUAGAAACGAAUUAACCAGAAACUUUGUUGAUGGCUGUACAUGAAGGAUGAAAGAUUGAGUCUAAUAUUUGGUAUGUCGAUACAGGCUACAACAAUCACAUGAGUGGAAGUAAGUCUUCUUUUUCGAAUCUAAAUGAAAGUUUUCACUCUACUGUCAGUUUUGAUGAUUUCUCUACUGUGAAAGUGAUAAAAAAAGGUGAUGUUAAGAUACAUACUAAGAAUAGUCUUGUGAAAAUAAUUUCUACUGUGUUGUAUGUUCCUGACUUGAAAAGUAAUUUGUUGAGUGCUGGUAAGUAGCAAGAAAAAGGGUAUGUCAUUACAAUUAAGAAAGGCGCUUGUGAAAUUUAUGACCCUGAUAGAAGAAAUCCUAUUGCGACUCUUCAGAUGAGUUCUAACAGGUUAUUUCCAAUGAAAUUUGAAAGCAUUCAAUCUUGUUUGAUGGCUGAAGUAAAGGACCUCUCAUGGUUGUGGCAUUUUCAUUAUGGCCACUUAAGUUUUGGUGGACUGAGGGCUCUCAAUAGAAAAACAUGGUGACAGGGCUUCUGAAAAUUACUGUUCCUUUCCUAGUUUGUGAAGAAUGUGUUGUCAGCAAACAAUAUCGUUCUCAGUUUUCCAAAGAGAAGUCUUGGAGAGCAAAGGAUGUGUUAGAGCUGGUGCAUUUAGAUAUUUGUGGCCCAAUAAACCUAUCUUCUAAUAGAGGUAAAAGAUACUUAAUUACCUUCAUUGAUGAUUUUUCAAGGAAAAUGUGGGUUUAUUUUUUACAGGAAAAAUCAGAAACUCUUACUACGUUUAAAAGUUUGAAAGCUCUUGUGAAAAAUGAAGCAGGCAAGACUAUUAAGUCUUUUCGAACAGAUCGGGGUAGCAAGUAUUGCUCAAAAGAAUUUGAAGAUUUUUGCAUGCAACAUGACAUUCGAAGAGAACUUACAACUGCAUAUACACCACAACAAAAUGGUGUAUCGGAGCAGAAGAAUAGAACAAUUCUUAAUAUGGUGAGAACUCUAUUAACAAGAGGAAGAUUUCCAAAGACUUUUGACCGGAAGCUGUAAUUUCGAGUAUUCAUGUUUUAAACAGAAGUCCAACUUUUGCUGUUCAAAACAAGACUUCUAAAGAGACUUGGAGUGGAAGAAGACCAGUUGUAGAUCACUUUAGAAUCUUUGGCUGCCUCGCUUAUGCCCAUCCCGGAUGCGAAAAGGAAAAAAUUUGAUGACAAAGCUGAGAAAUGCAUCUUUCUUGUGUAAGUGAAUCCUCCAAAACCUAUAAAUUAUUCAACCCACUGACGAAGAAAAGAGCACCUGGGAUUGGGAUGGGCAGCAGUCUAAACAAGUCCUUUAUGAUGAUGAUGCUAAACAGGAGCAAGUUCCAGCAGUUGUCAUGCCACAAAAUUCUUCAGAUACAACUCAAACAGCCACUAGAAUUUCACAACCAGUUGCUUAAGUAAAUGAAGAAGGAGCCCAAUCGGUUGGUCGAGUUAGAAGAAGGCAUGGUUGGAUGGAAGACUAUGAGGUAACUAGGUUAAGUAAUCCAAUUACUCAUUUUGCUUUGUUCACAGAUUGUGAUCCUACAACUUUUGAGAGUGCCGUCAAAGAAGAAAAAGGCAAAAGGCAAUGGAUGAUGAAAUCAAUUCAAUUGAGAAGAAUGACACUUGGGAGCUGUGUGAUCUUCCUAAGGGCACAAAACCAUUGGUGUAAAAUGGGUCUUCAAGACAAAACUAAACAAAAAUGGUGGUGUUGACAACUAUACAGAAGUAUUUUCUCCAGUUGCAAGACAUGACACGAUCAGAUUGGUGGUUGCAUUAACAGCGCAAAUUUCUUAACCUAUCUUCUAGUUAGAUGUCAAAUCAGCAUUCUUGCACGGGUAUUUGGAGAAGCAGGUAUUUAUUGAGCAACCCUGGCUAUAUUAAAGUUGGAAAUGAGAAUAAAGUUUUUAGACUGAAAAAGGCCCUUUAUGGAUUAAAGCAAACUCCAAGAGCUUGGUAUAAUCGAAUUGAGACUUAUUUUCUUAAGGUUGAUUUUUAUAAAAUGUCCUUAUGAGCAUACAAUGUUCGUUAAGAUUGAAGAUGGGGGGAAACUUCUCAUAGUCUUCUGGUAUGUUGAUGACCUUAUAUUUACUGGAAAUUGUGAUACUAUGUUUGGUGAAUUCAAGAAGUCCAUAAUGAAUGAAUUUGAAAUGUCUGAUGAUGGAUGCAUUAUAUUUACUUGGUUGGAUGCAUUAUUUUCUUGGCAUAGAAGUAAUGUAAUCAGAUGAUGGAAAUUUUCUCUCAAAAGAAAUAUGUGGGAGAAAUUUUGAACAGAUUUCAGAUGAAGGAUUGUAAUUCGAUAAGUACUCCAAUUGAAUGUGGCGUGAAGCUACACAAAGAUCAUGAUGGGAAGAAGGUUGAUAGCACACUUUACAAGCAAAUUGUAGGCAGUUUAAUGUAUUUUACUGCAACAAGGCCAGAUAUAAUGUAUUCUGUGAGUUUAAUCAGCAGAUAUAUGGAAAGUCCCACGGAGUUGCAUUUGUUAGGCGCCAAGAGAUUCCUUCGUUGUUUGCAAGAAACUCAAAACUUAGGGAUAUAUUACAGGAAGGGUGAAAAACCUAACUUGGUGGGUUAUACUGACAGUGAUUAUGCAGGAGAACAAGAUGAUGGAAUGAGCAUUUCUGGCUAUGUUUUUAUGCUUAGAAUAGGUGCAAUCUCCUGGUCGUCAAAGAAGCAACCAAUUGUCACUCUAUCCAGUACAGAAGCUAAAUUUGUUGCAGCUACGACUUAUGCUUGCCAAGCCAUAUGGCUGAGAAGAAUACUUGAGGAGUUGCAGUUCAAGCAAUAUGGAGUUACUAUAAUGCUAUGUGAUAACAGCUCUACAAUCAAGUUGUCAAAGAAUCCAGUGCUACACGGAAGAAGCAAGCACAUUGAUGUGAAGCUUUACUUUUUGAAAGAUCUUUGCAAAGAUGGAACUGUUGAUUUGAUGCAUUGCAAAAGUGAUGAUCAAGUUGCUGAUAUAUUCACCAAGGCGCACAAGAGGGAAUCGUUUGUGAAGCUCAGAGGAUUACUAGGUCUCUGCACCCUAGGUUCAGUCAAGGUUGUAAACUGAUGUUAGUAAACAUCAGUUUAAGGGAGGGAUUGUUGAAAAUUUUAUUUAUAUUAUUGUUAAAUUUGUUUUUCAAAUGGAGUGGCCUAGAGUUUAGGGAUUUGCUGUACGUUGGAGUCUUUCAGUUUUGAUUUAGUCAGCAGAUUUAGUGGUUUAUUGGUCUAGUCUUUAGGAGUAGUUGGGUUAUGAAGAAGGUGCCAGAUAUGGGACCCAAUCUUUAGGGAUUUCAGUUGUGCAUUUUGCCUAUUUAAAGGCUCCAAAGGUUCUGAGUAAAACACAACUUUGGCCACAGUAUUACUGUUAUUUUUUCUGCAAAUCUCUUAUCACUGUGUUGAAUCUUGAUAACUAAUUUCUUCUUUAGUAUUUGUUUAUUGAAUUUGUUUCACAUUAUAAUUGAUUUUGGAAAUUAUUUAAAAUUUGAAUUUUAUUGAAACUACCGUAAUCUGUUACGUUCCCUGGUUAGGUGGUUUUGAGAUUAAGAAAAUGGGAAAAUUCAGAUUCUGUUUGAUUGCUGAUGGGAAUAAGAGAAGAUUAAAGAAACCAUAACCAAAAUUUGAGAUUCAAAAUUCGCCUUUGAUCGAACUGAAAGAGCAGUCAACUUAGCCAUGGCGUGUCAAUUUGCCUAAGUUCCAUUGAUUGUUCUGUACUUAGGUCCAAUUACUAUGGUAAAUGGGUAAUCUUAGAAUUAUUUGGCUUUGGUCAUUUUGUGUUGUAAUGAACGAACUGUCAACUCAACCAGGCAUUUUGCAUAUUUUGAAUCUGUUACUGGAAUGAUAUAGAACAACUGUGAUGCAAGGAAUUCAAGGAGGAGACCGGCUUCGAUAAAGACAAAGCACGACUGGCAAGAGAGGAUUAGAAACUUAAGGAUAGGAACAAGAGGUGCUGAGGAAACUGAGAAAACAGAAAAUCCAACACUGGCCUUUGCACUUUUUGAUGAGAAUAUAUGCUUCGCAAGUGAGAGAGAAGUGAAGGUAUGUAUGUAAACUUUGUCGCUUGUUUGCUUGAUGUUGACUGAACAAACAUUAAUGAGAGUGUUUGGAUAGCACAAAUAUCUCAAAUAAUAUUUCGCUUGCAUCAUAAACAUAUUUUUCAACCCAUCUUUUUAUAUUUUCAAUUAUCUUUUUAUCUCACAUACAUUACAUCACAAAAAAUGUUACAGUAAUUAUUCCAAAUAAUAUUUCAAAUAAUACUCUAUCCAAACAAAUCAUAUUAUUCCUGUAACAGCUAUUAUGAGACAGCUUGCCGUAGCUGUUUGAGUAAGAUUUCACUUCACCACUUUUGGUGUACUUUUAGUUUUGAGUAUUUUGUUUCACUGGUUUUGAAGUUUGACUUUAAGUACUACUGUAUUAGGAUUGUAAACUCUUGUUUGGAUACAUUAUUUAUUUUUUCAAAUAAUAUUUUGUAUACAUCAUAAAUUCAUUUUUCAACCCACUUUUUUAUAUUACUAAUCACCUUUUUAUCUCACAUAUAUCACAUCACAAAAAGUACUACAAUAAUUAUUAUGAAUAAUAUUUCAAAUAAUACUCUAUCCAAAAACUUCAGCAGCAGCACCUCUUAUUCAUACAGGUGCUUGGUCCAUAUAUUUUGAUAUAGCUUACUGAGGUUGGGAUGUGAAUUCUUAAUGUGCAUGCCAAACCAUGGAAUAUAUUUUUCUUUUACACUUAAGUCCUGGACAGGACAAAUAUUGGACCCCCUAUUAUAUUUGCUUCUCUGGCAUUUCCUCAUUUCGCAUGCGAAAAGGAGGAUACUCUUCCAAUUUCUUGAUGCAAACUUGGCAAAUAGACAAACAAAUGAUAAUGCUAUUGGACCUAAAAGUGUUAUAACGUUUUAAUUUCUUGGGCACGUCUUAUCCAGGGCUGCCAAAGAAAUACAAUUGAUUGAAGGAUCUCCAGGCUCCAUCAAGAGACUCUUCACCUUUGAGAGAGAGGGCUGCGUUGAGCUUCUCAGCAAUCAGCAAUGAGGUCUUUCUCACUCUCGGGAAAAGGAUGAUAAGUUCAUCAAUGAGUUUGGGUCGGAUGAGAAAGUAGUCUCUCUGAUCAAGUCACUACUAGAUGCAGGUAGAUGAAUGCUUGCUGAUUUAUCAGUAUGUCUUGCCUUAGCAUUUUCUAGUCUUUGUAUUCAGCUUUUGCAUUGCUAUGUGAUAUGUUUUAUUUCCAUCAUAAUAUUUGCAAGAUACUCACAGGAGACAUUUUCCUGGGAAGAAGGGUGACCUUGGCCGAGGAGAAUUUAUCACUGUCUCAUCUCUGACUAGAGAUAUUCAUGGUGCUCCAGCUGAAAGUUUUGUUGUUAAGCUCUCUGAAGCAAUUGGAAGCUUGAAAAUCCUGCGGAAAAUGUCAUCCUUUUGGUGUAGAGUUGCCGUUGAGGUAAGUCGACGGUAUUGAACCUGAACUCAAGAUAUUUGGACUUGUUUUGCUGGGGAAAUUUAAAUUCUCUGUCUAUUUCUUUUUUGGCUUUUCCUGCAACCAAGGAUGUGCUCGACAUGUUGCUACAGCUCCUGUCGUAGUGAUACCCUCAUCUAAACGCUACCACGCGAGAAUGAGCAGAGCCCAAGCUUGACCUUAUGUGUACAUCCUGAGAUGGGAUUGUGUUAUUGCCGACCUUUUAAGCCCUCCCUCUUGUAUUGUGUGGUAAACGCUCUUUUCUCUGAAGUUGUGGCUCCUACCCGUCUGUGACUACAGUUUACUUGAAUAACAUGAAAUAAUUCUGACAUUAUGUUUUGUAUAACGACUUUUAGUACGAGUUGAGUUUUAUUACUUGGUUCAAAUACUUCAAUUCCUCUCGAAGAUUUUCUGAAAUGCCAACUUCAAAUAUUUUGUUUAUGUGCAAGAGAGAACAGAUGCUCUACAAAAGAAAAGCAUAUGAAACAAAAUUAGGCACAUUAAUAACACAGUACAUAGGUUAAAAUUAAUGGCAGUCGUAGCUCCAGCUAUAAGGGAUCACGACAUCUCCUAUCCAGUAAAUACUUCCCUAUCAGAAUCUUAAUGUAUAGCAGUAGACAAUAAACAACUUCAAUGUUCAAGAGUGACAAAUACCUACAAAUAACAGCAUAAAGAACUCAAUACAACAAAAACCAAUGCAGUUAUUGUCUUUUUUUAAGCCUUAUUUUUACUUAGAAAGACAUCAGAAGUGUAGCCACCCUGAACCUAAUGCAGAUGUGAAAGAACAUGUUGCUUCAACCUAAUAGUUAUUGGCAGAUACCAUUUCUGACCAUUGUAAUAUCAAUCUAGGCUCGUCCAAAAAAAUUUAUUGAGGGCUCCAUCAACCAGAGGUUUAUUUCUUAAAUUUCUAUACCAAUCUCCAUGACAAAACUUAAUCAGAAAGUGUUAUAUGCUUAGUAAACAAAGGUUUAAGUAAACUUAAGCAAUUUUUUUUACGCAAACUUGAGCAAAUAUGAUAUACUUUAGCUAUUAUUUUAGUUCAAAUUCAAUAAGGAGAUGAUCACACUGAAGCAGAAAAAGCCUACCUUUACAAAAGCUUUCCAGUCGCUACUUGUGGAAAAAGAACUUGGAGAAUUGAACUUCUUUAAAGACAGAGAAAACACACCAUGUUAAACUACUAAGAACAACUCUUUACAUGAUCAUCAAUGAUUUGGUUGUGCUAGACAAAUCCGAAUAAAGAAGUGCUUGAAGGGCUUAUUUGGUGAAACAAAGAGAAUAUGGAUGCACCUUGAGUAUGUGAGGAAUAUCUUUUAUGGACUGCAGUGUAUCAUGCAAAGUGGCCAAAAGUUCUUCAGCAGAAUGGAAGAAUGUUAUCUUGAUUUGUCGAAGAAUAAAUCUAAUAUGAACUGGUAUUCCACACAUCCCUGAAGCCAUCUUCAUUGCAUAGUCUCAAGGUAGGUAAACCUUCAACUCUGGGCUUAAAUUCUUUAGCACCAUGUCAUCAAAGAUUUCAUUCGAAUACGACCAAUCUCAUUUUCCAUCACUUCAAAUUAAUAGUAACUCCAAUAGCACUGUAUGGUGCUGCUUCAAAAUAGAAGGAUACAGCUGCUUCAAAAUAGAAGGAUACAGCAUCAAAACGCUUGUUCAGUUUCUCAAUGUCCAGUAUAGGCCUCAAAAACCAGUUCCUAGUAGACAAUUGAGUUAAUAGGUCAGAGGAUUGAGGUAGCACUAAUAGACCAAUACUAACAAUGUCGAUUCUUGAUUGUCAACUAACCUCAAAAGACGUCCGCCCAUUGGUGUUACACACUGGCACAGUCAGAAAUUAUCUAUCCAAUCAGCAAUUGCAAAUUAAGACUAGAACAGGCUAUUAAAACCUAACAGCAGCUUCUGACCUUAUUCAUCAUUACAAAUAAAGAGAACCUGCACUUAAGGGUAUUAUUUUAUUUCCAAGUUAAUAAACUAAGAACCCAAGAGUGGUUCGUCAUUUACCCUUCUUUUGCCCUGCCAAUCCCCAUGUGGCUCGGAUGUUUGUCAAUUUGGAAUAUUUGUAAUGCCUCAUGUGCAGCCGAGUCAACUUUGAGAAACUUGUUUCUGCAUUUUUUGUUAAUUAGAGCAUUGCACUGAACUUUUGGACAAAAUAUAACAAGAAAAUAGGAUCAUAUGAACCAAAAAAUGGAGAACUUAAUAUUCAAGUUUGUUAAGAUGCAGUAAGAUUUCAAUGACCGAGUCAACAUCAAUGGAUGCACUUCCACACUCCUUCUGUUCAAGGGUGUCUAUAAUCCUUUCAUUCUCUAGAACCGCAAGAAGCCCUCCAGUUGCACGAACUUGGACCUCACUUUGAAUGUCCAUCAUGGAGUUCAGCUGAAAUUAUGAAAAGAAACAGGUUAGAUGCGAUGCGAGUGAUUGCAUACAGUUGAUCUUUCAUUUCCAGUAGACAUUGGCGAAUACAUGGGAACAUGAGUUCUCUCCCUUAACCACCAAACUAGUUCUUUCUCAACUUCGCAGAUUUUAAAAAAUCUUUUCUUGUAGAAAGCACGAGGAAAGAGCAACAAACAUCUUUUUGAAUGAAAAGCCUGUGGAGUAGCCUAUAGUAUUGAACAGUCAAUUUGAGCUAAACAAAAGUGCUUAUAAUAAGAGGCAUGACAAAUCAAUCUAACACCGAAUCAAGAAAUUAUCUGUACUUACAAAAGACAUUCUUUCCCUUAUGUUCAACCAUCAUCCAUCCCUGUGACCCGAAGGUACAUUAAUCAGGGCAAGAACAGAAAAACAAACAAGAAUAUAUGUGUAAAGUUCUCUGUGAGAACAAAGCUAAUGAACUAUUUGAUGACAGCAUCACCAGAAGAACUCAUGAAAGAAACGCACAAAUGAACUUGGAAGUUCAGGAUUGCUUCAAAUGAAAUCAUAGACACACUCUGCCACAUUGAUUCUGCAUCAUAGCAGCCCAACAAGAAACCGAAAAAAGUAGCAAUCUGCUAAUUCCUUAUUUUCUCAUGUUCGUGAAGUACUUUAGUGGCCAACGAAUGGUUAUAAGGAACACAUAUCCCCAUUUUACGGAAAAAAGAAAGUCGCAAACAUUCAAAUACUGCAAUGAAACAGUAAGCAAGGACAAUGUACUGGUGAAAGAGAGAAUAAGGUGAAGUAUAGGGCCGUUUCAAGUUAUAUAACUUAUAUUCACUUCGGUGGAAAUUCACUUUAUUUUUUAGACUGAACAGAACUAUGCAAGGGGAUGUACUAAUGCAACAUCCUAUUGUAUCUUCCAUACCCAUGCCAUGCUUGCUCGUAGCUGAAUAAUGAACUCUUGAUAAGCUUUACAGUAGCUGCAUUACUUGUUCCAUCUGCAAUAUUUAAACACGUCACAGUGAUUUGACAUGCAGGAAAUUUUUGUUAGCCACUUUAACAGUGAGAAUAGCUCCUCACUUUUUGUGCUUGUGUGAAUGACGGAUGGUUUGGCUUGAUAAAUUACUGAAGUAGAGUAAAAGGAAAGGAUUUAUAAGAUGCAUGAAGAAGAAACAAAACAUCCCAAGCCAAUUUGUCCUUUUCUCAAAUUUCAGAUGGGAUCUCCAAAACCAAACUAUCGUUAAAUCAAAAGACACUUAGGAAUGUUACCAUUAAAUCCCAUUCGGAAAACCAUAAAGCUGGAAAAAUCAAAUUUAUGCUUUACUGGCGGAAAAAUCAAAUUUACCCAGGGAAUAAAUCCCAGAUUAGCAUCCUCUUUUUUCCUUCAUCUUCAUGUUGAAUUUUACAUCUAGGUCGUGUAAAUUUCAGCAGAGAUUAAGGUUCUUGCUUAAAAAGAGGAUUGGGGUGUUGAUGGUUGUGGAUGGCAUCAGGUUGUCGAAAAGACCUAUGUUUUCAGAACCGGACCGGAUAUCGACUCGGCCGAGAUCAGGGGUCAGGGGUCAAUGGGUUCGACCGGGGGUCGAUAGGGGUCGAACCGGAUGACGUCAUAAAUAAAAAUUAUUUAAAAAUUAAAAUAUUAUAUAUAAAAUAUCUAAUAAUAUGUUAAUAUUAAUAAAUGUAUAUUCAUAUAUAUUUGAUGUUUCAAAUAUAUUUAACAAAAAAAUACAAAGAAAUUAGAACAAUCAAGUAGCAGUUUAUGUUAUUUAAUAAAUAUUAACAAGUUUAGAAUUAAAAUUAUGAAUUUAAUUGAAAAAUAACAUCAAAUUUUAGGACAAUAUUUAUAAAGUAUGAAAUAUUUGAGAUAUAUUAAUAAGUUUUAACAAUUUAGGGGGCCAAAACAUAAUAUUGAAAAGAUUGAGUUUUUUUUUAAAAAAAAUGCCCAUUGAACCGGAAAACCGAUUUUUUUCGAUCAAACCGGUCAAAUUCGGUUUUUGACCAACUUUGACCGGGCUUUAAAUUUUCGAUUUUUUACCAUGACUCGGAUCGAACACUUGGCUGGUUCCCGAUUCGACCGGCCGAUCCGGUCCGAGUUUCAAACAGAGGAAAAGACUUGUUUAUUAACUUUGAAAUCGGGGCAUAGGAAUGGUCAGUGAUGUGUGCUCCUUAGUGGGCCUAUGUUGUGAAAACCAAACUGGAUCCAUCGACAUUUUUUAUUAGCUGAGGUAUUGUAUUUUUUAAUUUUAGAAUGCCAGACAAUAAUGACUUAAAUCAUUUUUUUUUAAGUACAAUUGACAGGGUUAUUUGGUAUUUAGUAUUUACAGUUACCUGUGGAAGUCGAAAUAAAAAAUGGGUGGUGAAUUUAAUUCCUUUUAUUUCACUACAUUAUUCGGCGGGCAUGGGAUGGACCGCUUCCUAACAGCAAUCAAUCAAAUAAGGACCAUGUUUUUUAAUGUGGUACAGGCAGGGUAGGAUGGAGGGUCGCCAAAUUAAAUCCAUUUUUAGAUGCAAUUUGCUGUGUAAAAGGAACAGAACUCCAAAUCCACUUCCUUAUUGGAAGAAAGAAGUCCUAAAGGACCAGGACUCGGUCGUGGUCAUGGACCCUAUAUAAAGAACAUGACCUACAUCGUUUUCACUUCAGCACAGAGAGAGAAACACUAGUCUAGAAUUGAACAUGGCGGAGGUAAUAAAAAGCAGACCAAUCCACUGUUGUACACCCCCUCCGAGCCUAUACCCCUGGCUUGUUUUCUUUCAUGGCAAAAAUAUGGAAAACCAAACCUUUUAUUGCCAGUCUCAGCCCAGUACUAAAACUGUUAGAUCAAUUCCUGAGUUGCAGAACAUAAGAUCUUGGCUGUCAGCCCACGACUGGUUAGUUUUGUCAGAAAAAACUUAGUUUCAUCUUUGGAAUCCAAAAUCUUUGGAAUCAAUUUAUCUCCCUCCUUUGAACCUGCAACCUAGACAACGUUUGGAAGGUAUCCUAUUACCAUCGUUUCCUGCAAAUCCCGAAGCAUUCUCUUGUUAUUUUUGGCUAAUCCUUAGAGCAUUACGUUCUGUUACAUCAAAGACCAAAGGUGGACUAUAAGAAGCUGCAGCAAAGAAGAGAUCAAGAUUAUAAGCGGGACCGACCAUGGUUGGCAUCAUUUUUGUUUGCCAAUUGUCUGCAAUGGUAGAAUAUAUGCUACUACCUAUUGCAGACAUCGUCUGGCAGAGAUUGAGAUUGUCAAACAAAGGCUUGUUAUAAGAUCUCUUCACUGUCAGCUACCUCUUUUCAAUCCGUAUGCGAUCACGUAAAAAUGUACUUGGUGGAAUCCGAUGGGGAUCUCUUUGUGAUAAAUUUUGAGAUACACUCCAGGGAAGCAAUGAAUAUUGAUGUUUUCAAAUUGGACUUCCCAACUAAGAUAUGGAACAGAGUGGACAGCUACCCAAAUAGAGCUUUUUCUUGAGCAAUUGUGAAGCAAUUUCAUGCCAAAUUAUGACAAUUGAUAUAGAACGAAUAGGAAAUCGGGUUUACUUCACAUGUUACCAAGACAAGUCCCUGUACUCCUACCACAUUGAAGACAAAACUAUCUCAACGUCUUCACCUUGUCCAGAUCUGUCGACACCCUAGAGCACACCAAAUUGGGUGUUGCCUAACCCUGAGGGGACCGAGUACCAUCAUCAUCUAGGUGGAGAUCAAAAAGAGGAUGGAAAGGAGGAUAUACAAGUCGGAGCAAAAGGACAUUGUGAAACUCAGGAGAAACUUAAGGAAGCAAAUUGAACAAGUUUGAACGGAAGGAUCAGAAAAUGGAUCAGACAAUGGAUGAGGAAGAGGAAGGAAGCUCAGACAAAUUAGACAAUGGAUGAGGAAGGAAUAGGAGUGCGAGUUGAACCACACUUGAAGAGAAGGAAAUGGGUGUUGUGCGGAUAGCCUGGCAGGCCACUUGAUGUUGUUAAGAAGUGCUUAAAUGAUGAUCUAAGGGGAGUUGCGUUCCACGUUUAGUCGCUGUGUAAAUGGCUUGAUGGCCUCCAUUGCACCAAAAAAAAAGAAAAAAAGAAAGUUUGAAUGAUCUUGGUGGUGAUUAAGUAUUGGCUAAACUCAAUCACAAGUGAACAAGUGAUAACUGUGCAUGGCUGUAAAUCUUUUUUAAAUUCAAAAAAUUUUGACCUUAACUUUUAAGUUCUUUAUUUUCUCUUUUAAAUCGAGAUUCGCCUUAGUUCAAAAAAAAAAAUCUAUCCGAGAUCCAAAAAGGGAGUUUUACUUCCAUAAAAUUAUUUUUCAGUGAUUAACUAGAAACUUGUCAACUAUAAAUAUGUUAACUAAGUUUAAUAUGUACUUUAGUCCCAAGAUGUAAAAUAUUGUAUGUUGCAAUGCAAUAACUCCAAACACUAACGAACUGCUGCCAAAGCCCAAAGGCAAAAAUAACCCAAAUAAAUCGUACUAAAACUAUACAUUAGCAUUGUGACAAGUAAUAAUGCAAAUUCAAAUAUUUUUUUUUGAGGGAACAAAUUCAAAUAUUCAAUCUUCUUUGGCCAUUUCAACAUCUCAAUCGAAAGAAAAAAAGUCAAUUCCUCCUUCCGCCACUGCCUGAUUUUUUCCCUGGACUUGGAGCCACUGAGGGAGAGGUCAAACUUAAACGUCGAAGGCCGCAAUCCGUAGUCCAAAAUCCAAAUCCGUACUCCAUAGCUGUCCUGUGAGCUCCCUCGGCUCUGUUUCUCAUUCCCUCCUUGAUUUUCCCCGCUUGAAAAUUAGUUCGACCAUGCCUUCACAAUUUACAGCCUAUCAUCAUUUCUCAGCAUAACCUACGCACUCCCGGCGCACCAAAAUGGAGGCCUCUUUCGUGUCCAAAGCUAGGACUGCCUUUCAUUCAGCUGCUGCUAAAGCGGAAAAAGUCUUUGCGGACAUCAAAAAAUCUGAUUCGGUUGCCGAUCGAGGUACAUAAAUUAGUUAAUUCCCCAAUCCAACUAUUUUGUGUAUUUUAUUUUUCUGUCAUGAAUUGCAGUUUACUAUUUUUAGACUCCAUAACUCGCGGCCUUUUCACUAUUUUUUAAUCAAUUAUUUUCUGGUCAAAACACGAUCGCGAAACUUGAAGCAGCGGAAGAUUCUGAUAGACAAUCGCCGAUUGCUUCGACGCCGGAUUCUGUGAGUAGCAAGGACGAAUCAAAGGUAUUGCAUUUCUGCUUUUAUUGGUUUACUCAAUUUGUUUCGCAUUAUAAUUGAUUUUGAAAUUUAUUGAAACUAUCUUAAUCUGUUACACUCCCCUGGUUUGGGUGGUUUUGAGAUUAAGAAAAUGGGAAAAUUCAGGUUCUGUUUGAUUGCUGAUGGGAAUAAGAGAAGAUUAAAGAAACCAUAACCCAAGUUUGAGAUUCAAAAUUCGCCUUUGAUCGAACUGAAAGGGCAGUCAACUUGGCCAUGGCAUGUCAAAUUUGCCUAAGUUCCAUUUGAUUGUUCUGUCCUUAGGUCCCAAUUAAUGUGGUAAAUGUGGGUAAUCUUAGAAUUAUUUGGCUUUGGUCGUUUUGUGUUGUAAUGAAAGAACCGUCAACUCAACCAGGCAUUUUGCAUUUUCUGAAUCUGUUACUGGAAUGAUACAGAACAGCAGUGAUGCAAGGAAUUCAAGGAGGAGACCGGCUCCGAUAAAGACAAAGCACGACUGGCAGGAGAGGUUUAGAAACUUAAGGAUAGGAAGAAGAGGUGCUGAGGAAACUGAGAAAGCUGAAAAUCCAACAAUGGCCUAUGCACUUUUUGAUGAGAAUAUAUGCUUUGCAAGUGAGAGAGAAGUGAAGGUAUGUAAACUUUGUCACUUGUCUGCUUGAUGUUGAAGAUUUUGAAGUUUUUAGGUUUUGACUGAACAAACAUUGACGUCCGUAGCUGGGAAUGUCAGAAAGUUCAUUGGCUACGUUACCUGGACUCUUCACUUUCCCUGCUGUACCCACGUCGGACUGUUCAUUUUGCACUAGAGUAGCCAUAUUGGCGGGACCCAUUCCCGAGUCCAGCUAUCAUAGCUUGUGGCUCUGACAUGCAAUUUGGAGAGCUUGUCAUUCAUUCACUUGGUUGACUUGUAGAUGCUAAAAGAAUCUUAAUAUUCUUAAAUUGCUGCUCAACAUCUGAAUUUGUCUCCUCAUGAUCAACAGUUCAAAAGAAUUGAAGGCUUAGAUGUUAGUCUUCUAUAAGCUAAAAGCUCUAUAAGUGUAGGCCAGUGCCACUGCUACAUGUUGAAAACAUAACAAGCUACGCAAUGUGUUUAUACUUUCACCAAUGGCAUUGUAUUGUAACUUUAGCGUCAGACAGGAUGGAGAUUUUAAUUAUUCUAUUGCCUUAGGAGACCCCUAAGAUGGGUGGACUGCAAUGAAUCAAUUGAGUAAACUUGGUAAUAAAUAAUGUCAAGAUGCAAAUGACUACAUUCUUGUUUUAUUUGGAAAGAUUGGAUUAUUACAGUAUUUUUGGAUAAUUUGGAAUUAUCUGGGCCUUCCCUUAGCUGUUGCCAAAAUACUGGAGUUUCGGCCAUGACGAGGUUAUUUAUGUAUCAGUCUGUAUUUUCAGGACUCAAAGCUGGAUUCACUGUCUGAAGAUUCGAAUAUCUCAAAUGAAAACAUUAUUCCUGCUACAGCUAUUAUGAGACAGCUUGCAGUAGCUGUUGAGUAAGAUUUCACUUCACCACUUUUGGUGUACUUUCAGUUUUGAGUAGUUUGUUUCACUGGUUUUGAAGUUUGACUUUAGUACUACUGUACUAGGAUUGCAAAACAAGUAAAACUCUACUUGUUAUAUCAGCACCUCUUAUUCAUACAGGUGCUUGGUCCAUGUAAUUUGAUAUAGCUACUGAGGUUAAGAUGUAAAUUCUUAAUGUGCAUAACAAACCAUGGAAUGUAUUUUCUUAUACACUUCAGUCCUCGACAGGACAAAUACUGGACCGCCUGUUAUCUUUGCUUCUUUGGCUUUUCCUCAUUUUGUAUGCGAAAAGGAGGAUACUCUUCCAACUUCUUGAUGCAAACUUGGCACACCUUGAUUAAGUCAAUAGACAUACAAAUGAUAAUGUUAUUGGACCUAAAAGUGUUAUAACAUUUUAAUUUCUUUGGCACUUCUUAUCCAGGGCCGCGAAGAAAUAUAAUUCAUUGAAGGAUCUCCAGGCUUCAUCAAGAGACUCUUCACCAGUGAGAGAGAGGGCUGCGUUGGGCUUCUCAGCAAUGAAGUCUUUAGUACUACGGGAAAAGGAUGAUAAGUUCAUCAAUGAGUUUGGGUCGGAUGAGAAAGUAGUCUCUCUGAUCAAGUCACUACUAGAUGCAGGUAGAUGAAUGCUUUGCUGAUUUAUCAGUAUGUCUUGCCUUAGCAUUUUCCAGUCUUUGUAUUCAGCUUUUGCAUUGCUGUGUGAUAUUUUUUAUUUCCAUCAUAAUAUUUGCAUGAUACUCACAGAAGGACAUUUUCCUGGGAAGAAUGGUGACCUUGGCCGAGGAGAAUUUAUCACUGUCUCGUCUCUGACUAGAGAUAUUCAUGGUGCUCCAGCUGAAAGUUUUGUUGUUAAGCUCUCUGAAGCAAUUGGAAGCUUGAAAACCCUGCGGAAAAUGUCAUCCUUUUGGUGUAGAGUUGUUGCUGAAGUAAGUGGACGGAAUUGAACCUGAACUCAAGAUAUUUGGACUUGUUCUGUUGGGAAAACUUAAAUCCUCUGUCUAUUUCUUUUUGGCUUUUCCUGCAACCAAGGACAUGCUUGACAUGUUGCUACAGCUCCUGUCGUAGUGACACCCUUCUCUAAAUGCUACCACGCGAGAAUGAGCAGAGCCCAAGCUUGACCUAAUUUGUACAUCCUGGCAUGGAUUAUGUUAUUGCCGACCUUUUAAGCCCUCCUUUGUUGUGUGCUAAACACUCUUUUCUUUGAAGUUGUGGCUCCUACCCGUCUGUGACUACUGUUUGCCUGAAUAACAUGAAAUAAUUCUGACAUUAUGUUUUGUAUAAUGACUUUUAGUACAAGUUGAGUUUUGUUACUUAGUUUCAAAGCUGUAGUUGAUUGACAUGAAAAAAUUCUUCUCGCGUCACAGUUAAGAUGGUCACUCUUCUACAGUCAUUUUAUGAGGCAAUUCAACAACUCAUUGACAUUCCUCCUCCUCGAGGAACAAGGCGAUGGAGUUAAACUAUCUUUUAAAGGGUGUCAACCAUGAUUGGUUUUUACUGCUUAGUUUUUUUUUUUUUUGUAAGCGGGAGGGUUCGAACCGGAGACCUCUCACAUACACUCCCUUCCCCCGUACCGCCCAACCUAUCCUCCCCCCAUACUGCUUAGUUGAUUGUCUUAAAGCUUACAUACAUGACGACCUUUGCUCGAUGUGGACUCCAAAUAUUCCCUGCUCUAGUAAAAAGCGUUGACCUUUUAUUUUCUUGCAUUUAAAAUCAAGUUUGAGUUGUGGUUAGUUAUGUUCCCCAGUUGAUGGAGUUCCUUUUUUAAGCUUUUAGAUCUGUUCAAUCAAGUGAUUAUCAGUUAUUGUUAUCAAAUACAAAUUACCAUGGUGAUUUUGCACAGCAUAUUUUUUUUGUGGUUCAGCAAGAAGUAAUUUAUGACCUUUUGACUUUAUUUCUCAAAUGCCUUUGUUUCUUGAGAAGUGAUCCUUACUGCAUUACCGAAUGAAACCUCAUUGACUUUUGGAAAUUAUUGAUACAGUUCCUGAGUACAUUUUCAAUUAAUUGAGCAAUAUAUAUUUCAUUUGUUAUGCAGCUUAGAAGAAUUUGGUCUGAAGGGCAGUAUAUUCCUGGCAUUCCACCAGAUGACGUCCCAGACUUGAAUUCAUGUCUUUUGUAUCAGCAGUUACAGGUCAUCAACUGUUGUAUUUCCAGAAAAAGACGUCGUGCUAUUGCAACUGAAUCAUUAGAUUCAGUCUUAAGACAAGCUAGUCCAACUGUCGACAAGUCUUCUGAUUCUGAAAGCUUAAAUGCUUUAAAUUCUGUCUUAUAUGCAAGAACUAGCACUGAGGAACUUGUUCUUCGAUUAGGGGCUGAUAAAAAAUUUGAUAACUUGACAAUGCUGGAAACUGGUGAACCUGUUUUUACACCUGUCACCCAGGUUCUGUUGAUAUCUGAUGCUUAGAGUUUUCAUUACUGUCUUCUAGAAACUCUAACCUUUUACUGAGUUUGUAUGCAUGCAUAUGUAGGAGGCACCUUUGCUAACGGAAGAUCUUAUCAAAGAAACAGAAGAGUUUGUGCUGCGAACUGGAAGGUUGGUCAACUAAUUCAGCAUUUUUUCCUGCUCUGUUUUUUCCCCUUGACCGCAAGAUUGGUUUUGAUUUCUGAAUUACAAUGUCUCUUUACUUAGAUUUGUCUUAACCUAAUCACAUUUUUGCUGAAAUUUUUGGUACGUUGUGGGGUUUUAGAAAUGGGAGAUAUGGCUCUCUACGUAAAAAUUGAAAGCACCAAUAGGGUGACCUUAUAGUAAAAGCAUUGGAGAAAUGCUUGUGAUGGGUAGUAUAACAUUGUAAGAGCUGACGUAUGAUAAAAGUAUAAGUUCUAUGUGAGUAAUUUGGUGAAGUCUUUCAAUUGAUCAAUAUUGUUAUUUUUUAUGCUAAAUGUAGUCUACUGAAAGUGCUCAAAUCUGUAUACCUGAUUGUGUAUCUCUUUGCCAACCCAAUUGUGCCGAAUUAUGAAUGCUCGGUGAAUCUUCCAGUUGUUUUUAUUACUCCUAACUCUAUGUGACCAAUCUCUUAAUGGCCGUGUUCCCUCGUUGAAUUGUGAAGCCAAUUGCCUUGUUCCAAAAACUAUCCCGGAGAGGGAGUUAAUUACUUGGACUAUAAUUAUAAUAAGAAUAUUUAUUUUUUUGGAGCAAAGAAGAAUAUCUUGGGUUGAAAGAAUGGUUUGACAAAUCACAUGAAUUCUAUGCUUUCUCAGCAUCUUGAGAUGGCUUAACAGACACAAGGUAGAUUUCAUCCAGUAUCCUGAGAAAUCAGGCUGGUGUUUACCCUAUUCUUGGAACUGUAAGUAGGAUUAAAUAUUAUGUGUUGUGGACUAUGGUGUGCAAUGAUUAGUUUGUGAAAAUAUCCUGGGUGAAAGACUACUGUUGGUUGAAGGACUGGAGAAUAAUGCAGGCAUUGAGGGUAAGAAAUUUUUAAAUCCAUUUAAUGGGGUCAUUGACAGGACAUGUUCAAAAUGGUAUCUUUCCAAGGUCCCCGUCCCUUUUUGUAAGCCGAAAAGUGGAAGCAAAAAAAAGAAAAAAAGAAAAAAAAGGGUCAUGCAUGCUUAAGAAUCUUAUCUUUCUCUUGACACUGGAAAUGAAGCAAAGAUUAACAAGCAUUUCAAAAUAUUAGAAAUAAUUGAACCUCCCAUUCUUGAACCUUGUGAAAAGCUGCCGUGCAGGGGUAAGGAACCUUUCUCCUUUUGCUUCCACCUCUCUUUAGUUUGGUAGGGAUUGCCCAUUACUUCUAGUGUUACUUAACUAUUUUUUCAUCAUUCACACAUAGCAGGAGCGUGGUGUGCUUAUAAUUGAACUAUUGGGGAUUUAUUUGAAGAAUGUAAAGGCUUUUCUAUUGUAUGUCUCUCAUAUCUGACAUCCCUAGAUUUUGUCUCCCAUUUUGUUUUGGUUCUUCAAGGAGAUGAUUAGUUUCCAUGAUAUAUGUAUGCUUUAUGGUUUGGAAACAUUAAAGGGAACACUUUUUUUUUCCACAUUAAUUGGUAUGGAUACGUUAGGCUUUGGAAAUUUGUAGUGGCAGAAUAGUUUUUUCUGUGUACGGACUGCUAUAAUUGUGGCUAUAACUUCAAUAUCACUUGAGUCAUUAUACUCUUCAACCUUUGUCCAUGCUGUAGCUCUUUUGUGUUGUUUACUUGCAUAUUCUUUAGAAAUUUGACAGAUAGGUGAAAAUUUGGAAUUACUGUGAUUCAUAUGCAUCAACUAUAUCUUGAAUUUUUGUAAUUUAAGGCACAGUGUGACAUGCUGCUUUGUCCUAUUGUGUUCAGUGUUGGUGCUGGUUGUUCCCAACUUCUGUCUGACAUGCAGGCUUUCAAGGUGACCCUCUGCAGUAAAUAACUGUCUUUUCAAGAUUCUUCUGGGGCCUUUUACUAUAGCAGAAAUUUGUGGAUUUUUUGUUUUAUUUAUUUAUUUAUUUUUGUUGAACGGCAUUGUGAGAAAUUUGUGGAUUGUGAUUUACACACCUAAGCUCCAAUGUUUUCUGUUAGGCAGCAAAUCCAGGUUGUAUAUUAGAAGAUUUCGUAAGGUGGCAUUCACCCCCGAUUGGAUGGAAGGUGACAUUAAUGAUGAAGCCGAUGAAACAUCUGAUGGUGGUGAUUUGUUGUCAACGAGAGGUCAACUUAGUAGGAGGAUGCAAAAAGAAGGUUACUUCUUUUGUUACAUUAGUUAACCUGGAACAUUGUCAUAACUAAUUUGACAUCAACUAUUUUACCUGAAAGGAGCAAAGCCAAACAUGAAAGAGAGAAAACAACUGGUUUUAAUUCCAGCAGAUUAUUUGCCUCUUUUGUUCUCCUUCUGGCAUCUCUUGUUUUGGAAAUCAAAUGUAAUUUGCACAAUUUUAUGUUUCUUAUGUGAAAAAUAUUAAAAUAGAUUAGUCAGUGGUUUGUUAUUCUGGGUGUUCUUAGCAUGAUAUUCAUCUGUAUUCACCAAUUUAUUGACUUUUGUGCUAAUUAUGGUGGAAUUAGCUGACUGAUAGAAUGGCUGUUGAUUUACGUCUAGGUAAUUUAUGGCGGGAACUGUGGGAAACUGCAAAACCAAUACCUGCAAUGAGACAGACUCCCCUCUUUGAUGAGGAUCUUGCUGUGUAAGUUGCAAGACAUAAACAAUUUUACUGUACAAAGACAUUAUUUUCUGAUGAUUUUCUGCUCCCAUUGCUGGGUAGGGAAGGUAUUCUUAAUAUCUUGGAGGACAUCUCACCUUCCGAGCUUUUUGAACAGCUGUUUAUUUCUCUUGUAAGUAUUAUGUACUUGGAUUUGGAAAUUGCCAAACCAUAUGGCUGGAAUUAAUAUGUUCAGCUGUUCCAGUCAGCAAUACUGUUAAGAUUUCAUGCUUGGUACAAACUGGCACUGAUGAUCUAAGUAUGUCAGCUGGGUUCAGGGUUUGUAAUCGCUGAGUCUACGCUCUCAACAAAUUUAGAUCUGUCAAAGCUAUUUAAUGAAUGCAAGGACUAUAUUGUUGCCACUUGUCAAAGCGGCAACUGGCUUGAAAAAAUUGAUGAUAUAUGCCAGGUAUGUCAUAUUUAGCUGAACGAGGAACUGUGUGGUUAUUGACUGAUUUAUAUUUGCUAACAAUCUGAUAUGGUAUUCCUGAAUUCUCUCUUGCCUGCUAAAUACUUAGGGUUUCAGAAUUGGGACUUCAUUACUUCCUCCACUUGUUUACUGCUUUCAAUACAGCAAUAUUCAUUUCCCAGGGAGGCUGAACUUCUUCAACAUGUCAUCGAACUGACUCUUGUCCUGCAGCAUGAUAACCAUUUUCCCUACACUUCGUGAAGUUAAAGAAAAAGAAACUUGAAAGGGAAAAUAAAAAUAGAAGCUUCUGUUGCUUUUUGUUCUGUUACAUUGGCAGUAUCAAAAAUGGUAUUGGCCAUAUUGGAAUAAUAGAUGGAAUUGAUCUUCUUGUCAACAGCUUAAGAUCAGCUGAUUAUAGUUUUUCUAUUCUUGACUUUUUAAGCUAAAAGCUGCAAUAAGGAGACGGAUCGGCAUGUUGACUAUGCUUAACAUGAAUACAGUCAGACUUAGAGAGUGGAUUAUCCUUAGAUUAGCAUACAUUAUUCACAGGAUUGCAUAUUCACCUACUAAUAUUCCUACUAUGACUUUUUAAGCUAAAAGCUGCAAUAAGGAGACGGAUCUGCAUGUUGACUAUGCUUAACAUGAAUACAGUCAGACUUAGAGAGUGGAUUAUCCAUAGAUUAGCAUACAUUAUUCACAGGAUUGCAUAUUCACCUACUAAUAUUCCUACUCGUCAAAUCUCCUUUGCAGGUGUAUGAAACAGUUGAGGCAAUGUUGCUAAAUCCACAUGAAGCUACAAAAAGUACAGUUCCACCCGAAGAAACAACACCUGCAGGUGAACUGAAAAACCAGUUCAAAAGGCUUAACUUCAUCUUUGGUAGCAAAGAUAGGCAGUCACAAAAAGACAAGAAGAAUAUGGAGGAUAACCCAACCCGCCAACCAUUCUCAUCAAUGUUCUCAAAGAAGCCUCCUAAGCCAAGUAAUGGAUCGUCAGCUGACAAAGCUGCUGGUUCUGUAGAUAAUGACUGGACAAUUGUGUAAAUUGUAUAUAUUUGGGAAUUGGCUAAAAGCAAUGCCCAGAUGCCAUCUUUACUGAUUUUUUCAAGGGAUUAGAAAUGGAAAACGUAGGAGUUGGAUAUGACAAAUUUUUCGCAGAAAACAGACAUUGCAAACAUGCACUCCGAUAGCAUCUUUUGGGAGGAGCUCCGUUGAUCAAGAGGACUAGCAAAGAGAUUUUGUUCCACAAAGAAGGAUAAUACGCAUACUAACAAGUUCCAAUGUCUUAGAUGCAAGAAUAUCAACUGCUGACGAAACAAGAAUGGAUAAAUCUCUGAACAUCCUCUGCUGUCAUUGCAUCGUGCCGUAAAAGCCGCUUCUUUUCUGGCCAGAACUUGACGUUCUUCUUCCUUGUCUGCUCCCUUACCGGUUGUCUGAAGAAUUUUCUCUGUCUCGCUUCCUCUCGUCAUUUGUUUUGUCAACUUCAAGAUCUUUUAGAACCCACCAUGGCACAACGAAAUUUGCAAUCCAGUACAUCAAAAGCAUCACUGCACUGUUAGCCACGUAAAAAAGGUUAUGCCAUGGAAGAAAUGUUACUAACAUAUUUGCAGUUCGUUAACUGGCCUCCCCAGUGACAAACUGAUACUGUCAAUGUGGGUAUCAAAAGAUGUCUUUGCUUCAAGUCCUAAAAUUGUUCAAGCAUUAACUCGUAACUAUUACCAAUAGAGUAUGAUGGCUUGUAUCAACCUGGAGAACUUUUAUGAGAUCAAGAGAAGGGUGAAUUUCAUCUCAAAAUGGGAGUUAGUUAGGAAGAAAUAGACCUUGUUUGAAACAGGACUGAGAAGUCUCCUGAAUUGGGCGGCGGCGAAGUGGCGGCUAGAAAAAGAGGAGCGGAGGUAACUCUGGUCGGAAACCAAAAUACUCUGUUCCGCUUAUGCAUACAGAGAAACCCACAAGUAGCAGGUUCAUAUUUACUGAAUUUGGAGAGCCACAGCAGCUUAGUUGAGCUGAUCGGGGGCUUCAAGUCAUUGUACGGAAAUAUAGAAAUGGAAGGGCACUGAGAGCCGAUGCCAUUCAUCUUGCAAGCUUCAGGUUCAUUCAUAUUGAACGAGUGAACGUAGAUAAAUUGAAGGGAGCAAUAGAUAAUAUGUUCCUUUCUAUAGGAGGUGGACCACACUCACUGGGUCCGGGGAGUUUGAGAUACAUUAUUGUUAAUUGGCCCAAUCUAAUUACUGUCACGAAAUUUUGUGUCAUGUGCAAAUAAUGCAUUCUAUGUGAUACCAAUUACCUUUUUACCAGAACUUUGUGCAGAACGUACACACCGGAUAUGCUGGUCUAAUUUUUGUUAACCCAUGUUUCUGCUAGUAAAUUGUAAAUACAUGCUGCUCAAUUAAACUCCAAAAUGUAUAUUGCAGAUUGGUUCAAUAUCUCUUGCAAAAACCUUUCAGAAGUCCAAGAAUUUCACCAUGCCAAAUAUUCCAAAUAGAUGGUCCUGUUGGUUAGUGUAUUGUAACCCUGGUUGGCUUGUGGCCCACUAGGAUACACUCAAAUAGCCAAUUGGGGCCUAGCUUUUUGUUUGUCUGGGUACAUCACGGACCCUAAAUAUCCAAUUAUUACGAAUUCAUUGUCAUUUGCCGGAGAAAACUACUGUCUUCCAAUUGACAAGACAAAAAACGCAACUGUAGCAGCCCAGGCCCCAUCACAAGGGCCCAGAACUAUGAGUCAUAUAAGGCUGUUUUUUUUUUUUUUUUUUUUUUUUAUCGUUACACUUUAAAUUAUUGAUAAGAUCAGAUUUUCUCUGCAAAUUUCAUGCAUUACCAUCUCCUAAUGUCUUACUAGAUCUCAAUUAAAAAUAAUUAAACAUGUCACCAAGACCCAUCGGCCAUCACACUUAAUAGUGAAAUACUUCAUUAGACUGUUAAAUUCUCCUCAUUAUGAAAUUGCCUUUGCAGAAGCUAUGUGAAUGAAUAUUAUUACAAUAAAAUCGUGGAUAACCUCAAAAAAAAAAAAAAAAAGGUAGGAAUCAGAGAAUUCUCUCAAUAAAAUCGUUCUGAAGAAAUUUUUUUUUUAAAAAAAUGUUAUUUGCAUUUCAUUGUGCUAUUUAUACUCCCAUUAUUUAUUUUAUUAUAUAAUUUUAUAAAUGCUUAAAAUGAUAAUGAAAGUGUGAUUAAUAAAAAUGGAGAUGUAAAUAAUAUUUUCAUUUUUAAUGAAAAAUAUAAAGGCUGCUAGACCAGGCAAAUUAUUUCACUUCCGACAACUCAUAUUAUGCACGUUAUAAAAGUCACAAUUUGACUUCUGACUUGGGAAAGCCACAAUCUCGGCAAAAAAUAAUCGUCGGCCUGUAUAUCAAUUACCAAAAGAAAAAAGCUAAAGGGCAAAAAAAUGAGAGAAGGUUGAGUAACAGAAGGAACAGAAUAUUGCAGAAGGGAAAGAGAGGAGGACGACCACCAAAGGGUGCAAAAACGCCGCCGUCAAGCCUAUACAAGAAUAACGAACCAGAAGCUCCGGAUUUUUGUUAGCUUACGCUGUUUAUAUCAGUUCGCCGUCGUUUGUUAGCCUUUUCUGUUCAUUGUCUUCGUCGAGGUAUUUCCUAUUAUUUACAAAAAAAAAAAAGAGAAGAAAGUGAACAAAGGAAUAUUUGCUCUGGAAAGUUGGAUAUUAAUUUGCGAAACGAUUUUUUUUUUUCUUCUAAAUUUCCUUAGCAGAUCGCAAUCAUUUUGCUUAUUGGUUUAUUUACUCUGCGAUUUGCCUUGUUCAUAAUUUUGAUUUUGUUUUUAAAUUUGUUUUCUUAAGAUUGAUGAAUUUCGGUAUUGUAAAUUGUCUAAAACAGCCUUAGGAGAUCAAAGUCAAUGAUGCUGGGCGUUGUAAGGCGAAAAGUGGCUUCUGAUGCUUCUUCUGCUUUGGUAUUUAAACUUCAAGUUUUGCAUGUGUGUUUAGAUAUGCAUUCAUAUGUGCAUGAAGGCAGAUUUAUUUUUUAUAGUAAAAUUUAGUUGUGUUUUUGUAAGAAUACCGAUCUCCUUUGUGUUUGCGGACGCAGAUUAAAAGGAAAUCAUGGCAUUGGAGUCGGCCUGUGGUUUCUACGCCUAGAGUUUCUACUGCUGUAGCUGAAGAGGUAACUCGCUGCUUUCUUUUCCAAUUCAGCGUUGAUACUGCUUAGUGGUGAUAAUAGUUUGACGUGCGAAGAGGCAUGGUGAAUCAAAUGAUGUUCCUGAUAUGAAAAUGAUAUUGUAGACAAACAAGUAGUUUAUACUUUUCAAGGAUGUAAUGUUGUAAUUUCAUUGAGGUUUGGUCAAAAUUGCUUGAGUUUAGAUUAGUUUUUCUUUUCUAGGCAAAUAAACUCAAUUUAUUAGUCAAGAUAAGAAAACGUUUCUAACUCAUUAAGACGAGUUUAGAUUAGUUAAAUGUGAUUUAGCCUUAUAUAGUACAAAAUUUAUUGCAUAGUUUAACAAGCUGGGGAAUUAUAUGGAAAUUGGGUAAGAGUUAAGUUAUAGAGGUUGAGUUGAGGUGGCUGUCUUUCUUGGAAACUCAGAGAACUCUGUUCCAUUUUCUGGUGUUGGCUUAUGAAGAUAGCAUAUGUGACAUUGCUUUGCUAUCCAGUUUUAGUUUUGUCUGGAGUUCGGUUAGGUUACAAUUCUCAAAAGCAGUAUUGAGAACAUGUAUGUACUGUGUCUCUAAGAUGUUAUUCAACUACGAGUUUAUGAUCAAAUAAUAUUAUUUACUGUUUCUGUCUCUUGAAGUGUCAGUUUCAGUUGUUUUCUUCCUUUUUGUUUCUCUUUCUACGUUUGGCCAUCAAAGCUUAUGUUUGCUGUUAGUUCUUCCUGUGCAAUUGUUCUUAACUGUUUGUUUUUGCUUUCUGAACAGAUCUUCUUCACCCAGGAUGCACUCGCAGUUUCUCUGACUUCACUUUCUCUGGUAAUCUCGGGUGUCUAUGUUAGUCAAUGCCACGUGUGUGUGUGUUUUUUUUUUUUCCUUUUUGGCCCCCUCCCUCAUGUCUGUGUUUGAACUAUUUUCUAUUUUCUUUCGGUAUAGGAUCUUUGGACUUGACAUCGUCAAGGUCAGUGGUAUCUUUUCUUGUUUAAUCUCCUCUUGAUAAUUGCUAUUAACUUGUACGCUAUCGGUCAUUGAGGAAUACUUAGGCUUAGAGAGGGUGGUCCCCCUUUCUGACAUAAAAGCAAUCAGAAUUCGAACACGCCGCGUUUUACUGGGAAGGAUCGACCCAUGGGAACGAAUCUACCGGGCUGUCACCUUCUUUGGCCAGAUCUUCCAAUCUUUUCGCAUUACAGUUCACUGCACUUUCUUUACUAGAAUGUUUUGAAUUUUAAUAUUGUUGUUCAGAGGACAUUAUCGCUCCAAGAAAAGUCAUUAUUUAAGAGCUUAGCACAGUACUCUAUCUUUUAAUUAUCAUUUUGCACAACUAUUUCCAAUGUGGGCAAGGCAUAGUGGAUUUAAUUGUAAACCAAAUUCUGCUUUGUAAAAUAAGUUCAAUUAGGUACUGCAUUUCAUGUGGUUUUCUGUCAGUGGUAAGAGAUGUAAUUACUAUGAGUAUUGACAGUGCUUUUCAUAUUUAGUUUGAUACAGCAUUAUUUGGCAUUGUGUUAGCUGACCUUAUUCAAGUUGACUGAGACAGUUUCACCCAGAGUCGUUCAAUCUGGUUUGAUUUUACCUAAUCCGUGGUAUAAACCAAAGAAAAGUUUGUCUGUAAAUUGUGUUUUUGUGAUUAGACUCCCGCAAGGGUAAUAACACUUGGACUUAUACAAUAGAUGUUUUUGGUAUGUGGAAUAGCUAGCUUCAAAAAAUCCAAGGUAUAUAAACUCACAUUAAGUCAGAUGGUAUAGUUGGCAGAUAAUGCUAUCAUUCAUGGUUGGCUGUUUUAUUUGCAGGGGAAUCAAAGACAAUUUUCUGCCUCAAUUCACCAUGCAUACAUGGAAAAGGCCAUUUUGUUCUAAUAGUGGUAUAGUACAGCACUUUGUCUUCCAUUCUUUGCUUUUCUGGCAAUGCAGUUGUAUUGAAAAAUGACAGUUCUGAAUUUGAUGCUCUUGGAAGGUUUUAGGCACUUUUAUAGGAAAAUUUUGAACCCUUCCUUUAGUAGUUUCUGUCACGUGCCCAUACUUUUGAUGGUUUAUAAAUGUUGUUUUCCUGUCUACUUCUAGAUGUGUUGUAGUUUGAUUGGUUUUACACCGUAACCCAGCCUUUAAUGGAAACCAAAAACUUCUAAGGCUUUUUAAGUGAAUUGCGUACAGUUCUGACAACCUGUUAGUAUAGUUUUCAUUUAUUAUUUCUAGUGGCCAAGUCCAGUAUUUUCAUACUGAUAUAUUUAGUAUAAUUUCAAUUUCAAUGAAGCAAUAGGUGUGGAGUCUUAAUAUGGAUGUGGAUUCAUGUAAUGGCUUUCAUUUGCUAACUAAUGUUUGUAUUCUUUCUCUUUACCACUUCCUAUGCUCAAGGUGAUCUGGUUGAUGCUGUUGUUCCUUUUAUGGGGGAAUCAAUAUCCGAUGGCACAUUGGCAACGUUCUUGAAGAGUAUGCUUCCCUUAAAUCGAUAUUCCAAUUAUGCCUUUAUUAAAGACAGUUUUGGUUCUCAAUUUCAUUACUGCCCUCAAUGUAUUUCUGGUUUUGCUUUCUCGGUUCCUCUGAUGGAUCAUACAAUUUUUUUCCCCAGAACCUGGUGACAGAGUAGAAGUUGAUGAGCCUAUUGCUCAGAUUGAAACAGACAAGGUACUUUCCAUAGUUCAGUUCUUACUUGUUGCUUUAAAAUGUUUGCAGUUUUAAAUGGAGUGAAUGUUUCAAUUUUCUUUGUUUCCAUUAGGUGACAAUUGAUGUUGCUAGUCCUGAAGCAGGCGUAAUCCAAAAGGUAAACAAUCAAGGGUUUUGGAAUAGUUAAUUGUGGUUCAUUAUUUUUUUUAAAUUUUUAUUUUUAUGCUUUCUUGCUUCUUUCCGAAUUGCUUAAUCCUGAUACUUUAUGUGAUUUGCAAUAGUUCAUAGCCAAGGAAGGGGAUACUGUAGAACCUGGCACUAAAAUUGCUGUGAUUUCAAAAUCUGGUGAUGGUGUAACUCACGUUGCUCCGUCUGAGAAGCCCGCCGAAAAAGCUACUCCUGAGAAAAAGGUGGAGCAACCAAAACAGAAAGUUGAAUCUGCUGCUGCAGAAGUAAAGAAAGCUGAGAAGCCAAAAACUGAAGCCAAGGCUUCUCCACCUCCUCCUAAAGUAACUGCCACAGAACCCAGCUUCCCCAAAAGAAAGGGAAAGACGAGUAAGCCCAUGAUCUUUAUAUCGCACUACAUCUUGAGGUUUAUCUGGAUUUUAGUGAUCUUACAAUAUGUUUUCGACAUUCUUUUUCCUCCUAUAAUGCAUUUGAAUGUGUCCUUGUAACAGGUUCCUAUGACAAGGCUCAGAAAACGAGUUGCCACACGCUUGAAAGAUUCUCAAAACACUUUUGCAUUGUUGACAACUUUCAAUGAAGUUGAUAUGUAAGCUUAGUUACAUUUCAUAGAAUUUAAGAAGACCAGUAUGUUUGAGAAUGGUGAAAUAUGCCAAAGGCUUAUUCCUAUAAGUUUGGCUUUUUUUUUUUCAAAAGAACUUCUAGACGAUCUUUAGUGGGUUGAUUCUUUAAAAUCCUGAGUUUACCAUCCUAAAAAAUAUCCAUUUUUGGGUGCAAGCUUCACAUGUACCAUUCUAUUUCCAUACUUGGUUCUGUUUAAUUGUUGCUUUUUGCAGGACUAAUCUGAUGAAACUUCGUUCCGAUUACAAGGAUGCCUUUGUUGAAAAGCACGGUGUGAAGCUAGGUCUUAUGUCUGGGUUUGUAAAAGUAUGUAACCAAUCAUGAAGUAUGUUUUGUUAUUUUCUCUGCGGCCAGUCUCCUUUUUUUUGAAAUCCUGUCUCCUUCCAUGCCCUCUUUCAGGCUGCUGUUAGCGGACUCCAGAAUCAGCCCAUAAUAAAUGCUGUCAUUGAUGGUGAUGAUAUCAUUUAUAGAGACUAUAUAGACAUCAGUAUAGCUGUUGGCACGCCAAAGGUAAUCUGAGACAUUCUGCUUGCAAGAAAUAGUAUAAAUUUCUAAUAGACUGAGAUAGAACCAAAGAAGCUUGAACUACUUGAACUUAUACUUUUAUCUGCUUAAGAAGAAUGCUACUGUUGAUCAAACUUGAGUAUGCAUGUAAGUUGGAUGGCUAGUUAUCAUGUGUUAGCAGCUUUUUGCUUCUGCAUGUCGAGAUCUCCAAUAAAUUGUGUUAUUUUGACACUUAUCGUUGUGAGUGGUUCCCCUCUUACCUGUGGAUUGCUUUGUUUAACGAUCAUAUUUAAAAUUUAAUAUAAUCAGACAUGUUUAGGUAAUAUCUGUAUCGCUGAUUCCCACAUAACAACUGUCUGUGUAUUUUCAUUGAUUUACCGACUUGUAAGGUGUGGGAUACAAAAUAUGCACCUAAUAUGAAAUUGUAACCUUUUGACGGUCUGUAUUCAUGAUUUAGGGCCUUGUCGUUCCUGUUAUCCGCAAUGCUGAUAAGAUGAACUUUGCUGAGAUUGAGAAGGAGAUCAACACGUUGGCUAAGAAGGCAAGUGAUGGAAGUAUAUCAAUCGAUGAGAUGGCAGGAGGGUCAUUCACAAUAUCCAAUGGUGGUGUUUAUGGAAGCCUCUUGAGCACUCCAAUAAUCAAUCCCCUCAGGUGUGGCUCUUUGAAAGUCAUUGUUUGAUUGCGUGCUAUUUUCUUUGUCGCUAUCAACAAUAAAAUUUGCAAUUCGUUUGUGCCAUUUUCCAGUCGGCAAUUCUGGGUAUGCACUCAAUAGUCAACCGUCGAUGGUUGUUGGAGGUAACAUAGUUCCCAGACCUAUGAUGUAUGUUGCACUGACCUAUGACCACAGGCUGAUUGAUGGGAGAGAGGCAGUGCUCUUUUUGAGGAGAAUCAAAGAUGUGGUUGAAGAUCCACGUCGCUUGCUCCUUGAUGUAUGAAGAAUUGGUCAUUUGGGGGUUUGAUUUUAUAGAUAUUCUUAAUAUACUGCAGUUAAAAGCACACUUCGGCUAAACGAAUAAAUGUUUAGCACUUCAGUUGCGGCCAGCCACGUUUUAAUUUCAAAUGAGAAGGUUUUUUUUAGACGCUAGUUUAAGUGUGCUAAACUUGUGUUUAGUGCUUUUUAUUUUGGGCAUGAUGGAAUUUGUUGGAAUUUGUGCUAAACUUGAAGAUCCCUUAGUUGGCAGCAUUAUUUCUCAGUUUCAAAAGUUAUUGGAUAAUAAUCUCAAUGAAGCGAGUUCGCCUGUAGUUUUAACCCAUAUGUUUUAACUCUGCUCCUGGAUUUUUGUGGUGUCUUGAUGCAUGAACAUGAAAGAGGACCUGGAGGAAUUCAGUUUAAGAACUUACAGAGUAGUAGAUAUAAUCAUAGCUUGUAUCCCAAUGCAAGAUGCGAAAAGUAGAAGCACAAAAUCGAAAACCACCAUGUUGCUCAUUAUACAAGAUUUUACUUAAAGUUAUACAUAGAUGAUAAUGAAGUCAAAAAGUCGAAUUGGAACACAAACUUUGCGUACGGGUUUAGGGGCAUUUUGCCGAGUUACAUGAGUUGGGUAAUUCCCAUGCUAGCGCAUAUAAAAUUACCGCAUCUCCAGCUGGUAUGGCAUAAUCCAGCUAAAUUCUAACCUCAAUCCCUGCUUCGCAUAGAUGCUCUUUAACAGACUGAAUAGACACCUGAAAAUGAAUAUGUUCAUACCGAGACUUUAUCCAAUAAUUUGUAUACAGAAAAAGGAUCUGAAGAAAUUUCUCAAAAUGCAUGAUAGAAAUUUAGAACAGUCGAAAUCUAUAGAAACCACCGAUAUUAGAAUCCAUGCGUUCAAAAGUUUGUCUAAUAUUUAUUGGUAUCUACAGAAAACAAUGAGUCAAAAUUCAUCCCUGAUGCAUCAGAGAUUGUUUCACCAGGUGAUGUAUACGUGUCCAAAUGCAAGAAAUUCUGCUGAUAAUGAGGAAGCAAAUCCAGUUCUCAAGUACCAGUUAAAGAAACCAAAGGAAAAAAGCAAGAGUACAAGGUGGACUUCGCACAUCUUUUACAAAAUUAAUACCUCUUUUCUGUGGAAAAUGCCAGCAGCAAGCGCAGCAGAUGCAUUUGUCUGGUUAAAAACUUCUGAAAAGUGUUCUGCUGCUCCAGCCCCUGCUUGCAAUCACUGGGAUGCUAACAGCAUCUGAGAUUAACUUCACCAGAUCUAUAUCGAAUCCUUUCCCUUGACCUAGAAGGGCAUCAUUUGCAUUUGAAAGGCUUUAGAUUCAUCAUUACUAUUAAAUAAAAGAUCAAUGAAAGUUUUGACAUACUCAUAAAACUUGGCAGAGAUGUUAGAAGACGAAUAUUUUUACAGCAAAAGCGUGAAUCAACUAUCCAGGUUUGUUCAAAGUAAAUAGCCUCCCGAUUUAGUCAUUCAAAAUGUUACCACCACUGCUAUAUGCAUUCCCCUGGGAUUUCAUUAACUAAAUAUCCUAUUGUCAGUGGCAUUUGGUAACAGAUUCAUCAUGCAUACCAUACAUUUAAAUGAUUAUUAGUGCCAGUUACUGGCAAUAGAAUCACACUUACCAUCACAGUCAAUACAAUUUAAUAGGAUUUCCCCAGCUCCAAGUUCCUCGAUGGCUUUAGCAAGCUCAUAUGCCCCAAUCGGUCGACCUUCACGACCACCAUUGACCUUAAGGAUAAUAACAAGGUUACUCUAGAAUAUUAAAAACAAUGGAAUUUAAUGCCAUGGGAUGGACCAAUAUGUACAUUGAGUAUGCAAGAAGCACAAAAAAGUUGAUAUAAGAAUGUAGAAAGCUUUAGAUAAGAGAAUCCGCAGAAAUGUAAAACUCACUUCUACCUAAGUCCUCAGCACUCUUCCCCAGUAAAGAUGAAGAAAUGCCAAAAGAAUUUAAGAAUAGCUGCCUUAUAUUUAAUGGACAAAACAGCACUAUAUAGUGAAAGUCGGUUAAAUUUUACAUCAGACCAGUUCCUGAAUUAUAGCCUCAUGAUGCAUCUCAGUACAAGAACCUACUACUAUUUUCACAUGCAAUCCAAUAGCAAAUGUCAACAAUUACUGCUGCUGAAUGCAACUCUCUAUCCUUCGAUUGUUUUAUAGCUGACGACAUGAUGAAGGUCUACAAGUUAUAUGAUUACUUACCGUGCAUUGAUACCAGGCAUAUUUUUCUCCAUUUGGACCUGAAAGUAAUCAGUAUGUCAAUCAAUAAGCCCCCAACAAGGCAAAAAACCAUUUCUUUACUUUCUAGUCUAUUUUAAAUGAGAAAACCUGUACCACACACAUGAAGUGUCUCUGCGUUCACCAGCUCAAGUCAUGUGGCAACCAAAAAUGGUUUUUUCAUCCUCUAUUUCCCACUCCCCACCCUCCCCCCCCCCCACAAAACCUCAGGGGUCUCUGCACUGCCAAAAGGUUAAAGAAACAAAGGAAAAUUUUAAACUGGAAAAUUCUCCUCGAAAGAUCCUGCUGAAUGAAGGGUAGCUUUGGUAUAUAUGAUCAACGUCACACUUGCAUUCUUGGAAUCUCCCCGAGUCAAAAUUUGCUAUUUUCGUCAAUUUUAGUCACAUAUUAUGUUCCACAUUGUCCAACCAGGAGUCUUUUACACAAUAAGAAGAUCAUAAAAUAAAUACCCAGAAGGAACCUACAGGAUAAUAUCACUGCAACUGCAAUGAGAUAUCCUACCUGGGUUUCUAACUGGGAUGGUCUUGAAUUUCACAGUAUCUGGAUCCUUCACGUAGACCCUCCGAGGAUCAAUGCUAACAACCACAGCCUACAAGAUCAACAUUAAAUGAAGCAAGUAAUCAGACCAUACAAGUACCCAUAAAUUGAAAACAAGACAUAUAAACGACAUAUUAACAGGAGAGAAUCAAGGAACUGCUAGCUAUUACUUUUGGCAUAGAGGAAAAUACAAUGAUAAAAGUUGAAAAAAGCUCAGAAAACAACAUUUGGAUGAACCUAUUAUGCAAUUUAGAGUGACAGAGAAAAUGAAAUCAAAAGUGACUACAAAAGCAAAGAGAUAUUGUAUUGCAACAAAACAAACAACCGUUCAACCUAAUGUAGCAUAGAAAGAGGUUGGCCAUCAGCAAGUUUCUGUACAACCUGUUCGAAGAAGUGCUUCUUCUCUACUACAUGAUAAUUUGUAAUGCCGAUGUUUUGAUAUGAAUAGCUAUGGUUUGAAAAAGAAAACGCUGGAACAUAUCACUAUCGUCUACACAGGACAAGCACAAAACGAACAAUCCUCAAAAUGAAUAGUCAAUCUUGAUUCUCCAGUCAAUAUUCUAAUAUAAGCACAUUUUUGUGCAAUGGGACAUAAUAUAGAACAUGUGUGAUGAAUUUACCUGAUUACCAUAAACCCAUGAGAUCUGCUCUAGACUGCUCUUCCCAGUUUUUUCCUUGAGAAAGCGGUUCAAGAAAUGUUGUUAGCAAAAUAAAAGACGUAAGGAAAAAAAAAAGAAUUAAUAAGCAGGUAUAUUAUUUGCAACAUGCUGCAAGUAUCACAUACUCCAGUUUUCAGAAAUUCUUCGGCAGCAUAAACUGCAUCACUUCCAAUUGAAACCUUAUCUGCCCCUGAUCUAAAAUAUUCUGAAGCAACCUCCAAACUGGAAUAGUAUCUGAGGAAUGAGAAGCCAGAGUGUUAAGUCUUUCAACCUCAGAAAUCACCUGCUACUCUCCUGAAGCAUGUGCAAGCACUAGAGCAGUACAAGGAAAUCAAGUACUAAAGUGUAAUGACUCCCCUCCCUUCUUCUAAAGAGGUGUAAAACAAUUGGCUACAACUAUAUGUUUUACCUUCCAUUUCCAUCAGUAAAAUCACGAAUGCCUCCACCAACUGUUAGUGGUACAAAAACAUUCUCUGAUGUAUAUCUCAGUACCUACAACACAAAAAAAAAAGAUAACGGGAUAUGAUAAGUUUAAGAUAGAGGAGAAUGGAAAGUAAAAAUGAUGACACACUGAUAUUUAAAUCAGUUGCAUACAUACCUGCAACAUUGGCAAAUCGCCAAGAGGGAAGUCACGGAAACCUGUAAUGUUUAAAAAGCUAACCUGAAAUACAGAAAAUUUAAUUAGCUUAUGGCGCACAUGAAUAACGCAAAGCUGUAGUGCUCUUAGAAUUAAUACAUACCUCAUCAGCUCCAUCUUUGUAAUACUGCCCAGCAAGUUCUACCGGCUUUCCAAGAUUUCGCACCUUUAAGAAUGAUAAAGAUACAAUAAAUUUAACAUUUUGCUCUCUAUCUUUACUGAUAGCUUUUAUCUCCGAUUCAAGAUUCUGAUAUGGUCAAGUAAAAUAGCAAGACCACCAUUAUGUCUGUAAAGCGAAGAAAUUUACGAAAUGCAAAUAUUGCAUAGCCUGACCUCAUUGUCCUCUGUGUGCUCUCUUACAUCAUAUUGGUCACCUUUGGUCACAACGAGAUCACCUUUGUCAUUAGUCCUCACAUCAAGGCAUGCAAUAACCUGAAAGUUGGAAAACCAAUCAUAGAAAGUAUCCCCUCAUAGCUAGAUCACAAAAAUCAAAUAAAUAUAACCUCAAUGAAUAAAGGAUAAAAAAGUGACAUGAACAAUUGGAUCAAGUCCUCACCCUCUUUGCAAGUUUAGAGGCCUUCCCUUGGACUGGCUUCUGCCUUCACAUGAAGCUUUCAGGUCUUAGAUGCCUUUGGCAAAACAUUUGAGAGUCACACAACAAUUUAGAGGGGAGAUCGGUACCUUUGUCAACUCGUUAUUUGGAUAUAAGAACCUUCUCAGGAUGGAAAGGCCAACAGCUGGAUUAUUUUUAAGAACAAAAUGACAAUUAAGAGAUUUUUUCUACAAUUCAUGAUGGUAAUCAUGCUACUUGAGUGCUCAAGCAAAAGCAGCAAAAAUAGGCAGGAGAUUCUAGAUUCAUGACAAUAACUGCAAGUGCAGAAUAGGAAACAACAAAAACAAGGGUAGACAGGAUAAUUCAACUUCAUUACGAGAGACAUCUUUCAAAGAUUGUAAAACAGAAAAACUAAAAAAAAAAAAAGACAAAAUCAAUAAAAAAAAGAAAGAAAUGAGCAAAAACUUCUUUCCACUUGAUUACAUGAUAAUAAUUAUUAUCAUAUCCAAUCAUACCUCCACUCUUCUCUGGGUGAAAUUGGACAGCAUGAACAUUUCCUCUUUUUACUGAUGCAAUGAACUUGUCGCCAUAAUUGCAGGUAGAAGAUAUCCAAUCUUUGUUAUCAUCUGACUAAAAGAGUAAAAGAAGCAAAACAUUACGGCCAGAGACCUUGAAUAAAAAAAAAAAAACAAUGAUGUGUGACAAUGAAAUGAGAAAAUGCUGCAAAAGGCAGAUGUGAAUUGCACUGGCAAAUAGGAUACCAUACCGGCAUUGCACGGUAAGAAUGCACAAAAUACACAUGUCGAUUUCCUAUAUCAUCCAAAAUGUCAGAGUCUUCUGUUAUUUGAAGAGCAUUCCAGCCAAUAUGAGGUACGCUAUAACCUUUUGAUGAGUCAAAUCUUCCAACUAUGCCAGGAAUCAAGCCAAGGCCUUUCACUAAGAGAGAUGAGCAAUUGUCAGGUCAUCCACAAAGCAACAGAUCCAUUAUUUGUGACGAGAGAAUAUUUAAGCUACAACAGCAAGUCUUGUGGUCUGACAUUUAACCUGAAUGGUUCACCACCUCCAGAGCACGAAUCAUACAAAUUGCAAAAUACACCAUUACUAGCACCUAAAAUAGCAUGAGGCUAAAAAUGUUGAAACAUGUAAACUCACAUAUAAUUAUAUGACUACACAACUCAAUUCACAAGUGUAUUUUCAGGCUGAGGUUCAUCACAUCCCACCUCCAAAUCUGGAAGAACUCAACUAAAAUAUGUUUUCUAUUUUAGCUGGGAUAAACUUGAUGAAUCCUUUUCCUUCACCCGCAAAGUCACAACUAAGCUUGAGAUUUACAUUUUGAAACACUUGAUUGAUUCUUAAGCUCAAAAAAAGCUGUUAUCUGCCUUACCCGGUCCAUUCUCCUCACUUGACUCAAAGAGUAGCUGAAGUCCAAGACAAAUGCCUAAGAAUGGGCGAUCUUGCUCAAUGUAACUGCAAAGAGCCUCAGCCAUCCUACAGAAGAAUGCACUCCUUGAGUUCUGAAACUAGUUUGAUUGACUAACACAAAGGAAUCCACAUUUGUGAAACCAAAAAAAUAUGGUAGAAGUGUGUUAUAUUUCUGGAUGUGUAUAUGUGGAGAUACAGAAGAAGAAACAGACAGAGACACAGGUCCAGACAAACACAAAUAGAAGUUUAUUAUAGAUUGCCACUUUUGCUUCAAAGUUAUCUUUCUUUCUAGUCAACUCAGUCCACGAUUUUUGUCCGACUUCAUAUAAUUGCAGUAUAGAGGACUUGAUUGCUUAAUAGUGCUAUAUAUAUAAAUUAAUAUAAUUGCAGUAUUCGGGACUUUUUUUAAUAAGUUCCUUCAAUUUACUGAUGUCCAGGAACUACAACAUCCAAGAUGGACUUUGUUAUCUUUAAAUCUCAAUUGUUUUUCACUUCUAUCCAAAACAUUUGGAACAGAUCAUUUAGGGAGUAAAAAAGGUGUGUUCCACUGGAUCAGAAAAAAAAAUGUAGAUAUUAGUUUUCUUAAAUGAUGAACAUUAUUAAGCAUUAUCUACGGACAAAAUUGAUGUAGUAAGAUUGACAUUUCACAGGACAAAUGCAGAACUGGAUAAAGAGUUACCCUCUCUGGUUCAACACAUCCAUGGCAGCAGCAAAUGCACCUACACCAGGAAAUAUAAGGCGUCUUGCAUUCAUGAUGUCCUCUGGAGUCUGAACCUAAAAGUUUUCCGGACAGAGUUUGAAAUUAAUAGAAGCACAAUUCUCAACACAGACUCAAAUGAUUAAUUUUUGUCUAGUCUCUAGGAUCCCCAGUUCAUUUUCAGAAACAAUUUUGCUUAUAGCUUGUUGAAUGAAUCUAUGCCUACCCUCCCUUUUCUCUCCUCGAAAACCACCUAGUCCACCCCCACACCUACCCCGAAUUCCCACCCCUGGAAUCAAAAAAGAAGAAAGAAUGAAGGCCACUUAUUUUAGACUUAAGAAGUCGCAUUUUAAGUAGAAUAUUUAGGCACAGUAUAUAACUUCGACAGAUAAAGUUCUCCAUGAAGCUUCAGAAUCUAAUUUUCUACCGUAGAUAAAGUAAAUCACUAGAUAAUUAACAGUUACAUACUUCCUCGAUCAUCUCACUUUCUAGACCUCAAAAACGAAAAGGAAAAAAGAAACACACACACACCAACAAUCCUUUCCCUGUGACUGGUCAACUUAGCAAUUCAAUGUCAUCAGAACGGCUUCAAAAAAAAAAAAAAAAAAUCUCAAAUUUCAAAUCUUGUAAAUCAAAAAGAGCCAGCGAUAUAUCUAUUGAUUUCUUAGUAAAUAACGUCAAUAAACCAAUAUUCGUCGGUAAUCAGAAGCUGAAACAAAGUUGAUAACCUAAAAGCAGAAGUCCUAACGAGUCUUAUUUAUAGCUUAUUGUUUACAUUGUUUUUACUUUAAAAAAUUUGAGAAAACAAGGAAAUGAAAUUAAGUUUCAUUCACCAAGAUAAUAACUAAGUCGGAAAAAUCAUAACAGCAGCAUGGUGUUGAAAAACCAUCUUUAAUAUUAAAGCCGAGGUAGCGAAUUGCAUUUCUCACGCUCCGGACAUUCCCGGCACCGUAAUCAAGCAGAGUGACCACUGAAAUAUUGAAUAGACGAAUGUUAAAUUCAAAACCGACAAUAUCACCUAUUUAAAUUCAAACAAUUCCACAUCGAGUAAUAAUGCCAUAUACAGUUAAAACGCCAUACAUAUACACACAGAGAGAGAGAGAGAGAGAGCGUGACAUUACCUCCGUCGCCGGAAGCGGAGGCGCGGACGGAGCAGCUUCUGGAAGUUUCAAAUUUGAGAGGUUCUCCGGCAGGCUUAGAGCGUAGAAAAUGGAGAGAGCAAGAAGCAGAGGGAAUGGGAAAAGAGACGACGAAUUUGAACGAGAUUUUAGCGUUAGCAUCCGCGAAGUAGCUGAAGCAAAAGUCGCCGCCUCCAUGGCUCCUUUGUCACUGCAGUUUCAGAGUUGAAUGGAGUGUUGUAACAGUAGAGCACUCAAAUGCCUCAGCGGUCGUUUACAUUUCCUAUUACCUUUCCAAAACUUGCGUAUUUAUACUUGUCUUUUGGUUCGGUUGAUAAAGGAUCGUGGGCGCCAUUAGAAUCUUUGAGUUCAAUGCUACUAUGGACUUCUAUCAACGCCCAAUGAAGUCCAAAAGCAUAGUGGGCUAAUUUAUUUCAUUUGCAGGCCAGCUAUAGAUAUCACGGAUUGGUGAUGGAGUUAAUGGAUGUAUUCCCAAUAACAUGUGUAUUGUGGAAGCCAUUUUUUUUUUUUUUUUUUUUGGAAACAUUGUGGAAGCCAUUUUGAGGGUGAAGAGGUGCGGGAGACCAUUUGAGUCAUAAUGUGUUGUCGACUACAAGGAAAUCGCACUUCUGUAUUUCGCUAAUUUUUAAAAUUCUGGGAACGUAAAAGUGAACGAAACGGGUGAAAGCUCUUCCGAAAGGUCACAUUCUAAUUGUAGUUUUUCGCCUAAGGAUUUGUUUGGAAGGUUGUUUUUUUACAAUUUUAUUUUUAAUUACUUUUUUAUUUCACAUACAUUACAACAAAUUAUCCCUUAAACAUGCAACUUAUCCCUUAAACGUGCAACAGCCUUUUCCUAUCCAAGAACGCGUUCGCUAAAAUAUGCAGCAAUGCCAAUCUUUAGCAUAUGCAUCUUGUUUUGCUUAGGAAACACUUGAAAACAGGCAAACGAGCUCAGGAAUACAUAAGGGAAAAACGAAAAUUUUGAAUUUCAACCCAUUGCUCAAAUCGGUGACAAUAUAUUGUCAAAACCUGUGGUAAAUUACGAGUGUACAGCUUUCUGUUUCAUAGAGAGAAGAAGACACGGCUACUUUUGUCCAUGUCUCUUACUUCCCCCGUCCUCCUCUAUUUUUCCCGUUGUUCGAUCAAUGCUGAAAGCACUUUUACCUAGUUGUCAUCAGCAUUGCCCGUAUCUUGGCCCUGAGAUCAUCAGAGAUUUGGGUUGUCUCAGAGGGUUGAGAAGAGCCCUCGAAUAUGUACUUGCCAUGUCUACAGAAGUUUCACGGCUAUGAUGACCACCCGCAACCCUAGAAUGAUCAGAGAAUUUAGGACUGAUCUCGCCUUCCUCCAAUUCAUCUUUUUCUGAGUAAGAUCUCUUUCUAUCUCCAACAUAUCUAUCAUAAUGCUCAUUCUCGGGACUAGAAGAGCAGUCACGCUUUUUUAGUUGAAUGUCUCCAUCCUCAGAUGAAUAAACUUUCUGGCGCUUAGGACUGCCUCCACUUCGAUGUGAAGAACGAUAAGACUGGUGCUUCUUUCUACAGUGCUUGUGAUCCUUUUUAUCCUCUUUUUCAUGUGAAGAUCGACGAGAUGAAUGCUUCUUGCUCGACUGUUUAUGAUAACUUGUAUCAGUAUCUUUUUCUCCAUCAUCAUCUUCAUGAGAAGAACGAUGAGAUCGGUGCCUCUUUCUGGAUCGCCUAUGCGACUUUUCCUUCUUGUAAUCGUCAUCAUAAUCCUUUUCACGGGAAGAAUGAUGCGAGUGAUGCUUCUUUCUGGAGUGCUUGUGAUUCUUUCUCUCUUCAUCUUGUCCUCCUUCAUGCUCCUCCUUAGAGUUAUCCUGUUCCAAUUCUUCCUCAUCAUUAUUUUCAUCAUCAUUUUCUUCACAUCUCUCAGGUCUUGAUCGGUAAUUCCUCUUUGAUCUCCGUUCAUCACUCAAACUGUUUCUCUCAGGAUUUUCAUUUUUCUCCAACAUAAUAAUAUCUGUAGGGGCUGAGCUGCAUUCUCUUUCUUUAAUACCAUCAUUAACUUCAGCAGGGGAUCCUGAAACCCCUGGUUCCGAAGGUUCUACUGACAAAGCACGCAAGGCCUCAGUUUUUGAGGGCACAGCUCCACUUUUUAACAUGGCCACAAACAUCUUUGCCCUUUUCAGUCUUUCAGCUUUCAGCUUCUGCUCUCUGGUCAAGUGUGCUUCAGAGUCAGCCCCACCGCUAGUUUCAAAAACGGCAGCUUUUUCCUCUGCCUUAUAGCCCAAAGAAUUGGACCCAAAGCCUGAGGCCUGUCCAACGUCCUUGUCAUGGCCCCACUGUUAUCACUGCGAGCUGUGCUCGAACUGACGCUAUUUGGAAUUCUGAAGCCCCUUGUGGCAGCCUGAAGAAUAGCUGCAGCAGCUUCUGCAUCUAAACUUACUCCACAGUCUUGCUGGGUUGCUUUAGAAGGUGGGUCCUGUAGAUCCUUUCUUGAUUUACCAAUUAUCAUUUUAAAUUUCUCUUUCCUGUCAGAUUCAUCUGGAAUAUCAGAACAAAGAUAGUUGGACGACAUAUACUCAUUCUUGUCUAGGCCAAGUCUUGCUGAAUCAUCCUCCCCAUAGGUGUUCUUGGCACUCACUUUUGACUGCAAAAAAGUAAAGGAAAGUCAGCAAAGAAAUGGAGUCAAAUAAGUGGCUGUAUACAUAAUCUAUCAGAGGAAACAAAUACGACGCAUGUUCGAUAUGAGAAUAAGAAAUACAUUCCAAAACUGACAAACAAUGGGUAUAGCAGGUAUAUAGAGAGAGAGAGAGAGCCCAAAUUUGAAGGUAUACAAUGUCAAAUAGAACACCACCCAUAUACAUUCACAAACAGCACCAUAGACAAAGGUAAAGGGCACACCUCCUGAGCUUUUUGGAGGCUUUUUAGGUAGUAUGGAUGAUACUGGUCAGACAGCACAAGAAACGGGAACCUCCCCUGUUUACUGUCCUGCUCACGGAGUGCAGCCUCAAACUGCUUUCCAUUCUUCAGAACAAAAUCAACAACCUUGUCAAUCAAUCUCUUCAGAUCAGAAGGAGGCUCUAAAAAUAAAGGUUCCUUUAACUUCUCCGAAGAAGCCAAAUAUGAGCCUGAGACAUGAUCCUUUUUAACAUUAGUUGUUCUUCCAGGCUUAGAUGCUGCAAUUGAAGGAUUUUUCUUCAGAGCAGAAAGCUUGUCAUUAGUAUGAACUGGACGCUUUGCAAGAGGUUCCUUUUUCUCAGGCGCAUUUGAACUAGAAUCUGUCUUUUCUGAACCAUGAGAAACAACUGAACUGGUUGUAUUCAUGACUUUGUCUGGAACAGCAUUUCCAGUUUCGUUUGCAUCCUCCUCAUCCUCUCCAGACCCAUAUACAGAACCUAGCAAAGACAAAGCGCCUCCAACACCCGCCUUAUUCUGGUUAGUAUCAGCAGUUUCAUCUAAAGAUUGAGUUUUGCCAUCACUAUCUGACUGCAAUAAUUCUUGGUGAUCGACAAGAAACGUGAAGUAUGCGUGAAGAUUAUGGUCAGGCAUCAAAGAACCCAAAUGUUGAUUGUCCCUUGUUUCACCCUCAAUACAAUUUCUGACUGCCCACCAUGUUUGCUGACAAAUUUAGCAGUCCUUGCAAUAAUCUGAUGUACUUUCUCUGAUGGAGGCUGGAAAAACAGGCAAAGCAAGAAAAUCACCAAAGGUCUGUCAGAAUUUGAAAUUCAAAAUUGCAAAUCCAAAGCAUAGUAGCUUAAAAUCUCACAUUCCAAAGAUACAUCAAAAUAGUCUGACAUAACAAGUAUUUUAAUAACAUAUACCCACAUUGAAAAGCUGUACGAAAUAUUUCUUAUGCAGUUGCCUUCAAGAAGUAAAUGCUACUCCGUACAAUGAAAAUAUGUACAAUCCUAAUCCACCUGCACUGCAACUUGGUCAUGACAUCAAAACGACACAAGGUUCCAGUGAAUGGCAACCUUAGAUCACAAUAACUCCAUUCCUGCUCCGAGCAUCUGAAAACUUAGACAGGGUGAGCCUUAGAAUAGCAUGCACAUUACUGGGGUUACUAUUGGCCACAUUUGCAGUCAAGUUAGAGCAAGUAAAUAAACAACCCUGAAAAUCAAAUGGAAAUGUCCAAUGAAACAUGUUCACGAUAAUGAACUUACCAAGCUAUGAAGAAGGCUCUCAGGCACAGGGAACGGAGGAAAGAAUUUAGCACAUUCUAGCCCCCAUCUGCGUCAUUCUGGUCAGCUGAGCCAUUGGUGUUUCAUAAGAAAAGGCCACAGCACGAUAACCCCCAGCAUCCCCAGGCUUUUCAGCCUCUUCUGCUUCUAGGCAAAACAGAUAUUAGAAUUACCCAAGUCAGUAUGUUCAUAAAAAAAAAUGAAAAAAUCAAUAUGCAAAUCCAUAAGAACUAUCCUAACGGGGCUCUAAGAAAAGGAAAUUCACCAUAGAUAAGUCAAAUUUUAACUUUUUCACAAUUUGUGGACCUCAAUUAAGUAAAGCAGCACAAAAUUUUACGAAAUCUAAAAAGAAAAAUGUUAAAAGUGGAAAAGGAGAACAAAAAUUAUCUUACCUGGUUCAUCGGAAGGGGGAGGAAGGUCGAGGUAGCGUUCGUGAUCGAGCUCAGAAUUAUGUGACGAUUCGAUGAGAUGAGGAGAAGUUUGAGGAUUGCGCCGCCUGCGGGAGGCAGUGGACCGGAGAGGAGGUGGCGGACGUCGUAGCGGUCGAUUAGUAGGGAAUUCCACUCGACGAGUGCGUCACCGGAGUUCACAAACGACGCCAUGGCAUCGUCGUCGAACAGCAGGGCAUGGCGCCCACCACCUCUAGAUCCAUCAUCGUCUAUAGCAAUUUAUCGGGAUCCAAUUGAAAUGAAACCCUAGCUUACAAGUUAUAUUUAAUGCUACUGUCAGGGAUUAGGAUUUUGUAUUGCAAUAUUACUGUCUAUUGGCUGUAUGUACGUAAUUUUGAUGAUUGCGGGAGGUGGCCGGUUUGUUACCUAGUUUAGCGGUUUUGGGCUUAUAAAUGGCCUAUAAAUUGUUCACUUGCGGAAAACAUGCUCUUGGGCUUUAUGGGUUUUUGAAUGACUUCCAUGCACUUGGGCCAUUCUCAUUGCAAAUUGACGUACAUUAGUAAUUUUAAUCUUCCAAGUCAUUGCAAAUUCAGCAAAUCAUGCAACACAAGGUUAAAACUUCUAGAGUUUGUUUGAUGUUUUUUCCGUGUGGCUCAUAUGAAAUAAGCUCAAGUUGAUACAGACGACUUGGCCAUUAUCUCCUAUAUUGAAAGAUUAUUUUUUUUCGUUUGGAAGGGAUUCUACGCCUUAGUGCCUUACAAAGGGAAGAGGAGAAAUGAGAGAGCUUGGGAGCUAAGCUAAAAACCUGAUGAUUACCUAGUCAAUAUCCUUCUUAAUUGAGUUGGGUCUUAGAGAUAAAUCUUAAUGAAAGAUGCGGCAUCUCUCUUUGCUCAAAAUUUGAAAAAUUUCAUGCAGGCACAACUAGAAUUUUCCUUUAUACAGUACAUGGAUAUUAGUCCAUACAAGGCACGAAAAUUUUCAGCAUCAAGAAGCCCAUUCUCUAGUUGUGCACCCGUUUUGGUCCGGUGGUAGUUCAAUCCCCUUGGGGUUAUCUCUGGGCCUCCUUAGAUCCGCCCCCUCUCCCUUAGUGUAGAAUAAAUUAGGUUAUACGACAGUUGUCGUCUCCGAAAAAAAAAAAAAAGAAGCCCAUUCUCAAUGGCUCCAAGGCCACCAUGUACAAACCACACCCCCGCCCCAAAAAAAAUAAAAGAAAGGCGAAGUAUUCUGCCCCCAAGGGAUGAAAGACUAGAAAAACAGGGGGAAGAAAGUGCAGAAACAAAUGGAGAUUUUCUUCCCCGAAGUCGAGCAUUUACAGCCAGAACAACCCUUGUAAAUAAAUGUCAUGAGCUAACUACUGCUAAGGCUAUUUCCUUCAGAAAACCUACUGCUAAGGCUACAACAUUCUCUAUACCACGAAACUCUGAUAACUGAAACAAGAACUCACUCUUUCAAUGUGAAAGAGAAAUCUAUGAUUCUGGAAGAUGAUACCUUGUCAUGAAACAGAAGCUAAAGACGUGAAACAAAGAAGCGGCCUUUAAGUAAGUAACUACAACAGGCGGAAGGCGUGGAUUCUGGCAACACGCUUUUAUUAAGUAAGAAGACGUGAGAAACAAAGAAGAUUGAAGGUGGAGGCGUGGGAAACAAAUCACGCCUUUUCUGGGAACAAGCUCAAGCAACGUGAGUUUCUGAGCAAGUGGCUCUCCAACAGAUUUCUGUUAUCCCUCACAUGGAUGAGCUGGAUUGGGAAGCAUCAGAGGAGCGGGCUAUUAGUUAACUCUAUAUAAAAGAUCAGUAGUGGAAAGGAUUAUCAUUUUGUUAGUCAAGUUGUAAGGGAUCAUUCCCUGGUUCUUUCUCUUCUGUUUUCCUAACAGCUUCCAGGUUCCUUUCCUGCAACUUAGCAGCUUCAAUGGUGUCUGCUAAGGUGAGGGGUCUGGUCAUCCUAACCAUACUUACUAUUUCCUCCUUUAAACCACUAAGAAAACACAUUUGUAAUAUGAAUCAGGUUGACCAGGGAGAGAUAACAUUACCAUAGAUUUCAGUUGUUCAAACUUCUCCAGGUACUCAGUGACACUCCCUGUCUGCAUCAGCUUGUUAAAUUCCUCUAUGGCCUCCUCUGGAUCUCCCUCCCCAAACCUUUCACAAACCGCCACUAGUUCUCUCCAUGGAACUGUCCCCUUCUCGUGGUACAUGCCAUGGAACCAGAUGUCUGCCUUCUCCUGGAAAUGGAGUUGAGCAAUGUCUGAUUUCAGGCCUUCCUCCACUUCAUGGAUCUGGAAGUAUUUGUUUGCUCUUCUAACCCACUCUCUGGGUUUAUUUCCAUCAAACGCAGGGAAGUCCAUCCUUGGUAGUCUGGCUCCCCCUUUACUUCCCCUUUCUCAGUUAAAUCUGUGGUAACUGCUAUCCUAGCCUCAUUCCUAGAACUACCCCCUUCUACCUCCUUCCCCUUGUCGUUUAGUUUGGCCAUGAUCUGAGCCAUCAUGUUCAUCAUCCCCUCAUAUUUCUGAUCUAAAUUUUUUAUGGCUCUAUCUGUGCUCUCCUGCCUAUGCUCCAUUGCCCUUACAGACUGUUCUACCCCAUCAUUCUUAUUGGCAAAAGUCCUCACCACACUCCCCAACUCAGUGAGCUCUCCUUUCUCAGAGCUUCCUCCUGAGUUUUAGUCAUGUCCCAAUGGCUUGUAGCUAGCUCUGAUACCACUGUAAUGGUAUCGAACAGUAGCCAGGCAACAGACCAGCUCCCAGUGGCAGGUUUAUGAACAGCACAGAACUAAUUUACCAACAGGAAGAACCAAUAUGAACUGAUGAAUAAUCAAUGAAUUAGUAUUGAUAUUGAUUGAAAUAGAAGAUUACAGAGUUGGCGGAAAUAAGAAAGGAAAUGAAAGAUUGAAGGAAAACAGAAGAGAAAGAACCAGGGAAUGAUCCCUUACAACUUGACUAACAAAAUGAUAAUCCUUUCCACUACUGAUGAUAUACUGAUUUACAGUCCCUCUCUGGAAAGUGCACCUGCAGCAGGUGGCAGAAGUACUAAACAUAUUGCAGGAAAAUCAACUGUAUGCCAAGAGGAGUAAAUGCUCCUUCGCACAAACUGAAGUAGAAUACCUUGGCCACAUUAUCUCAGGAGAAGGAGUAAGGGCAGAUCCAAAGAAAGUGGACAGUAUGAUGAAAUGGCCUAAGCCAGCUUCUGUCAAGGAGCUCAAGGGAUUUCUGGGUUUAACAGGGUAUUACAGAAAAUUUGUCAAGGGAUAUGGAGCUACUGCAAAGCCACUUACCAUAUUGCUAAGAAAAGAUGGCUUCCACUGGAAUACAGAAGCAGAGGAGGCCUUCCAGAAGCUCAAACUGGCAAUGUGCAGCACACCCGUGCUAGCCUUACCUGAUUUCACCAAGCCUUUUGAAGUGGAAACUGAUGCUUGCUAUGGAGGAAUUGGAGCAGUACUGAUGCAGAAUAAAAGGCCAAUCGCAUUCAUGAGCCAAAGCCUGGGUCCCAAGAACCUGGGAAUGUCCAUUUAUGAAAAGGAAUUGUUGGCCUUGGUAACUGCUGUCACUAAAUGGAGGCACUACCUGGAGGGGAGUCAUUUCAUUAUUAAGACUGACCAUCAGAGUCUUAAGUACCUCCUAGACCAAAGAGUCACGACAACACUUCAGCAGAAAUGGCUCACCAAACUGCUAGGACUAAGCUAUGAGAUCCAAUACAGAAAGGGAAAGAAAAUGUAGCAGCAGAUGCUCUAUCCAGGAGGGCAAGCAGAGAAGAAGGAGAUUGUACUGAGCUGACAUGUGUCAUUCCAGAGUGGAUGAAGGAGGUUAUAGGUAGCUACCAAGGGGAUGAAGAAGUACAGAACCUGAUCAGACAGUUAUUGCUCACUCCUAGUAAUCCAUCAGAACACUCUUAUCAGGAUGGAGUGCUCAGAUACAAAGGAAAGAUAGUAGUUGGCUCAAAGGGAGAUGUGAGGAAGAAAAUCAUUGCUGCAAUACAUGGUUCACAACUUGGAGGUCAUUCUGGAAUUCAGGCUAGCUACUUAAGAGCCAAGCAGCUGUUCCACUGGCCAGGGAUGCACAGGGAUAUCAAGGAUACCAUUUUGCAGUGUGACACAUGCAAAAAAUGCAAGGAUGAGCACGUUGCUUAUCCUGGACUCCUGCAACCUCUUCCUAUACCUCAGUACUCAUGGAGUCAUGUCACAAUGGAUUUUGUCGAAGGCCUGCCAAUAUCAGAGAAGAGGGACACUAUUAUGGUAGUGGUGGAUAGACUCACCAAAUCAGCACAUUUCAUCAGCCUUUCACAUCCUUUUGAUGCCCCUACAGUAGCCAGACUCUUUUUGGAUCACAUCUGCAAGCUGCAUGGAAUUCCUUUAAGCAUGCUAUCUGACAGAGACAAGGUGUUCACCAGUCAAUUCUGGACUGAACUCUUCACUUUGUUGGGUACGGAUUUGAAGCUAAGCACAGCCUAUCAUCCCCAAACAGAUGGCCAAUCCGAGAGGGUCAACCAAGUGCUGGAAAUGUACUUAAGAUGUAUGACACAUUUGGAGCCAAGAAGAUGGAAUGCAUGGCUCUCCCUUGCUGAAUGGUGGUAUAACACUACCUACCACACAACUAUUCAGAUGAGUCCAUUCGAGGCAUUGUAUGGAAUGGCUCCUCCUCAACUGGCAGUAGGUCCCUAUUUACACCUUAGAGUAGCAGCAGUGGAGGACCAUCUGAAGGAUCGACAGAGGAUGGAUGGAAUUCUCAAAACCAACUUGCAAGAAGCCCAGAACAGAAUGAAGUUUUAUGCUGACCAAAAUAGAAGUGAAAGAUCAUUCCAGGUAGGGGAUUGGGUCUACUUAAGAUUACAGCCAUAUAGACAAAUGUCUGUGGAGUUGAGGAGCAACACCAAACUGUCAGCUAGAUAUUUUGGCCCUUAUCAAAUAGUUCAGAAAAUAGGAGAGGUAGCAUACAAACUUAAGCUACCUGAUGGAUCCAAGGUACACCCUGUGUUUCAUGUAUCCUUACUAAAGAAAAAGGUAGGAGGAAAUACAACUCCAGUGCUCCAGCUACCAAACUUAGACGAAAAAGGACAUUUGAGGGUGACACCAGCAACAAUUCUGGAUCGCAGAAGCAUCAAGAAGAGAAAUGCAACAACAGUGCAGUGGCUCAUUCACUGGUGGGGAACUACUCCUGCUGAAGCUACUUGGGAAGACGCAGAGAAGAUAAGGAAGGAAUUCCCUGAAUUUCAAUCUUGAGGACAAGAUUGAUUGAAGGAGGAGCAAUUGUCAUGAAACAGAAGCUAAAGACGUGAAACAAAGAAGCGCGCCUUUAAGUAAGUAACUACAACAGGCGGAAGGCGUGGAUUCUGGCAACACGCUUUUAUUAAGUAAGAAGACGUGAGAAACAAAGAAGAUUGAAGGUGGAGGCGUGGGAAACAAAUCACGCCUUUUCUGGGAACAAGCUCAAGCAACGUGAGUUUCUGAGCAAGUGGCUCUCCAACAGAUUUCUGUUAUCCCUCACAUGGAUGAGCUGGAUUGGGAAGCAUCAGAGGAGCGGGCUAUUAGUUAACUCUAUAUAAAGAUAGGAUCAGUAGUGGAAAGGAUUAUCAUUUUGUUAGUCAAGUUGUAAGGGAUCAUUCCCUGGUUCUUUCUCUUCUGUUUUCCUUCAAUCUUUCAUUUCCUUUCUUAUUUCCGCCAACUCUGUAAUCUUCUAUUUUCAAUCAAUAUCAAUACUAAUUCAUUGAUUAUUCAUCAGUUCAUAUUGGUUCUUCCUGUUGGUAAAUUAGUUCUGUGCUGUUCAUAAACCUGCCACUGGGAGCUGGUCUGUUGCCUGGCUACUGUUCGAUACCAUUACAUACCUACAACAAAGACACUAUACAAAACUACACAAACCUUUGCACCAAAAAGUCUAACCAGUCAUGCUUUCUGAAUUCUGCAAAUGUCCAUCCUCCUGACAACAAAGUUGGCACGUAUUUACAAAGUUUUUGGUAGACACCAAAUAUCUAUCAUCAGAACUCAGGCUUAACUCGGCUAUUUCCAACAGUCUGGAGCAGAUUGUGAGUAUGUCUGUGCGUACCUGUCCGAAUAAGCAGAGCAGGCUCAGAAACAUAAAAGAUGAAAGGAAGAACCACUUACAACAAUGAGAUAUCAAAAUAACCAGCAGACAACACCAAAGAGCAACAUGAUUGAAAUUAAACAUGACACUAAUCAGUGUAACUGAAACAACAUUCGUCCACUUAAAAAUCAAAGCAUUGUAUUCUGGCAAUCAAAUUCUUUUCAUGCUAAAAUGUAAUAAGCCCUCGAGCACGAAAAUAGUUAUUAUAUCAACUCAAAUAUUUAUAUAGCCACAGAAGACUUGUGACAAGAGACAUCUCUGAGUUGAGGAAGAUUAAAUGCUAGGGUAAGACAAGAUUCUACCUCAUUUUCUCUCUUCCAAUAAUUUUGAGUUAAAAAGAGAAAAAAAUUGGAACAAGGAAAACAAGAUACUGUACUAAGAGAAUAUUCUUCAGCAACUCUAAUGUUGUACAGAUCCUUGCCCUUUUCUAUCAAUUCCCCCUCAUUACAACUACUGAAGUAACUUAGAAUAUCUCGUAUCAAAUGGUUUGUUUGUCACACAGAAACCAGCAAAUGAUGCUCGACUUACUCUAAAUGAUGAAGCUAUGGAGCUGCAACCUUCAAGUGCAAGAUUUCCACUAGUAGCCUAAAACAAAGAAUAAAGAGUUACAAGAUGAGAAUGGUUGUGAUGGAUCAAAUAACAUCUCCAUGGACUUUCCUUACUAAUUACAAGCAAAAUGGAAGGAAGAAACAACUAGAAAGCAGAGAGGAAGUAUAAAGGGAGGGAAGAUGUCAAGUUACCUGUGAAGGCUCUUGUAAGACAAUAUCCACAAUUUUCUCAAUAAUAGCACGAGAAAAUGACAAAAUUUCUUCUGAACAAGUUGGAUCACCAUAAAUUAACUCAUGAUUGCCUAUUACCUGGUUGUAUAAUAAAUCACUAUUAGCUCAGACCACAGUGUAAAGCAUAUGCAUAUAACACAUAAAUCAAUCAGAUAAAAAGAAGGAACUCGAAUGCAAAAUCAUAUGGGCAUGUUUUGGUGAACUCCAUUAGGUGAUAUCAAGGUUGUGACUUUAAAGACAUAAUUGGAACUGCAGAUUGCAAGUUUUGAGACAUAAUUGGAACUGGCUUUAAUAUUUCAAUCUCAACCCAACUAUUUCUACACAAAUGCAAAACUAAAUAACAAUAGCAGAGCUCAAUUUACAUUUUAAGGUGUUAUCCUCAACCAUUUCAGUUUCAAUUUGACAUGAACAUAGGGCAAAGAGUUACAAAGUUUGAGUAAAGUAACAAAAUACCUUCCCAGGUAUUAAUUGUAAGGGUAUUGCAUUUUGGGAAAAUGCUGCUAAAAUUGAAAUAAGAGCGCACAUCCCCUUGAUCUUUAAUUUUGAGGUCAUCCUGCAAUAAUAGGACAGAGCAGUAAUGAAAUGUCCACACUGUACAUAAGUAUACAAGACAGUUGGAAGCCCUUACCAUGGUUGGGAAUCGAGGAAAGAAAAUAUUUUCUUGGGGCCAUCCAAGAAUCCUUGUUCAACAUUACCUGAAAAAAUAUUAAUAGAACCAAGUAAAAAUACCAAAAAACAUGAGACAAAAUCAGAAGUCUUCUCUGUCUUCCUCUCUCAUCAUUUCAAUAUAUGAAGUGCUCCACUCACAUACUACAAAUUCUUCCAGCUAUUACUGUAAAACAGAAUCAGCUAAUUUCCCUUUAACAUACAUUCACAUAUGUAAACAUUCAGUGGUCAUGGACCUAUCAUUCUAAACAAUGAAGAAAAGUUAGAAAACAAAAUUUUAGAUGAAAACUAACAGGUACAAUAGCUUAAAAUUGUUAGUGUAAAUCAAAAACAUAUUCAAUUUUAACAAGGUAAUCAGCUCAAAAUACUUCCUGUUCUUUGAGAUGUGCAGGUAACAGUGGUAGGAAGAAGGCCCCACCAUGACAUGUGAUGGCAUGGGAGAAAAGCAUGAGAUCUUAAGUCUAAGUAUAGUAGGUGCCUUCCUCCCUCCACCAAAGAGGAUAAGCACUAAAUUUUAGAUGUCACCCCCUUAUUUAAUCACACUCACUGUACUUAUAUUCAGCGACCAUUCAUGCAUUUAGUGGCAUCAACUUGUAAAUACACCAACCAAAUAAAGCAAAAAAAGCCUAGGCAGAUUCAGUAGACAACAAAUAGAUUUCUGUAAGAAGAAAAUUCAUAAGGUAAAUCAAACCUGGGACCACAAUCAUGAGAUUGCAUAGCUUGCAUAUCAAGGAAAGAUUUGCUUCAGUAUCGUUAGUUGUCCGCAAACCUACAAGAAGAGUUGCGCAGAUUUAAAUGGAUAUCUAAUCCUAUAAAAGCAAAAAACAUAUAUCAGGGAAAAAACAUGAUAAACAGAAUAAAUUCCAAAUAUUUGGUAGAUAAGUCUUUAUACCUUAACCAAGUAACUCAGCUAUGCAUUGCACAAACACAAACCACCAAGAAAGAGAGAGAGAAAUGACCAAUGAAAAUAAAUUUCUAUCCUUUUACCGUCUAUAGAUCUAUCAUUUAGAGCUGUCGGGCCAAAUAAGAAAAGACCAAAAAUAGUAAAGGGGAAAAAAAGUAGACUUCCCUGCAAUUAUUUCAAUGAUACAUUCAACCAGUACAAUUAAGAGAAUGAACUAACCAUCCACUAAAUCAAAGUCCUGCAAAUAGCAGAGCGCUGAAUCUAUAAGUCCAUCUGCAUGAGAAACUAAUCCACCCAUCAAAGCAACCUGAUAGAUACAGAAGGCAAUGUACACCAAAUGAUAUAUGCAUCUGCCAAUAAUAUUACCUUAACUAGAAAGAAAGACCCAAAUCAGUACCUCUGCUGUUUCAAGAUAGAGACUGAACCGCCUAAAGCAAUCAGGAAUAGCAGCUAUUGUAACUUCACUAAAUGUUAGGCAAGAUUUGGCAAAAGCGAAAAGAUUACUGCUCUCUUUCAUAAGCUUAAUGGAUAAAAGAUUGCUGGAGUGAACAAGCGUCUCCUGCAAGUCAACCAAGGAAUCUUACAUGUAAUUUCGUAUCUUACAGGCCACUACUUAGACUUGUACCAAGCAAUUCUACAUCAUACACCAAUUACCAAAAAGGGAAUACAUAAUGAACAUAUGCUGUUUCAUAUGCAUUCAAAGAGGAAAAGCACAUAUAAUCAGCACAUAAAGUACACAAACACAAAACUGGUGGCAGAUGCCAUUGGAUUGUCCAGUCCAACCAGUGUAUGUAUAAUUUUGUCUCUGACAGCAUGUUUCCACAAACACAAAAAAUAGAAAAUUAUUAGAGAGAGAGAGAGAGAGAGAGAGGAGAGGACAAAAGAGACAAAUUAAUGAUGAGCGACACUGAGUCCAUCUUAGAUUAGUAGGGAAGACGCAUACAACAAACUUCAGUGUGCUAAUUUUUGCUAGACUUCUGUUCACUGAAUUUCAGGUUGAGCAAAAUGCCAAAUCCAAGCAGUGGAAGUGAAACUAAUCUUUUCCAAACACUCACAUCAUAAACAUAAAUAGCACAAUCUCUUAAUCAUCUUCUUUUCCUUUUUGGCAAACAUAAAUGGAUAGAGAACCUUGAGUUCAAUCAUGUCACCAAAGGCUCCGCGGCAAUCAACCAGAAAUGACAAAUUGCGUUCAAAAUCUCGCCCAUAAUCAACCUGAAAGUGUAAAACAUCUCUAUAUUAAAAUAUAUAAGUGCAGCUGUAUAUUUUUUACUUGGCAGGAGCCUGAGAAGAAUUUAUCCUACCAUGUUCACAAAACGAGAAAUUAGGCGUGCUGAAUGUUGAUUUUCAUCAUUUCUUAUGUUUGAGAAGUCUGUCCCAUCAUGCAACACCUGAGAAACUUCAAACAGAAAAUGAAUGAUAGUUGGAUCGUCAAUGCAAGUGUUCCUGCCACAUAUACAAAAGGUACCGAGUCAGCAGAUUUCCAGAAUAAGAAGCAAUAGUAACACUACUUCGCUUUCUUCUCUCUCAAAUUUUAGAAGAAGACAUUUCCAAAUUGAUCUUGAGGCUUCUUUUCAGAUACAAAAGAAAUAUGAUCAGCUCUGUUUGACAUUAUGUCAAAAUUAGGAUGUAGUAGGUUUUCAACUAAACAAGUGAAUCUCCCAAUCAACCUAUGCCAGCAAACUCCAAAAGUGAAUGUCCCAUUCAACUUGGGCAGUAGUUGGAAACUUUAGUCACCACAUCUUACGCAUGAAGACCAGUAAAUUCUUUUAAGCAGCAAUAAGCACCGGAAGUUACAAAAUUUUAAAAAGUCACCGCAUUAUAUAGCACACAUGGCACCCAUUGACCAGGUGAAGAGGUUAAGUACUUCAGUAUGCUAAGGGCUGGCGAUAUUGCCAGCACAAAAAUUUUUUUGCCAGAGCAAUGCUGACCUGAAUACCUAGACUAUCCCUUUGAAGGAAAACCAGUGCUCAUGGCUCAGCAUCACAUUCUUCUCUCUCUCUCUUACUCUCUCUCCAUUGAAUUCCAACUUCCAUGUCCUCCUUGUCCAUGGUAGCUUUUUGCUGUCUUCCCCUCUACCUCAUCUAUGCCUGAGACUUUUGCACCCAAUCCCUCUAAUUUCUCAGUGGCUCCUUCACCAAGCACCCUCUGGUCUAACCCCUUCACCCCUCAAAGAAAGGUCACUCCAUGUCUCAAACAGGUUACAAUCUCUUAGCCACCUUAUCCCUCCCUUUAAUCCACCUAUUUUCUAGUACUAUAAACUCCCUUUUCCAAUCUCUCUCCUCAAUAUCACUGUCACCCCAAACCAGAACUUUUAAAAGCUCUUUGUCUGAUAUAAUUGAAGAUUAAAAAGUUAGGAGUAGACACCUUCUAAAAACAAAAUUUUGUCAUCAAAUUUUUUGUUUUGUUUCCAGGUGAAAACUGGAGUACCACAGUGGUGUUGUGGUUGUUGGUGGCUCUGUUGAGUGGCUUUUUAACUGCAAUUAGGUGGUUUUAUUAAGCAUAGAAAUUCAAGAAUGGAAUGGGUAAGAAAAGGAGAAGCAGCUUUGUCAGGUCUGCAAAAUUCAGCAAGCUGUUGUUGACUUUUAUAGGGGUAUUUCUAGCAUUUAGAUGAAAAUUACUCUGGCAGGAAAGGUUUUGCUCUGGCAAUAAUGCCAGCCUAUGCUAAACUUUUAAAGAAAAAGAAUCCAACUUACUUUCCCGUGAAACCGAGAGAAUAUUGGUGGCUGGCUUGAAAGAGUGCCCACAACGUUUUGAAGAAAGUUCAAUUUUAAUGUGACUGACAUAAACCAAUACCUUGUUGCCAUUCUAAGGAUGCUAAUGUUGAUGAUGUUCCUUGAGCUUCCGUGCAUCACGUCUAAGAUGUCAACAAAAUGGCUCUGCAAAUUUAUUAUAUCUGAGUCAAUUAUAGAUAUUUAACAAUCCACAGCAACUGUGAAACAGGCAAUCUUACCAAUUAUUUACUAGUUUUUAAUUAGUAGCCACUUCUUAAUCAAAAUCAAAUUGAAGCUGAUGGGCAGAGUGAGGGAGCAGAAGCAGAAGUUUAAUGAGCAAUAUACCAGUGAUAAUAUAUCUUCCAAAUGAUCAAAAUGAGUAACGAGCUUCAAAAGGAAAGACUGCAAGCCUGAUAGAGCAUUCUUAUCAAUCCCUUUAGCACAUAAUCGCUCAAAUAUUUCAUUCAAUAUUGUGUUCAAAUAAAUGUGCUGCAACAUCAAGAAAGACAAGGUCAACUACAGCAAAGUCUCUUCAGUCUGCUUAAAAGGUAAUAUACAUGCUCAAAUUUUUACUUUUAGUGCAAACCUUAAGUUACAGGACAGUGAGUAUUUCAUAUAAUCCACAAUUAGAACACAUGCUUGAAAUUUGUCUUUAAACAUUUGAAUAGUUAUAAACAAUGAGAGGCUCAACAUGUAAAAAAUAAAUAAAUAAUUUGGUGAUGUAAGUGUAUUGGCUCUAUCCAUUAGCCUCCAACAGUUACUUGAUUGGCAUUCCACUUUGGACAUUAGUGUUGGUAUCAGAGCAGGCUCUGGAGGUAAUCUAUGUGUGACAAACUAAGUGCACUAGACUGGUCUCUACCAGGACAUAUACCAUUACAAACUUAGACUUGAGCAUUUAAGACCAGGAAGAGUACAUCACUAGGUUACUUCACAUGUACCUAUAGCACUGUAUGGGAGAUCCUCACACGCUCUAUAUUCAAAUCUUCAAGAUCCAUAAACAUAAGCAAACUUAAAACUAUGGAGCAAAAUAAAUGCACCUCUUGUCAGGCCAUAAGUAAACCAAUUAGAAAUAUAAGCAAGAAAAAUUUUGCAAUGUCAACAUGCUGAACUGCAAUACAGGCAACUUACCAUUUGAUUAUGCAGAACAAUAUCCACAUAAGCAUCUAAAACCUCCAAAUAUUCAUGUAGUCUAUCAUAGCAAGAAAUGACCUGAAGACAUAACAAACAAAUCAUGAACAGUGAACAUUAAGGAAAUUUCUUCAUAAAAAUUUACAAUUUUCAUACAUAACAUGUAAUGAGAUAUUGCUUUGAGAAUACAUCUAGAUUUCUGCACUCAUCCUGAUUGUGGAUAUUUGAAGGUUGGUAAGACUCUAGAUCCCUUCAUGCAUAUCAUUUUGUAGAAUCUAGACACAUCGAAUGAAGUUUCUUCUGCAUCUCUAUACUUUUUUUUCGAAUUGCCAAAAAACCAAUCAAACCUAGUAUGCAAAUUAAAAUUUGAAAGCAGCCUCAGGACUUUUUUAGUUAUAACAGGAACCACAUUAAUGAGUUGAAAUUUCCAAUUUGCCAUGUAAUAUGCUUAACGUCUAAUAAUAACCUUUUCUAGAUGACCUAGGGAGCAAGUUAGCAUGUGAUGCAAAAUAUGAAGUUCUGGUAAAAUGUAAACAAUAAAAAUCAAAAGAAAGUACCUGAAUGACCUUAUCCACUAAAGCAUGGCCUCAUUCACUCGAGAAAUGUUUUCACACAGCCUGAGUCCAAGCAACUUGUAAUUCAAAUACUGCAUUCAAAGUGUGAAAAUUUUGCACUAGGAUAAGUGUCAUAAAUGACAGUAGAGAUAUGUAACUUGAACACUAGAUAUGUAGAAAUUGUGCAAGAAUAAAAUAUUAGCUACCUGAUCAUAUGAAAAAUCAAUAUUGCACUCAAUCAGAUGAAGAAUACUCAUGGCAUUAGCACAGAUUAGUCCAGUAGGGAGCUCCUUUAGUAAAUGAUGAAGAAUAACUGAAAUGCAUGAACAGUCUCCAAAUAAAUGUGACUUGUCCUUUCCAAGUCCAAGCCCCACAAUUACAUCACGAACUUGAACCUUUUAACAUAAGAGUGAUACUCUCGGUCAGAUCAUUGCCAGGACAGUUCAUAAAAAAUUACUACCAAAAAAUGCAAUUUAUUGUUUCCACAUGAGAACAAUAGUAAAUAUACACCAUUCUCUGUAAAACAGUAUUACACAAGAUGACUGACACCUAAUUUCUACUCCCAAAUCCAAGUUGCUCAUUCUAACCAGCAUAUUAAAGCAAUAUUGGUCCUAGUAAUACCAGAAAGAUUUUUAUCCCCCAAAAAUUACUGUAAAACCAGCAAACAAGUAUGCAUAUAUGUAUCAUGCAAUCAUACCUGAUUUAAAUCCUUAAUAUGCAUCUCAUCAUAUACUCAAUAGCAGGUUCCAUGAGGCUCAAAAGCAACCUUCUAUCUGCUAGAGAGAUUAUGCAAGUUGUUUCUUGCAGUGAAAGAAUGCGCAUCAUUACAAAUUUCAAGUCAUUGAUGCCAGUGACAAGGUAUCCUGUUGGAGACCGAAACGCGCAGUUUAAAUUGGGAGAAAUAAAUCAAAGAUGGUAAGAGCCUAAGAGUAAACUUGAUAUACCUCAUCAAACAUAUCUAAUUUCAAAUAGAAACACACAUGGCCAGAAUGAAGCCAAGUCCAGAAAUUUUUUUUAAGAUUGUAAAUUGAUUUGUUCCAAGUUCGGAAAACAAUCCAUAUGAACAGCCAAAGAUAGGCUAAAUAAGUUUUUCAACCUUAAGCAGUCCUAAUUUUUUUCCCUUAAGCUUUAUGCUUUGCCAGAAAAGUUUCCAAGUACAAGGUUCCAAAGGGAAAAUGAAGCAAAAAUUAGCUUCAAGCUUUUCAAUAAGCAGCAUCUAACAUGCUUGGCAAUAAAACUGCAAUUUCGAUAGAUAUCCCAUGGACUUAAGCAGUAAAAUUAACAGGUUUUCUUAUUAUCCUCCAUUAAAGAACCAAGUUGAAGGGAAUUGGCACUGAACACCAAAAAUUUUAGAUGUGCAGAGAUUAAAAAUGAGAACAAUACAUGUAAAAGUAUACAUAUGAAUGUUCAAACAGUAAUGACUAUCUAUGUUGUAUAAUAAAUUACUAGCAUGAACAAUCUAUUCAAAUAAUUUUGAGUCAGAUCCAGAGUACUAAUCGCAUUCUAGUAUAACUCCAUAUAUAUGCCACAAGUCAUACUAUUCAUACACUAUAUACUCAUAUGCAGAGGAUUUUGAUCAACUCUGAAAACAUUAAGAUUUCGGCUUAAGAAAAUUGUAUACUGAAAAGACGUAAUGUAUAUUUUGCUAGUUUAAAGCUUAUUUUCUCUAUUUGGGAAAUUUACGUACUUUCAAACCUUAAGUAAAAAGAACGUGCACCAUUAAAAAUAGUUUUUGGAUAAAAGUAGUUAUACCUAAAUCGUGUUGAGGUAGUUUUUGAGCUCGGUGAACCAUAUAUAAGUGGCAGUAGGCCAAGGCUAUUGGAUCUGCAAUGCCUCUUGUCAUCAUGGCCAAGCGCUGGAGGCUACUCAUAGGAUUGUCAACAAGGAAACGCCAGCAUGGCAGUACGGCCAGUUCCAGAUAGCUGAUGAGGACGAUGAAAGCUGUUAGCACAUAUGAUUACAAACCAACAUGCAAAAAACAGAUCACUAAAUUAUUAACUUUUACUUUCGUAACUCUUCCCACCAACACCCCCUAAGUUUUUUUUCCCCUGAAUUUACAUUCAACUUCUCUUGGAAAGUCGUGUUAAAAGUUAUUCACAAGCAUCAAAUUUAACUCUUUUACAUGACUAACCAAAGCAAGUUGAGUGCAGAUUUUCCAGAAGGGAUUUACAAUAAAGGCACUGAGAUAACCUCUAUACAAUAAAGACACUGAGAUGAUCUCUAUGGUAAUUUUCAUCAUUGUACUUCAGGGAUUUAUCACAAUUCCUCAUCAGUUUAACAAUUUAAUUUUGCAAAAAAAUAAGAAACAAAAAUUCAGAUUUAAGGUGCAACCAGCAUAAAAAAAUCAGGUUCCCUAAUUUUGUAACUAUUAAGAUGUAUUAGAUAAUUCAAACAGAGUAAAGUUAUGUACUUUUAGACUCCAUUACCUUCACCAUCCCCAUAAUUUUAUUUGUUUUAUUGUUUGUUCUUUUUUCUUGUGGGGGAGGAGAAAAGACAUUUACCAGGAUAAUUUUUUCUUUUUUUUUUUUGAAUUUGGGUGCUUAAAAAGGAGAAUUAAAACCAAUGGUGCACUGAGGUGUAUAUAUUUAAGUAAUAUCAAGGACAUGAAAUAUAAAAUUGGGGCUUAAACAAGUUAGCAUAUGGCUUGUAAUUGACAGUAAAGAAGCUUGGGUUGUUUGAAACACACAGGUGCAUAGAAAAGGUGAAGGGGCAUCUUGCUAGAAAUUUUCGAAAUUUCUCUUGCACGAUAACCUAAUCUCUAUUUCAAGAGGUACACUUAAAGUGCUACUUUUGCAAGAUUGAUUUUCAAAUAAGACGGAGAACCUAAUGAGAGAGCUCCUUGAUGGAGUGGACAAUGACAGUAAGCAAAGGAUAUUGGUAGAAGACUACCAGCCAAUGAUGGACCUAGGCUUACUUCUGCCAAGUAGUCUAUGAAAGUCUCAAAUUGAGUACUGAAGUCAAACUACUUGUCCUCCCCAAAAGAGCAGCUGAAAUCAACCCAUGGCAAAGUAGCAUAUCUGUUUAUUGAGCAUAGUCGCCCGACUAAGGUUUUGGGACAAGAAGAGAGGCAGUUCCAAGUGUUCGUGUGCCAAUUCCAAUUGAGGUAAUGCUGGUUGAUCCUCCGCAGUUAAUGAACCUCUUUCAAGGAUCAAAGAAAUCAUAUUUGGGUUCCAUCAUUCUUCCCAUGUAUUCAGAUUGGGAGAAUAAGACUAUAGUUUACUACACCAGUACAUCUUCUAAGUGGAAAAUCCUAAAAUUUGAUAAUGUGCAGGAUUAGCAACUCAUUCAAUGACAACAAUAUGUUAAUACUGAGAAGGCAGUUUAAAGACGUCACAUGCGCGGAAGAAGCUCACGGAUGGAACCGAUUUUGGAGAACCAGUUGUUGCAAGUUUCUUUAGCAUCAUCAGAAAUACUAUUGGCUUCAAAAUCAUCUGCCACAAGUUACACACAAGUUGAUGCAAAUAUCAUAAUGAAUCUCUUAAAAAUUUCAAUAUCCAAAUAAGAAAUUACAUGAAUCAUCUGCAGUAUAUAAAAGUACAGAGAUUUAGACUUAAGCUUCAGAAAGAGGGUGUAAAUCUGCAAGAGAAGAAGAGACAGGAUUCUAAGUGUCAUGGUUAAACCUGGCAAAGAAGAAACGAAUUUUCUAUCUUCCGUGUGCUCAGCUUUCUGUCUAAUUCGUUGCCAUACCAUAUCACCCAGCAUAUCCAUCACAUCUGUGGCUAGAACGAAUAGUGUUGGAUAAAAUUGUACAACAGAUGUGUCCAUCAGAAGUCUGGCAACCUGGAAAGAAGAGAUACUAUUUCAAAAGGCAACAGCUAACAAUAUCUCUCCUAUUAUCCACUUCUUGACUGUUUUUGUUGAUGCCAAAGUAAACAUGGCGCAAAAUCAUCUAAGCGAAGCAGAGGCCAAAAACGCUCUUUGAUCUCAAGGAAGUUUCGGAUCUUAGUUCAUUACAAGUUAACAGCAAUUUAGUCAUAACUCUACAUGUUAAUAUGUUGCAGUACAGGUUAAAAUUACUUAUCAAGUGCCAGAGACAUUAGCAAAAAAAAAAAAAAAAGGACAGGUAUCCUCAUUUAACAAGUGCCCAAAGAAAGUUUCUCGAAGAAAGGUGAGCAAAUAAUCUUUACUUUCAGGAAAGUAGUUUUGUUACUAUAAAGCUUCAGCUUUGUUUCCCUUGUUCCAGCUGUUUUUGUCAGCCCCAAUAAGAAAAGGCUAGCAUAAACAGAGGAUAUAAACCACACCCAUUUACUGAAGCAACUGUAGUCUGAGUUCUCGAAUGACAGGACAAAAGACUUCCUCAAUGUUGUUAUAAAAACUUCCACUACUUCCUAUAGUUUUAUGAUAAUAGUUGACAAAAAUUAGCAUCAAAUACGGCUAAAACGAUUUGCAAAACAAUAAAGCUCACCCUGAUGCACAAUUUCAAAGAUGUCACAUGCUCCUUUUUACUCCAAGAAAGCGCAAUCUCAUCUUUGAGUUCAUAUAAACGUAAAACAUAUUCCCUCUGACUUAUAACUUUAAGACCUUCUUCUGUAAAUUUUUGAGGAUCAUCCAGUUCUUCCAAAUGUGAAUCCACAGGUGAUUUGUCAGUUACUGCAAAAUAUUUAUACACCACAAAGUUUAAAAGAAAUUUGAAUGCUAAUAAAGAUAAGCUACCUUGCCAUUACAAUCCAAAGGUCCUUCAGGAACAAUAGAGACACUUAAGCUCCAGCAAAAGAAAAGGAAGGGGUAGAAAACUGAUUACCAAGCAAUUGCGACUCCUAUAAAUGCAGGGUCUUGGAAGAAUUAGGUUUUGAACAGCCUUACCCCUGGGAGCAAUAAGCUUAUUCUAGGUACAGAAUAAAAAAGCCAAUACAAGAUGCAUCAUACCCUUUCCAGUCUUCAUAAUUGCAUUUGAAAUCUGCAAAAUGUGGCCGAUAAACAUUUACCAAUUGAAAUAGAACUCUUAUGCAGAAGAUCAAAAUGGCAUCAUGCUUGUUAAGAUGACAUGGGAGUGGCGGAGUAGGGGAUUGGCAAUAUUCCUCUUUUUUAACUAAGUUAAUAUUCUUCAUUUAAAUUACACAAAUUGUACCUAAGCUGUAGAUGAGACUACAUCUGCCAUUCUUUUAGAAGGGUAUAACAGCCCUGCAAACAAAACUUAUGUCUCAUAGGUCUUGAGGAUAGCAAGAUAUGAUGUUUAUAAUUCAUCCAGCAUUUCGAAAGACUAAUUAAGUCGCAGAUGUCUAAUAAUGCAAAACCUGUGAGGUUUGUAUGCAGUUGUUUCACCAUAGACAAAUGCAUGAAAAUCCAAGCAUGUCAUACUGAGUUUGCAAACAUAAGAUCCUAAUAAAAAAAGAUCCGGGUUAUUUCUUGCUGAGCUUCCAACACUACAAUGAGUUGUGGAGAGUUACCAUUCUUAUAGACAAUAAUUUAUAGAACUAGUUCCUAAAUAAUACAAAUACCACAGGAAAACAUGAACAAACAUAUACAAAAAUUACAUUCUUAAUUAAAGCUUAAAAAGCCCCAAAAAAAAGACUUACUGAAGAUAACGGGAUAUUCUUAGAUGCAGAAAAUCUCUGCAUCAAGAUUUUCUUAAAAGAAGUCCAUUCCUUGGAAGAAGACUGGACAGAAGCUUCAUUGGACGGUCCUCCUGUAAUCUCUUCAUCUUGAAAAUCCUCAAAAGAAACUUCCUUUUUCUCAUUGAUCUUGCUAAGUGGAUCAAAAAAAUCAUUUUCUUCCUUCUCCUUAUGCACCAAAUCAACCUUUAACAGAUUCCUAAGUACCAUCAGCAUAUUUUAUACGAAGGAUCAAACAAAUGUUAAGCAGAUUUGGUUAGAACAAGAAAAAAAAAGACAACAUUCCUUAUUGAAGAUGUGAAAUUGACAAGCUGUUGAACUUAAGCAUAGCUUAUUCUUUAUGCACUGAUUAUGGAUCAUAUUGAUGGGGAUUAUUUACUAAAAGCCAUUAUCUAAUCUUUCUUUGACUUUGGUAAUCCAACUUGAUUUGUGCAUCACCACCUAUCCUAGCGAGACGUAAAAACUCUCAAAGGUGGCAAAUCCCAUCCCUUUAAUUCUAUCACACAAGGUGGCAAAUCCGAUCGUUUUAAUUCUAUCCCACAAAAUUUCAACUAAAAUGUUCAAUUGUUUCGAUAAUUACCAACAAGAAGUCGCGCUCUAUGAUUAAUUCAUAGAGCUUCCCGUUUCUCUCCAAAUCGUCUUCCAUUUUAUCAUUCACACUUAAAUAACAUAACAAAACAAAACAAGAGAACCUAAAAAACCAUAUUCCGACUUGCCACAUUGAAGUAGACAACCUCAAAAAACAAUCAGAAAACAUAGGGAGAUUAAACGUUUUGGGCACAGGCAUUCAAUGAAGUCCACCAGAAACUCACUUUUGAGUCCAAGCAAGCAGUGUUGUCAUAUCGUAUCCAGAAAAUUUAGUUAAGAGUACAUAAAAGAUUCAAUUUUGGACCAUAAUUCUAGCAGAUUCUUCUUAUUUCAAUUCAAGAUUUUUCAAACUUUAAGAUGGGGAAGAUAAAAUGUUUAAAAGACCUGGUGAAGGUUUCAGGGGAAGUGGACAGAGGAUGAGUUCCUGCAGUAGACGAGGAGAGAGUAAGCCUUUUCCUCUGUUAUAUAAUCUCUAUGUCUGAACUCGAGCUCCAUCCAGGAAAUUUAGCUCGCAAGACACUAGCGAGUGUGUGAAUCGAGAGUUCUGGCGUUCCAACUCCGGUUCUGGGUUUCCGUCAAGGAAGGGAAGUGAAGAGUUUUGACCCCGUUUGGUUGACGGGAAGACGUAGAAAUGAAGGCUCCUAUACCACGCCUUUUCAAGUGGUCCAACUACAAGUCUACAAUCAAAAUUUUUUUUUUUUUUUUUUUUAAGGGAAAGGAACUACAAUCAAGAGUCAACUCACCGUUAUAAAUUAUAAUCAAGCUUUUAGUUGCCCUUAAAUUGAGUAAAAACCAGGUGAGGGUCUCCAUCGGCCUGUCGGUAACGCGAUAAAAAUUUCGCUUUUUUUCAAUUUUUUUUCAACAAGCUCAACAUUUAAUUUACUGUCUAAACUUUUAUUUAAUAAUAAUUUGGAUAUUAACGGAUUAUGGCUGAAUAGUCAUUAUUUGGGUAAUAUCUAAAUUUUCAAAUUGCUUUUCUUAUGUAGAUUAAUUAAAUAGAUUUAAUAAAUAUUUAACAAUAUGAGAUUAUUAAUAUGUUAAUUAAUGUGCUUUUAAAGUCACAAUUUUGUAUAGGAUAUUUAAUAAUAAUAUGGAUAUUGAUGGGUUCGGCUGAAUAGUCAUUAUUUUGGUAAUAUCUAAAGUUUUAAAUUGGUUUUUAUGUAGAUUAGUUAAGUAAAUUUAAUAUAUAAUUAACAAUAUAGGAGUUAUCAAUAUGUUAAUUAAUGCGCUUUAAAGUCACCUAUUUGUAUAGGAUAGAAGUUAUAUGACUUUUCUAAUGAAUGUCUAAUGAGUAUACAUUAAACAUCUAAAUUUCAUUUAAUCUACUUUGUAUAUACACAUAUUAACAAUUACUACCCACCUUUACAUUUAUGCACUUUUCCUAAUUUAUCUUAUAUUUUAAAAAUCUAACACUUGAAGUACAUCUUAACGUGUGUCUAAUGGCACCCGUUACUUAUUUACUUUUAUUAAUUAAUUUACAUUUAAAAAUAUGACAUUCAAAUUAUAUCUUAACUAGUGCCUAUUAGGCACUUGUUAAAUAGGGAUCCGUUAGACAGACUUAUAAUAUAUUAAAGGUAUGAAAUAUAUAUAUGUAUGUAUGUAUGUAUAUUAUAUAUAUAUAUAAUUGAAAUAUAAAAUUUGGUAAGUCGGUCGAUAAUUAGGAAUUCGAGAAUCAAAUUUCAAUAUCCAUUGUUUUACCAGAGUUUAAGAUUAUAUAUUAAUUGAUUUUCUCAAAUUCCGCUUUUACUUACAUCCAAUCUCUGAUCUUAAUUUAGUCGAUUAUUCGAUUUUUUUCUAAAGUGUAAACAUUCAUGGAGCCAGGGGAUUUGCAGUUAAGUGUCAAAGGGGUUGAGCUAGAGAUCAAAAUAAUGUAUAACAUUUUAGAUGGGUUGUGAUAAAAUCAAUGACGGAGCCAAGGGGGCAGAGGGGGGCCAUGGCCCCCCCCCCCUAAGUUUAGAGAAUUUUAAUUCAUAAUAUGUAAAUAUGUGUGUAAAAUAAAAUUGGCCCCCCCUAAAUUUUUCAAUUUUAGUUUAUAUUAUGAGAGUUGAUAUAUAUAUAUAUAUAUAUAUAUAUAUAUAUAUAUGAAUUAAUCAUCUUUGAAUGGAAUUUCAAUUUUGGCCCCCCCAAAAAAAAAAUCCUGCUCCGUCACUGGAUAAAAUAGGAAUGUAAUACUAUGACCGCCAAUAAGUUAGAUUUCACAUAUGAUUUGAGUAUAUGGGUUUGUUUAGAUUACAAGUUUUCGUACAUAUUUUUCAAUCACUUCCUUGCCUCGUAUACAUCAUAUCCCUACAAUAUAUUUUUCUCAAAAAACACUACUAUAAAUUUCUUGCUUUAUUGACGAAAUCAAUGGCUACCAAUUCCAUCAUUCGCACUUAAAACGGACGCAAUGAUACUUGGAGUAGAGCAUAAUAGGUACAAACUCAAGCAAUCAAAAUAACUUCUGCAUGAUUUUCACUCGGGACCACUAAUUCAUCUAUACUCAAAUCACAAGCUACUCAGCUUAAUUGAGUUUCAUAUAUUUUAGAUUUGUUCACACAUAUUAUCGUGUGUGCAUAAUAAACCUAUCUACAUUGAAUAAUAGCUUAAACUAGUCAAGUUUAAUAAAACUUCACACCAAUAUUACAUCUUUAAUUUGCAAGUCGAUUUAGUUGUAUUCGUAGUAUUCAAUUCUAAACGAAAAUUGCAUUUGAGUCAAAAACAAAAAAAUUAGAGUUAAAAUUUAAUUAGGUGUGAGCUAUACAAGACAUUUCACUCAUGCUCAACUCGAUUAGAUUCCAUCGACCAUCUGGCCCAACUUCAGAGACACUUGCAAUGGGAUCCGAAACCAUUAACGCUCUCUGUAGGAGCACAAAACCGAUCAUACACGAAUGGUUGGACUUAUGAAAGGAUGCAAAUGAAGCUUCUCCCUUGGAUCACCAAGUUUUUUGACAAGGUAAGCCAGACAAAACUUCCCCAACUGGGGAGAAGUUUAGUUUUAACUGGAUACAACAAAAUGGACCGCCCGUCGUAAGAGACUAGUUCCAGUUCUGUCCACAGUCCAGUUGUGUAAACUAAUAGAAUUUUAAUAUUGUAUAUUGGUAUAAUUUUGGUCUAAAUGUGAAUUAUAAUUAAAUUGAUGUAAAACUCAUAAUUGUACCAAACAUAUAUUAGUUUAUAUUGAAAUUAUACCAUUUUACACAGCUAGGCAAAAAUUAGAUACAAGUCAUAGAACCUCAACUAGAGAAAGAAGCACCGAAUCCUGCUUGCUACUGUCUUAUUGAGUGAGUUGCUACUUAAAAUUUACUGACAGUCUUUUUUCCCAUGCGGAGGAAAACUAAUAAAAGGUUAUUGACAUUGACAUCAUUUGAGAAUGGUUGAUGGGUUGCGCGUGAUAUAGAUUCAUCGUAGAAAUCAUUCAAAAAGAUAGCAAAAAUUAUCAAAAUAGUCCCUCAUAUUUCAAUAAAAUUAUCUUUUUGUUCAUUACAUGUAAAACCAUGCAAAAUGGUUCUUCACAUAUGACAAAUAUCAAUUUGAUCCUAGAACAUAUUUCCUACCAAAUUUAUAGCCAAAAGAUACAUGUCCAAUACUUUCAACCGCAAAAUAAAAACAAGAAUAAUAUUUUCUUAAAAAAGUCAUCCCAACUCUCCUUCCCACAAUGGCAAUGGGAUGGAUUUUUUGAAGAGAAUAUUUGCCUAAUUAUUCUUCUACUAAUUUUUAACAACUUUAAAUACAGAAACUUUAAAAAACUCCUCAAAAUUUUUAAAAUGCACACCUUAAAAUAUCGAAAAAAAAAGGCACAAAUUAUUCUUCUUCCUACUAAAAGUACGAAUAUGUGACUUAAGUGAGCAUUUUUUACUAGAAAUUUGGGCAAAAAUAGAUUUUGAAACCAAAUUUAUGCAUUUAUUAUAUGUAAGGGAUUAAAAAAGUUUUUUUAAAAAAAUGUGGGAGACUAUUUUGAUCAUUUUCCCCAGAAAAUUUUGCUAAAAAAAUUCGGACGAUCUUGUUGCGACAUGGUUGAAAAAAGAAGUGUAUCUUAAUUUUCUCCCAUAAUUUCUGAUAUGUAAUCAAUAUUAAAACUGACUAUCUAAAACUUACGGUUUUUUUUUUGUUUUUUUUUAUUUUUGCUUCUGAAUCUUAUUAAAACUUGAAUUACCCUCCUCUAUGAUUAUUGGAUAAAGAUAAAGAGGCAAAACAUGAAAUUGUACAACUGCUAAAGACUAGAGUUCCGAGUAACUGGCAUUUCUAGAUUUCCAGUAGACUAUUACAGUUAGUUUUACACUGACGGCGGUAAUUGACACUGAACCAGAAAGAUUCAACCUGCCAAGUCACAUGUAUACUAAUCUAGAAGGGUUAAAAUGGCUUCCACCCCGAUGAAUAAGGAUGAAAUAGUUCUUGAGUUGACAUUCAUUUUUUCAUGUUAAAGGAAAAAAGAAAACGUUUGACUUAAAUUUCUUCAUCUGUGGUCAACCCAACUUGCACUUCAUCGGUGCCCUUGAAAUAUAUAUAUAUAUAUAUAUAUAUAUAUAUAUAUAUAUAUAUAUAUAUACAUAUAAAGAAUUUGACGUUAUUAACUUAAAUUAGCAGCAUGGUUAUGGUCAAUACACGUUAAACUCUGCUAGAGUCAGAUGAAAGGAAGCUAAAUAGCCUGUGAUGUUACGGUCUACGCAAAAGUCAAAAGACCAAAUCACCUGGUGGUGGUCAAAUACAAAAUGAAAAAAUGCAGAAAAAGAUCAAAUACGAAGAUGGGAUUUGAUUGACUUAUGGUAUACAUUGGGUUACUGGUUCGAAAAUUUUCUGCCCGAAUUUAGUGGUCGUGACAAUUAAUGAAUAUUCAUUACCAAUUCUCCUCUUCCAAAUCCCAAAAGAAAAUAAACUUUUGUGACCCCAGUUGAGUUAGAAGAUUCAAACCAUGGAUAAAGCAAAGAAAAACAGAGAUCCAAUAUUGGUAACUUGAGCAAAAUGAGAGCAAUAUGACCAGUUGCCAAUGGAUGGUCACAAAAUUUUAGGCGCAGAGACAGGAAUCUGAUGCAUAAUUCCUCGUUACUCAAUAUACGUGUAAGCAGUUCCUGUCUCAGAGAUAUUCUGAUUGUUGGUUGACUUCUUCGGCCAUAUGAUUCUUGAAUCUGAAUUGUAAUCUGAACCCUCUGAAUCUUGCGGAAAACCCAAAGCCAACUUCCAGCUAAAGUUUUGGUCUGCAAAUGCACUCUAUUGAUCAGCACGAUGUUUUCCGCCCCAUGAAAUGCUUUCGAAGUUUUUCCAUUUCAUAAUUGUCUUUUCCCUUUGCUUCGUCCAGCAGGCAUUUACCAGUUUUCUUCUUGCCUCUCUAUUUCUGAUAAAUGUUCAUUGCAUCAUUGCAUGUUGACCAAUGCUAACAUGCAAAUAAAAUUUCAGUUCUACCCCUUUUAAGAAUAAACAAAACUGAUUAAUGUGAAUCUCCAGCGAUUGAGCUUGCUUCUCGUCUUGUUAUCCAAAAAGCUUGCCUCUAAUUGAAUUCCUUGUGUUCAAAACUGCAACGGAUCUUCUGUCUCAUAUCCUGUGCCACUCUCUGUCUUACUUUUUAUUAUAUUGCUAUUUCUCCUAUAUAAACAUCAUUUUUUAAUUCUUUUUUAUUUUUUUAAAAUUCAAUAACUAUUAAUUGAGUAAUACACAAAAUUUAACAAACUUAAAAAAUCAAAAUGCAUAAAAAAUGAGAUUUUUUAUGAAUUUUCUGCUGUAUUUUUAAAUUUUCUAUUAUAUAUUGCUUUUUUGAAAUUGUUGUAUUUAUGUUUUACUUAAUUAAUAGUUAUUGAAUCUUAAGGAAACAAAAAAGAAUUAAAACAUGAUGUUUAUAUAGGAGAAAUAGCAAUAUAAUAAAAAGUGGGACAGAGAAUGACACAGGAUGUGGGACAGAAGAUCCGUUGCGAACUUUUAGCAUUCAUCUUUUCCUUUCUUUUUCAAUUUUAAUUUAAAAUAAUUAAGAAUACUUUUUUUUAAUAAAAAAGAGAACAGAUAUUUAAUUGGGGGCAUGCAAAGGUCUUGACGUAACAAAAGAGCUGCCAAAUAAAAAAUUGGCAGCUCCAAAAUCACUGGCGGCAUAUCUUAGAGAUAGAAAUAAAAUAUUCCUAGAAUUCGACCAUACUCUUUGCAGCAAAUCCCUUGCUACUUUUACCACAUUUCCGCGUCAACUGCACCCCUCUACAUAUCACCCCAUGAAUUGCUAAGUCUUCCCAACAAAUUCACUCAAAUUCCUCUCCAGACGGGGAAUUAACAACACGAAGACCUCCACACAUCUUCCCUGCCCUCCCUUCUACCUCACGGCCUGCACGGACCAUGAAGGUGAUCAGACUCAUUUUCAUGGUCGCCCUAGCCAUGGCACUAGCCAUAACUCUAGUCACCAUGAAAAACACUGCCGAAGAAUCAGUAAUGAAGAACAAGAAGAACUCGGAUUCCGAACGGGGAAGAUACUGAUGCCGUCAAAAGGUUAAGCCGUUUCCUAGCUCAAAAACGAAAGCCAAAGAAUCCAGAGCAGCUGAUCAUUGCAAAAAGAUAAUGACAUUUGUGGCAACAUCCCGGGUGAAGAGGAGAAAAUUCUACAUGCUGCAACAACAAAUGUGUGGAUUUGGUGUACGAUCCUUACAAUUGUGGAGCAUGCAAAAACAAGUGUUUGCCGUUUGAAGCUUGCUGCAAGGCGAUGCGUUAAUCUUUCGUUUGAUAAGAGGCACUGUGAUUUUGCAACAAAAGUGCAUGCCGGGGAUUGUAUAUACGCAUCUGCGAUUAUGCUUAAAACAGAGCUCUCUCUCUCUCUCUCUCUCUCCAUUUAUUUGGGCAACAUUACAGCACUAUUAAUUAUUGCUAUACGGUUUGUCAUUUGUUAGACAUAACAAUAAAAGGCCGCAUCUAGUAUGGUGGUUCUUCAGAUACUGAUGAAAUACGUACAAGUCGUCAUAGUGUCUUCCUACUCUAUACGUCAAGAAAUCCUCAAGGAUUACUUAUGCCCCAAGGUGUAAUUAAUUCUAAUAAUCUGUAUGAAAGCCCCCCAUGUAUCAUGAGCAAUUAUUGAUACUUAGCUAACUUUUUUGCUAGCCAAAGAGAUAGCAGCAGUAUUAUGCAACUAAGAAAUUUUCUUGGUUCCUUCAAUGAAUAUUGUUUUGAUGGAAAGCCAGCCAGUCGUACUCACCUUCAACUCCAAGGUUGCUAGCUAUUUACCACAUUCAACCUAUAAUAAUUAAUAAUGUAAUAUUAAUAUUCUACUCCAUUUGUCGCCAAAUAAAUUAUUAUUAAUUUUUUGCCAGAAUGAACAGAAAAGAAAUAUACCGUUGUUAUUUCAGCAAGUAUACAUGCAUGCAGCGUAAAUGUUAGUAUUCUCAUCGGUCAAUUGUUUAAUUAACCAGCAAGCAAAAUCUUAUCGUGUAGUCGUCAUAGUUAAUUGAUCCCGCGAGUACAGUACAUCGCGCAAAUUCUUCAUGGAAGUAUAAUGAAACUCUCAAGGAGCCGAAGAAUUAAGCAACAACCGUGCAAGAAAAUCUUGUGUUCCACAUGCCUUUCCCUUGCAGGACACCCCAUCACUGGUCAUCCCCCGGCCACUUGGCUUCCUAAAUCACAUGCCAUCGUUAAUUGUGAAGAUGACUGAUUUCCCAAACGUACAACAUUCUCACAUGCCAUGUUUUGAUUGGUUCAACCAAUUCGAUCUCGAUUCAAAGGUUUAAUAAUUUUUUAUUCAGUUUAGCAUUAAGAAUUUUGAAUAAAACUAAAAUAUUAUUUUAGAAAAUAAAUACUUAAUAAAAAUCGAUUGAACCUCCCACUUUUUACCGGUUAUUGACCGGUUCAAUUAAUUCUUUAAUUUUUUAAUUGAAUCGGACCGAAGACAUGACUGAUUUGCGAUUCAAUCGAUCGAACCGGCCGGUACAGUCCAAUUUUCAAAACAUUAUUGUUUAGGUGAGGUGUUUCGACCUAUAUUUUAAAAUUAAAAUUGGAUAAUAUGCUGACACUAAGAGUUAAGAAGUUUGACCGGCUGAACCAAUAAUUAAAAACCAAAUGGCAUUACAAAAUAGCUAAAUUACAUGAAAAAGUACAACAAAAAAAAGAAAAUUGAGAAAAAGAUUUUUUCUCUAAUUUUUUUUUUUUGGGUUUCUCUCAAUCAAACACAAUUUUGCAAAAACGAACAAAACCGAGUCGAUUGCCUGCUUAGUUUAAGUUACGCCGUUCCUCUUUCAAUCGGUCCAAUCGGACCGUCCUUUCCAAAUUUCAAACCACUGAUACGAAUUGAAUUUUAAACGUAAAAGGAAAAUUCAAAAUGAAGAGUCAAGAUUGGUUUGUAAACUUGAAACCAUGUCCUCUUGUUUUCCUUGACUGGAAGUGUGCCUAAUUUGAGCUUUCACUUCAAGUCCAGGGUGAGGAGUCUUGACAAUUUCACCUCCAAAUCCAAUCUUAAAAGAUAAGAAACAAUUUGCAUUCCACUGGAUUUGUAGAAAAAUCAGAAGGAAGAGUCAGGAACAGUAAGUAAUUUUGAAAAUUUUGACAGAAGAUCAGUUGAUUGGUUGUGUACUUCCAAUUUAAAACAUCGGUGCGUUAUGCAGGGAUUACAAUAAGAAUAGCUUCAUGAUGUAUUGGGACCUUGGUGUGAUGCCGAUCAAUCGCUUUAUGGAAGCAGUAUCCAAAAAAAAAAAAAAAAAUCCCAAUUGCUGAUAGCUAAAAUCCAUAAGUCAAAGGUCUCUCAGCUAUUGUUCUAGUCCUCCUUAUCAAAGCUAAAAAGACAUUCGAUGGAAUUCUUCAUGCUUUAUGUCAUGCAGAAGAAACAACGUGAAAAACGGCCACACCUUUUGCAUCCCAACUUAACAUCGAAUUAAAUGUUAAUCUCCCUCUCGGAGUGAUAUUAUCCUCGAGGUUCAUUAAUUUAGAGAGUUUUUUUUUUUUUUUUGUCAACACAGGGGGUGUCGGGAUCAAUUCUUACGGGGUCCGACUAAUCCCCUGCUGUCCGGAAAAGGAGACCCCACUCCACACCGAACAGAUUAACAACGGGACUCGAAUCCUGACCGAAGCCAGGUAAGUUGCUAUACCUUAAGGAGGGGGAGCGAACCGUCCGAGCUACUCCGCGGGCAUUAAUUUAGAGAGUCAAGACACCCUUUUUUUCCUAAUCAGUAAGUGAAAAAAAAAUGGUGAUUUAUUCUUUGCCCCAACACUAGUAAACAAGAAAAGGAUGUGUCCACCACGUACCACAACAUAACACAGCUCCCAAAAAAAGAGCACAAAGAAAAGAAUAUUUUAUAUAGCGUGCUCUUAAAUCCGGUAGUGGUAAUUGGUAGUAAUCGAAUAACAUCUUCUCCUGAUACAAGUCUCUAUCUGGCUCUUGUCACUAGCUGCUAAAUCCCACGCACUUACCAUAAUAUAGUAAAGCAGCAUCACUCCAGCAAAUAAGGAAAAGAAUGUCCCCUGAUAAUCGUUUCAGGGUAGCCAUCGUGUUAUCUCUGUUUCUCCCUGUAUUUGCAGAUGUCCCGCACUGUAGUAAUGGAUUUCGAGAAGAAGCUGCCAAGAAAAUAAACAUAACAAGUUGCAGGAAGCAAAGUUUGGGAGCUGAAUUUGCUUGGAAUUACAACAAUGGUACAAGGAGACUUGAGAUUCUAUUCGGGGCAAAGUUACACGGUGACAUGGGGUGGCCUGGGGUUUGAACCCUGGGAAACAUGCAGGGAUGGUAGGCACCCAAGCCCUUAUAGGUAUCAAAUUAAGUAAUGGAACCUCAUCGCAUGAUACAUACAGCAUUACUGAUUCUACCAAGUUAGGUUGCAAACUCCUACCAUCCAAGAUCGAUUUGGAAGUUGGGGAUUUUAGCUUUUCUUUCCCGGAAGCUGAGUUCGCCGUGAUACAAGCUACAAUAGUUCUUCCUCGAGAAUACAAUGAUUCAAGUACAAAUGUCGUCUGGCAAGUUGGCAAUGUUGCAGCUGAAAAACAGCCCUUCAUGCAUCCCAAGAAUAUCUGGCAUCUUAGUUGCAAAGAGACAAUAAAUUUGAUUUCAGGGAGUGUUCGAGGCGACGGAGCUCAUAAACUGCAGAAAUUGAGAAAAGUAAGUUAAUACCAACACAAAAUGGAAUUACUUGUAAUCUUGGAUAGCUCUUCUUUUUGAUAAUCACCUAACCUAUUGAAAUGCAGCUUGAUUUGAGCUAUACAAUUCCAUUUAUUAUACAGUACCAAAGACAGCGCUGAAAAGUUAUUAUGGAACUCUUAUCAUUGUCACUGAAUUCUUGCAGGUUCAUGGGAUAUUGAACAUUGUGGGUUGGGGAUCAUUUCUUCCAGUGGGUGCAAUUAUUGCGAGGUAUUUCAGAAGAUUUCCCGUGGAAUGGUCCCAAUGGUUUCGUCUUCAUGUUUCAUGUCAAAUUCUUGGAUAUCUACUCGGCACAUCUGGCUGGAUCAUUGGAUUAUGGCUCGGAAACGCUUCCAAAUACUAUGGUUAUCAUACUCAUCGAGUUUUAGGAAUAAUUAUCUUUACAUUUACGACACUACAAGUAAGUCUAUCCAAUGCAGCACUUCAUAUAUCCCCUCCCUGUUGAUUUUCUCUGUCUCUGCAAUGGCAGCAAAGAGCAUAACGUUAUAUUUAUCUGCAGAUGUUCGCAUUGCGACUAAAACCAAAGCGUAACGAUGAUUAUCGUGUGUACUGGAACAUGUAUCAUCAUUUUCUGGGCUAUUCAUUACUGGCCAUUAUCUCAGUUAACAUAUUUCACGGGAUUUCCAUCUUAAACGCAGAUCAUACCUGGAAAUGGCUUAUAUUGGAUUGCUUUGCCUGUUAGGAUCGAUUGCUGUAGUACUUGAAAUUUACACUUGGAUAAAGUUUUGGAAACGAGAAUCGCCAGGCAUUCACAAAACUCAAGAUCAGGACCAAAAAGACUUGCAAAGAGGUAACAAAAACGAUUCAGGUGCAAGCACAGCAUCCCAUUCCUAGCACCGUACCAAGUUCAAGACUUCAAGAUACAUGAACUCAUCAACCAAGUUGUGAAAAAAAAUUCAGGUGGAACCAAAGACCAAAAUGCAGCCAUAACUAUGAAAAGGCUGGGAGGCCAGAGUGCUAAAAUUCAAGAAAUUGUUUCUGCAUUUCACACCUUAAGGUAGAGAAGCUAUGACUAGUUUCAGGUUGGGUUUUGGGACUUAUGUACGAGAUUUAUUUAUUUUUUUUUUUUAAAUGUUGGUUCUUUGUAUACUUGUCAUUUCCUAAGUGAAUCGUGUUUUUAUAAUAAUCGCAUUACUUGGUCUACAUGCUCUAAUAUGAGCAGAUUUGUCCAAGCAAAGAAUGGUCUUUUAAGUCCAGACAUAAACCAAGCAAUAAAAGCAGAGCCUCCCAUAAUUUGAUUGUCGUUUAUGAAUCACCAAUUAACCUUACAACAAUGGUAAUCUUGGUAAGGCAUGCCAUUUCUUUCUUUUUGUCCUACUAGUUUCAUAGUGGAGACAAAAAAAUCUAGAGACACCACAAAAGUUGCGAGCUUAUGAACAUUUUACCUACCUUGCCUACGGUAAUAUUCAGUUAUUUGCGAUGGUAAAUUGACAUACUUUUCAUUGGUGAACCCACAAAAUUGGUAACUUGCCUACAGUAAUAUUCAGUUAUUUGCAAUGGUAACUUGACAUACAUUUCAUUGCCCAGUCUGGGUUCGGUCCGGUGGUUGUAGCCCAGUUGGGUGAGAGCCACCAACCAAGGAUCGAAUCCCAGUCGUUACCAUUGACCGAUGAUGUCGGGCAGCCUCUCGCAGUCACGCAGUGGGAUUAGUUGGGACGUACGGUAACCAGUCCUCGGCCCCAGAUACCCACUGUGAUGAAAAAAAAAAAAAAACUUGACAUACAUUUCAUUGGUGAACCCACAAAUUAAAAUAUUAAAUUGAACUUAACUGUUGGUACAAAAGUUUACAAUUUUGUUACAGAAAAAAAGGGCCAUAAAAAAAAUUUAGUAGUCCGAAAAAAAAUUAACUUUUCAUUUUGCUAUUCCAUUGGUAUUUGGUAGGGGAGCUUCAGCCUCAUGUUAUCAUGAGGCUUCAAUUUCACCAGAAAAUGAGAUUCAGAAAUUAAUCUGCUCAGAAAAAAAGAACUUAUUGAUAAUAUGAUAGACAGAAAAAGAACCUGGGACAGACUUUGGUCAUGUCUGCUACAGUUGUAGAGGGCGUAGCUGCCACGGCCCUCAGGUCAGUUCUCCACCGUGUACGGCAAGCUGCCGAGCAAUCCGGUCGCCAUGCUGAAGAUGUCAGGGUAGUAGCUGUAGGCAAAACAAAGCCAGUCUCUCUUAUUCAGGAAAUCUAUGACGCAGGUCAUAGGUGCUUUGGCGAGAAUUAUGUUCAAGAAAUCAUUGAUAAAGCUCCGCAGGUGCCUUUUUCCCUCUCUCCCUAUCUGGGAUUUGUUUCGUCUGAAGAGUUUCUUAUUAAUGAUUGGUGGAUCAUUAAAUAAAUUCAACCAUUAUUAGAUUAGAUCAUUGGGUUCUUGAUGAGUAAAGGUUUGUUAAUUGGACCAUAAAUAAAAGUUUUUUUUGGGUGUAAGAAUUGCAGCUUCCUGAUGACAUUAGGUGGCAUUUCAUUGGGCAUCUGCAGAGCAAUAAAGUGAAGUCACUUCUUGGUAUGCUGUAAUUGAUGUUUGAACCAUGUGGUUUUACUAAACUCAUAUAUCUUGUGUUCUUGAACAUUUGAACUAUUGAAGAUUAGACCUUUUCUUCAACUGAGAAGUUGGCACAUUUCCUUCUAAUUUGUCAUUUAUUAGGUUGUACUAGUAACGGAAUGUUCAUUUUACGGUUCGUUAUUGCUAACAGCUCAACUGAAUUCUACCUUUUCCUUGUUGCCAGAGACAUUGUUAUUGAAAAUUAUAUCUGUUUCGGAGACAAAAAUCCUUGUAAUCAAGAUGUUUUACUUAUUAAAGAUGAUAUUCUGAACUCCAAAAAUCUAAAACUCUAGGCAUGUCGCCCGUAUUUUUUAAGGCAUCACACGGUACUUAGAAACUUAAGCUGUACAGUUAUAUAAUCGGGGCCUAUGGAUUUCAUCCCAAGUCUCUAGCAAAACACCUUUGUUCAAAAGCCAUCAAACUGGGCAUGAUACUCAUUUUGUUUUGGUGUGUGGUUGCCAAAUUGGAAUAUAAGUGAGAUUGUGAUACAUGUUAAGGCUGAUCUCUACCGCAUGCAGCUGCCAUUCCUAAUCUAGCAACAGUUGAGGGUGUAGACAACACAAAGGCAAGUAUUUGAUUUGAAGUGAAUUUUGGAAUUGCAAGAUUAGAGCUCAAAUGAAAUCCAGAUGCUUAUGACAGAUGUUCUAGGCUAUAACUCACAAGGAUAGUUGUAAAUAUGCCUUUCUCCAAUUCACAUAUAGGUUGCAAAUUAUCUAGAUCGUGAAGUUUCAAGGCUUGGGCGUCCACCUUUGAAGGUGUUUGUCCAAGUGAAUACGAGUGGAGAAGCAUGUAAGUGCUCACAUUUUGAUUCUACAGCAAAGUCUAUCUAGUCAGAUUGUUUGAGCUUGACAAUUGAUAACUAAUGCAGCACCAGAGCUAAUAUAUUUACUUCAGAACUAUCCUGAGUCUUGUUAUCUUUAAAAGAACAUUUUUUAGUUAUUCUUCUUGGUUGGCAGUAUGAUACCAAGAGCUGCACAGCAACAUUGGGAUAUUUUUGAGUUAUUUUAGUAAAUUAUGUUAAUCAGUCAAGUCAGCUGUAGUUGUACUGUGGAAGCAUGUUUUAUCACUUUGGAUCAUUAUAAAUGGGGAAAAAAACUUUGUUCUUAUUUUCUUGCAAAAACAACAUUUUGUCAUGAUUCUUACUCUGUAGUGACUAGAGCUGCAUUAGUAUUGCCUUAUCUUGAUUUCAUUAAGGUUCAUUAGUCAACAGUUAAAUUGGUGAUUACAUGCAGCAAAAUCUGGUGUAGAGCCAUCAGAUAGCAUAGAGCUUGCAAAGCAUGUCAGGCUGGGUUGUCCAAAUCUUGAGUUCUCUGGUUUAAUGACCAUAGGCAUGCCAGAUUACUCCUCAACUCCAGAAAACUUCAAGGUAAGUUCCUAACCUUCUUAGGCGUGAUUGAAGACUGUAAUGGCUUCACUUCUUUGCGCUUUUGCAGAGGUAUGAUAUAGCUAUAUAAUCCACGCAAGAAGCAGUGGGUCACAGGGUUAGCAUUCAUGUUAUUGUUGCCUCUUUGUGUGUCUUUUGCUUAACAGCAAAAGUUAUUUCUUUUCUAUUUUCUUUUGAAUAUUCUUUUGUUUGAGCAAUGAGAUAUGAACUUAAUUUUUAUGGCUUCUUCGUAUGUGAAACUGUAUGCUAAAUAUAUCUGUGUGAAGUGCCAGUUUGUAAAUGUAAAAUUUUGAACAGAAGCUGAAUUCUGGCAGAUCAUUUUUCACUUGCUAACCACAUACGCAUCCACUUUAUUUGUAUGGCUUUAUUACAGACUCUAUUCAAGUGUAGAACUGAGGUCUGCAAGGUGCUAGGGAUGGCUGAGUUCCAGUGCGAGUUGUCAAUGGGCAUGUCUAAUGACUUUGAACAAGCAGUAAGCCUGGAUUCUUGAUGCCUAGAUUUUAAGAGUUGAAUUUUUAUUGUUGAUUGAGUUCUGUGUAAUUUCUAUUUACCUCCUGUUCAAUUUAUGAAGGCUUACAUCUGAACGAAUACGUGCUACAACUGAUUCCCCAGUAUUAUGUAACUUUGGGGUUUGGUUUGUUUGAAAACUGGGACUGUCUUGCAAAUCUUUCACCAACAGUUUUUCGCCAUUCCUUUGAUCUUAGAAUUUGAACUUGUCGUUAGGCUAAAGUAGUCUCUUACUUUCCUUUAGGCUGGACUUUUGUAAUUUCUUUGUUGCUUCUAUUUAUGGUCUGUGUGCAAAGUUUGAACUUUGCUUCAAUUGAAAUCUUAGAAGAUUAAUGGUGUUUCUGAAGCUGUUAUGAUACAUAACCAUGAGCUCAAUUUUGCUGAUAAUUACAAUUAUAUUUAUGUGUGUAUGCACACACACACACACGUAUAUUAGAUAUAAAAUCAUAACCACAAUGUUUGUCUAAGAUUAGAAUCUUGAUUGUAUGCUGAAAUUCUCAAUCUGAAGAUUUGCAUUUAUCUGUUGGAAAUGAUGAUUAUUCUCCUUCACGUAAAAAGAUUAUGCUAGUUUUCGCAGCAAGUCUCACUCACUAUCCAUCUUAAACAAUGAAUCUAGAUCGUUUGAGGCUAGAGCUUGGAUAGGUGUUUGUGAACUCUGACUGUGCUUUCCCAUACAUGCAGAUCAAGAUGGGCAGCACCAACGUGAGAAUUGGAUCAACAAUAUUUGGACCAAGAGAAUAUCCAAAGGGUCAAUAGAUUUACAACUAAUAGUAUCUUUGCUGCAUCACUUUUGUCAUGCUAUAUUUAUUAGCUUUCUGAUAGAUCCAACAUGUUCAUUGACCUGCAAUCAGUUAAUUCAAUUGAAUUAUCCUGCGAAGACCAGAUGCUUAUGGAUGUGUUGGUACUUGGUACUGGUGUGGUCACACGACUGUUUGUGUUGGUGCUUAACUACUGCAGUUAUGCCACGUCUGGCGUUUACUUUCAGGCAUAGAAAUUCUUGUUGAACCUGGACAAAAUUUCUUGAACAUUUUGACAUCUGCUCCCCUCAGAUAACCAAGCGUAAAUGCACGCCGCAUGGGACAAUUCUUCAAUCACUUCUCUUGCUUUGGUGGUAAAGCAUAUUGAAAAUUACUUCUAUGCCUGCAAAUAAGCAUUGAGUAGCUACCAGUCCAUUGUUAACAAAGAGAUUACAAUCAUGAGAAUAAAGUCGUUAAAUUAAGUUGAAGGAUACUAAGAAUAAUGUGACGUCUAUGCUUAGAAGUGAGACUCGGAUAAAUACGAGAGCAACUUUAAAUUAAAGAUCAGCUUAUAGCUAUAUCAGCCAAAGCCGAUCAGAUUCAGAGCCAUCCCAUCAAAGCUUAUUAUUCCAGGAUCAUUAUGCACAUCUUCAGCAAAGCUGAACGAUCAAGCUCCUGAUAAACGUACUAUGGCUUGCUGAGUAUAUUGAGACCCAUAAAUGUCAUCGUGACAGAUGUAAUCGAAUCGAGUCGAGCUCAAGUAUUACCAUACUCAAGAUUGACUCGACAUGCAGGAAAGAUACUUAAGCUCGAGUGAGUAGCAUUACUGGAACUUGAGCUCGAGCUCGACUUGUAUGGGCUCGAGUCAAUGCGAAUCUUAUCAAAUUCGAGUUAGAAAGAUUUGCGGAUUUUAUUUUUCUUGACAAUGUUUGAGCGAAAAGACAUUAUUGACCUUUAAAAAAUUUCAUAUGACCUAAAGCAUUUCGUAAAUUCAACCAUUCUUUUGGGUAUAAGGGUAAUUUAAUAAUAAUAAUAUAUUAAAGAAUUAAAAUUAAAAAACUCGAUAAGGUUUGACAAGCCUUCAAAUCUUACUAUUGGAUAUUCGAACUCGACUUAUCGAGCUACUCGAAUUUGAUUCGAACUUGAUCAAUUCGAAUUCGAAUUGAGUUUUUGACCAAUUUACUUGCAAACAGUUUGAUUCGAUUACAGCCCUUGUUAUCGUAUUUCCUAAUUGCUUUACAAUUAUUCUGGAGGGAACAAGAACUCAAGCGUCCCUCCAAAAAAAAAAUAAAAUCAAGUGUCCAUAUUCCUUUGGCAGAAUAUUCCUUUGGCAGAAGGAAGGAAUUCGAAAAUUUUGCUGAUCCAAGACCAUUGAUGCCGCAUUCCAUCAUCUCUCAAGAUUUCAAUGGGCUCCUAAUUCAUAAUGAUGUUGGUGGAAAAGGGGAUUUAAAUAAGAACGGGGCAAAGGGAAGCGUAGAGUCCUAGACAAAAGCAUCAAAUUUGGCCUUGGAAAGUUCAUAAUGUAAAUGCUAUACAGUAAUACAGAAAUGUAUCAAACUAACAGGGGUUUUAAGAUGUCUCGUUUUUUCUGUUCAACUCACAAAGAACUGGAUGGAUAUACGAUCACUUCCCUUCUAUUAAUUUCUUUCCUACUUCUAAGAUUUUCCUUUUUCUUGGGUUGGAGGCAUUUUUGUCCUCAAGGUACAACCCAGCAGGUAGUACUAUAUAACAGUCUGCGCUACCCGCCUGUCAUCAAUUUCAACUACGCAAGCUCCUCUCUACUAGUGUCUGCGGAAGCCUCCGCUCUAUACUUGCCAGCAGCGGCAAAAAUUUAGCAGCAGCGAUUAUGAUGGUACCAUUGACAAGCUCAACCAAAAUUGCAUUACUUUCCACCAAUACCAACGGAUAUCCUCCUCUCAAAUUCCCCUUCCAAAUCGGCAAAAAGAACACUUUCCGGAAAUGCAACAGUUUCGGAUUUCGGUCCCCAAAGAAACAAAGUUGGAGCUGCUCUGCAUCCGAGCAACCCCAACCCCUAAACCCACCUCAACAAAACGAGAAAAGACAACCCAAAUUCAAGAAAAAGCAAACCAAACAUGCUGAUAAAGGGGUCGACCCAGUUGGGUUCCUCACCAAACAUGGCAUUUCACAUAAAGCCUUCGCCUUUUUCCUUCGUGAAAGGUAGUAUUGUUUGUCCCUUAGCUCUUCUUCUUUUCCUCGUAAUUAUGAAAUUAUGGUUUCUAUUGGACCUUUUAUUGGAAGAGGUACCUAGUUUGGUUUUACUUUAUGCCAAGGUACAAAGCGUUGAAGGACUUGCGGGAUGAGAUUUUUAAUCGUUACCUCAACCUAAAGGAGCUGGCUUCUGGGUUAGUGCUUUCUUUCUCUUUCACAUAUUAAUAUUGGGCUAUCUUAUACUGUUAUUUAAAGUGCUAGUUUCUCAUGUUUUUGAAAGUUACUGACUUUCUGAGAGUUGUUUUUGAUAUCUAAGUGUUUGUCAGAAUUGUUAGCUGAACUCUCUCUCCCUCUCUCUCUCUCUCUCCGUAAUUAGCAAUUAUACCAUAUGUGUUACCAGUGAUGCCUAUGUUUCUUAUUACUAGACGUGAACUACUAGAGUGAUGCCUGUGUUUUUAUUUCUAGAUAUGAACUACUGGGAAUGCAACGAAAUGCGCAGCAUCGGGUGGAUUUCUUGGAGUGGGCUCCAGGUUUGACACCAUCUCUGAGGAUAUUUUUUUCUUGUAGAAGGGCAAGCGUCAUUUCUUGCUUAGUUCAAAUUCGAGCUCAUCAGUGGGCAUGUCUGGAAGCUUAAGUAUCUAAGAGAAGUUUUAGUUACAUGCUAUCAGUCUCAAAAUGUGUCUAUAGAUGUUAGUUUAGGAUUAGGAUUUAGCAGCUCCACUUUAAGUUCAGACUUGUGUUGUUUCUGAAUGCAAUUACCAUUGCUCGUGUAGCUCACAUGUGAAGCUGAAAAUCUUGACAUUAGGUGCUCGUUAUUGUGCUAUUGUUGGAGAUUUUAAUGGCUGGUCACCCACAGAAAAUUGUGCCAGGGAGGGUCAUUUUGGCCAUGAUGACUAUGGUUACUGGUUUAUUAUUCUUGAAGACAAAUUACGGGAAGGUGAAGAACCAGAUGAAUUCUACUUUCAACAGUACAAUUACGUGGAUGAUUACGAUAAAGGUGACAGUGGUGUUACAGUUGAAGAGAUGUUUAAGAAAGCAAAUGAUGAAUAUUGGGAACCUGGUGAAGACCGCUUCAUUAAGUCACGUUAUGAAGCGGUAGCUAAGCUGUAUGAGCAGAUAUUUGGCCCUAAUGGGCCUCAAACGGAAGAGGAGCUGGAAGAGAUAGCUGAUCCAGAAACUAGGUACAAGGCCUGGAAAGCGCAGCAUAGAGAUGAUCCACCAAGCAACUUACCUUCUACUCAUGUGAUAGAUACUGGAAUGAAAGAGUAUGAUGUUUUCAACAUCAUAGACGAUCCUGUAUGGCUAGAGAAAUUCCGUGCUAAGAGUCCUCCCAUUGCCUACUGGUGGGAGACACGUAAAGGAAGGAAAGCGUGGUUGAAAAAGUAUAUGCCUGGUAUCCCCCAUGGGAGCAAAUAUAGAGUAUAUUUUAAUACUCCAACAGGGCCUCUGGAAAGGGUUCCUGCCUGGGCCACUUAUGUAGUCCCAGGUAUCCAGUGGUUGCUAGCAUCUCUUAUCUGUUCACGUAGUUUGCAUAGCGAUGCUUAAAUAGUAUAAUUUGAUGCUCACACUAUCAUACGCCACUUUACUUGUAAAAAGUAAUCAUUUUCAUGCUUUGAAUGUGUGAUCUGUUAAUUUUUUUUGUUUUUAAGAGGUCCAUUGCUAAUCAUGUAUUCCUUUUAUUUUUUAGGUAACUGUACUUGUUUACAUUAAUUAAUCUGCUUAGCUUGGAUUUUGGUCUCAGAAAUGAACUUUUCGGGUACAUAUUCUUGUGUCAGUAUCGGUAUUGUUCUUUUAAUGGUAGUAAAACAAGUUUCGUGAGAAAAAGAAAUACUACUUAAUUUUUUUUGUAUUCCUACAAAGAUAGAGCAAAUACAAAGUUUAGACAUUCAUGCUGCACUGAUGUCAGAGUUAAAUGAAGAAUCUAUCUUUACCUCUACUUGACUUCCCAUCAUUGUCGCACACGUUUUGUUUAUUGAGUUUGCAUAUCUUUUGUUUCUAUACUGUCUUCCUGUAACAGUUCGAUAUUGAAUGCUAUUUGAACAUGCAGAUGCAGAUGGCAAGCAAGCUUUUGCAAUCCACUGGGAACCACCUCCUGAAUCUAAAUAUAAAUGGAAGCACAAGCAUCCACCAAAGCCAAAGACUUUACGCAUAUAUGAAUGUCAUGUUGGAAUCAGUGGACAAGACCCAAAAGUUGCAUCUUUUGAUGUUUUCAUUCAAAAGGCAAUUCUUCAAGUUAUUUUACAUUUGUUUUCCCUUUUGUUGUCCUUAUUUCCUGUUAUAUUCUGUCCUUCAAUUGCAACUUCCUUCAUCUUUAUAGGUCCUGCCUCACGUAAAAGAAGCUGGUUACAAUGCAAUCCAAUUGAUUGGACUUGUUGAGCACAAAGACUACUUUACGGUUGGGUAUAGAGUGAGUUCAGAAUUAGAUGUUCCUUAUCCAUAUGAAGUAAUGAUUAAGUGUUGAAAUACAAUCUUUAAUGUACCAUGACAUGAAUUCUUGAAUUUAGUAAUUAGCACCAUAUUGUUUUACUUGCAUAAAUCUUCCUGUGGAAUUAGGAUUUGAAAAGGCUGCAAGAUAGGACUAUCAAAUUGGAAGUAUGCUUGUGAACUAUUUAUAUUUUGGAUAAAAUAUUUGUUUAAGGUCCUCAUGUAUUCUGUAUAAUAUGGGGAACUCCUGCGACCGAAUGCGCGGACUAACAAAGAAAGUUAUGCUUCCUGCUUUUUACUGUGGAGAGAAUCUCAACUGCGCUAGAAUGCAUCCUCUAAUAUUUCUAGCCACUGAGUGUCCUAAGAGAUGUACAUGCUCAGUUUGAAAAUAUUUUCACCCAUGCAACCUGGUUAUCCAAUGGAUUUUCUAGUUCAGUAAAAGCUAACCUGCUGUCAAAUUACCUUUCAGUAGCAUAAUAUUUUAGUUCUUCUACAGGUGACUAAUUUUUAUGCUGUUAUCAGCCGCCUAUGAUUCAGUAGCAUAAUAUUUCAGUUCUUCAACAGGUGACUAAUUUUUAUGCUGUUAGCAGCCGUUAUGGUACACCAGAGGACUUUAAGCGCUUGGUUGAUGUAGCACAUGGUAAUUCUUGAAAAUUGACUUAUAAUUCAUAGCAAAAUGGAUAUGCUUCUAUUCUUUUCUCUUAUGACCUCUAAUUUCCAUCUUUGUUCAUUUGUGUGCCAAAAUUUAAUCUGUACCAUUGACAUCAUACUUGGAAGAAUUAGUGGAUUUCAGGUAUAGUGAAAUUUGUCAUCUGAAAUCAGUUUUCUUGCUACUUAUCAGAAUUAGGAAAUGAAUUGGAGGUCUUAAUUUUUCAGUAAAACAAUAUUAACUUGCUGUAAGAUUUUAGAAGAAAAUAUUGAAGCCAUUCUCCCCUUUAAGCGUGGAGUGAAUUUUAUGUAUUCUUGUUGAGAAAUGUUCUUCACAAACAAUUUAGUUUUGUUUCAACCCAAAAGACUAGAAAUAGUCGAUGACAAAUUUGAGCUGUCCUUGUGCUACCCUUUUAAAAAGCCUUAAAACAAACAAAUGAUUGAUUGGAGAGAGGAGAAGAAGAAUAACAGAAUUAUAAGUCUAAGAUAUUGGUUUUUUCGCUGUUUCUUGUGAACCAUGUGUACUCAAUGAGGAAGUUUGGCCUACAUUUUCCAUAUAGAUUUUACUUGACAUGCAAAAGUCAAUUGUUACUUCUUUGAAUUGAGUGUCUUUGUAUAACUGACUCAGACACGUACGUCUCUCUGUUGCUAUUAACCUGUUUCUGGAGCAGUGUUCUUUCUUUCAACCUCGUAAACCAAUUAAUUUCUUUCUGGCUACAAUGCUUAUUAGCUGUCAUUGUCGUGAUAAUUUGUACAUCUUUUUUUCAAGUGGUUUCUAAUUGCAUGCUCAUGUCAUAAUGAAUUUUACCCCUUGAGCUCCAUUUGUUUUUUGCAGGACUUGGGUUACUAGUCUUCUUAGACAUUGUCCACUCAUAUGCAGCAGCUGACGAAAUGGUUGGUUUAUCACUUUUUGACGGAUCAAAUGAUUGCUACUUCCAUUCUGGUAAACUGUUUUUGGCAAGAAAAAAUGAAACUACUGUAGAUGACCAUUGACUAUAUUUCCAGAUUGAUCCUAUUGUUGUCUUGCCCGGCUACUACUUCAUGUCCUUUUGAGUACUGUUGCGUGGUCCCGUCUCAUCUUAGGAAAUUAUUCAAAGUAAUAUUAAUUCGCAUGUUCAUUCAGUAACUUUGCAAGUCAUAGGGUGUUAGAAUUGUAUGUCAGCUUCAGUGGAAACCGGGCUCUCUAGUUUAGCACUGUGAUGUUGAUCAAGAUUCUUACUGACAGUAUGCUGAUAUUGUUUUCUUGUUGGUCUAGACUUUACAUACUAGAAAUAGAAGUUAUAGGGAAUAGCAAGAAAAAAAAGAAAGAAAUGUACUUUAAGCUGGUCGUAAGUUAUGCUCCUUUCUAUUCCAUCACAGAAAAGUUUUUGACCGUGCCAUAUGAGCUUCUGGCUUUUGGAAGUUUUUGUCAUUGUAUCAGUUUUUUAUGGGAAGCUAGGAAAUUAUAUAUUUUUUGGUUCAUUAAACUUUUGAAGUCCAUUUUUUUUUCCAUUUUUAGUCAAUCUCUUUUUCUCUCUCUCUGGCAGACACACAUAUGCAGACGUACAUACACACAGACACUCUCUAAUAUGGUGCACAAGGAGCAUAAUUUUAUGUUUGUCCAACUCAUUUUGCACUGAUAGGUAAACGAGGCAAUCACAAAUUCUGGGGUACAAGAAUGUUCAACUAUGCAGAUCAAGAUGUGCUGCACUUUCUUCUUUCAAAUCUGAAUUGGUGAGUAUAGCAUACCUACCUUGCUCAAAAAGUUUUUCUUUUCUGACCUUGAUCAGAGAAAUGUGGGAUUUCUGAUUGAUAUUUUCUUAUCACCUAUCUCCUCCUUCGUUUCCUAGAAAUGUGUAGCCAAUUAUUCCAUUUGUGUUGAGUAUCUUUCCAUUCUUAUACCAAUUGCAAAAGUUUGCAUUUUAUUCAUUGCUCAUGGAAUGGUGUUUGUCAGGUGGGUGGAGGAGUAUCAAGUUGAUGGUUUCCAUUUUCAUUCCCUUGGAUCAAUGAUGUAUACACAAUGGAUUUGCUACAUUUACGGGUGACCUGGAGGAGUGAGGCUUCUGAAAUCUUAUUGAUCUACUUGACAUCUUUUUGUUUUGAUUUUCUCUCUUUUACUAAUGCUUUAAAUUUCUAUGAAGCAUAUUAUUUUCCCAUGGCUUGUAAGACCAUUUAUUUCUUUGUAAGUUUGGUCACCUCCGGAAUCUGUAUUUGGUCUUAAAAUGCAUAUACAACCUCUGCAGUAGCAGCUAAUACUUUUCUGUUGCAAAUAGAUUUGUGUAUCUUAUUUAGCUUUCAGUGCACCAAAUUUAUGUCUAUACAUAGUAUAGUAGUGGUUGCAGAUGUUGCAUUUUUGCCUAGAAGGUAAUUUUAUUUUUUCUUCUUGCAGGUAUUGCAAUCAAUAUGUUGACAAGGAUGCAUUGUUAUACCUAAUUUUGGCAAAUGAUAUACUACAUGCUCUUCAUCCUAAUAUUAUCACCAUUUCUGAAGAUGUGAGUAAUCUUGUAUUAUUUGUCCUCACUAAAACUUUCUCACAGUUUUAUGUUGUUUGGUCAAAUAUGGUCUUGCAAUUUAAACAUUAUGCCUUGAUCAAUAGACAUGAAUACGAAGCUCAGUGCAUUGUUUACAUACUCAAUAGAACUGUAACUUUGGGAUGGGAAUUAAUUUGGUUUUGUGUGUGUAAAUUUCAUUAGAGCUCCACAUUUGGGUUCUGUGGUUAUUAGAAGGAAUCAAGACAGCUAGUGAAAUUGGUUGGCAUUAAAGUAUAUAGAACUUGGAAAUAUCAGUUACUGUAAUGGAGAAUGAAGAUGAUUGUAUGGUAAAAGUAAAACACUAAGGAGUUGGAUGUUUUCCCAGCGUUAAAAUCCUGGCUUCUCUCUUUUUAUAAGAUUCCUUGAAUGUUUAUCAUUCCUUUAGCUUUGAAGCCUUCUCCACCCGUUUUCAAAGAAAGCCUUCUCCACCCAUUACAAACCCUGUGACUUUGAGCUUGUCCUUUCAUGGCAAAGGUCAGUAAUUUCUUUCACUUCUCAGGCAACACUUUAUCCUGGACUAUGCGAGCUGACUUCCCAGGGUGGAUUAGGAUUUGAUUAUUUUGUCAAUCUUUCUGCACCGGAGAUGUGGUCAUCAUUCCUUGAGAACACCCCUGAUCAUGAAUGGAGCAUGAGUAAGGUUGUUCCAUGCUACUGCCUUAGGAUACUUGACAAUUGUUUGUGCAGAAUUGAUUUUCCAAAUUUUUUGUCCUCUGAUGAGUACUUAUAUUUCAAAAGCUUUUUGUUUAGGAGAAUAGUUUAUCUCUUGGUCACUUAUUCAUUUCUAUUCUUCAAGAUUGUGAGCACCUUAGUAGGCAACCAACAAAAUACAGAAAAGAUGCUCUUGUACGCUGAAAACCACAACCAGGUAUCUUGUUAUUUGCCUGCCUGUUCCUCUUGUAAACGUUUUACCACUUUUGGCAACUUUAUUAAUCCUAUCAUUAAGUUGUAUGUCUAAUCUAACAAUUGAUUCGUUUACAGUUUUGAAAUUAUCUUGCUAAUCACUGGUUCUUUGCUUUCCAGUCCAUAUCUGGAGGGCAGUCCUUUGCAGAAGUAUUGUUUGGUGAUACAAUUGGCUGCUCUUCUGUUACGGAGGAGUCAUUGCUUAGAGGUUCUUCGCUGCACAAGGUAACCUUUUUGAUCAUUGCAGAUCAUACUGUGAAAAACUAUAAAAUUUCUAUGAUUUGGUCAGUUGUUCACUAGCUUCAUCAGCUAGAAGACAGAAUACUUCUCAUAAUCUCUCUCUGUCUCUCUCUAUAUAUAUAUCUAUGUAUUUACAUUUUGUAAUUGUUAUGCUUUUAAGAGAAUUUUAGUUCUUGAAGAAUCUCAUGCUACAUGGAGUAGAUAGAAUCAUUUUUAUGAAUGAAGUUGGUUUAGAUUCUUACAUGGAUUACACAGAAAAUAUUCAGAUUUUGAAUAGUUUCCAAUCACAUUGUUUGUGAUCUACCUGGAGAGGCACUUCAAACAAUAUUUCUCAAAUGGUUGAGUUCUUCAAUUUUUUAAAUCAUUUUAAUCAAAUUUAGUUUCUUCAAAUUUUAUAUCUCAACAAUAUUACUCUCUAUUUUUGUAUCUCAACUAGUGUAAGUUCAUUUUUUUUUACCCUCAGUUUGUACAGCAUUGUCUAUUUACUCUCUAAAAAUUUUCUUACUUUUGUACUUAUUGUCAAUUCAAGGUGACUGUGUGCUUGUUAUUUCUCGGUUUAACUUGGGGUGUUCUUUAACAAGAUGAUCAGGUUGAUUACAUUUACAAUUGGUGGUUCAGCAUAUCUCAACUUCAUGGGUAAUGAAUUUGGGCACCCAAAGGUGAAGCCUAUAACCUAACUGUGUUCUUUACUGUACAUCUAUCCACAGCUAUGUCCUCUAAAUAUAUUACAUAAUUUUGGUUUGCUAGAGAGUUGAAUUCCCUAUGGUGAGCAACAAUUAUUCAUAUGCACUUGCUAAUCGUCAAUGGGACCUCUUGUUGAAGGAAGGAGUGCACAAUCAGUUGUUUACUUUUGAUAAGGUGAUGAUUAUGGUAUUGUGCUUUUAGUAUUUUGUCUUCCUUUUAGGCUUUCUAGCCAAAAACCACCUGACUUUUAACAUUUGGCAUUUCUUGAAAUAUGUGUUUUCUGUUCUGAAUUAUAUAUUCUGAUAACGAUCUGCGUUCAAAACCAAUAAUGUUCCUCAUCUAUGAAUUGCUAAUAGAUUAUAGGUUACAAAUAAGAUGGGCCUAAUUGAUGAAGUUAGAAACAUAAAAAAUCUGAUCCAACACAUGUUGGGUACAUCAAAAAAUGUAACUGCUACGUAAUCACCAAAGAUGGAAUUAUUACUCUAAUAUCAUCUUCUUCCUAACCAGGAUAUGAUGCACCUGGAUGAAGUUGAAGGAAUUCUUUCAAAAGGUUCAGGAGGUCAUUCCAACAUUCAUCACGUUAAUGAUCCUCCUAUGGUAAAUGAGUAACUUUCACAUUUACAUCUGUUUUCACAUGCUUUUGCUUGUGCUUUUGUUUGUAUGUGUUCUUUUUUCAUUGCAAUUCAGUUGCAGGAAAUGAAGAUGCAACAUCUUAACUCAAAAGUGGGCACCUCCACGUUACCAUGAGGAAAUUUAUGGUUCCCUUAUUCAGAAUAAAUGCUAUAGUUCUUUUGACGUUCUAGUAGUUGUCAUAUUAUCUAGCAGUCAACGUAUAUUCCUAUUACUUGAAUAUAUGAAAUGCAAUUUACUAGUUGUCUCCAUUUUUUUUUCUGAUUUUUGAUCUCCAGCAUGGGUUACUAAAAUUCUUAUUUUGUGGUGUUAGAAGAGAUGCUACCGGAAAGUAGAUGGUCAAUGCCUUUAGAUUUUUUUUUCUCUUGUUUGGCAGCCUUUGCUUUUAUCAUUAUUAGUCUGUAUGGCUGAUGCAGAUAAUAAAUUAAUCAUAACAUGCGUAGCAAUUUUGCAUAUGCGCUUAUAGUUGCUUUCCAACUCAUUUCAUUCUAUGGACAAAUUUAAGCAUAUUUAUCUCAUCAUUUUUAUCAUGGCUGAACAUGAAAGUCCCUUAUGGAACAGGUUAUUGCCUAUAUUAGAGGUCCUUUCCUCUUUGUGUUCAAUUUUCAUCCCACAAAUUCAUAUCACAGAUACAGCAUUGGUGUGGAGGAAGCUGGAGAGUAUCAUGUAAGUGAUUUUAUGCCGUGGUAUCAUCUGACAUUCUAACUAAAUCAUAAUUUCCAACUCCAUGUUGGUUUGUUCUCUAAGAUCUAAGUGAGGGCAUAGUUCGAAAUGAACUGAGGACAUAAUUUCUUCUCGAUACACUUUGGCCAAUUGGUUAAUAGAAGCAUCUAGCAACGCCCAUUGGUAACUUUCCUCAUUGCACCUGCACCUAGAAAUUACUCUAGAAAUACUUGAUUCUUACUGACAGUUAGUUCCUAGUAGGCAGAAUAUGGUUCUUUCCCCUGGGCCACCCUUCUUGAAAUUUGAGAACUAUACAAAACUUUUCAAGGGAAUAACAUUUGCAAAUAGUAAUUUAAUUUUGCAAUUAGUAGACUUCCCGUCGAUAAAGAAAUUGGAACUCUUGGUUCUUCAUUCAUCCUUUGUUUCAAUCUAAGCCUGAGCUAGAUGUGCCGUGUUUUUUUAACUAGUCUAAAAACUGGUGAAAUUUAUGAAAUUGAGAAAGUUUGAUAUUGAUCAAUGGUUAUUUCACUUGGUGGUCCAACAAAACCACAAAAUGACCAGCUAUUGUGGUGACAAUCAUUUGAGAAUUUUGAUAUAAAAGCAUUUCCCCCAUUCACAGGGAGAUAUCUGAUUCUCUAUUAUGGCUCAAUUUUGAGUGUGAUAUUCUUAUAUUUAUUCCAAUGGCAAGUUUAAUCUUCCUGUUUUACAUAAUAAGGGAAGUUAUGAAUCUCUUCUUCAGAUUAUUCUUAAUACAGACGAAAAGAAAUACGGCGGUCAAGGAUCUUUUGAGCAUGACCAGUAUGUUCAAAGAACUAUCAAUAGAAGGUUAGUAGUGGCUCAAGUUAUCUUUGCUGGUCUUCCUCAGUUUGACAAGCUGUCUUUGAUAAGGAACCACCAAAAUUUGUUGUUAACAAGCAUGAUCUCUUCUGCAGAGUUGAUGGAUUGCAUACUUGCUUAGAAGUGUUUCUUCCAAGUAGAACUGCUCAGGUUUGUGUUUCUACAGUGUUUUUUUCCCUUUUUAUUUUUCUGUUAACAGAAUGACAAUAAGGGGGGGAAUAAAGGAUCAUAAUUUGUGUUGUCGCAUGUGUUUCAAGCCUUUUUAUAAAAUGGGCACUUCUGCAAAUGCACCAUCUCUGGCCUAGGGGUGUAUGGACUUGUCCAACUGUUUCUAGCAAGAGCUAGGGACAAAAUCAUUGGAAUCUGAAUCUAAGUAGUUUGAUCUAUCAAGUUCUCUUGAGUAUUUUAAUUCAAGGUCAUCGAAGCAUGUAGAAAAUCAUAAUAGGUACUCUUUUGGCAAAUUGCUUCAGGAGUAGUUAUACUGUUACACUUUUGGAACACAGAAAACAGAAAUUGCUUUCCUGUUCAAUUGUAUUAUUUCUUCAUUAUCAUCGGAGAAUUGUUAUGGUAUGGUGCUAGAUUAAUAAUUUUGAGAGAGAGCUGCAACAAAAUUAUUUUACUUUCAUGACCAUUCUUGGUUUUCUGGUGGCUAACUUGGGUAGAUUUUUUGAAAAUUUGGAUUCUCCAAAUCAUAUGCAUUCUCUAUAUGUGACUAUGUGAGCAUCAGUUUGACUCUAGGAUGCCUAUGUGAUCUGCUUUCACUUUGGAUCCUAGAUUUGCCUUCCAGAUAGCACAACUUAAGCACUUGUUUGGUGUCACUGUUUCAAUCUCUGCUCUGUGCGAAGUUCAGUGUCCCCAUGAUUGAGGAUCAGUUGCAUCUGUCAUUGCAGGUCUACAAGUUAACGAGGAUACUAAGAGUAUGAACUCUUUGCUGUAAGAACCCCAAAUAUCUUCAUAUAUUUAGAGCGGAUCAGGAAGCGUAAAUUCAGGAUUCAAGCUUGAUGAUUUCAUUGGCCCAGUCCUAGAACCUUCAAUAAUGUGUCCAUGACCAUGUCAUCCAUUUGUGGUUCGUUGGUUGUUGGUCAUUGUCCAUGGUUCUUGAUCCUAAGGUUCUCCAACUACUCGCCCGCCCUGAAUCAGGACUCCCAUCUGGAAAUUGUUCAUCUUGUCGGGCAGGUUUUGGAUAUAGAACCACUGGCUUUGCCUUUUCGAUUCAAAGAAAUGGGAGAGAGUUUUGGACUCUCGAUGUUCUUGGAUUCAUGGUACUUUGCUUCCCCGUAAUUAUCAUUCAAUAUACAGAUGUAGCUCAAUCUUUUUUUGGAGCCAUCUCUGUAUACGUACUCCAGUGUAGUACAGAUAUACAACGAAAUGAUGGCAUAGAAACGCGUUGAAAGCUCUCUAAUUGGAAGCAACAGCCUUCGACAUCGUAGCAGCAGAUUCUCAAUGUAGUAGACUUGUAAAGUUCAUUUUUGGAUUUUUUAUGACUUGUUCAAUUGAAGCUUGACAGUUUAUCUGCAAAAGUGAACACGAUAAUAUUUUAAAGGGUAAAAAACAAAAAAGUCCCCGUGGUAAGCUUAAUACACAGAAAAGCCCUCUAUGAUUUCAAAAUAUACAAUACGAUACCUCAUGUUUUGAACUAAAUUGUAAAGGUGACGGAAUUCGUUAAACUUAACGGAAAUGACUUAUUGGAACCUACAAAAAAAUUUUUUAUACCUAAUUUUUAUUAAAUAUACCUAUUCUACCCCUUAACUCUCAAUUCUCUUUAUUUAGAGAAUAAAAUAAAUGAUUUUUUUGAGUUGUCUUUUGUUUAAUUAUAUCAGGACAUUUUGGUCAUUUCGUCCAUUUCCGUUAAGUUUAACGGAUUUUGUCACCUUUACAAUUUAGUUCAAAGUACGAGAGGUCGUGUUGUAUAUUUUGAAACUAUGGGAGAUUUUUCUAUAUAUUAGAUUUACCACAGGAGAUUUUUUUUUUAUUUUUUACCCUAUUUUAAACUGCAUUUACUCAGUGAGCCUUGUAGAAUGUGGAUCAUUUUCAACAAUGGAAUAAAAUUUACAGCACCCAGUUCGACUGGUGCAAGACGCGGUUGAAUGAAUCACUUAUAAGAGGAUAGAUAUUUCCUGAUUCAAGUUCGUUCACAUCAGAGUACGUGAAAGUUGAUUAUUUACUUAUUUAUACACACAAAAAAAAAAAAAAAAAAUUUGCACAAUUGUAGCUUAAGUGGAUUACAUAUUUAUUGGACAAGUUAGGAUUAAACCCGGUGUCUAAACACCAGAAGCAAUGGCAAGCUGGCAUCAUGAAUAGGCUAACGUAAAGGAUAUAUGGCUUUCGAAUUUUAUGCUUUUAAUAAUUCAAACUAAGCUCCGCGAUGCAUAUCACUUAAUAAUUAGCUCAAACACUUUGAUUCAUUUAUUUCCGUGAACUUCUAAUAACCAUGAUUGUUCUUCUUUUCAAUAAAAAAAAAAAUUUUUAGAAGUCGAAAGGAGGGAAUUGAGUCCUAAAAGUUGAAUAAGGGAUCUCAUGAUCAUCUAGUAACCUGGUGGUUCAGUGCUAAGAAAGAAGCAAAUUCUUUGUCACAAAAAUGACUAAUACACCCCUAAAUACGCUUCUCAAAUAAGUUGGAGUAACUAUUAUACUAUUUAACAUAUCAGUCCACCUAGUUACCUAAUCAGUGUAUACGCUAAUAUAUAUUAGUUUACACCGAGAAAAAGAUAUACAAAAUCUUAUUAAAUUUAGAGUAUAAUAAAAGUGUAACACACAAAUGUACAUUUUUUGAAAAAAAAAAAAAAAAAAACCCGCAUGAACGAUACAUUUGUAACAAAAGACCCGGAGCAAUGGCUGUAUCGGGUGAGCUGGUCUUGAGACCAACAACUCGGUUUUUGUCUGUGUCAUGCUCGCUACUCUAUUAUUGGGCCCUUUUGCUAGCAAUUGGGCAAGUCCAUUUCACCAAAGAGCACAUACUUACAUUGCAAUCCAGCAGUCCAGGCAACAACAUUAAAACCCAACAUAAGACAACCUUCUCCGACAUCCAGAGUCCAAAAACAACGUUGUUUUGGCAUGGGCUGCACGUGUAAGCUAACUUAAAAGGCUUCAAUGGAAAACCACCAAAACGGAUGACGAAAUCCAACCAAGCGCUACUCCCUCAGCCUCGGUUCCUCUUCCAAUUUAUGGAAAUACAGUACCACUUUCUUCUUCAGCUGUCUUUUCUUUACUGCUUACCUUAAUUUCUUCAUCGAAGAUUUCUCCAAUUUCCACCUAUAAUUAUCCCUCACUUAUAGAUAGAAAAUAGGUUUCCCCAAGACGAGAGAGAGGGGGGAAAAAAGGGAAGAAUAAAAAAAAAAAAAAAAAGCUUUUUGAUUGAGCGGACGACUGGUAAUGGCGAACUUACCUCAGUCCUUGUCGAUGAACGCCGCCGCCGCUUUUGGUGGUCCAGGCUCGUCGUCGGCUAGCCCUUCCGCCGCUGGAACUCAAGGCAAUAAGGAUCGAAAAAUGAUGUCUGCCGAGCAGCUUGUACUUGAACUUAGCAACCCUGAUCUCCGAGAAAAUGCCCUUCUCGAACUCUCCAAGGUUUAUAUAUCAAUUUAUGACAAUUUUACAAUUACAUUAAUGAUUAGGAGAAUUGCCAUGUAUUUUUACAUUCUUUUUGGAGCAUUUACUGGAGAACCUUUUUUCUUUUUUUUCUUUUUUUUGGGCUUCGCUGAUUUAGUGGAUUAGUCUUUUGCACUUUCUGAUUUGUAGGGAAUUGUCUGUUCUUUUCUUGAAAUUGGAAUUUUGGGUAGUUUGGUAGUUAAAAUUUCAGUAUGAUUUGUUAAAACUGGCGAUAAAUGAGAAGGUGCGAUCCUUCAUUGUUUUUCCAUUUUUCAUUUUCGCACCCUCAGUUCGAUAUGGUUAUCAUUUGGUAAAAUAAUUUUUUUUUGAGUCUGUUGGAAUAAGACAAUAUUGACAAAUUGCUAUCGGCAGUGAAUCAACUGAUCAUUUGCUUAAAAUAUGUGAUUUUUUCCUAUAAUUGUUAAUUUGGUGCAAAGUUGACUUAAUUCUCGAUAUUUUUUUGGGAUAAGAGGCUGAAAAAAUUUGGGAUUUUUUUAUAGCUUAGUAGUUGGAUUUUCCACGUUCAAACUGCCACAGGAUGUUGAAGUAUGGGCAAUCUCAUGAUAUCCAACUACAAUUGGUGCAAGGAAGCACUGAAUGGCCAGAGGAGAUUUGUUUAACAUGCCGCUUUGUGUUCGAUGAUACUGCAAUAAUGUGAUCGUUAAUGGAUUGGAAUCAGAAACAAUUAGUCAGUAUACAAAAAAGUUCUUAGACACUACUUUAAAUGUUUAAAGCUCACUUUAAGAGACUCAGAAAUGAUGAGGGGAUACAUUAUUGCAGGACUUUGAAUUACAUAUCAAAAGGAUCUGUUUUGUUCUCUGCCAAUGGUUGCUGCCAGAAUAACUUUGUGGUGUAUAAAAAGUUUCAUUGCCAUAUAAAUCAGUUAUUUAAGGGUGCAUUAUUGCUUAAAUGAUUCUUAUGAAUUAAUGCUCUAACUCUUUGGUGUAUUUUACAGGCAUGGAAAGCACUAUGCCUUUCUUCCUUGAGAAAAUUACUUCUUGUUCUGCAUAUUUUAGCUCAUAGAUAUUAUGCAUAAUCGUGGCUUUCAAAUUUAUUGAGUAACUGAUUGCAUCUUCUUCCUUUUUUGUUCAUAAUUGUAGAAGAGGGAAAUCUUUCAAGAUUUGGCUCCAUUACUUUGGAAUUCUUUUGGGACUAUUGCUGCACUCCUGCAGGUAUUUAGUAUGAAAGUAUUCUGUUUUUGUUUUUUUCUCAGUAUUUAUAUUGUCAUAAGAUGCCAAUUAAAGUGUUAGUUGAUUCAUGAAUAUUGUACUGAUUAACUGUUUUUUUUUUUUGAAAAGAACAACUUCGCCAAUUCGUAUAUUGGUUAUACUCUUUGACUGUUGUACUUUUUGUGGAUAUAUGUUUUACGAUGUAAUUUGACAAUAUGAACUCAAUAAAUUGUCUUUGUGUAUGUGCAUGAGACAUUGAUGGUGAGGAAAUGGAAACUACAUUGAUAAUGGAAAAACAAUGUGUAGUGUAUUUGAUGCAUCUCUUGUUAUAAAGACAGUUUGCUGACUGGAUUGGUGUUCUUUUUUGGGAGCAUGCAGGAAAUAGUUUCUAUCUACCCUGUUUUAUCUCCACCAAACCUGACUCCUGCACAGUCAAAUAGGGUUUGCAAUGCACUUGCUCUUCUGCAGGUACUACUUAUUCUUUUCUUUGACUUUUUCAUGAAAAGAUGAUGGAAGAAUUUCGUAUCACAUUUUUGUGAGUCAGGUCAUGCAUGUACAUCCUAAAGAAACUCAACAUAUUUGUGAUUUUGUAACAGUGGAUUCAUUAACCAUCUUACAACUUUGUUCCUCAUGUUUUUGACUCUUGCCUUUUUUGGCACUGACAAAAAAAUGACUUUAGAGCUGCUUAUUCAUGAUAACUUUAUCAAAAUAAAGUAUUUGGAAUCUUUCCCUUCCUUUUUUAUUUUUUGUUGGUGAUGCUGCCAUAAAUGGCCCAAAUCUAAUUCGUCUGCUCUGAAGUGAUCUUGCUCCACCGCAAAGAUUAUCUGUUUUGUGAAAAUCAUUUGCUUUUGAUGAAUUUGUUGGUUUGCCUUUUGCAGUGCGUGGCUUCUCAUCCUGACACUAGAAUGUUGUUCCUUAAUGGUAAUUUACUCUUUCUUCAUGAUUAGGAUUUUUACAUGGAUCUGCCUGAAGUUUCAAAUAUCUAACGGACAAAAUCUGUAGACAAAGAAGAACCCUUAGUUUAGGGAGCCUCAAUAGCUGUGUAUUAUAAUGCAGCAUCUACCUUCAACCUCCCAGUGUGCCUGUGGAAAAAAUAUGAUAAUUACAUGAAAAUUUGUAGAGUUUUUUUUUAACACUAGCCAGUUAUUUGAAUUGAUACUGUUCCUCUCUGCUUUAAAUAAUAUCUUAGGUUUGAAACUGAAUGGACAUGUUCCUGUUUGAGUUUCUUGGAGACUAAAUAAGUCAGUAAUCAUGCCUGCUUUCUGAACUAAAAUAUCUGGUUCCUUUUGUUGCACAUAAACUAUUGUAGCAGUAGUGCAACCUCUAUUCAGCUGUGGAUCUUUUCCUUGUGCUUUUCAUCUCAAGAGCAAGACAAGUUGCAAAACCAUUGGGUUAUUCUUCAUUUAGCUGAAUAUUGUUUUGCUGUCAUGGCAGUUGAUUCUUAGUGUUGCUUUUCUUCUUUGCAGCCCAUAUACCACUGUAUUUGUAUCCAUUUCUCAAUACAACAAGCAAAUCAAGGCCUUUUGAAUACCUGAGGCUUACCAGUCUGGGUGUCAUUGGUGCACUGGUGAAGGUAUUAAAUCAUCCUAAGUUCAUAUUUUCUAUUGUCCCUCUACCUCUCCUCCCCAUAUAUCAUGAACCAUGUCCUUGCCAGUUUUGGCGUUCCUAGGUUAAACAAUCUUCAAUAGCAGCCAUGGUGUUUUCAGCAAAACACAUAUCUUCUGGUUGGGAAAAAAAAAAGAAGAAGAAAAGGAAUACAUAGAACAAUGAUUAAUGGACUUUGAGUGCUUGUAUCCGAAUAGAGCAAUACAUAUUGUAAAGUUGCACAUCUGGAGAGAAAUAUCUAGUUUCUGCAACCUUAUGAGAUAUUAUCUUGUUUCACCCUACUCUGAGUGAAGCUCCAGUUGAGGCCGUAUCUAUGGUUCUGCUUAUCUUAAUUGCUGCUUUUGUUAUGUGUUUUUAAAUUGCUAUCUCCCAUAAGAUAUAACUGACCAACUUCAAGGGUUGAUUUCUAUCUGAUUCCUUCAACUUUUCUUCUUUUUCUUGAAGUGUUAUAUAUGUUCACCCAGGGUGAAGCAUAUGAAACUUACUAAUUAUAGUCGCAACUUUAAUGUAACUAUCCUCAUUUCUUCGAUUUGUUAUUGUGUUGAAUGAAAUAUGGCAUCCUUGAAAUGCAUUAUUUGAGCUACUUUUGGAAGUUCACUUGUAUCAUGUUUAUAUUACUUGGAUUGUGCUAGCUUUAAUUUUCUGGUUGCCUUUGCUCCUUUUCAGGUUGAUGACACUGAGGUUAUUAGUUUCCUCCUCUCAACAGAGAUAAUUCCCCUGUGCCUUCGCACAAUGGAGAUGGGUAGUGAAUUAUCAAAAACAGUUGAGUGGCUCCUUAUGUUAUGUUUUACAGUGUUCUCUGAUGUUUUAGUACAAACGUCUCCUCAGUUCUGCAUUCCAAGUAUAGUUUGCCCUACAACAACUGUUACUAGAUGAUGUAUCAGACUCUGUGUGAUUGAUUCGCUUGAAUCUUUGAGAAUGGGAAUUGGAAUUUCUUUCUUGAAGUAAAUGCUUUUCCGGCAGUUAGUGUAGCAACAUUUGAUGAACGUCAACAGUCCAAGGUGCAGUAUGUAGAUACGAAAAUGAUUCUUAUCUGCUCUAACGAUUGUUGUCAUUUAGUGGCUGCUAGGGCUGUGGGUUUGUCAGUUACUGCCACCCUUUUGAUUAAACUGGAGACUUCCACAUUGUAAUACUAACUAGCCAUUAAGAGACCAAUUUUGGAAUGUCACAUUUGCUCAUUUGAAGGUUGUUCUUGCACAAUUUAGACAUUUUUUUUGUGCAGUCACAAUUUCACCAUCUUUCUUUAUGGAACUCUAUUUUUAUUGUGUCUGCUGGCAGGUUGCCACAUUUAUUGUACAAAAGAUUCUGCUGGACGAUGUGGGCCUGGAUUACAUAUGCACCACAGCAGAGCGGUUUUUCGCUGUAGGUCGAGUCCUGGGAAAUAUGGUGGCUGCACUUGCUGAGCAGCCAUCAUCGCGACUGCUAAAGCACAUUAUUAGGUGCUACCUUAGGUUGUCAGAUAACCCAAGGUGAUGCUUCAAGAACAAUAUGCUACCUCAUUGCAUAUUGUUUCUUUUCUCUUCCUCUCUCUUUCUGUGCAUACUGACGAGGUCCCUGCAUUUACAUGUUCAAUUUGUGUACGUGCGGGUGUCUGUGUUCAUAUGCAUCCCAUGUUUCAGUAUGAAAAACAUUAAGGUUUUACAACUUGUCUUGUGUAGGGCUUGUGAUGCACUUCGGAGCUGCCUUCCUGACAUGCUUAGAGACGCCACCUUCAGCAGUUGCCUUCGUGUAUGUAUACACUAAUAUGUAACUUGAGCAGAUUUUAGCUUAUAAUCUUGUAUUCUGAUUGUGGAUAUGCUGGAAAUAUAAAUGUUUCAACACCUAUUAAGCAACUUCAGCUUUCUGAUUUGAGGGGACCUUCAUCUUUCAUGUUUUUCAUGUUGCCAGGAAGAUCCAACAACGAGACGAUGGCUCCAACAGUUGCUUCACAAUGUCCAAGGGCCUCGGGUUGCACUGCAAGCUGGGACAGGGUUCGACCAUAUGCUAGUGAACUGACUGGAGGCCAGCCCGUUUUUGUUUGCCGUUACUGCUGAUGAUUAAAGCUUGCAUUUUCAAGUGCAUGCUGCUUUAGUUGCUUGGUUAAAAGGUCAUUUGUAGAUUAGGUAUUUAUACAACUCUAGUAACUUUUCGUAGGGGGCUUAAAAGGCCUCGACUUGAAUACGAGGUCAUUUUGUAAAUGAAUUUGAUGUUAUUAUAGAGGUUUUUUUUCAGUAGCCGGACACUUGAUAGUGUUCUUAAUUGGUCCACCCCGACCUGACCUCUUUAGCUGGUGCAGGUUAAAUGACACCGUAGGCCUCAACAAUUGUUUCUCAUAAUUUUAGUCUACAGUUUAUGGAUUAAGUGUAUAACAAUCACAAUUGACUUUUGGAUUAAAGGUUUAGGUGUAAAACAAUAACUUUUGGCACACAACUCCUAAAGAGUAUGUAAGAAAUUAUUGUUGUUUUGUAUUUAUUUAUUUAUUGGUUCAACUUCAUAGAUUUGAUAUCUUAGAACUGAACUUGUACAUGGUUGACAAGGUGAACUUGCACAUUGUGAGUAUACACUUGUCUGUUUGGACAUAUAAUGUAUAUAAGACCAUAAAAAGUUGUUAGAAAAAUAAAAAAGUUGAUUUGAAAAACAUAUUUAUAAUGCAAGCGAAUAAUAUUUUAAAAGAAUAGAUAUCAAGAUACAUUCGUUAAUCAAUUACAUCACUUGUAGGCGUGGAUUAUGUAAUUUUACAUGGAGUUGUUUUCUUCACUUUUUGACCUGGAUUGACAUGCAUUACGUUAGAUAAUACAUACAAAUUAUUUGAAUACUGGUUAAUGUCCAAUAUGUUUUCCUAUAUUUCUUUAUCAACACCUAAGUUGGUUUACCUCUAAAAUUUAUAAAACCUUUUUAAAAAUUAAAAUUUUCUACCAGAUGCAUAAUGGACAUUCAUUAAGAUACCUAAAAUGCGCGCAAGUUAGUUUUUCUUUUUUUUUUUUGUUAUUACCUCGAAGGUAAUAUGUACAUAGACACAUUUACAUUUUAUUGUACCUCCUGAAUUAAUUACAAUUUGCUUAAAAAACUAAUACCCAAAUCCUACUCUUAUCCGGUGCCUAAUAGGCACCUGUUAGCCAAACUAUGAAAAGUAAGUUGCACUCCUGAAGUUCCAUCUAAUCUAGUCGCGACUCUGAUGUGGCACAGGAUAUGACAUAAACGUAACUGGAUUAAAGGUACAAAGUAUCCCGGAAUCAGCAGAGCAUGGAUUCAGAUAGAUCUUUAAGUAUAAACAGUAUCCAGCAAUUUAACUUGCGUUAAAUGCGAAAAGAAGCUUGGACAGAGUGGGGUUAAUUUUAGAAACCUUCCCAAUUUCUGACAAUUUUACCUGACACCUUUCAGAUUUACAAUACUAAAAUUACCUCCCCUAUCAUACUAAAAUUACCUCCCCUGUCAUACUAAAAGACAAAGACGUAAGUCGGGGGGGAAUUCUGGGGUAAGUGGGUCUUAGUUAAGGUCUAGUAGAAGCUUCCCUUCCAACCUUCCCGUUGUCCCACAUCGAUUCUAAGGGGUUUGAGGGUCGGGUAGUUAAGUCCCCAAGGUUGCCUCAAGAGUUGCCGGCUUUUGAGGUGGACUUUGGGAUUAGGUUUAAUUGCUUUACUUGAAAAAGUCUGACAAAAAAAGACAAAGACGUAAGUCGGGGGGAAUUCUGGGGUAAGUGGGUCUUAGUUAAGGUCUAGUAGAAGCUUCCCUUCCAACCUUCCCGUUGUCCCACAUCGAUUCUAAGGGGUUUGAGGGUCGGGUAGUUAAGUCCCCAAGGUUGCCUCAAGAGUUGCCGGCUUUUGAGGUGGACUUUGGGAUUAGGUUUAAUUGCUUUACUUGAAAAAGUCUGACAAAAAAAAUCAUACUACAUUUACUUUCCACUACUAUAACCACUGUUUCUACCCCUCAACAGAUUUGCACUACAAGUUCAUACAUACUGAUGUAUUGCUCUUCAAAAUUACAUCCUAGAUAUCCAAAAAAAAAACCUACAAGAUUACAAAAUCUUUAUCUUUUGGGUAAAAUACACGGAACCCCCCUAUGGUUUCGCGAAAAGACACGGAACCCCCUAUCGUUUAAAAACAUACACAUAAACGCCCUAAACUUCAUAACUAAAGUGGAAAUAGACUUCUUAACCGGCUGAGUUACCGGCUGCAGGUCAAUACCCAAAAUACCCUCAUUUAUAAUAGAGAGGGAGAGAGAAUGAAAAACUGACUCUUUUCUCGUUCAUCCUGUGUAAGAAAAAAAACCCUAAGACAAGGGAUUUGUAUACUAAAUUGUUGCUGAAAUAUAGUGAAUCUGAGUUGAAAAAGUCGUGGCUGAAUUCGAUCGCGAAGAAGGGAGUGACAGAUUGGUGGUUGUAUCUGAUCGUGAAGCUGCAUUCGGUCGCGAAGAAGGGAAAGACAGAUUGGUGAGGAAAUUGAUCGUGAAGCUUGUUCGACAUUUCUAGGUAAGAAUCAGAACUUAUUGUUCAAUAUUCAGUCCAUUUAAUGUUUAGGAUUUGUAAUCCUUUUCCAAUUUGUUUAUUCCUUUUCCACAUUACCCCACAUUACCUCAUAUCUGUCAUUUUUAUAGUUGGUGGUCCAUAUUUAGGUGAUUUAUCAGAGAAAAUGGGGUUUAAAAAUGUAAAGAUCUUAACUUUUUUAGCUUUUUUUUGGAGAAUGUGGGUCUUUUUUGGAGUAUGUGGUUGAUGUCAGGAGGAAAUAAUAUGUGUCGGGUUUGGAUUUGACUACAAAUCAGAUUUCACUUAAUAAUCUGAUUGUUGUUAUAACUAAUUGUUGUUAUAAUCUGAAAGUGUGAUGUAGCUUAAUAUAGUUUAUUAAUCUAUAUUUGAAUUCUAAAAGUGUUGAUUAAAUAAUUUAGGUUGGGGACCAUGUCAGAUCCUUUUAGGACAGUGGAUAUCCACAUGCACUAUGGUGGGCGGUUUAUACAUCAUCCCAAUAUUAGGUAUACAAGUGAUUUAGUGAGAGUGUUUCACAAUUGCGACCCUGAUGAGUUAUCAACAUUUUCAUUAUUCAACCUGUACUCCAAAUUGAAAAAGAAGCGGCAUGUGCAAAAUUUUGGUAUUCCAUUCCAGACCAUGAUGUGGAUGUAGGUGUUAUCCCAAUAAAUGAUGACGUGGACAUAGAAUUGUUGACUACCUGUUAUGAAGGGCUUCCUUAUAUGCAUAUAUAUGUAGAGUCAGGUCAGAGGCCUCUCAAAAUUAUCUCACCAGAUGGUAAGCUCUUAUUCGAAAGAGUGACGAAUGAUGGUCCACUUGCUUUACCGUACAAUGAAGGUUCUUCAGAGAUAAAUUCAGAUCUGACUAGAAAAGGUGCUGGAGCUUCACAAAAUCCUGUUGAUCUGACUGGUUUUGAACCAUAUAUUGGUGAUACAAGAGGGCAAGAAAAUAAUUUAGAUGGCCCAACUGCUGUAGAAACUAAUGAUGGCACACAAAAUCCCUUCGAACCAACUAAGAAAAACAGAAGAAAGGGUGGUAAAACUCCAUCGAGGAAGAGACAAACUGUGGUGCAACCUGUGAAGAGAGCAGCUAGAAAAACUGUCAGAAAAUUAUUUCAGCAAACAACCAGAAUAGAUGCUGUCGACAGCCAGCAAGAGGUUUCUUCAGUGAACCAAAGUAAAGAAGAAUGUGAAAAUCAAUGUAACUUUGACAGAACCUCUGUUCAGACAAAUCAAGUCAACAAUGAACAAUAUUGUGACUUUGACAGAACCUCUGUUGAGAAGAAUCAAGUCAACAAUGAACAGCAGCACCACAGUGAUGGAAAUGAAGAACCUGAUCCGUCUUGGUUGAGAGAGGGCCUAGAAUUUGCAGAAGAUGAGGACAUCUUUGCAACUGCUGGUUCAACUGUACCUCAAACAAAUCAGCAAAUUGGUGACUUGAAUGAGCAGCAGCAACAACAUCAGCAACCACAAGGUGAGGAGUCCACAGCACAGCAUCAACAAACUGAAGACUUGAAUAAGCAGCAGCAACAACAUGAGGAAGCACAAGGUGAGGAGUCCACAGCACAGCAUCAGCAUGGAGGAGACCAACCUAUUGGCCCUGACAGUGAGGAAUGGAAUGAGCCUGUGACUGCAGAUGAAGACUUCCUAUAUUCUGGUGAUGAAAAUGGGCCUGACUACUCAUAUUUCAAUGCUUCAGUGGAGUUUAACAAGCCAAAUUUUGAAUUAAAGGUUGGGAAGAAAUUCACUCAUUUUACAAAAUUUAGAGAAGCACUUGUGGAAUGGAACAUUAGAGAGGGAUACGAAGUUUUAUAUAUCAACAAUGACAGUUGGAGGAUAACUGCCAAAUGUGCAAAAGGAUGUUCUUGGAGGAUUCAUGCAAGCAGAGUUAAUAGGACUGACACUUUUCAGAUCAAAACACUAAAGGGAGAGCACCAUUGCGGCAGAGAGUACACUAACAAGCAUGCAACCUCAACUUAUCUGAGCAGAAAGUUUCAAGAGAAGGUUCGAGAUGACCCUAAUUGCAGCUUGGAUGGCAUUAUUAAUGAUGCCAGAAGAAGAUUCAUGGUUAAUAUAAGUAGCAAAAAAGCAUACAGGACUAAGAGGAAGGCCAGGAGACAAUCAAAGGUUGUGAUAUGGAGCAAUAUGAACGGCUGUGGGAUUAUGCUGCCACGGUUAGACAGUCAAAUCCAGACAGUCAUAUCGCUAUACAAAUAGACAGGAGGUCUAUUGAGGAAAGGGCAACAUUUCAAAGGCUUUUCUAUGGCUUGGGUGCUCUUAAAAAGGGCUUUCUUGCAGGUUGUAGACCAAUCAUUGGCCUAGAUGGUUGCUUUUUGAAGGGGCCCUUUGGAGGUCAACUGUUAGCAGCACUUGGAAGGGAUGGAAUGACAAUAUGUUUCCCAUAGCCAUUGCCAUUGUUGAAGCAGAAAACUAUAAUAGUUGGACUUGGUUUUUGAAGGAACUGAUUACUCAUAUUGGAGAGGGGCAAUGUAGUGCCUUAUACCUUCAUUUCUGACAGGCAAAAAGGACUAGUACAUGCUAUAGAGGAGCUAUUUCCUGCGUGCAGAACACAGAUUUUGCCUUAAGCAUCUGUUUGAGAAUUUUAAGGCAAAGUUCAAAGACAGUGAACUGAGAGAAUUGUUUUGGGCUACUGCAUCAGCAACUAAUGGUGAUGAUUUCAAGAGAGCAUUGAAUGCUUUGGAGAUAGCUCAGCCACAAAAUGGAGAGAACCUUACUGCUGCUGGUUGGUUAAAAAGGCUGCCAUAUCAUUUGUGGUCUAGAGCACAUUAUGGAAUGGCUGCUAAGACUGAUAUUUCAGUCAACAAUCUGAAUGAGAGUUUCAACAACUACAUUUUAAAAGCAAGAGACGAGCCAAUUGUGACUCUUCUUGAAUUUUUCAGAAGAAAGUUAACAACGAUUGACAUUGAAGAGGCAAGGCAUGGAGAAAUAUGGAGGCAGAUUGUGUCCAAACAUUGUUGAGAAGUUAGCUAAAAGUUGUAGAAAGAGCAGACAUUGUAUUGCUGUAUUUGAUGGUAUUGAAUCAUUUGAGGUUGAUGGUUUCAACAGAACCUCCGUUGUGAACUUGCAACGUAGAAGCUGUUCAUGUGGUGCAUUCCAGUUGACUGGAAUUCCAUGUGUGCAUGCUAUUUCUGCCAUUCAAAGCAUGCGGAUGAAGGUUUGAAAACUAUUGUCGAUGAGUGCUAUAGUAAAGAGGCAUACUUGAGGGCAUAUGCUUAUGCAUUGGAGCUGUUCCAUCCAAAGAACACUGGAUUGAUAGUGGAAUGCAGCUGUUAAAUCCACCAUUUGUGAAGAAACAACCUGGAGAGACCUAAAAAACUUAGGAGAAGAGGUCCGGAUGAACCGAGAGAUCCACAAAGAGCUUCCAAAAAGGGGGGGCAGUAUACUGUAAGAGAUGUUUAAAAGCUGGCCAUAAUAGGAGAACUUGUAAGGAACCUCCUCAUCCCAAUCCAAGUUGUACAAGGUACAUUUAAGUAUUUGAAUUUUUCUUGCACUAUGUACUCUUGAUAAUUAUUCCAGCAGUAAAUUUUUGACUCUGGUUGCAGGCUCCAAGCAAUACCCAACGAGGGGCAAGAACAGCUUCCACUUCAGCCCCAACCAGAGAAGUACCAGUGCAUCAAGCAUCUCAACAAAGCAGCACUGCUGCAGUUACUGAUAACAACCUUAGUUCUCGAUCCAAAAGAUUUAAGAAAAAUUAGAAUCAGGAAUGUUAUUUUUAGGACUUGUGUCCAUGUAAACAAGUUGUAAUGGUAUAUAUGCUAUCUUUAGAGCAGACAUUGUAUAUAAGGAUUAACAUAUUUUGUAAGUGAUGCUCUUUUUUGUAAUGACAUUAUUGGCAUUAUUGCUCUUUUUUGUAAUGCCAUAUAUUGGAUUGUGGUUAUCAUAUUAUGACUAUCCAAAUUACAGUUGGUUCAUGAGUAAACAGGUUGUAUGGUUAUUAUCUUUCUUUCAGACAAGAAUACAAAUCAUGACAAAAUUUGGAAUUUUUUCAUAAACUAAAAUUAUUACAUUAUUUGGUACAUCAUUAUACUGCCACUAACCAAAUUACUAUUUUCUAUAAGCAGCAAUAACUAGAGAUAAACAACAAAUAAUAAGAGACAAAAUCAUUAUCACUUUCAACAACCCCACAGUGCCUUCAACCGUGCUCAACUUUGCAUGUAGCCCCAACAAAAUGUCACCAUUGUUCACAGCCAGCACACCUUCAUUACUGUUCACUCUUGGAGAGAAUCCAGAACUUUCGUCUAAUCUUGUUUCUGGACUUUUACUAGUACAUUCAUUGCCCAUUCCAUCCCUUCUUAGAGGAUUGCACCAUGCCCAAAAGGAGCAGGAUUGAUCUUCACAAAUGUAAUACAACCUACCUUUUGAGGGUUUGUUGGACUCCACGAUCUUGAUUUUUGCUCUUUUCUUGCAGAAGCACCGAGACCAUUCAUACCUUAGAUCUGUCAAACCUCCUCCAAAAUUUGCUGAAGUGGACAUGACGACUUCGAUAUAUUCAGAAGUAGAUCUUCUCCCUUUUUCCUUUCACUCUUUGAUAGCUUCAAAUCUAUUCUCCCCUAAUAUGUAGUGCCUUCUAUAUAGUAAUUGAAGGGUAGUUUGAGAAUGAAACUCACGAUCUUUUCAAAAGAUCUCGCAGACCCAUCAUCAGUAGUUCGCUCAGCCGGUUAUAGGUCUAUUUCCACUUUAGUUAUGAAGUUUAGGGCGUUUAUGUGUAUGUUUUUAAACGAUAGGGGGUUCCGUGUCUUUUCGUGAAACCAUAGGGGGGUUCCGUGUAUUUUACACAAAAACAAGAUGACUGGUGGUAUAUAAUACUUUUGGUGACGUUGUUCUUUAAUGUAGGGGACAACAAUUCGAAUAUUUUGUUCUUUUAUUUCGUAUUUUAUAAUGUUGGAAAUGAGAAUGUCUUCAAUUUUAGAGAUUAUACUAGAUUUUAAACAAGAUGUCACUGGAAUACAUACAGAUGCUCCCAGCAUUCUUGGGAUUCUGAUGAGCAUUUUUUUGAUCCACCUCAACUUAUAUUCUAUAUGUCUUACCUAAUCAGUGAAAAUGAGGGCAUAAAUUGAAUACUCAAAAUUUUGGGGAGCAGAAAUCCCACUUCCAAUUCGAUUUUAGGGGGAAAAUAAAAGAAAAGAAAAAAUCCCACCUAUACCGUUCGCCCCUACCGGGGCACCCUUUGCUUUCCCUGAUGUUCCCAAAACGCCUUCCGACAAUCAAACAAAUCCAAACGGCGAAUUCCGAAGCACACCACCUUUGACCCGUAGUCCAAGUCUUCCCUCUGUGGAAUAUCCCAUAAAUUUUGUUUAAACUGCCAUGAAAUCAUCUGAAAAGUAUGCUGUGACGUAUGCUUACACCUUCCAGACGUCAUCAGACGACGACGAGGACAUGACGGAGACCGUUACAGACAUGGCAGCAUCAGUGAGGGCGGUGGAGGAACUCCUGAAUUACAAGUUUAAGAACAAGAUGCUUCUAGAAGAAGCUCUGACUCAUUCUUCUUACACUGAUUCGGCAUCUUACCAGCGGCUUGAGUUCAUCGGCGAUGCCGCUCUUGGCUUAGCCGUCUCUAACUACGUGUUCCUGGCUUACCCGGACCUUGAUCCGGGCCAGCUCUCUCUUCUUCGGGCUGCCAAUAUUAGCACCGAGAAGUUAGCUCGUGUUGCCGUCAGACAUGGCCUUCAUAAAUAUGUUCGUCACAAUGCCGCUGCUCUUCACGAUAAAGUAAAAAGUUUUUCUUUGCCUUUUAUUUUCUCUCUCUCUUUUUUUUUUAAGUAUGGAAUUAAGGUACCAUGGUUAAUGCAUGAAGUAUAGCUAUUGAUGCACACUUUUGCUUGCUUUUAAGUUGUUCAGUAUGUGUAUGGAUUCUCGCAGAUAGUUUGAUUAAUUGAAAAAUACUAGCAGUACUACUUUAUUUGAUCGUUGCGGCUAUAUGAUUGUACCUUCUUAGAAUUGAUGGAAAUCAUACCACCAUGAAUGCAUGGCGUGUAUGCAUGUUUUUUUGUUUUUUUGCUAUAAUAGGUUACAUAUGGAUGAACCUAUCAGUUUGUGUGAUUAAUUGGAAAAGAUAAAAGGUAGCAGCCUUUCUCUAGCAAUUUUUUUCUUGAAUGCUGGUACCUUCGAUAGCUACAAGUGUUUGUGCAAGUCCAAUAAACAUUUAGAAUUAUAGUUUGGUCGGCUUGCGAUUUUUGCAUGAUUAUUGCUGUUAAUAUGGAUUCAGUUAUGGUUGUGAUUGUUUAGGUGAGAGAUUUUGCAACAGCGGUAGGGCAGGAGGAUGAAACAGAGGUACAUGGAGGGGCAAUUAAGGCUCCAAAGGUUCUUGCUGACAUAGUGGAGUCAGUGGCUGCAGCUGUAUAUGUAGAUUGCGGGUUUGAUCUGCAAGCGUGGGUGGUAAGCACUUUUUCUAUUUUCUUUUUCCCUCUAUUAUUUGUGCCUUCCACCCCUUUGAUUAAACAUGAUAAUGUUAGACCAUUCUUAUGAGUUGAAGUAUGAGAUGUGUUAAAAGAUAUUUUCCUGCCCUGCUUUGUUGGAUGUCUGUUCCAAUAUUAGGACAAUUUAAUAUCAGCAAAUUACAUGAAAGAAACGGGGUUUCCAAAACUAAAGAGUUUUUAAUUCCAUAGUUUGCCAAACAAAAAGAAUCCUAGCAACACUGCUAAUCAUGAAUUGUGAAUUAUGAAUUAUUGUGUGAAUGUAUUAGGAAAACUCUUCCUCCAUGCUUCCACUAAGGUUUUGACAAUUCAAAGUAGAUGGUGUUGCAAUAGGCCUUAUUAUUGUCUUAGAUUCUUGAACAUAUGGGAAGCUAUUGUUCAUUACAAAGUGUUUUGGGUCAUCAAUGUAAAUUUCUCAAGGUUUGUACCUUUGUUGGGUUCAGAUAUUUAGGGGCUUAUUGGAGCCAAUUGUCACACUUGAUGUACUACAACAUCAGCCUCAACCAGUAACAUUGCUAUUCGAAUUGUGCCAGAAAGAUGGAAAGCAUGUCGAUAUAAGACAUUGGAGAAAAGGGGAAAAAAACAUUGCAAGUGUUUAUGUUGAUGGGCAAUUUGUUGCCUCAGCAUGUUCUGAUCAGAAAGAAAACGCAAAGCUUCAUGCAGCUAAGGCUGCUUUGCAGAAAUUAUCUUACAAAACUAGUGAAAAGAUUGGUAGAGACAUUAUAGGUGAAGUCAAUGGAUCUACCAAGAUUGAAAGUGCAAAACAAAAACUUCAUGAGCUCUGUGGAAGGAAAAGAUGGCCAAAACCAAGCUACAGGUACUCCUUAUUCAGUUUCAUGAGUUAUACUUAGGCAUUUAGCUCGAUUUUAGUUCCAUGCCAUGUACUUCAAAUUAGAAGUCAGUAUGUUUUUCCUUUCUUCUAAAUUUAGAUUCCUGAAUAUUUGGUAAUAUUUACAGAAUUGAAAAGGAGAUAGGUCCAGCUCAUGAUAGGCGAUUUAUAUGCUCUGUUCAAAUUGAGAUUGCUGAGGCUGUGCUUUUUGUGAUGGGAGAUGAAAAAUCAAGAGUGAAGAACGCAGAGAACUCUGCAGCUUCUCUGAUGCUACUAGGUCUGCAAGACUCUUGAGUACUAAUGAUGACCUAGGUGUAGAAUCAUGGAAAAUUGUAACCUGCUGUGUUGGUAGACAUUGUAGAAGCUGGAAAAGCAGAACGAUUUUCUUCAUUAGUUCUGUAUUAUUAGUUCAAUAAAUAUUGCAUUUUCUUUUACUUUUGAAUCGAUAAAUGAUCAUUGCUAUGGAUUAAGGUUCUUGUUGUACCAUGAAAACUGGCAUUUUCAACAGGGUCGAUGACUUCCUAACAGGACAAUCUUCAAAGACAUUGCAUCUUACAUGUUGGCAAAUGAAGGCUGGUAGUCCAUGGCUCACUCAGCUGCAACUAUUGCGCUUGUGGCUCUCCCAGAGGGUCGCCCCUACCUUUAAGCAGAAUCAUACAGUAGCUUAGUUUGCUUCCCUUUGUUGCAUCUUUGCUCGAUUUGGUGGGAACUUCUUCCAAUAGAGGAAACCUUCCUCCUCUUUUAGAUCCAGCACCUUAACAGCAGAAUCAAACUGGACACGAGUUUUGAAGUGGUAAGUUGUUUGUUGAUCACUCCCUUUUUUUCACGGAAGCAGUUUCCCGUGAGGCCACUAUAAGUGAAGAUGCAGCAGGUGUGUCAUGGUCGAAUAGGCAAGCUGGUGGUGUGAUGUUUUUCUGGAAAAUGUGCACUGGUCUAACAUAUUUGAGAAGAUCUCCAUCAUUUUGCUUUACAUAUGGCUGACCAACAGCACUACCAGUUUCCAGAGCUUAGCGAAACAUACCGUCAUUGUCCUCGUGUCAAUCCUGACAGGUAUGUUAGCAGUGCAGAUGUCAAAGCAAAUUGCAAUAUCACAGCAAAGCCUGUGGCUUCCAGCUUGUUGGGAUCUUGUCCUGCUCGCAUUCAGUGAUUAGAAUCAGUUAGUGAAAAUCUGGAGCUAUCUAUUGCUGAAAGAAGAUAUACUGUUCAAUUGGAAAAGAGAAAGAACUCAAUAAUCUUGCUCAGAGGGAUUCCGCCGAGUCGUUUGUUUGUACUAGCGGACGGUCCUCUCUAUUUGUAGGAUUAUGUUGCCUGGACUCGUGUCUUCAUACUCUUCCAUCAACUAGGCUGCUGCUUUGAAUAGGUUGCUGUAAUCUUUGCUGCCCUACUGUUGAAAUUAGUACGCAAAUGAACUCCUCUUUACUGGUAAUAACCUAGAGAUACGUUGAUCCGUGACAGAAAAAUGUUGGUAGGAAAUGGGGAGGGGGCAAAAAUUCUUUUCCAAGUAAACUAGCCUUCUAAGUGCAAGUUUCAGUGCUUCUUGCUGUUUAUAUUUUCAUUUGCCUUAAAUGGUGGUGCCAACAUUAUUAUCAGCCCAAUAUGUAAAGUAUGCUUUCCUUGCUUCAUAAUAUUGAGAGCUAGGACCUAAUACACGUCAGGAAUUUUAACAGUAGAUAAAAAUUGAGUUAGAAGGAAUUAGAUGCAAAAUAUCAAGCAAAGCUAAUGAAUUACGUUGAUCAAUCUGGAAAAACGCACAGUAAUCCCAAGGGAAAACGGUAAGCCUGCUGAUCGAUGGAAGUUGAGAAACUGCAAACCAGCCUGCCACUUUUACUGCAUCGUUCCUCAACUCAUAGCGUCGUGUCUUUAUUUAUUUUCAUUUUUAAAUAUUUGGCAACUCCAAAAAUCCAUUUAGAACAUGCUAUACCCGGAAUUUUUGGUCUCUCGGUUACUAAAAAAACCAUAAAUCAAACAAAUUAAAGGGAAGUCAUUAUCAUUAUCAUUUUUUUUCCUCCUUUUUUUUGGGGGGUGGGGAUGUGCAAGUUCCACCUACAUUUUGUCCAAAUUCAAUUCGUCAUAUAAGCGGUUUGACGAUGCUACUAUCUAUCAGCAAAGUCCAUCUCUGAUAUGCAAAAGUCACACAGCAAAAGAUUAUGAUUGACAAGAAGAGUCAAGUUAUGAGAUGUUUAAGUUGGAAUUUGCAGAAAUGAUUUAGAAUUUUCUUACGAAGUUAAUUAUCACGUAAGAAUCCACCAUGAUUAGGAGUCAUGAUAUCUAUGAGAGACAUAACUUGAUUCCACCAUUCAAGUGCCCCUCUUACCUCUUGUUAAUCUCCAAAACCAAUAAUAAUGUGGAGAAGAUUCUAUGUUCUUUCUCCACUUCUCUUUAUUCAUUCAGCACCCUGCUUUUUCCUUUUUUAGUUAUUGCUACUUGCUAGUAGAGCACUUCCUUUCCCUUUUUGAUGCAUUUUAUUUUCAAUUACCCUUUCCCUUUUUAUCAUGAGAUUAUUUGAAUCCCACCCAUAUGUGAUUUCUUUUUUUUCUUUUUUUUUUUUAACAGUCGACAAAAGGGUUAAAACUUGUCAAUCCCAUUAUUAUUCGGGGAGAAUAAAUUUCAUGUCAUAACAGCCAAGGUUGAAUCAAGGAUCAAUGAGAAUAUGAUGAGAUCGCUGAUCAAAAUGAAUAUUAGUCCAAUGUAAAAGACAACAACGGAAUGGUAUAGUUUUGUACUUGGGCUUCUUGUUAGAAUUUCGCAAUCAAGGGGUGGUUGAAUAAUGCCACCAUUUUACGAGUGAGAGCUGAUGCCUAAACGCAUGGCAACGCAAGCCAGUUUCUCCUACUCGUGUUACUUUACACUUCUUUGAAGAUUAGGUAGAUAGCCCCAAAAUUGAUUAAGAUCUAAUCAGGCAACUUUUGACUCAGCAGCUAGCUUGGAGUUUUUUUUUUUCUACUAGUAUAUAUAUAUAUAUAUAUAUGUGUGUGUGUGCCUUUUUUUUUCCCAUUAAUUUUUCCUUUGACAACGACCUGAACUUUAAUUUCGGGAAUUUUUUUUUUGUAUUUUAUGCAUGCGACGAUUGUUCAACUGGUCCCGCAGCCAAAGUUUACCGGUAUCGUAAUCAAACACAAAUUAAAAUUGGGAACAAAAGAUAAGUUCACCUUUAUAUUGAGAUGAUUCUUUCAACUACUCCCGGACCCAUCACUCAAGUAAGCCAAGAAAAUGCAAACGAUUAUAUACGCAUUAUCAAAUUGAUAAGGAAAAAAUAAUUUGGUCUUCCAUCAUCAAGGCAUAACUUACCAACUUAUAGAAGGCACUAAACCGGUUGGAAGGAAAGAGUGCGUUGGGGAAAAAAUGUUCGUGAAUGCCCAAUAAAAGUCUAGCCUUAUUAGUGUCGGUUUGUAUAAAAAUGAGGGAUCUUUGCUCCAAAUUAGUAUCGUUUCGACAAAAAAAAAAAAAAAAACACAUUUUUGUAUACUAUCUGAGUCUAGUUUCCAAGUACAUAGUAUUAGGUUUUGUAUACGAAGUUAAUGUGCACAAAACACUUUCGCAGAAUGUUUGUUUAGGUAAUCUCGACAGGGAUACAAGUUCUGCGUACGUUGACCAACAAACUACCAGUUAGCUCUUACUCUAUGGGGCAAAAAAGAAAAAAUCUCUUCGAAAACCACCCUAUGUUUUGUAAACCCAAUGCAAUAAGUACAAUUGUUUGUUUCAACAUUAAGAACUACUCAACAUUAUUAACACAUAAGACUUGUACAAUUAGAGGGACCAUAGUUUAUGCCAACCCUCUAUCAAAGUUUGCCUUAAUUUUGCAACCAAUGACUGAUUCCCUCCGCAGCAAGGCGGCAAAGGUUUUCUCUUUCCAGGGGGGAUGUCUAUUACGUAACGUCAUAAAACAACCAAAAAAAUACUCAGCCAAAACUAAACCAAACGAGAAAGAAACUAUUUUCUUCUUCAGUUUGGAGGGUUUGUUGUGGAGCGCCCAAUAAGCCCUCAAUAGCCUCAUUGCUUCGAAAGGUAUUCCAAUAUCUUCGCAAAUUGAUCGUCACAUUCUGCUGGUCCAAAUAAUAAACCCUCGAUUUCUGUAACCCUGUGCUUGAUAGACUCGCGGAUCUUUAAGCACGGGAUGAUCGGUCCAUACAAAUCAUAAAGUGUGCUCUCUUGAGGCUCAAUCUUGUAUUCCAAGUAAUGCAACCCCAUUCCCGUUGCCGGUCCGCCGUAGUAUGCAUUUCCAACCCAGUCGAGUUCGAGUGGAAGCACCUGAAUCAUGACUGCCCGUUAGGCAAGAAAAUUUCAUUUGUCAGCCCGGCACCAUGCACUCCAACCAUAACACUGCUGGAACCGAUGACCCGAGAAAAUUCAUCCAAAUUUGACAUCAGAUCAUUGGUAGGAAUGAACACGCGAAAGCCCAACUCCUCCAUCAUCCUCACCACGGCUUCUUGAUUCGCUAUAGUUCUUGUUCUCGUGCGAGACACUAUUAGCAAUUGUGGCUUUCUGUCCCCGGCAUCUGGGACACAUCCCUCGGCUUCAAAUUAAACGAUUUUCUAAGCAGAUCCUGAAUUCGACCAUGGAAUAAGCUCCUGGGGUGUCGCUGGUGUUGAUGGCCAAAUUGUCAUGAUACUUGAGCCCAACAAUGGCCCCUGGAAAACAAUGAAUGGUCCCCUUACUAGUUUCGGCUGCAUUAUGAACUCGAAAUGCGACAGCUUGGUUAAAACCUUCCUGAAUUUGUUGAGCACCCAAAGCUGGUAAUCCGUGAUCAUGAACUUCACCUUGGAUCUGAAAUGCCGGCUCGUGAUGAAGACGGGAAUGAUAAUGUCGUUGAAUAAUAUUCCCAGCAAAUCCGCCGAGGAGAAAACCAAGGCCGGCACCUUGUGUUGAAAUCACAAGGUGGUGGGCGGAUGUUACCGUGCUGAAUCUCGACGGGCUUGACCAUUUUCAUUGCCACUCCAUCGUUUUUAAGUGGGUACGGCUGAGCCGUGUACUUUUCCAAUUUCCUGAUCGGAGUAUAUGUAAAUCCUGGAAGCAUUCGUGUCGAACCUCACUUCUUUGCUAGAAAUAUAAAUAUCCGAGUUCAACUCGAGGUGAGCAAAUCCAGUUUCUUCGAAUCGAGUCCGUUGCUCCAAAGAAUCAAAUUCUUGACUCCAUAAUUUUGGCGAAAAUUGAUUUGAUUUCUCGAGAUGUUAAACAAAUAUAAUUGGUAUCUCUACACAUAUACAUAAUCUUGUGGAGUAAUUUUUCCGCUUUCAAGAACAACAAUUCGUAUGAUGGCACCAUACAACUCGUUAAUUCAUGAGUAGGGGGGGAGAAAAAGGAAAAAAAAAAAAAGAAAAGGGAAAGCAUCUUUCUUAUCUUACAAUCAAAGGGAGAGAGAUAUAUUAUAUUAAUGCUAAAGAUCGAAACUCAGACUGGCUAGUAGAACAUAACAAACCUGUUAAUAGCCUUCUGAGCAUAAUCUUGAGCGGGUCUUUCUUGGGUACGACAUCUUUGACGGCGACCUUUCUGAAGAUGGUUAUUCGAAUUUGUGAACUUCGCGUCGAGAUUGCUGUCUGAAUUUGAGAACUUUGCCUUCCCUACAGCGUAUUAAAGAUCAUCGAUGAACAUCCAGGAAUAUGCAUGGAAUCGCCGUCCAAAUUUUUUUCACAUAAAGGCUAAGUAAGAAAACAAAAUCUAUUAUGUUUUUCCUAGCUAGACAAAAAAGAAAAAGAACAAGAGAAAACAAUCGGAUGGUGGAUAGAAGAGCUAGAUUACAUUCAUCAAUCUGGCAAAAUAUUGCAGAGUAGGCCAAAGCGUGAAAGAUGAGCAAGGAGAUUAAGAAAGUUGGGCUGCAAACCAGUCGUUUGGAUUCCUCCACCAUCGAUCCUCUUUACUCCACCAGACUACAAUUGUUGUUGUAUUCAAGUCCCUGUCUUGACUUCAACGUAUGAGUAAGAAGCACUCAAUUCUCAUCCAGCAACCUCUUCUUCUCUUCUAAGUCUAAGACAACAUGGUUUAAACGUUCCCUCUUCUUGUUUGUUAGUAAUAUAUAUUACUUCAUGUAAUUGCUUUACCUUUCUGUCUUCUUCCUUGUCCUGCUUCUAGAAUUUGCAACUAAGGUUCAUGCAUACAAACACUGACCUAGAAAUUUUUUUGGGCAGCAGCCGCGGUUUAACCUUUGCGACCUACAAAUUUUUGCUUUUCAUUAUUUAAGAAGGUAGCUUUCAACUUUCCUAUAUAUAUAUAUACACAUACAAUUUCUUUGUCAAUUGAUCAAAAAUAUAAUAAUAUUUAGGGAAAGGCAGUAGGGCAUCUCUUACGUCAAAGAUCUGAUUUUGAGAAAUAUAAAACUCGGGCCGUUCUUUGUCAAAGACAAAGACGAUUCAAUUUUUUUUUUUUUUUCCCUUUCUUGAAGGAAGGAAAUAAAACACAAUACAAUUAAGAUCUAGACUAGGACGGCUCUAUAAAUAAUAUCCCAUAAAUGGGGAGGAGGGGAGGGAGAUUAUUACCUAAAAAUAUGAUCGCCACUCAAUACUUUAGCCGUAACACAAGGAAAUCAAUACACACAUUCUUGCGCCAGCUGUAUCUAAUCUAUAUGUUUCUGCAUCGCACAAGUAACUUUCCACAUCAUAAUCAAGCAUUUCAUACGACUUUGUCUUUUACAGAAAUCCCACUAAUUGAGUAAUUGAUUUGAAGAGUCUAAUGGUCCAGGUCCUUUUUUUCCCCUUUUCUCACUGGUCGAAUACCAGCUGCUGCUGCUGCUUAAAAACGUCCAACCCUAAAGUAUUGAUUCUUUGCUUUCCUCAGAAAAAAAAAAAAAAAAAUUUUUGUUUUUGAUUCUUUUCUUUCAAUUGAAAAACAGUAUCGAUUCUUUAAUCUCUGAUGAUAUUUGAUCAUUAGAAUCCUAGAAGAAGUUCUCAUUUUUGAUAGCCUACCAAUUCCUUCAAUAUUAAUAUGUAAGAACGAACCAUUGACUCUGUAGUCUGUACCAGUGGAAUUGGUGAUCAAAAGAUCAGGGAGGUAAUAGUUUCAGAAACACAACUCAACAAUCAGAACUUCAUAUAUACAUGAAAGUAAGUUACUGAGACUAUAAAAUUAGAUGCCUCACUGUACUUUAGUAAAACAGACGGCAUUGAAUUGAAUCUACUGAAAGCCUCUUCAUUUACAAGAUGACUAUCAAAAAGAAUCAUUAAAUAACCUACAAAAAACGAAAAAGACAGAGCACCAAAAUCUAAAGUCUUUCCAUCAAGGCAGAGGAUUUGUUGGGCGUCCAAGAAGUCUCAUUGUUUCAACAAGUGUCUUCCUGAAUCUUUCAACAUUGAUUUUGACAUCCUGCUUAUCAAUAUAUAUAGCCCCGAAAGCUUGAUAACCCUGUGCCUUCAUGGAUUCAGGGUCGGCAAUCACAGGAUGAUCCGGAGCAUACAAAUCAUAGAGCGAGCUCUCUUGAGGUUCAAUUUUGUAUUCCAGGUAUUGCAAACCCAUGUCAACCGCUGGCCCGCCAAAGCAGGCAUUUCCAGGCCAAUCAAGACCCAGAGGAACCACCUGAAUUACCACAGCUCCAUUAGGCAAGAACAGUUCAUUUGUUAGCCCGGCACCAUGAACUCCAAUAAUAACGCUGCAAUUGUUCACAAUAUGAGCAAAUUCCUCAAAAUUCAUCAUCAUAUCCAGCGUAGCAGGAACCACUCGGAAACCCAACUCCUCCAUAAGCUUUACCACCUCAACCUGAUUCAGGAUUUUUCUUGUUUUUGCACGCGACAGAAGCAGCAAUUUUGGCUUUUCCUCCUCAAUCAGCUGGGAGACUUUCUUUAUGUUGAAGUCAAAUGAUUUUACGAGGAAAUCCCUGAAUUCAAACAUGGAAUAACCCCCGGGAACGUCACUCCUGUUCAAAUACAAAUUGUCAUGAUACUUCAGCCCUAUCACUGCUCCUGGAAAGCAAUGAACGGUCCCAUUUGCAGUUUCAGCUGCAUUUAUAGCUUCAUAACGCGAUAACUGGGAGAAUAUUUUCUUGUACUUGUUGAAAAACCAAUGCUGGAAACCAGUAACCAUAAAUAUUACGUGGGAUCGAAAGUGCCUGCUCGUAAUGAACAGAGGAACAAGGACAUCGUUGAAUUCAUGGAAUAUAUUCCCGACGAAUCCACCAGAGGAGAAAACCAUGGCCGGGGCGUCAUGAUAGUGAUUGCAAGCAGGUGGAGUGGUGUUUCCAUGCUGUAUCUCAACAGGUGAAAUCAACUGGAUUGGCGCCUCAUCUCCUUUUAGUGCAUACGGCCGAACUAUGUGUAUUGCCGCUGCCUGAUUGGCAUGUAUAUAAAUUUUGGAAGAAUUGGUGUCGAACCUUACUUGUUUACUGGAAACGUAGAUAUCAGAAUGUAAUUCAGAUGGAUAAGCAAAUCCAGUGUCUUCGAAUUGGAUCCUCUGCUCUCCUGUUUGAAAUCAUCAAUUUCACUGUAUAAGAUAUCGGGCAAGAUAAUUGAAAAUGUUUGGAUUCUGUUGGGCAACGAUACAUUCUUCUUUUUGAUCUCAGAUACUAAUUGUAUCCUAAGAAAAAAGCUUUACAUUUAGGAUCUACAUAUAAGAACUAUUUUCUGUCUAUCAACUUAGAGAUGUAUUAAAAAAAACUUUAAAAGAAGAAAGGGGAGGACAAAAAAAUAUCUGUCACUCAGAAAUCACCGGAAAAGGGAGAGUUCAUGUUCAUUGAUACGAUGAAUGUGGGAAGUAGUAAAGAACCUCUUAGUAGCCUUCUGAGAAGAAAUUUCAGGGGUUCUUGCUCUGGUGCACCUUCAUCCAACUUGUUCUCAAAGCCAAGAUUACUAUUCCAAUUUGCUAAAUUUGCCUUCCCUGUAUAUCAAAAAUGCUUUUGACAGAUCAGAAUGGAUAAAUAUGAAAUGACUAGCCACAUUUUAACAUUAUGCAAAGGUAGAUUGAUAUGCCAAUCUGACGCUAUGAAGAAAAGCUAAUUAAAUUACAUUGAUCAAGCUGGAAAAAUGCACAAUAAACCAAGGGGAUAAUGAUUAGCAAGCUGAUCAGGAAACUUGAGAGGCUGCAAGCCUGCUUCUUUGACUCCUCCAUUCUUCUUCAAGUUUCAAUAGAUAUUUCUCUACGAAUUAAAAUGCACACAUUAUUGACUAGCCUGUUGUUCUCAACAUUACCAGUUGGCAUUACCUUUCUUCUUCUUCUUCUCAGUUUCCCAUCUUGCUUUGGUUCUACAAUUUUAAUUCUCAAUUAUUCUGAGGUUGGUGUAUAUAAUAUCAGGUUCCCAGCUGGACUGUAAGGGCAUGUCUGUUGAGUUGAGCAUGUUACAGGCCGGAGCUUUUGCUCUUCCAAACUUUUUACGAUUUUUAAAUUGAGCAAACUCAGAGGAAGUCAGGAGGGCAUCUUUCACCUAAGAAUUUAAAUGGUUUUUCCAUAGAGCAUCUAUCUAGACUUAGCACAGAUUACAUCGUCGAACAAGUACAUUGACACUAUUUUAUGCUCACCUCUUUCUCCCAUAUAUCUCAUUUCUGGUAUGAACAAGUCAUUGGGCUCAGGCACAGAUUGAAGGGGCAGCUAUACUCGUGGAUCAUUUGGCUUCAUCACCUACGUACUUCGACAUGACACUGCAACGACAUUAUUAGUUUAACAGAACUGCAAUAACAUGUAUUCGUUUGUUAAGUAGUAGUAAUAUUCUAUCUGGGAUUAGUUCAAUGUAGGAUUUAAAGACGCUUCGUGCAUGAACACACGGGCGUUCCUCCUCGAACGGCUUAGAGUAUGAAUUUAUUGGACAGCCUUCGUGUUUAUUCUGUAUAAUCUAUUUCUCCUUUUAAUCCAACCAUGCUGCAUGGUACAGCUGUGGGAUUCCUUGACGAGAAGCAAUUUUAUUUUUUUUUUUUCCUUAAUUGCAAAAUGUUUAGCAUUAGCGAUGAUAAUUGGGACGAGUGCUUGCAGAGUCGUGAGUGUCCACCCCAUAGGAGGAGGAAUGGGGCGGGGCGGAGUGAAUUUUUCUCACCCCUCCUCCGCCUAAAUUGUAACAUAGUAUAAUAUCUGUGUAUGUUUUUAUAUAUAAUAUAAAAUAAAUGGUAUGUUAUUGUUAUUGUAUAAAUAUAUUUAUAUGAAUUAAGUAACAUGUUUUGUUAUUAUGAUACAGUGAUAUAAUAUUUUGCUAAAACUUAAAAAAAUGAUUAAUAAAAUUAUUAUUAGAUCUAUAUAAAUAGAAAAAAUUAAUUAAAUAAUAAUAAUACUAUUGGGGUGGGCCGGAUGCACCCGUGAAGUAGUGGGCGGGGACUGGGGACUGGGGACCGUGAAACUUUUGCAGUGGGGCGGGGGGGGGGGGUGGGGAAGCUUGCUCAGUCCCAAAACCAUCCCUGCCAUCCCUGCUUAGUAUCUAUCUGUUUGGUUGGCAGAGGCCAACAAAGAAAUUGCCAGGUUGCUGAUUUUUGAUUGACAAUUAUGGAAAUAACUCUACAGCCAAAUUGGUUGUUUUGCGUCCAUUCCGCAGCCUCACCUCCAAAAGCUCUCGCUUUCCUUUCUCACACCAUACACACACACACACGCAACCCCCCUCCCCGGCACCCCCCUGCUCCUUUGGCGGGUUUGGGGAGCGGCGAGAGAGAUUGGAGAGUACGAGCCUUCGUCACGUACAAAACCUAAUAAAAGGCCAGCCCAUAUUCUCCUGGGCCACAGCCCGGAGUUUGUCCGACCCAAACUUCAAAGAAGAAUGAGUGGAUUUAUCAAAGAUUCAAGCUCUGCCACGAAAAACUUGGCCCAAAGUGUAGAGGAAAUCAUAAAAACUCUUUCAAAAACAGCCAUGUCAAACCAAGAAAUUGUAGAUAUUGGGGUGUGCUAUUUAUUUGAGGUCUUGCCAUGCCAACCCAUGAUUGGAGCUGGGUUUAGGGUACAGUGAAGUUAAAUCUCUAUAUGUGGUAGGAACAAAGGGGUAAAAAAAAAAAAAUCCGUGGAAAGCAGUAAACGUACAUUCUACAGAAAAAUCUUUAUAGGCAUGAAUUGAGAGGCAAUAUCAUGAAAAAGCGAGAUAAAGGUGUGAUGAAGCUGCUGCGUAAGCGGGCUCGUUUUCAAUCCGGAUGGACGUUUACAAGCCAGGAAGCGCAGAAUGGAAUCCGAGAUUCAAAGCAUAGAAAUGUCACUACUAUUUCCCAGGGACGACCACUUAUCCAUCAAAUAAUAAUAAAAAGUAAAGGGCUUUAUCUUUUACAAAUUCCGGAAUCUCAACUGAUACGGAUAAAUGGAGAAGAACAUUCAAAAAGAUCAAAUCUUGAAAGGGAAAUAUACAGCUCGCAGGAACAUUCUUCACAAUUUCAACAGCUCAUCGUAUUCAUGGUUUUGCCCGAGAAAGAGCCAGGAGACGUACUUCAACUUGAUGUGUCUAUUCUAAACAGUAGUAUAAUAUGUAAGCUGACCUAAGUGCCUCCAUCCUCUCGCUUCGCAGAUUCUUCUUUAGGUAAUCUUGUGAAGACAAAACCUAUAACAAAGAGAAGAAAUGUACGUGAAUAAUUCUCAAUGCAAUAUAUAUAUAUAUAUUGUGAUUUGAAGUAUAGAAAUUGGAUGAUGAUAAAAUGGAACUAAGAAAUGGUGGAUCCAAUAAAAACGACUUUUGGAUGGGAGUGUUUUUCAAAAAUUAAUUUUUUAAAUACAAUAAAAAUUUUUAAAAAGUACACUAAAAGGUAAUCUAAAAAUUAGUUAAAACUUUUUUAAAAUUUUAUAUUUCAAAAUAUAUUCUAGAAACUCUUUUACUCUUAAAUAUCCCAAAAUAUUUUCUGAAAAAUAUCUUAAAAUAUAAUCUAAAAAUUUUGCUGUAGCAAAAUUUUUUAAAAAUAUCUCAAAAACAGCUGAUCCAGACGGACCAACGCAAGUGGCAUGGCACUUUUCCCUAUGAGGAGUCGCAAUUGAAGCAUAUAGUGGCCUGCUCCGUGUCCCCGGUUCCCUUCAGAUUUGACGUCGCAAAAGGAAAAGAUAUGAUUUCACAUGGUGCAAACGGAUUUGGCUGCAUACGAAAAGGGCAAGAAACUUUUACUAAUUAAAACACAAAAAAGAAUACUCGAGUGUGAGCUAGAAAGCUUCUAACAUGAAUAAAUUUGAGAGGAAAAGCCCAACAAACAAACAAAAAAAAGAAAAAAGAUUAGUAUUGCUUUUCCAGUUGAUCCUCUCUAUAGUUGUGUUAAUACUAGAUUCUCUGCCGCAAAUUCAGAUCAUCGUUUGAUCGGAUUAAAUUACCUGUGUAAUUAAUGUCCCGUGUUUUCGCGAGUAUCCAAUGCACGACUUAUUGGUGAAGACUCGUAGUAUAAUUAUGUUCAUACCACAUACGAAGGGAUAGUUUGAUGGUUAUGCGAAAAAAAAAAGAAAGGUGAUUAAUACUGCAAAAUGUUAAUCACACUUUGCCCCCUUGGCUUUGGGGUUAGUCACACUUUACCGUCUUAAGCUUUAAAAGUAUACAUUUUGUCCCCGUAAAAACUAGUCAAAGUUAGAAAUUCUUGAUUCCAUCAAAAAGAAAAAUGUAAGUGUAAUGACAUUAUACAUUUUUUAGUUAUGAAAUUAUUAGUAUUUUACUAUUAUUGUCCCUUUAUUGCUAAAAAUAUGCAUGGUCAAUACAAUAUCCACUAUACAAAAAUAUCAAAUUGAUAAAAACAAAAUAAAUAAAUCAUUUCUUACUCAUAUUGGUCAUGUUCAUGUUUUAAAUAUUUUAUUCAGUUUAUUAUAAUUUAAAACGAAUAACAAUGGCGAUAACAAUAAAUAUUAGUUAGCAAAACUUUGGAAACAUAACGUAAUAUUUAGCUUGUUAUUUUUUAAAGAUAAACUCGGAAAAAAAGGACAAUAUUUUCAUAGAACUUACUUUUCAUUUCGUGGAAUUAAGAUUUGUAAAGUUGACUAGUCCUCUUAGGGUGUAAAGCGUACACUUUUAAGAUUUAGGGCGUUAAGCGUGAUUACUUCCAAAUCUCGGGGGAAGAGGGUAAAGUGUGAUUAACCCUAUCUCUCUGUAUCAACAAGAACAAGGUAAAAUCCCGGAAUAAGAUUUUGGACAGUUAAAACCUCGUACUGACAAGCGUAUCAAAUAUAUUAGCUUUAUCUGCCAAGUCAGCACCAUUGCAAACCGUUUUUAAGUCGUAGCCUCCAAGCAGUUGCAUCGAUACCGCAGAAUCGUAGUUGGAUUACUUGGAAAAGCGGGCAACAUCAUGAAAGUAGUCGUUCUUUACCUCCCUUGAACUUGAACAUGAUGGUUAGAAUUUCGAAUGAUAAAACCUGCACUCCAUGAAUUUAUAAGCAAAACAAGCGGAAAAGCAUGCGAUUAACAUCUAGCCUUUGCUAAUUCAAACUUUUGCCCUUGACAGCCAAAAAAGAACAAAUAAAGAGCAUGCAGCUACACAAAAGAGCUCAAGGACCUUUUCCAUUUUUUUCUGAAUUAAUGCACCUUGUAGCCUUCUUUUUAGGUAGCGGUGAUCAUGAAAAAUGAAGUACCAAUACAGCAUCAAGACGUCAUUUAUAUUAAAAUAAAAUACUUACAUUAUAUACACAUAGAUUCAACCUGUACCUGCAAACUUUAUCUAAUUCAAUAAUUUGAAAUGUACUAUUUGUUUUUUCACCAGUGUCAUGUCCAAUCUGACACAAAUUAUAUGUAGAUGAUGGAUAAGAUCCUCCAUACGUACCAGGUAAAUUAGCCACCUCUCUAAGGACGGCAAGAAUUUUGGCACUUUAAAAACUACCAACCUGGCUAGUUGGCAGAAACAAUGACAGACCUUUCCUAAGGUUUUGGAGAAACAUGAAUAGAAAAUCACAUGCACAUCCCAAAAGGCCGAGCCCAAUAAUAAAUAUCAGAGGCCACCAAACCUUACAUCAGGAACUUUGGGAGAAACAGGAGUAUGUGGGGGUGCUGCGGGUGAUCAAAAGGCUUUAUGGUAAAGCUCAUGAAUUUUCUUCCAUGAGUCUUCUCUUUGCAUCUUCAAUUGCCCAUAGAAGUUCCCAAUAAAUGUCUCAGCCUUAUGAAAUAGCUCCUGCCCACUAAGCACAUCCCCAACAGCUUCCUGUUGAUCAUCAUCAGAACUAAAAUCUUCUGCUUCAGUCUCAGCACCAGCUAUAAAAAAUAGGCUUGGUGUAGAAGGGCUUUUCUCGACAAUCUUCUGAACCUUGACACCUGCAACAAUCUUCUCAGACGACAACUUCUCGGCCACAUCAGGUUUUUUCUUGGUUGUUGUAGGCUCAGAUUCAAGAAGCAUUGCCUUGUUGGUGGUGUUGGCAGAUAUUUCUUUAUCAUUCGGAGAAUACUGAUCUGAAGGAAUUAUCAUCUUAGCUUUUUGUGUUUCAUGACUUUUAGAAGGAGGAGAUUUCUUGUCUUCUGCUGCUUUGAGAAUGAAGGAAAGAAGGCCAGCUUCAGCACCAAGCGCGACGAUGAGAAGAUUGAAAACAAAGUAGAGAUAUGGAGACCUCAAUGAUGUAGAUAAGAUAGGCGUCACGCUUAGGAGAAUAGCUAUGAAAAAAAGCUUUAGAAUUUGAGACUUCUUAAACUUGUCCAUGAUCAAUAAAAUACGUUUAGGAAUAUGGACACUAGGAUGUUGUUUGUGUUUGUGUAAUUUCUUUGAACAGGGAGUGAAUGGCAGUAGCUGCUUUAGUACGGUGGAGUGGAAAUGUGGAGGGGCCUAUUGAUUUAUAUACACAGACGCAGGGGUGAAAAUCAGAUUAAGGGGCCGGGUUGGAAGAAUGUUGGUUUGCCUUUAUCCUGAUUCCCUAUGAAAAUAAAUUAAUACUCCUUGAACAGAAUAACGUGCAAUCCAACAAAAAGAAGCAAAUAAAAUUCCAAAAAGACGAAACAAUCAGAACAUGGUGGAAAAACUUGCUUGGUUAUGGUAGGGUUACACUGGAGCCCGAAUCCUUUCUUGUCUUUUAGGGUUUAAUUAAAUCCUGGAUAUAGAGCUUUAGUGGUUGAAAUAUAAAAGAGAAUUGUUCGAACUAUAUAUAUCCUCACACAAAUCUUCCCCAAACUAAUUUAGACAAAACCGUCCACUCAUAUUUGCCUGGUGCCACCAAAAGCUGUCCUCCCCUGAAACCUGUCAAGUAAUCAUGAUGUGGUGGGAUAGAUUAAUUGAUAACCAACUAGUAUAUUCUAGAAUUUAUGUGUGUAAAUUAAUCUUUCGUACAUUACAAUGCAUAUAUAUUAUUGGGUUCAGAUGCACAUCGUACAUGAAAAAUUUGAAUUUCAAAUUUAAGCUAAAAUUAAUUAUCGGGCAUCCAAACCUAAUGGCAUCUACAUUAUUAGCAUAUGGAAAAAUUAAUCCAAAAAGUUGUUACUACUGUACAAGAAAAUCUCAGUUUAUUUGCCUGAAACUUGAAUAUAUCUUAGACUAGGCCUUGCCAACCAUACAGGGCAAGCAACUAUCCUUAGGGAUGGCAAUGAAAAUGGGCGCCUGCUCCAUAGAAGGAGGAAUGAGGUCUGAACUUUAUCAUCGUCAACUUCAAGUAAGGAGAUUUUGAUUCUGACUUACGUCAUCAAGGAGACCAAAGAACACGCGAAACAGGGAAAAGUUCAUCUGAGUCGGACUAGACAUUUUCAUACGAUAAGGUCGGUGGGAAAACGGACUGAUUAUUCUCAUUCCACACGAUCUUUCCCCUUUUUGAAUUUUUUUUUUUUCUGAUUUUAGGAGAAUACAAAGGCAAAGGCAGGCAGCUCUUCUACUCUUGUCCACUAACUUGCUUCAACCGGCCGGCGGCGUUUUUACCCAUCCAGUCGCCCUUUUUCCUGUCGUAAGAAAUCCAGAUGCGUGAUCUUUGCCCUGGUCCCAAAGUAGCUUAAGUUUUCCGAUGGAAUCUCUUAUCUCUACGACUAAAAGCCCACUCGAAGAAUUGUCAUGCUCGCAGUCGUGGUCGUGGAGUCCCCGCCACAAAAUCCGAUUAUACUUUUUCCUUUUUUUUUUUUUUUUCCAUUCUACGGCUCUGGGCCAAUUGGGCCAGCAGGCGGACAAUUUACCAAGUUGACGGUCCAGGCAUAAUCUUCACCUUUUUUACGCUUUUUUUUUUUUUUUUUCUCUUGAAUUUCAUAAUAUUAUUGUUUGGAUGAGCUUUUCAGAUUCACUUGUAGGCAUGUCCGUUCAAAUUGUUCCGGGGUUUUUGCUUGCUCCGGUUUUGUUUCUUUCCGAGGAUUUCGCUUACUCUCUAAGGCUUAGCUUAGUUGGAACUUGGAAACUGAUUUGAUAAGAUAAACGAAAGGAAAGUACAAUCUUCGAUACUCGCCUGUUCUCUUUCCCAUUAGAGAUGUAGAGAUAAAGAUGUCCGGUGAUAAACAGUAGAGACCGAAGCUUUUGGCAAGAAGACACAAUAAUGUUGUCAUCCAUUUGGAUAAACUUGUCCGAGGAUCGGCUGAGUAGCUCUAGCAAUCCCAUCUCAUCGGAUCGGACUUUUUGAAGUGAAAAAACUACCUGUCAUUUGUCUCUAUUAUGUUUUAUCUCAUCCACAUUAGUUUAUCUCUCCCUAGAGUUGCGUUAAGCAUUUUUGUUCUCUUUUUCCUUUUUUUUUUCAACUAUUUCAAAAGUCGGUUUCGAGCAUGCACCGUCCUGAGCAGUGAGUAGUACCAAGUAAAUACCCCAUGUGCCUAAGAUCCAUAAGGUUUCAAGUAGCACUAAAAAGUACAGCCCUGAUCUGCCAUGGAAAAUAAAACCAGCAUAACCUUUUUGAGGUUAUCAUCUCCGAUCCAAACUUUAGUAACAUGCAUAGCAAAAGAUACUUCACCAAAUAAGACCGUUACCUCGCUUUGUUGCAAUGUUGCACUGUCUCUGGACCAUAUCCAUCUUACUCGAACUUCUGUGGCUCAACGUUUAUUUUACGCAGCCCGCUCUUCCGCAAAUAUAUUGCAAAAUAAAAGCUUAAUACACCAAAUUGGCUUUACUUGUAAUGGUUCAAUGAACCGAAGAAUUGUGCAAUUGUAAUGACAACUAUCACCUGCGAAUCAGUUGACACCUACUUAGCUGCGAAACCAUCCCAACAAUAGAACAUAAACAGUUACAUGCAGACGAACGUUCACUUGCAGGCAUUCACUUUUGGAAGAUACAAAAAAAAAAAAAGUCACUUAAAACUGCCAGAGGACAAUAGUCACAAGAUAAAUAGAUGCUGAAAAGCUAGAUGCAAGUAUCACGGCACUUCUCUCUUUCUCCUCAAUGUCAUUACCCCAAUAUUGUUACCAGAAAUCAGAUUCAAAGGAACCUGCAAUUGGCAUAAAUUUAUAAUAUGUUUCUGCCUUGAGGAAGAAAGCAGGGUCAUCCGCUAGAGUACCAUCCUUCUCAGAAACCCAUUAAAAACAAAUUCACCAGUCAACAAAAAAUUUACAGUAACAAAGGACCUAUUUUCUUGAGCUGAAGGUUCUCCUUUUGUGUCAAAGUAAAACUGAACUAAGCUCGAUUAACAAUAAUAUAAGGACGCAAAGAAACCUUGGGAGGCCUAAAUCAAAACUCACUUUGCCAUCCAGGAACAUGCUACACGUCAAUUCUACAUCUCAUCUAAUUGAUGAGGAUGAAUUACAGGGGAUUAGCAUCGACAACAAUCUAACAACAACUAUAUAUGUCACUGAGUCAACAGUAGAACUCAUUUCUCACCAAGUUGACUAUGUGUACACAAAUACAAAUGUUGAGAAUUGCCUCCAAUUCCACUGGAUAUUCUUUAUCUAAGAUCUUAGAAAACGGAUACCAUAACACAGAAUACAAAUGACAUUAUAUAUGUUACUUGUACCGAUACACAGUUUCGAUCACCCACACCCUCUAAUGACCCCACCACGCAAAAUUUCCCAAACCGUGUCUUAAUGAGCGUAUCUUCCACCACAAAGGAUCCGAUUCCUAACUCCUAGCUCUUUCCUUUCUACUUGAGGCGACCAGUCAAGCUGCAGCCUGAACGAAUCAGAAAGUACAAAAGCCUCUUACAGCACUUGGCUCUGAAGAAUCACCAGCGCCAUUCUAAGCAGAGCUACUCAGGAGAUAGGCUACCACACAUCCAAGCAAAGCACCAGCAACAACCUGUACCACAUAAUGUCACUAUGAGAAUUUCUUUUUUUUUUUGGUUUGGGGGGGGGGGGGGGGGUGGUGUGGUGUGUGGUGGUGUGGUUUGGUGGGUCAAGCUAUCCUCAUGCUGUAGUACAUAAUAUUUUAAGAACCUAAAAAGCUGGACAGUGUGUUAAUCGCUGCAAUUAAGAAGACAGUAGUAUACCAUGGAAGUGACUCUGAAUGGUACCGCUCAUCAUGAUAUCACUGCAAGGAACAUUAGCCACAAUACCUCUAUAUGGGAAUAAUAGUGACACGCUAAAAAGAUAAAUUCAGCAGACAUCAAUGCAUGUAACCCAAAUAUAAACAUCAGGCACAAGAUGGGUAUCACAGUACUUAUUUUCUAGGUAAGUACGCUGCAACAUAAGUGGCGCAUCAUUGAGAAUUAGAUAUUAAAUAAUUAUUUAAAUUUCAUUAAGAGAAUAUUAAAACCAGCAUUAACAAGCCGAGAAGGCCUUGGUCUAAUUGCUAAGGUUGAGGCCUUAGGAAUUAGAGGUCCUAGGUUCAAAUCCCCCUGCCCCUUUCCCGCUUCUUAAAUCCCACCUCCCCUGCUGGGAACAAAUUAAAAAAGAAAAAAGAAAAGGCAGCAUUAACACCCAAAACAAACAACCGUAGUUUACAAAAAGAACCCUGAUGGAGGACAGCAUUGGGUGGAUUUAUAUGUCCAGCAACUAGUGAAAGGCACUAACUCCGUUCUCGAGCAUAUUAUUAAACAACAGUAGCAUUCCAAACACAGAGUCAAUGUUCCAGAUGAAUAAAACAGAGUUCAGAAAGUAUAUCAGUAAAGGCUGCUCACAGAUGUCCAGCCUUCAACAACCAAACCAAGACCCCAAAAGGCAAAACCCACAUUUAUUAAAAGAAAAAUAAAAUAAUUAAAAGCCAGUAACAAGCAAUCAGUCUCUGUAUAACUUAAGAAUAAGUAAAACUAGAGGAGUUUUUCUGCAGUCAAACCUGGAAAGGAGUGUGACCAAGUGAAUCUCGCAGAGGCCUAACAUUAGCGACAGGAUGUUCAGGGGGCAAUUCACAAACUAUCUGAUUCAAUAACUGCACAAACAAAGGUCAAACUAUAUAAUCAACAAAAAGCAAGAAAAACAACUUGGGUAGACUCCUGAAUACAACAUGCAUUGUAUAAGAAGCCAUAUGAAAAGUUUCUAGUAAAUAGGAUAACUCAUACACACAGUUCAAAAUGUGCAUACCCAUCCAAUGAAGAAUGUAACUAAAACACAAAAGACAGGAAAGCUCAUAAACAGUUAAUGAAGUUCAUAGGGAGAGACACUAAUAAACAGUUAGCGAAGGAUCUUUGAAUGCAAAAGGUAAAAUCUUACUUCAGCCUGCCGACCAGCAUGAAGCCUAACACCAGUAGCAUCAUACAUUACCUGAAAUAAAUGCAAAAAGAAAUAACUGAAAAUGAUUGCUCCUUGUUAAACUAUCCAAAGCUCCGAUAAAGAAAGUAGCUACUGCAGCCUCAACAAAACAAAGAACCCAACCAGAGAGCAAGAGAGAGUGAAUAUGAAAAAGGAAAAAAGGGAGCUAUUUGCCAGAGAUAUCAGGACCCUAAGUUAGUUGGUUAAAUGGAAUGGUGUAUGUUUCUAAAUAUGCUAUCAAGUAGAUUCAAUUGAUCCGCCAUCUGACAUAUAAAACCAUCUCAGUUUCCCACUACAAAACCUUAUUCCGUCUAGAAUAAACACAUUAUGGUUGAUGUUGAAGGGGUUUGGUUGCCCACUGACCUUCCUACUUUAAAUAUUACUAAAGCAUUUUUGAAGCUAUGUAAUACAAAUGUAAAAGAAUGGAGAAAACCUGGUUUAGAAAGUACAUACAACACAUGCCAAAACGACCGCAAUGGCAAAAGCAGAUGUUCCCGCUCCAUCUUGCAAACCUAUUGCUACAGCAAGAGCAGUAACAGUUGCUGAAUGUGAUGACGGCAUUCCACCAGAACUAAGCAUCCUUCUCGAAUCCCAUUUCCUCUCCUUGAACCUGGAAAUCAAAUGCUUCAAAGUUACAAGCACAAAAUGAAAGUGACAAAAAAAAAAAAGGCAAGCUCCAAAAAAGGCACUAACAUGGAAAGCAAAGAACUUUUAACUAAUUUCCGUCUUUACCACCGACAGUCUAACAUUAACACCCCAUCGUCCCAACUGAAAUCAUAGCGUCACUCAUUAGUAGUUCCAUUUAUCACCACAUCACUCCAGGGUUCAUUAAAUAAGCAGACACAUUUAAUGACAAAAUUCAUUAUGUCCUUUGUUCCUCCUGAAGGAAGUCAUCAAAGACUCUGCACAGACUUAAGCUUCUCAAAUCACUAAACAAAGGCAACUGAUCUCGGUUCAACUCAAGCUCAAUAUAAUUAGGUAUAAAAUUAACAAUUUACCCUUCAAAAAGUUUUCACAGGGAAAGUGGAAAGUACAGCACCAGCCCUUAAAUAGAAAUACUUUGGGUCAACACGCCACAUAACACCAAUAAACUUGACAAAGCUAAAGAUAUUUCCCUAUUUCAACCGAAGCAACCCUUUAGUCAUUCCAAUUUUAACAGAAAAUCAAGUACACUUCAACAACUACAGUUUCCUAAAACAGCAUGAAUUAACCAAGCUAAAAUUUCAGAGUUAAAGAUAGACAAUCAGAGUAAAGUUAAAAACCUUUUCUCUGUUAUCAUAUGAGACCAGUUAAAUCAACAGCCAAAAAGAAAAAAAAAACAAAUCAAGAAUAUCAGAAUGCAAUACCAAUGGGUAAAGAUCUUGAGAAAUUGGGCAACAAGACAAGCGAGGAAAGCGGAGACAAGGGGGAGAUUGGAGGGAUAAAUGGAGUGUGGAGAUGAGUAUGGGCGUAAGCUGGAGGAUGCAUCAGCUGCCGUCAUUACUUCGUUCAUUUCACCUUUUGGAUCAUAAAAAUGUGGAAGUUGCAGGUUGACUUAGGGCUUAUAAUCUAGAGAAAACUACUCCGUUGAACGUGGAUUCGGAUCCCGGAGGUGGAGACGUGGAGUUUUUUGGGUCUCGCUUUCCAAUUGGAGGAAUUCGGUCAGGGGCGUCGCGGGGAGGGUGGUGGUGAGGACUCACGCGCGGCACCUGCCCGGGCUAAGUAAAUUGUUGGUUCCAACUUCCAGCUUGCGAGGAAGGUGGGAAGAAACCGGAAGCUGGAAUCUUCACCGUCUAGUAUAGAACUACUAUUACAGUAGUAGCAUCCUAAUUUUUUUUAUUAUUAUUAUUAUAAUUUUUGGGUCCUUGUUCAAUUUGUUUGAUUUAUUUGGAUUAAGUUAAAAUAAAUAAAUGGGUUCUUUUAGCCGGGCUGGGCUUUUGAGUCCCCAAUCCUGGACCAAUUCCAGUUGUCGUGGGCUAGUAUUUAAAUUGAGAAAUGAACCCCAUGUGGCCCAAAAGUUUGGCUAACGUUUCUUCUUCUCCCACCCAAGCCAUGAUCCAGUAGCUUACCAUGUUUAUAGGAUAUUCAAAUUGUUAAUUGUUAGCUUUAGGAAUUUGAACCAGUACAUGUAGCAGCAUUUGCUAACGAGGAGCGCAAGCUCAUUUGUCAAAUAUACGAGAAUGACCGGAGCCUUGUCCCCUGGUCUCACUUUGUUGAAGUUAGUUAUAGGUCGGAAGUUAAAAGGUACGAGCAAUUGAGUGGUUGGUAAUCCGUAACUAGCGUUUAGCUGGUGAUGAGUAUUUAUAAGGGAAAAUCCAAUGGACAGAAUUUGACACCAACGUUUGGUUAAUUAUCAUAUGAUAGGCUAUGGAGGCGGAGUCAAACAUAACUUUAAUCGCUAGGACGGUGGGUGAUUAUAUCAACAUAUCAAUCACUAGUCACCUUUACCUAUCAGGGUAUUAGAAUUCAUAACAGUGUUCGAGGUAAGAGUGAGGCUGAGCCAAUUUCUAGAGAUGAUUCUUUACCUCGGAACGGUGAGGACGAGAUACUUGGAGAAACUAAAGGCCGGGGUAAUCACCCCGGUAUAGAACUUCCCAGGUGGUGUCCACAGUAGUCGAAUGCAGAAGUGAAUGGAUGGUUCAUCAAAGAGCUGCCCUCGUUCUUAUUUUUUGGUUUUUGUUUCAGUUCAACAAAGUUCUUGGUAAUUAGCUUAGCAAGAUUAUUGGUAAGGGGAUUAUGGAUCUCUACGCCUACGCCACCGACAGAGCGGAACUUAACCCCCCCCCCCCAACAAAAAAAAGAAAAAGAAAAAGUUAAGUCAAAAAGCCGUACGAUAGAAAGUGGAGGUCUUUUAAAAUUGUGACGCAUGGCAAGACUAAAUUGCUGUGUACAGUAAAAUGGGCCAAAGCUGAAAGAAAAACAGAGACCCAUCCAUUUGGCGUGGUUUCCCGGUGGCAGCAUGAUUGUCAGCGAACGUGAUGUGGAGGUCCCCCCGUACGGUACCAAAGCUGUUGGAGAAAGUCUGUUCACUCCUCAUUACCCUGUGGAACGUUGAGUAGAACGACUGCCUGCGAAAUUUCCCCUUCUUGUCGUGUUGCCUCGCUCAGACUGACAUGAUGCUUUUUCAACUGCAUCGGAUAACUAUUGUCAUGUUCGUGAAAGAUUUUUUUGUCAUUCCAAAUUUUGGGUACUUACUACUGGUACAACAUCUCUAUUUGAUGCAGCCAACUUAUACUACACCUAAUUUUCUUAGUACUUUGGGGGAAAAAAAAUCCAAUUUUGUUUCUCCUUACCUCGACUUUUCUUAGUUCGGUGAUUUUAGUUGGCAUUGGAUUGAAAUAUUCUGAUUGAUCUGAGCAUUUGGAAGUCCAUUUUUUUAAAUGGUAAUUGUAGCAGUUCUUAGCUCUCACUAAAAUGUAUGAACGUGAUAGCCAAAGAUAAGGCCUAAAUGCUAGACUCCAUGUUUUGAUCAUGUAAUAUGCCUAGCUAGUUUUGAUGGUCGUGGUUAAUAGCGCUUCAGUAGUCAUUCUUGAGUUCGGCUUUGUUUGGAGAGCAUUAACUUCUUAUAAAAAAAUUAUUGUAACGAUUUGAUAUAUGUGAAAUGAAAAUAUAAUUAAAAAAUAUGUUCACAAAAAAAGUAAUAAUUUUUCUUUGAAAAUCUACAAUUCAAACACACACCAUUUUAAAUAGGUCUUUAAGAAAAUCUACAGCAAACUAGUACUAAAAUUCUUGAACUACAAAUCAGACCAUUCAAAAUGAAGCGGAUAAUUUUUUGUCCUAAACAUUCUUCCAUCUCGUUUUUUAUAGUUUAUACUCGAGAAAAGUGGGCUAGGGAGUCAACUCUUUUAUCUCCUAUGGUCUUAACUGAUAAUUGUGCUCAUGCAUUCCAAAAUCAAGGGGGGGCGGCUAAUCACAUAUUUUAAUGGAGCCAAUUUUGAAAGAUCAACUAAUCAAUAAAAUGAAGGAAACACGAUGAUGCCAUCAUUUGAGUCCACGUUGGCCCAAUAGUCGAGGUUAAGUUAGCUUGGAGCAGUAGUAGCACAGUACUACAAUAGAAUAAUCUAAAAUUCUAAAGGAAGAUACGAAUCUCUCGAUGCUUUCCACGAGUUUUUUUGUCGAUUAUGGGCCUGUUUGGAACCUGAGUUUUUAAGGAGUUUGUCUAUAAAACUUUACUGUAGAAGGUUUUGUAAGGUGAAAAAUUUUUUUGUAGAAGUUUUUGUAAGAUGAAAAACUUUUUUUUCUUUCUUUUUCUCUUUCUUUUUCUUUUUCUUUCUUUCCUUUUUCUUUUCUUUCCUCUCUUCUUCUUCUUCUUCUUCUUCCUUACCUCUUCCCCUUCCCCGUUACCUCCCAGCAACAACUCCCUUUCCCCCUUCCCCCGCCCACUGCCCACCCCCGCCACCCCUCAGCCCUCCCUUUCCCCGCCCACUGCCCUUCCCCGUCACUCCUCAGCCCUCCCUUUUCCCCGCCCCCUGCCCAUUGCCCUCCCCCGUCACCCCUCUGCCCUCCCUUUCCCUCUUCCCCCGCCCACUGCCCACCCCCGCCACCUCUCUGCCCUCCCUUUGCCCACCCCCCGCCCACUGCCCUUCCCCGUCACCCCUCUACCCUCCAUUUCCCCCUUCCCCGGCCCACUGCCCUCCCCCGCCACCCCUCUGCCCUCCCUUUCCCCCGCCAUCCCUCUACCAUCCCUUUCCCCUUCUCCUCCCCUCCGCCCUUCCCCUGCAGCCCAACCGCACCAGACGCUCUAGCAGCCCAGGCUCAGCCUUUCCUUUGCUCCACAACGCACCAGACGCAGGCCAGGCUCGCGACCCAGAUUAUUUGCACGCGCGGAAUGGGGGACGAAACGGCGGUGGUAGUCGGCACCGACAGUGGUGGUGGAUUGGGAUGGGGGAGGAAGAAGGAAAAAAGGGAAGGGAAUUUUUUAUGGUGUGUUUUGGGUAUGUUGAAGUGUGUAGGUAAAAAAUUUUGAGAAGUUUUUUGGGAUUCCUGUAGCAAAAGUUGUUAAAAAACUAGUAGGUAAAAAACUUGCCCAAAAAACUGGCUUCCAAACAGGCCCAAGCGUCUAGAAAUCCAUAAUACGGGACAGCAAGUCGUUGUCCAAUGAGACUAUUCCAUUUAUUCUAAAAUUUUGCUGUAACAACCCUCCGAAAAAACAAUUUGCUGUAACACGUUUUUCUUCUUCUUUUUUUUUUGUAUAAAGAAAUAGUCCAAUUAACUGCGGCAUUGAGCAGAAGAGCGUGUUCACCUGCACAGCUGCUAAAUAGUACUUUUAAUGAAAAAUUUGUCAAAUUGGUCCUUCAUAUUUUUAGAAAAAACUUUUUUAAUACCUCAUAUUUAAAAUCGGCCUCAAUAAUCCUUUAGAUAUAAAAAAAGUCUGCCUAAUUGGUCCCAAAAUUCAUUUUAACUCACUUUUUCAACCAAAAAGUACACAUCUUUCUUGCGUGUCCAUAAUUUUAAGGGUAAAAAUGAAGAAAAAAACACUUCGUUUCCUUUUUUUAUUUAAAAAAAAAAGAAAAUGUAAACCAGUGAACCCCUUUUCCCCCUCCCCCCUAUUUUAGCUACUAAAAUCCUAGUUGUAAGCCAUCAAACACCCAAUCAAAGAAGAAAAUUUUAGUGUGGUCACCUACAAGUAGUAAAAGAAGAGCAAAAAAGUACAUUUAAGAAACUCACUCAUUGAAGAGUACACUGGAAACAAAUAAUGAUUGAUGUCAUUGUGAUAAAAAAAACCCAUGAUUGUGAGUUUUGGAAAACUGCAAAUCCGAUAGAGAGAUUCUAUGGUUGCUGAAACUAUGGAAUAAGUCCGAGCAUAUUUUAUUUUGGUUGUUUUAGAAAAAAUUGGUUCUUAAUAUAGAGUGAAAAUAGGUUCUUAAUAUGUGUUGUUAUUGCAUUUUAGGUAAAUCGUACUCGUCACUAUUUCAAGUGGUAUAAUCAUCUGAUGUGCAAUAAAUCAAUGUCAAUAAUACCUACCUUGUUAAAGGCCAUCAAUCGGUUGGAAGCUGAGCAUGAAAGAAGGAUUUAAAAAAAAAAUUACUUUGGGCUACUUUACUUACUUUUUGAAUGUGCAUUUUGUUGAUUGUGUUGAAUAAGAAUUUAAUUACAGUCAAAAGAAGAAACAAAACAUAUGGUGUAAAAGCAAUAUGAUCUUUGUACCUUGAUUGUUGGCACCAUCGUCAACAUGAUAUUGAAAAAUGAAAAAAAUUAAAACCUCCCUUGUUCAAUCGAGGUUUGUAUUUAGGAUUUUGGUGGCUAACAUAUUUUUUAAGAGGAAAUGAAAUGUGUUUUUAUUUUUGUCCUUGAAUUUAUGGGUAAGUGAGAGAAGCGCGCACUUCUUGGUUAGAGAAGUGAGCGAAAACGACUUUUAGGACCAAUUUAGCAGACUUUUUAUAUUUGAGAGACUAUUGUGGUUAAUUUUAAAUAUGAAGGGCUAAAAAAGUUUUUUUUUUGAAAAUAUAUUAAAGAAAUCGUCCAAUUAACUGCGGCAUUGAGCAGAAGAGCGUGUUCGUCUGCACAGCUGCAAAAUAGUACUUUGAAAUGUAAAACGAUCGUUGACGGUGGGACCCACAAGCUGGGAAGAUGGAAUGCCUACUUUUAUUACACGACGGGCAACGCUCGCCAUACAAUCAGGCCAGUCGAGUCCACGGCGGAAGAUACUUCGGAGAUCCUUUUCCAAGCCAAGAAAUUUCCGUGUGCACGUAUUUUUUUGUAUUUUUCCCCCAAUCCAUCAUGAAGCCGUGAAUUCAUUUUCUUUUGUUUCUCAGAAAAAAAGUUAAUGAGUUCGUGUAGGCUAUUGCUUAUAGUACGUGCCUCACCUUUUUUCCGUUUCCCUUGCGGUGGUGCGUGUUUCUCACGUAAUCACUAAUCAGCUCUCAAAAUACGAAUUAUGAACGCCGUUAUCUUGGUACAGAUGCCCGUACAGUUAACUCCAGUGGACCGCUCUCCUCCCGUCCCUAUCCGUCUUCUCUCCGUGGAAAUGCAAAAGGGGAGGCCCAUCCCCACCAUGGAAGCUCUGUUUUGAAACUCGGACCAGAUCGGUCGAUCGAACCGGAAACCGGUCAAGUAUCCGGUCCGAGUCAGGGUAGAAAAUCGAAAAUUUAAAAUCCGGUCAAAGUCGAUCAAAAAUCGAAUUUGACCGGGAAAAAACCGAUUUUUUCGGUUCAAUAGUUUCAUGUGGCCGAGACUAGUUAGUCAGCACCUCGAUAAUCUAUAAAGGUGAGCGUUUAAGGUGGGACCUACGUGUCCUCGUCUCGCAGGCACCAGCUAAUUGUUAGACAAACCUGUUGUCACUUGUCAUCAGCUCAGUUUUUCUCAAUUGGCGCUAACACUAACACUGUUCGGUAGGAAUAGCAACGGGCGUGGGGUGGCGUAGCUUUUUUUUUAAAAAAAAAACUCAAUUUUUUCAAUAUUAUGUUUUGGCCCCCUAAAUUAUUAAAACUUAUUAAUAUAUCUCAAAUAUUUCAUACUUUAUAAAUAUUGUCCUAAAAUUUGAUGUUAUUUUUCAAUUAAACUCAUAAUUUUAAUUCUUAACUUUUUAAUAUUUAUUAAAUAACAUAAAUUGCUACUUGAUUGUUCUAAUUUUUUUUAUUUUCUUGUUAAAUAUAUUUGAAACAUCAAAUAUAUAUGAAUAUACAUUUAUUAAUAUUAAUAUAUUAUUAGAUAUUUUAUAUAUAAUAUUUAAAUUUUUAAAUAAUUUUUAUUUAUGACGUCAUCCGGUUCGACCCCUAUCAAUUCCCGGUCGAACCCAUUGACCCCUGACCCCUGAUCUCGGCCGAGUCGAUAUCCGGUCUGGUUCUGAAAACAAGGUUGCGUUCCAAUCCUAUUGCUGGCGUCGCGAUGAUAGGCCAACAAUUGAGCGUCAACAUAAAUGAUAUUGUUGCAAAAGAUAAAACUCCAUCCCAUCGCAAUUAUUGAUACGGUGAAAUGCUUAUCCUACUUAAAUAAAAGUUGGACGCUCGGACACGUCUUAGGUAGGACCCGUAGAAUUAAGCCGACUCAAAUUUCAGACAAAAGCGUUGAAAUAGACUCGUUUUAGCUCGUCACUCCAUCGGUACAUCUAUUCGGUUAUUACGUAUAAAACUCAAUUAGUUGAUCCUAUAAUCUAUCUAAGCUUAAUGAUGAAAACCUGACCCCAGCGACGAAUGAAUUAAACUUCAAUGGGAGCUUAUCCAACUAGCCUAUUUAAUUCGUGCCUAUUCAUAGUCAAAUGGAUAUUUGGUGUAGUGAGUAAGAUUGAAUUAGCAGUUUUGAAUUCAAAAAUUUUUUUCCUGCACUUUGCAAAUCUAUUUAUUCCCUAUUGGAAAAAAAAAUUUGUAAUAAAAAGGCUAUUCAUCGUUAAAUUUCUACGUUUAGUACUAAAUUUAAUUUUAAUCCAGGAUUGAACUUGAGCUCAAGUUCAAACUCGAGAUUUACGCUGGGAGCUCUUCUCUUUUUUAUUUUUCUUUUUAGAGCUCUCCACGGAGUCCGAGCAAGGUUAAAAGUCAAGUUCAGCUCAAUUAUGUUAAAAGUAAAUCUUUCCUACACUGACGACGCAUACACUAUCAGCGUUGGAUUCAUGACACUACAUAAAUACUUGGCUUUUUUUUUUUGGGAUUGUAUUCAACUCAAAUCCACAUCCGUUUACAAAAAGCGGUUCACGAAAGGAGGCUAAUUUUCUCCCUGAGCGGUCCCAUUUGGAAUGCGACUUUUCCACCAAAAAUUUGUACAAUAUUCUCGUAACAUAUUUUUUAACCACGUUUUAUAUGAAAUUUUUUUAAAAAAUACCUUUUUAUGUAAAAAAAUUUAUAAAAUUUUAUUGACAUAUUUUUAACUAUCAUUUUAUCUCAUAUAUAUUUAAAAAAACUUUUAAAAUAUUAUCUUAACAUAUUUUUAAAUUAAUUUUUUACUUCACAAACAUCAUGUCGUUAUCGUAAGUCAAUUUGCGUCUCAAAAGCUCCGAUCAAACACUGGCUCAUUAUUUUGGAAAUCACUACUCACUUCUUGCCUCUUGCCUCAGCCUCAAAUUGGACAAAUGGAGAGUAUCAAGGGUUCAGCGUUCUUUUUAAGUUAUAUAUACUAUAUAUAUAUAUAUAUAGCCAAUCAGGCAGUGCGUGCGGCUCCCCUUUACUAAAAGACUUCAAAUCACAGGAGUGAUCAUUUUGAAAACGCACUCCAAUUCCUUCAUAAAUUCACAUUUUCUUUUUGUACGUAAACAAUUUGUACCAUCAAUCAAAACGUUAGAAUUUGAGUCUUACCGUCUGGCUGUGGGAUAACCCCGUUAAGCCCCAGGUCGUGUAGUCGAUUCUGGCUCUCUUACUGUCUCGUGUAUUCUUAGGGGCGGGGUGCACGGCUGAGACACUCGCUGUGUUGACAAAAAAAAAAAAAAAUCAACGUUAGAAUUUGAGUGGUUUGUGAAAUUACAGUGAAGGCGUGAAAAUUUAACGGAUCUGGGGUCUCUACUGUCGAAUAUUUGUGUCUGGUUCUGUACAACACUUGGUGUUAAAUGGUUGAAUUUUGGUGUAAACAUGAAUUUCGUAUCCGAACCGCCGGAUUCGGGUACAAUAAUUAGACCGAAUCAAUCAACCGGAGGGACCCGGGUUCCAAAUUUAGCAGCAGCAGCAUUGAUUUUUGCUCCCUGCUUUUGUAUUGGCAUUGUUGAGUCAGCUCAGCUGAGGAACCAACUCAACUCCCGUGUAAGAGUUCCAAAUUUACGGAGGAAGAAAACAGGAGUCCGUCCAUUCGCCUUGACCAGAUUGGAAAUGUAUGCACAUCCAGGAAAAUGAAUGCAUGGCCAAAAUGUUCAACUAAAAUCGACUCCAGCUUGAACAACUACUACACGGACCUAACACCAUUAACUUCAGUCGAUAAGAUAUCUUUAUAAAAUUACCCAAUUUGCAUCUGAAACCGGGUGCUGCAAACCAUGGUUAAUCCUCAGCCACUGUGGCCUGAUGACUCGGAAAUUGGAACUUAGAGAAAUGGGCCUUCCUGUUUUUGAAGGGGGAUUGUAUGUGGUCCUUAUCUUGCAUUAAUGGCUGCUGAGAUUUUUUUGCGUCUUGGGUGAAUGGAUCUGUUAUUAUUUUUAUUUUUAUUUAUUUUUUAUUUUUAGCACGUACAGAUACUGCUACUGGCCACUGGGGGUUAGAACGUAUUUAUGUGUUGAUUUCUUUAUAUUUCUCCGAGGAAUCAUCAAACUGUAGCUAUGUCAACAUUUUCUAUUAAAAUAAUUUUGUUGGGAUGGUCAGCUUUCCUCUUCCAUAACUUCUGGUAGUUAUUGAUUCGCAUUUUGGAUUGCGAGCAGCUAAUGUUUGGAUUCUUGGGGUGAUCAACACAUGUAUUAUGGGCUCGUUAUUAAUGCAUGGAACUAUAGAUUACUUUUUUGGAAUUGGAUAUACUACUAUUUUGCUGACAAUUUGCCCACGAUACUGUGGAGCUUUGGUAUUUGAUUUUCGAGGUUGAUUUGGUAAAACUAGAAGGAUAAAAUUUGUCUGUAUAUACUGACUGUUAUUUUGUUGCAGAAGAACUGUGAGGAUUCUACCCUUUAGAAAUACAGAGAUUGUCUGGUGGAAUCGAAGUAGAUAACAGUGAUAAUAAAUGAAUCCAAAAAAAAAAAAUUGAAUGUUAUAUUUGUUUAUAAUGCUGAUAUUUCAGUUUUGAGGUUCGUCAAAGUGAAAAAAGAAUUUUAUGCCCGAAGAAGCUGUUGUUUGCCAUCUGAAAUCAAUUGGGUUGCUUGGUGAAUACUAUCCUAUGUCAAGGAGAAAGGCCGUAAAUUUUCUGUAUGCAUCUCAAGUCAUAUCAGGGAUAUGUGGAGUUGUACGAGUGCAGCAGAGUGCAAGGUUCCCACGUUGUAGAGAAUCAAUCUUGCUGUGCUGAAAAAUUUUUGGAAGGCGCAUGCAUUUUGAAAUCCAGUAAUUCUUCCGGGACCAAAAACGAUUGAAUAUCAAUAUCUCGAGCUGAAGGGAAAAUAUUGCAUUACAGAAUAUGGGUUCUGCGAUGGUAAUGAUGCCCUUGUACCAGCAUGAGACGCCCAAAAUAAUCAUGGAGAUGAAGGGCAGUGGAAAUGGCAUGAAGACAACUAUGGCCAAUACGGUUUGGUUGAGAUUGCAAAAGCUUUGGCCAGGCCAGCUUCUACAUGACAAAACAUUUCAGUAUGCAGGUGUGGCAAAGAGACAUGUCCCUUGAUGCAGCUCAUCAGGUCAUCCAAGAACAUUUGGUUUCUGAUAUGAUUAUGCUACGAGUAGAUGAACAAGAGAAGCAGCCAAAUGCAGCUGACAAAACACGUGGGAGUCCCAAAGGUGCUUCAUCACGACCUAAGGAUUAUGCAACUGCUGGGCACGGAGACAAACCCAUGAAAGGCGGCUUGUUCAGGAGGUGAAAGGGAUUCUUAAAAGGAAAGUUGCAGGGAAAUCAGGUCCAGCCCUCCUUAGCAUUGCUUUCUAAUUUUGCUCAGGACGUGAUGACAGCUCUCUACGAGGCAUUCCUCGAUGAUGUUGAAACUGAGUUUGCAAAGGAGGUUGGCAAAAAGAAAAGCUAUUUUACUGCAGCAGUCGGUGCGGAUGAGGGCUGGCAGUUGAUUUUGCUUCGAACAAUUGAGCAAUUUUGCAAGAAGUCAAUCAAACUCAACUGAAGUGAAGGAAGCGGCUCCGGUUCUAAAAGGAAAAGCCUCGUGUGAUUUUGGAGGAAGAGUUUAUAGUACAGUGGUUUUAGGAAGGUCGGGCAGGGAAACAAACAUUCCCCAAUUUGCAAGAACUCCAAACGCUUCAUUGAUUGGCUUCAAAGCGCUGAGUAAAAAAUCGAGGGUUGUUGAUUCCACUAGAACCUUUUUCAUUUUUUUGGGGCCGCGGCCGGAGGGGAGAGCGUGGGGGAAGGAUGGCUUUGGAGUUGGAUUGGACUCCCUUCAGUGACUUCACCCUUUGAGUCCCAAUCAAAAUGCGGACUCGUGUAACUACUUAAUUUUCAGGAACGAGUGAUGAAUGUUAAUAUGCGAAUUUCGUAAUUUCUGUACCUAUAGCCUAUAGGCUUUUCUAUUUUGUUUUCUCUAUUAUUUUUUUGCUAGCUAUAUAAAAUAAAAUACACAUUUAUACCCUCCUCAUGUAAGGAGAAAGGAACCAAUGCAGUAGGAGUUUCGUGCGAUUCGUCGAUUAUUACCUUAUUUGGUAUACAAUUAUAUUAUAUUAUCGUGUUUGGAGUAAAAAUAAUGUAUAUGAAUAAAAUAUUUGACAUACAUUUAAUAUAACAUUAUAAUGUAUUUGUAUAUCAAAUAAUUAAGGGAUAAUUUCACAAACCUCCUUUGAGGUUUCUCACAAUUACAAAAAGCUCCCCUCAGGUUUUAAAAAUUAUAUAUACCUUCCUUACUUUUACUGUUUAGUAACAAUGUAGGUCCAAAAAUUUAAAUUUUCUUUCAAAAAUCCUAAAUUGCCCUUGUAUACAAAACUAAGAAAGAAAAAUAUAAUAUAUUCAAUUAUUUUCUUUCACACUUUGCAUAAAUCAACAAGCCAAAUUCUUAAGAACCAUUCAAACAUAAGUUCUAAAAUCAAGUAACCAUUCAAAAGAUCCCAAAUUGCAUACACAGUAUCAAUACUUGCUAUGAUAAAAAAAAACACACACACACACAAAACCCCAUUGAAAACCAAUUUUAUACCCCCAAAUUAAAUAUCAAUACUCAAAUAUAAGCUAAUUUGACCUAGAACCACCAUCACAACUCUCCUAUGGCCUAAAAAAUAUUAAUAUCUCAAAAGUGGAGAAUAAAUUCUACCUCCACAAUAAUCAUAAUAAAAAAUUUCUAAUCCAAUGAAAAAAGCAUUACGUAAUUAUUGACAUUUUAUAAAGUUUUUUCUUAACAACAAACAAAAUAUUGACAAAUUCCACAUCUUUAGUUAUUUUUCCUAUUUCAAUCAUCAAUUUCAUUAUUUAUUUCUCUAUCACUGCGAGUCUCUUCAUUUUCUUCUAAUUUGACACAUAAUCUGUUCCCUUUAUAGAUUUUGUAAUUUCAAUUUGUUAAUAUACACAAAAUUGAAUAUAAUAAAAAGAGGUUAUAUUAGCUAGAAAAAAGACAAGAGACGGCAAAAUAGAUUUGUUUUUUUAGAUUUUGUAAAUUUAUUGCCUUAAAUUUAAAAUUGUCUACUAAGUGGAGGGUAUUAUAGAUAUUUUACUAUAUCAAGGGAGGUAAGUGUAAUUUCUCAAACCUAAGAGGAGCCGAGUAAAAUUAUCAGAAACCUCAAGGGAGGUUUCUGAAAUUAUUCCAAUAUUUAAAGGCGUAAUAAAAUGAUCGGACAGAGCCCUGCAAAGUGCAAACGUAGCCCCACCGAGUCCUUGUCCUAAUGCAAGGCACUACUAAUCUCAAAGGACAAGCACGAGACGAGACGGCUGUGGUCACUAAGACAGGUGCUGUGAAUUACUAAAAGCCAACCAAGAGAACUAAACCAACAAAAUGAAGAAACACCAAUCAUUGAAAAAGAAAACAAGAAAAUGGAAAGAUUCUGAUCUGAUUAGUGAUUACAAAUUAGUAGCAGUACAGGUACAAAAUAUAAAUUCGGGUCCGGGUUUCGUUCGGAGCGAUAGAGUUGCACCGAACACGCAACUGACGAGCGUCUAACUAAUUUUCACUAACUUACAAAGAAGAUGGACGCCAGAACCGUUCACGAAACCGUCACUCUAUUGUAUUUGUAUAGUGUAUACUUUUAAAAAAAAAAAAAAAAAAAAUUGGAAAACUUAUUUCCUUAACAUCCGCAAAUUUGACAAACAUCUCUGUUUCCCAGAAAAUUUGACAGCAAACUGAGCUACAUUUCGCCAUCGCAACUUUUAUGAGUUUUAUAUUUUAUUAGCACUACCUACCUGUGUGAUUUUAAUAUAUAUAUACAUUUCCGCCAUUAACUACAUAGGAGCGAGCAAUUGAUGAUCAUAUUUAAAUUGGAAUUAUAUCGCUAUCUCUGAGCAAGGUAAUGAUGUUAUGUUAAUCAUUUCUUCCUUUAUUUCGCAUCUUAUAUGCUCUCUCCUAUUAUUUUCCAUGAAUUGUGUGAAUUCAGUAUUGCACUUGUGAAGAAUUCUUAUUUCUUUUUCUUUUUUUUUUGGUUUUGAAUUCGGGUGUUUUUUUCUUUUCCUUAAAUUCGUAAUUACGAGCUGAAUUUAUGAUUUAGUGACAUGCAUGUUUGGUUAAUGAAUUUUGUAGGAAAAAAAAUGAAAUUUUAAGAUACCUGUUGUUGCAUGUUUGAUUUUAAUUUUUCUCCUUCUCCUGUUUUAUUCAUUUCUUGUUUAACGGAAAAUCGGAUAGAGUAAUUAUUUGUGAAUUUUAUAUAAAGUGAAAGCUGUAAUCUUUGAUUAUGAUUGAAGUUGGAAAACGAUGAACACAUGCAACAAGAAGGGGUGAAAGUUUUUAAAACUUGGCGGUUGUUCCCAGGUGGUCCCCAUCUCACCUCUGAGCCCACGGAAGGGAAGGUACUCCAGGAGAAACAAGAACUUCUAAUGAUUGAAAACCUAAGCUUGGUUUUGGACAGUACCGUGGAAUUCAGCUCAAUUAUUAUGGCUUUUUCUUGGGGUGUUAGGUGGGGUGAAAAGAAGGAAUGGUUAAGGUGUUAGGAUCAAGUAAUUCUUCGUGUUGCACUCACGCAUUACUAUUAUGAUGCUUGUGUCGGUUUGCAUGUCAGCUAUGAUCUUUGUUGUUGGAGUGCGUUGCUGAUUCCCAAGUGCAAAAAUCCCAGCUUUAAUUGUUUCAGUUAAGCUCGUUUUUAAAGAACAAUUCUCCACCCCAAAUAAUUCUCCUUAUUCUCUAAAACUUUCGACUGAUUAUACAAGUAUUCAUGCACUGACUGGGAAAUAUUCACUGACAUUUCCAUACCUGGAGAACUUUUAGGCCCCUACUCAACACAUACUUUAGGAAGAGACGCCUGCUAAGUUUUUCUAGGGAAUGGUUCUUGAUGGUUUAUGCCAAGUUGGUUUAAAUUAGGUAGAUGAACAGUGACAGGGCUUGAGAAGGAGAACCUUCUGCUGGCUUGUCAGUCUUGCCACAGGUAAAUUUUAGAGCAGAGCCACCAUCUUUGGGUUAUUGUAAUUCGCAUGCAAUCUGGUUAAUUGGGGUUUUAAGAAACUGAUACACCAACAGAUAUUUUGAUUGGUAUACAGGUAAAUGUUGAGAUCACAUAUUUGUCUAUUGCAGCAAGAAAUUAAGAAUUUGUUUUACCCCUCAUUUACCCAGUGAUUAAGAUGAUUUUCCCCCCUAUUGGCAGGCAUGGAGGUGGGUUCUCCUGAAAAUGGAUUUGAUGAAAUAAGCGACCUUUUCAAACACGAUGAAUCCACUUUAUCUGAAGAUUUAGGCCUAAGCUUUCUAAUGAAUAAGGAUGUAGCUGCAGAUUAUGCGUUUGGUGACUUGGAAGGUGAAGAUAAGUUCAAUUUCUGUUUCAGUGAGCAAGGGCACUGUGAACUGCCUUCACUGCUGUCUAAUUUCAGAUACUAUGACCCUCCGGGACAUCCUUUGGAAAAUCUCCAUUCUUCUGCUCGAAUUAGUAGCAGUAGUGAUUUUUUGAUUGAUACAGAUGCUGGUGUUGUUUUGAACGAGGAUAAUUUGCAGAUGAGAUCGCCCAAAAACCACCAGCAUGAGGAUACUGAGAAGUUAUGUUCUGGUUAUCUUCGUGAUUUUGCCUCCCAAGUAGAUUUAGAGAGUAUCAAUUCUGAAGUUCCAGAGGUCUUUUGCAGACAACCACAGGUACUUGCUUCAAUGGGGAACCCUAUAUUGGGAGGAGAAAUAGUGGACACGCGAGAUUCUCCUCCGCACUACAAUAUAGGUGAAGAAACCUUUUCAAAUCCACAGCACCAAGAACUUGACCAGUCUGAGUUUACAUCCAAAAAAGAAGAAGAAGGUGUUCCAGUUGACCAGACAGAAACGCUUUAUCUUUCUCUAGAAUCUGAGAGUGGAGAUUUCAACUCAAGAAACUCUGGAGAUGGUAGGGAAGAGCUCAAAGAGCUUGAUUUGCCCCAUGUUGAUCAGUAUGACCAAGAGAGAACUUCGCACUUUUCUGUAUCUACAGGAGUGAUGGGGGAAAUAUGCGUUUCGCCUGAGACAUCUCUUUACGCUAUCAAGGUUCCACAUGAUCAGAAACUGUCUGCUUCACAUGGUCUUCAAGAUGUAUUAUAUUAUAAUGUAACACAUGAUCCAAAAUGCUGCAAAGCUGAAUGCUUUGACCCAAGUGAAGAUCCCCUUUCUGUGAAUCAGUCGUUACAUGCUGCUAUGGAGAAUUGUGCAUCUUCAAAAGGUUCUCCUGCGAAACAUGUUCAUGUAGCUAAAAUAAAUGAUCAAGGAGUAAAAAGAUCAAGAUCACAAUCACCGGUUAAGCAAACAUAUUCCACUUCCAGGUGUAAGAAGGAUUCUCAAACUAACUCUGAAGCAAGACUCCCACAUUUUAAAAGUUGGUGCCAAAGAUCAUCUGACAAAGCUGCUUGUUCAUACCAGUCUCCUGGAAGUCCUAUCAGAUGUGUUAUUCAAGAAGGUCACAAGGAACAGUCUUAUUAUUCUUCAUCAAGUAACCACAAAUAUGAAUUAGCUAGGACUGGUGAUCGGGGUAGGGAAGUCACUUCGAAGGAUCAUUUGUCAGUCACCAGUCGACAGAAUUCUGCUGCUCUACAAGAGUCAAGGAGAGUGUUUAAGGAUAGUUCUUCUUCCAAAUCUGCACCUGCCUCACCAAGCAAUCACUCCUUAGAAAUUACUAGUCGUCGGAAAGUGGAGAGGUCAGGUUCGCCAUCACCAAUCUCGCGUAGGAAUCUCAAGAGAGAAUGUGAUAAAUCUCUUUCAAGGUAUCCAUAUGCAAAGGAUAUUUGCAGGCAAUCCUCAAGGUUACUUUUCCUUCUUUUGAAGUGUUACUGCAACGAUAGAAACUAAUUAGAUAUUUAUCAUACUCGAUGAACUAUUUUCUGUUUGUGGACUUCGUACACUCGUUGGCUUGCUUAUUUACCCGUUCUUUGGACUAACCAUGUGUUAUACUAUAGUUGUCUGCUUCUUCAAUUACCUAUUCUUUGGACUGGCCGUGUGUUAGAAUCUACGCUUGCCUCUUCAAGAUGGAUUAGAUUACUACAGGACUGAUGGUUUAUUUGUUAUAAUCGUAAACAUAGCAACCUCUUUUCAUUUUUGUGAGUGUGUGUGUCUGUUUUGUUAUCUAAUUUUGCCAUAAUUCCUUUUCACUCGAACUCAGGACGAGGUACUCCUCAAGGCACAAAUCUUCCUCAAGGAGCUAUUCUGCUCAUAAUACAUCUCUUCGAGCCGGAUACUUGUCACGAGCUUCUUAUAGGAGGACUGGAAUAGGGAAACCUGGGAGAUGUCUGUUUGUUGCAGGCUUUGAAUUUUCAACAACAGAAGGAGAACUGGAAAGGAAGUUUUCUCGAUUUGGCCAUGUGAGAGAUGUUCGCAUAAUUCGUGACAAAAGGUAAUAUAUCCGCCUAUCAUUUACUCCUGCAGUGGAACUAUGAUAGACAAUUUUGGAGGCCUUAGCUUUCACCUAGUGAUCUACCUUUCUAUAAUAACAAAUUUUGCAUUUAACAUGUUGUCACAAGAAACAUGUAAAAAGAAGAUUUUCUGCAGUUGUAAGAUCUUUGUUAUGCUGCAGCUGUUAUGAAUAUACUCACAAAAUCAAGUCAUUUCCAGGAAUUCUGUAAACUAUGAAAGUGCUUAGAGCCUCGAACAUUAUGCACACAAACAUACGUGUAAUGCAUAUGCGGGUUUUGCACAUUGCAUAGGAUCUCAUCUAGAGUAAAUUGAAAACAUUUUUCCAUCUAAGGUCUUCUUUUAAUAGUCAAGCGUGAUUUCCAAAAGGCCAUGAAUCCUUCUGCAAUUUUUGUCUGGACAAUUGGAUUUCCUACUUAGUUACAGUCGAGGGAUUUUGUAAUUUAGGAGGGGCCUACUUUCCAAAUGUGUUUGGAGCAUCUAUUUCCUACGGCAAUCUUGGAUAUACUAGGCAGCAAGUAGGUACUUAAAGGACAACAUCAAUUAUAGUAGCUCAAAAGUCUUAGCUCAGAGUUAUCUGUAACGAUGUUGGCCUUACUUUUGCUAGUGAGAUUUUAAGGUGAACAUAAAUGUUUUACACCCCCAAAUUAUUGAAUGCUUGGAACAAGAGCUUCUUUAAAAAUUGAACUUAAGGAAGAAUGAAAAACAGCAGCAAUGUACCGCAAUGUUGGUGCUUAGAGGGGUCGACUGGUGUUCUGGUUCUUCUGUAAACAGCUAGAGCCGUUCACAUUAGCUUUGUUUUGAUAGUGAAGCUUUUGCAACCGACGCUACUUUUAUGCCCUACGGGAAUGCGUAAGCUUGUACAAAUACUGCUGUCUUAUCAUUUAUUCAACGUCUUGGCUAGACAAUUUGUGGACUGAGUUGAUAUGUAAUGCAUGCUCUCUUUUAUCUUAAUUUGCUAUUUCUUUGGUGAUGAGUGAAUUCUGAAAUUCUUUAAUUUCAACGCUAGGUCGGGGCUUUCACGCGGAUAUGGAUUUUUAUCAUUAGAAAGGGAUGAAGAAGCAGAUGCGGCCAUUAGAGCUCUGCACAAGACAGACUGGAAUGGUCGUGUUGUUCUUGUGGAGAAAUCAAUUAAGUGAAAUCUCAUUACCUGUAUCUGAACCAGCUUAUAGUUUCUUGUUCCAUGAUAUUUUGACUGCAAAGUUUUGUUCUAGCCUGGGCAAACACAUAUAGUAGCUCAGCCUGAGAUAACCGGGACAUAUAAUAGUUACUUGGUUAAAACUUUUGUCUCCCUAUCCAUUAACUUGAUAACGUCUAAUGUAGUGAUUUUUUGUGUAAUGUCUUGGUGGUUUUUGUUCGUUUGAUCUUCCUUAAAAGAUCUAAACUCAAAUUGAAGCUCUCUUUCAGUGACUCAGUCGUUCGCCUUGGAAGGCAUAUAUAUAUAUAUAUAUAUAUGAAGUUAAAUAGUGAAAGACAGUCAGAAACUCCAGGAGAUGGGAAAUGCCAGGUCAAACAUGGGUGAGUAACAAUAAUCUGAUGCCCAUCUGUUUUGUCUGCCAUACCUUUGAUUCAGGUAAGCACCAAAGGCACAUCAACAUCGAACCAGUCAUGCAUAUUCGCUCACGGCUCAACUCAGGGGAGGGAGGGACAGCAGGGUUCUGUGACAUGUUGGAGAGUUUUUUUAUUAUGAUGUGUUUGGGCGGCCGAGGCAUUGAAGUUGGGGUUUAGUCCUUGCUUGGGAGAUGUUGCCUUGGUUGGAUGACAAGUUUUUUGCCCAGUUUGUCUCUUAUAAGUUUUUUAAAAAUUAGCUACAGUAAUCUCAAAAAAUUUUUCAAAAAUUUUAAAUUAUACACUUCAAAAUAUUAAAAAAAAACACACUUCAAAAUUUUUUUUAAAAACUUCUACAGUAAAGUUUCAGGCAAACACUCAAAAAACUCACUUAUCAAACGGAUUGUAGCCGACCUGGUGGUGUAGUCCCUAGUUAGGGCAUCCACCAGAGUUCGACCCUUGUAACAAAAAUAGGGAAUAACCUAACAACCCAAAUAAGGGUUGGGGUCUGAAGUGGGAUCAGGUCCUUUUUUGCCGUUUUAGACACACAAAAAAAAAAAAAAAGGUUGUUUUGGUCAAAAGCGUUAGCAAUUUCAUUCGUAGAAUCAUGUAUAUACCAACCCAAUAUUUCCUAACGAUGAAUUGAAUGGCUUUUUUUUUUUUUUUUCUUCUUCUCCCGCUUUAUUUAUUUAAAGGAAAAUUUUACAAGUCAAAAUUUAAGAAUCAGAAUGAAAGACUUCACAGUUGUUUGAUUAAUGUCUCUUUAUCAACAGCUAAGAGUGUUGCUAUUUAUUUAUACUAGUGCAAAUUUGCUGGAAUAGUUGAUAUAUGAACACGUCAUGCUAGGAUCAUUGAGUGAAGUCAAUCAAGGAACGUGUCUUCCAGCUCACAUAUUGGCGGCUACAUUGCCUUUGUCCUUUGAGAGAAGUAAUGUAUGGUUUGUAAACUGCCCAAAGGAAAUUAAUUAUGCUGUUGAAAAUGAUUUAAUUACAAUUUGAUAACUUUUUCCUCUCAAAACUCAAAGAAAAGGAAUGUGACUUCCUGGAACCAAAACUGCGUAAUAAGUACUUAAAAAAAGCAGGUCGGCUGCUUCUAGUUCUAGACUUUCUAGGUGGAAAGUUGGAAGCAGUCCACGAAUGUAGGGUUCUAAGUCUCAAGCAAUGUGGACAACGUCCCUUAUCCUCAACAUGUAUGGCCUCUCUCAGUCAUCUCUAUGGCAGAAAAAAAAGUGUAUUUAAUUUUUUUGAAUUGCAAAUUAAAAGGUAUAUACAGAGUCUAAUUAUUUAUAGUCUUUUUUUUUUGAAAAAUAUUGCGCAAAUAGAAAGAAAUUGAAUAUUCUAAAAAAGUGUUUUUUUUUUCCUACGACUUUCAUUCUUUUAAAUAGUUGAAAGUAUUUUAUAUUGUCAAUAAAUACGACGAAACAACAAAAAGAUGCCAUGCAUGUAUCACAUGCUUGCUUUUCCUAAUUUCUUACUUAUUAGUAAUUUUCAAGAUUUCAGCUAUAUUUCAAGAUUUUGAGGUUCAAUUUCACCUUUUCUGUCCUCUGCCUCGUAUAAAAGAAAAAAAAAAAAGGGAAACAGCAGCAACAAAUUUGACCUUUUUCUCCAAAAUGUAAUAAUGAUGAUGAUGGUGAUGAUUAUUACCAAUAGCCAUUGUGCAUCCCACCACCUUUUGAAUUGUUUAGUUAACUAGUCCAGCAUAUGCCUAGCUGCCAACCCUGCCUCAGAAGAAGGAGAUGUGGUCAACUAUUCAAUCAUGACAUUAUUUCCUUGUUCACAUUUUUCACAUAAAAAUGCAAUAUAAAUGGCAAUUAUCAUUGUGAUUGCAUCUUGCACAACCGGAUAAAAAGAUGGACAUUUAGAGCUUAAACCUUUAGUUAGCUGACUCUGUCAAAUUUCAUUUGUACUAAAAUCAGUUGAUUAAAAUUAUGAUGUGUUAUGUUGUUGCAUACGUAGCAUAAUACAGACAGACACACGAGACAUGGGACCAACUAUAAAGCAUUAAUCCAAGAGUUUAAAGGCAUUCUGAAGUUACAGUGCACCAACCUAGAAAUUGCUUGGGGAGUACAAAGCAACGUUGUGCACCAUUGGGUAUUGGCCUGCCUGCAUCAUCUUGCCUCGAUCCAUUAUCAAAGCCAGCAUUAAAAAAUUCCAGGCUGCAGCAUUGCAGGCAGGCUAAUUAUCGUUGGCUCCAAUGUACGUUUCACUCAACUAUAUUCUCCUUUACCAUUUCCCUGUCAGCUGAUUCAGUCUUGGAGAAUUCAAUUCAGCAUUGCAACAGAUGCAUCAUCUAACCACCUUCUUUCAUUCUUCCCAUCAGACUUUUCCAUCCAAGUACAACUUUGAUUCUAUCUUGGUCAAGACUUGCAAAGCCUUCCAAACUCAAGGGUCCCGCAAUUCUUUCUAAAUCCUAGGUACUGAGUACACCUCCCUGUUUUCUGACCAAAUCUCAGUUAUACCUCGUUUUCUUGAUUGCAAAAUGGCAUCUUUCUACAUGGUAUUUUGAGUCUCUAACUGGGUUCAAUGUUUAUGAAUGUUCUCCUGUUUGAUUGUAAUUCACAAGUCAACUGUUCCUUUUCUUCUUCUUUUUUUUUUUUUUUGUGUGGGUAUUAUUAAGGCUUUUGCUGAUUGAAUCUUGCUGUGCUAUCAGAAAUUCAGAAUUGACUGAUUAGAAAGGAAAAUAAUGGGGAUGUGCUUUAGCCAAGAAAAACCAACAGUCUCCAAGGCCAAUGGUGGUGUCGAUGGAAUGUAUAUUCCUGGGACACAGCAAAAACCUGUUCAGCACACAAAAUCACCAGCUCCUAAUAGCCAAAUGCCCUUUAAGCCACCUCCAAGCCCCAGACCAGUUCACAGGCCAGAUACAAUAUUGGGGAAGCCGUAUGAAGAUAUUAAAUUGCACUACACACUGGGGAAGGAAUUAGGCAGGGGUCAAUUUGGUGUCACAUAUCUGUGCACGGAUAUUGAAACUGGAAGACAAUAUGCUUGCAAGUCCAUAUCAAAGAAGAAGCUUGUUACCAAAGGUGACAAGGAGGAUAUGAGACGAGAGAUUCAGAUUAUGCAGCAUUUAAGUGGACAGCCAAACAUAGUUGAAUUUAAGGGUGCUUAUGAGGAUAAGCAUUCAGUUCACCUUGUGAUGGAGUUGUGUGCUGGUGGAGAGCUUUUUGAUCGAAUUAUUGCCAAGGGACACUACAGUGAAAAAGCUGCAGCUUCAAUCUGCAGGGCUAUUGUCAAUGUUGUUCAUGUCUGCCAUUUUAUGGGUGUGAUGCACCGUGAUCUUAAGCCUGAGAACUUCUUACUGUCAGACAAGAGUGAAAAUGCGGCCUUGAAAGCAACGGACUUUGGGUUGUCGGUAUUUAUAGAAGAAGGUAUCUUUCUCAUUCUCAGUUCUCACGUAAUUCAGAAAUGUAUGCCAGCUUUUCCUAUGAACUUUAAGAUAUACGUGCGCUCUUGGAGUAUUAGAAUAUAAUAUGUGGACCACUUAGCCAACAUUUUGAAGUUGAGUUCCCAGUUUUUCUAGCUUAAAAAGUGCAAAAUAUGUAUCCUAAAGAUUGAGGAAAUGGUCCAUGAAUACUGAAUUUACUUGAAUGUUAAUCUUCGAAAUGUAUAUGCUGGUUCAGAUAUGACAUAGAUUUAAAAUGCUCUUAGUUCCUUUCAUAUUUCCUAGCAAACUUCCAGUCAUUAGAUUCGUUACAGACUGUAAAAUAGUCGAUAAGUUAGAUUCGUGUUUGGUUCAAGACAGUGCUUCAAAGAUAAGCUUGUAGCAGAUUAUAGAGUUCUGUAGCUACGUGUAGUUUUAGUUGCAAAAAAUGCUGCUUAUUUGCCUGGAAUGUGUUUAAAGCAUGAAAUUAAGGCUUUAUCAAACCAUGAGAAGCUCCUUUUCACAAGACAUCGAGGUACUGCAACUUAAGACAUCAUCAUCAAGUGCACCUUGAUCACAGAUAUCAGUGACGAGGCUUUUAUUUACACAAAAGUGUUCCUUACAACUGAUGCUGCCAUUAAGCGAACUAGUGUUUGCAAUUCAUGAUUUUCUUGGUGUUUUCCAUCAUAAUCUUAUCAGUUAAACCGAGUCUGAACCUUUCUGUAGGCAAAGUCUACAAGGAUGUAGCUGGGAGUGCUUAUUAUGUUGCACCUGAAGUUUUAAGGCGUAGGUAUGGGAAGGAAGCUGACAUUUGGAGUGCUGGAGUCAUGCUGUAUAUAUUACUCAGUGGUGUGCCACCCUUUUGGGCAGGUAAAGCAAACAAAGUUGCCUUCUUUUCUAGUUCUAAAUAUGUAAUAACGUUUCUUAUUAUUCUUCUCUUGGUACCAUUUGCCGAUUAAUGUAAUUAAUCUUUUCAUGAAAUUUGCAUGACAGAAACUGAGAAGGGUAUAUUUGAUGCUGUCUUAAGGGGACAUAUUGACUUUGACAGUCAACCUUGGCCAUCAAUCUCAAGUAGCGCUAAGGACCUUGUCCGCAAGAUGCUAACACAAGACCCCAAGAAACGAAUUACAGCUGCUCAAGUACUUGGUAUGCCUAAGAAUGACCUGAGUCCUUCACUAAAAUCCUUACAGUUGCAGAAUAUACCCUUUUUGUUUAUUGUUGUCUGAGAGAUGAGGUCAUAUACUUGCUAGUUGCUAACUUAGGAACAUAUCUCCUUAGUCAAAGCCUCACAACCUUUUUAUGGUUCUUUUUCCACUUCAAACUGCCUAAAGUUUCUGUAUCCACUGGCAUCUCGAAGUAGUCAAGAUUUAUCUAAAUGUUAGAAGUUAUUUCUCCUGGUUUUAGCCUAAUAGUUGAUGAUUCGUAGCUUGGUAGACUAGAUCUGAAAGAAGUUAUUUAGUGAAUAAGCUUAAGAUGGUCAAACAUUGGAGCAUUUUAAAUUUGUUCUGAAACCUAGCAAGACAUUUACAUUUAACUGAAAGCAUCUCAGAAAAGCACUUUUCUACUUCCACAAGCAUGUUUCUCCUUAUUCUUUUAUGAAAUGGAUGGAUUAUCACUAUGCAGUUCUCCAGUAAUUCUUUCUUAAUGGUAAGAAUUCUUUGUGCUGGUAAUAUACUCAUGCUACAAUUCUGGCGUCAGCAUCCUGUACCUACAAAAUUUCAUAUGUUCAAAUUUUGUGCUAAUCCAGAUUUUGUGCUUUUUUGACUGAACAGAGCACCCAUGGAUGAGAGAAGGAGAAGCAUCAGACAAACCAAUAGACAGUGCAGUCCUUUCCAGAAUGAAGCAAUUCAGAGCAAUGAACAAACUCAAAAAAUUGGCUCUGAAGGUAUGAUCAUUAUUCAAGAACUUAGAUGUCAGCCCAUAAUAGCACAAGUUUAAAAUAGACAUGAAUCAGAGUGACUGUUAAAACCAUCAUAUAUAAGCCCAAUAUCUUCUCUUUAGCUUGUAAAUCUUAUCAUUCACAGAACCUGGUUAAGUUGCUCCAGGAACACCAAGUUCCUAGGAGGAUGUUGCAAAAAAGAUAGAUUGCAGGUAAAAGCUAUCAUAGAAGAGCCCAACUCUCUCAUCAAGUUUGCUCAACUUACCUUCUGAGAAACCUGACUUUGGCAUUAGAAUGAGAGAUAUUGCUUAGUCCGCACCUUUCUGAACACCAGCUAAGCUGAGUAAUACAUUGCCCAUAACCAUCAAACAGAGGGAAUUGGGAGGGGCCAACUAUAGAAGCUGUUGUACUGAUGAGACACCCCCCAAGUGAUACUGAGCAACUCAGUAUAUGGGCACCAUCAUUUAUUACCAUAUUCAGCCAAAUUAUGGGUAAACCUGUUCCAGAAGACUUUCCGCUGCUGUGGGAUUUCAGAAACUCAGUAGAAAGGCUAUUCCAGUGAUCAAAUUCUAAAUCCUCCUAACUCACUCUAAGCAACUUACUAAUGUGGCAAUGCCAAUGUACAUGGUAAAUUCUGGCACAUUCAUCUUACAAACCAGAAUUGAUUGUUGGUUGAUUUAAAAUCAUAUUCCAGGUCAUUGUAGAAAGUCUCUCUGCAGAAGAAAUCCAAGGGCUGAAAGCAAUGUUUCAAAAUAUGGACACUGACAACAGUGGCACAAUCACAUAUGAAGAACUAAAGAGUGGACUUGCUCGACUUGGGUCAAAACUCACAGAGGCAGAAGUUAAACAGUUAAUGGAAGCUGUAAGUUCAGUAGAGCUCUUCCUUCAUGCUAUGCUAUAAUAUCCUGAAACUAAUUGCUAUUAUGCCAACUUUCAGGCUGAUGUUGAUGGAAAUGGGACAAUAGACUACAUUGAGUUCAUUACUGCUACAAUGCACAAGCACAAACUAGAAAGAGAAGAAAACCUUUAUACAGCAUUCCAGUAUUUUGAUAAAGAUAAUAGUGGGUAAGUUCCAACGGUAAGAUGCCAUCUGAAUUAGGCAUCAUCUCUUAAGAGUGUUGUUGAUGCACUAACUAUUGCACAGUCGUAAACCCAUGAUUUUCUUUCUAUGCUGUUUUAGGUUCAUUACGAGAGAUGAGUUAGAAACUGCUAUGAAAGAUUAUGGAAUGGGUGACCCAGCCACCAUAAAGGAGAUAAUAUCUGAAGUGGAUACAGAUAAUGUGAGUAUUCUUCUUCCUUCGUUGCAGGUCUCUAAAGACUUUUGAUCAUGUUUGCCCGCUCACCAAGUACUGCAUUUUUUAUGCCGUCAAUAUUCCAGGAUGGAAGAAUCAAUUAUGAAGAGUUCUGCACAAUGAUGAGAAGUGGUACAAAACAGCCAAACAAGCUCUUCUAGUUCAAAGCUCCAAGAUCUUAAGCUUUAUGACUCGGGGUUAAAUCUUCUUCUCGGUCACAAAUUACAUUACUAAGUCGAGCAGCAGCUGUCCAGCAGGCUUUCAGUUUGGAAAUUUAAAGUAUAGCAUUUGUUUUGUGAUUUGUUCCAGCUCAGUUGUUGCUCUUUCUGCUGUUUCCUCAGUAUCUAUCCAGCCUUUUUUUAAACAACCUUCCUUUGGAUGUCUGGAGGAGGGGGGAAAAUCUGGAUGUCUAAACCUAGCAUUUAAUCCCCUCUUCUUUUUUGAUUUAUUCUUUAAAUGAAAAAAAUGAAAAUAGUCUUCCGUAAUAACACCGUUAUGCAUUCUGCAUGGGGAUUACGUUGUGCAUUUUACAUACCGCGUAACUUUAUUUGCACAUGACGUAACUUUAUUUGCACAACGUGUAAUUUUAGAACAAAUUUUUGUAAGUCUCACACACGUUAUUAAAAAUGAAAUACAGGAAGUGAUCUGAACCGUACAAUUUUUUUGAGUCAAAUCCUGACCGUACACUGUUCAGAGACGUCCUUCUGAUAAUAACUGUCCCUGCCCCGUCUCCUCCGCAUGAGAAAGGCGGAUCUGCUCCUUACUGUAAAUCCAUCCUCUCUCCAUUACACUCUUUUAACUUGCAACCGCCUGUUAGCUCAUAAAAGCCAUGGGUCAACAAGUUUCAGAUGUCAUGUGCUCUCGUCUGCAACUGCCAAAAAAACCUCAACUGCCAAGAACAACAGAUGCAAAAGGCAGUCUCAGCCAGGAUGCGAGAACCACCUCUACAAACCAAGUUAUCUUAAUCUUGUCCACCAAAACUCACUCUACCAAAAUUCCUCCCAGCCACCAAACAUCCCCACAAAUAAAUGAACAUCCUCCAGUGACGAGUGAACGCAUGACGCAUCUAACCGUAGUUCUCUGUGAUGUAUUCUGAAGUCGUCACCAAACUUGAAUGCCACUCAGAUGACAGCUUAAGGCCACAAAGAGUAUCUUAGAUUUGGAAAUCGGUUUAAUCCAAUAUAUUAUCCCUCGAUCUUUGAAGGAAUCAUCAUAUAUACCAAUUAGAAAUCAAAGCAACGAUUUGACGCAUUUACAAUGACAAUAUUAAAAGAUUAAAGCAAAUACACAAGUAAAUAUAUCAAUUAUACCUUUAUUACUGAAAAAUAAGAAGGUAGUCUUACAAACCGCUUUUUGUCCCAUGACAUUAUCAAAUGAAAGAGAACCAACACCAACUAACGCGAAUAGUUCCCACUAUCCACACAAACACUAACACGAAUAUUAUAAUAGGCAAUCCUCAGAUGCCACACACCAAUGCAAAAUACUGCUACUAUAUAUUAUUUUCUUCAGACAAGAUGAUCAUAAUAAUCCUUAAAAACCAUGAAUCUUGAUCUGGUCUUUCUUGACAAUUCCAGCAGUCACAAGGAACUGAGAAGCAUUCUUGCGCUGAUCACCUUGAAGUUGAAUGACUUUGCCUAGCUCUUUGUCUUGCACCACAUUCCCGUUGCAACAGAACUCUUUCUUAAGAUCCUUCAGUAUCUUCUCCAAGCUGAAAUCUUUUUUCAGCCCCUGAAUAGUUGUCAAGCACUUUUUACCAUUCCUUUGUUGAACACGGAUAUGAACAUACUCUUUGGCACCAGGGGCACCUGAGUCCUUAUCCUCGGUGAAUGGAUCAAAAGCAGCUGGGAUUUGGAUGUCUAGAUCAACCAUGUAUUUGUUGGAUUGGAACUCGAAAACUUUCUGAGAUCAGAAAGCGGAAAUAUCGGCACUAAAGCUGUAGACAAAGAACAAAUAUCUGUCAGCAUCCAAGAACUUUACUUUGUAAAUCAAAAUGACAAAAAAGAAAGAAAGAGAAAGAAACUAAAUCGGUACAUCUGAUUAAUCAUAAAAGCUCGCAUAGCUCAUAAUUAUAGUCCAAGAAUGUAACUACAAAUACAAAAGCAACCCCCAUAUAUCUUGAUAUCUGUCAUUAGUUAAUCCAGAGGUCAUAGUAUCCUGAAUUCAGCUUCCAAAAAUUUUUAUGUAGAAAAACGAAGACGGGAACAUAAGCCCACAUGUAUAUUAACAAAUCCUUAACGACCCUAGUACCUCAUGCUACCAUGAACCCAACAUCUUUUAUCAACCUACCGAUCAAAUUCAAAAGGGUCACAGCCUAUACUAACGUAGCAAAAUCUCAUCAUGGAUUGAAUUUCACAAACAAACCAGCACCUUCCCCACCAACUAAAAAAAAUUUUCAUGUAUCAACAAGCGCAGCACCCACGGGCUACCAUCAGGCCCCAUAAUAAAACUAAGAAAAGCAUCGCAUAGUGUUCAAAGACAAAAAAAAAAAUGGAAAAUAACCUAUAAUUUUAAAAUAAGGAGAUCGAGUCUUCAAUUAAAAGGAAAAAGAAAAAAAGAUCAACACUUUAACAACCUGAAGAGGAAAGCGGGAGAAGCGGGCAGAAAACUAACCUCUUAAACGAAGACCCGAAAGAAAGCGAACGCGUAUAAAAGCCGUAGAAGAAAUUAUGGAAGGAAGACAAGGGAUGGGUGGGUAUUUAUAGGGAGGAAGGAGGCGGUGGGAGAUGGGUGGGUCUUUAAUUUUGUAGCCACACGAACUUAAUUGUGGUUGGGUUUAUUCUGACCCCGGUUUAGCGUCCCUCAUGUCAUGCAUCACUAGUUUUGCAAUUAAUGUGGAUUUCCAUUUAUAUCCAGAUGCUUAACAGAUACUACUACGUAUAUAUAUGAACCUUAGAUGAAGGCGAAGGGGAGUGGGGAGGAUAUUAGAUCGUGGGGCGGCGGCUGGGCAAUUUGGGGAAUUUGCAGCUACAGAGAUCGCGUAGAAUCAACGCACUGGAGCCAGCCGUGACGACAACGCAGAAAGAGAUUUGUGGAAGUUGAAUCACCACGGUGGGGUAAGUGUUUGUGUGGGCAACGCGUUGUUGAUGCCUCAUGGAAAGACUCCUGAUUCAUCACGGGCUCUGGGUCAUUGUUGGUGGGAAGGAUCCAGAUGGACCAGGACACCGCCCACAACAUCUAUGGCUUCAUUUUGGGUCAAAUCAUAACUCUUACUGUUACUCUUCUUAUUUGAGAGGGAAUUUCACCUCUCAAUAAAUAUAUAUAUAUAUAUAUAUAUAUAUAUAUAUAUAAAAGGGAAUUGGGCUGUUACACGCCUUUUAAAUUUUAUUACAACUUAUUAUUUUAGGACGAGAAUCCAAGUAAAUUAAGAAAAUUAAAAGAAGAGAAUCUUACUUCUAAAUCAAAGGAUAUGAUGCAUCCUUUAUAAAAAAAAAAAAAAAAAGAGAGGAGGAGGGUCUAAUUGAAUUAAAAGAGGUCAAAAAAAAGAGAAUUUCACUUCUAAACUAAAAAAUAUACAACAUGCACAUCCUCUAAAGUUUAAAGGCAGAGGUUUAGAGAUUUAAAUUCGUAACCAAAUCUGCAUCAAGUGGUGGCUAACUCAUCGAACGGGAAGUUUGUUCCGCAGCUUCUUUGGAACUCGGUGGAUUUUCCCGUGUUGUUUUUGAUGUACACCUGACAGACCAUUUGGGGCAGCCAUCCCAUGAUAAUCCUAUCCAAUCCUGCUGUGCCCUUGUACCCUUUCCCUGUCUUUUCGACAUCCACAAGUCUUAGCACUCAUCUGGCGGGGUUUUCUUUCUUUUUUGGUUAAUGUUUGGCGGCCUUCUUUACAAACUAAUUCCAAUCAUCAGAUUCAUUUUUCCUCUCUAUGUGGUCAAGCUAGAUUUUCAAAAUGCGGCUAAAGUCGAGGAGAGUAUAAACUUUUAUUUCGACCCGUUUGCCCCCGUCUGGCAAAUACGGUGAGAACAGAAAGGGUAGGGGAAAAGCAUAGUAGUUAUGGAGCAGCAUUUCCCGUAAUUAUAUGGGGAUAAAUCCUACCGGCACUGAUUACCUUGUUUGGACCGCAAUUUUUCGAACGUUUUCGGUGAAUCAUUUUUUUAUUUUAUAUACAUCAAAUCGUUACAGUGUUUUUUUUACAAAAAAAAAAAAAAAAAAAAAUACAAUCCAAAAAUGUCAUGUACGAGCUCACCACUGGUCCACAACCCCGUUAUAGCACGGUAUACUGCAGCACUCGAAACUCGGAAAAAACCUCUUAGAAUGCAUGCCUUCCUCCGCCGGGACUAUGAAAGACAGAUGGGUAGAGCAUCGAUAAAGAAAAAAGAUGCUCAAGGCAACAUUUAUUGGUUAUUAUACACAAGAAAUGAUUGCCUAUCGAAGAGAAAAUAUAUUCAUUUCCCACUCACGAAUUGUGCAAAAACAAAAUAUAAUGGAUAUUUAUUACUCUAAUAUUAUUGGUUAUAGUAAUACAAGACAGAAUAAAUACGAUAAGCUCUGAAUCCAGGAGGUAAUAGGUCAGGUGCUUCGGUUAAGGUCCAUCUCCACUUGGUGAAUGGUCCAACGCAAAUUUUCCAAUUUCUGCAACAGGACAUUCCAAUUAAAGAGUUAACGAACAACUGGACAAAAACAAUUUCCAUGAUAUAUUCUGUUUAAUUCCCACUUGCCUUGACUAUCUCAUGAUAUUGUCUGGCUAUGGAAUCGAAGUGUGGAUCGACGCCUUGAUACUCACGAAGGCGUGUAACCUGAAAGCAUCAAGAACACAAGAUAGUCCAGCGGAAGAUCGUCCGAGCAACCUGAACAAUAAUUCUAAAACGUAUCUUCCUUACUCCACUCAAACUCAAAGACAUGAUUCGAGGAAACAGGGGAAAUCUUAUGGCAUCAUGAACUAUUUGAUAAUGCAAGAAUCUAAGCAUAAACUUAAUUGGCUAUACAAGCAAUAUCAGUGGCAUAGACUUGCACACAAAAGCACAUAUUCUACAACCCCAACUUGAAAAACAGAAUAUACGAAUGAAUUAUACCGCUUUAUUAUACGCAAGUGAUGCUUCGUCUGUAGAAUCGACCAGAUACUUCCUGAACCAAAAUGAAAGCAAAGAAAGAGAAAUGUUAAUCCUGCGGCAUCAGCAGAAUAUUCACUGAUAAAGUUGACUUUGUUUACCUUAUCUUGUGAAGUGCUCCAAUUGUUUCUGGAGUAUAGGUGUCAUACAACAGGACGUGUUCUAGAACUCUGAGAACAACAUUUAGGUAAGAAUGUUAUAUUCCUCCUAUAGGCGAACAGCAGUAGACCAUCUGUCUCAAAACAACUCAAGUUGGGGAAGCCAUUUAGUUAUCAGAAAGGCCCAUCAUCACACUUCAAAGGUACCACCCUAACCCAUUCAUGCACUAUCUUUGUUCAUCUAGUGAAGGCAUGCAGAUGUCAAGUUGCGUUAUUUGCCCCCAGAAAGAGUAUUCCUGAUUUACUUUCUAAAUAUAGGUCAUGAAAAGAAAAGAAAAGAAAGCAAUGGACUUUCACCACAUCUUGAGCAUCACAAAAGAGAGAUGUUAAAUCUGAUAAGCAACAAAGAACAAAUCCAAUUGCAAAACCUACAUUUAAGAAAGACCAACCAAAAAAAAUGAAGAGAGGGAAUUAGAUACAGAUAGUUUAACGAACUGUAUUUUUAAAGCACCAUUGAUCCACAUCGCUAGCAAAAGGAGAAAAGAAAGAAGAUGAAAUAUAGGGAAGAAAUUUCGACGCAAAACCUAAAAUAGUAAGAUCAAGUUUGUUUCUGACUACUCAACAACCCCUCCCCCCCCCCCCCGGGGGCGGCCCCAAAAAAAAGAAAGUAGUAGUUUGUUUCUGAAUGUUCUAAGUGAUAAUUUUGGCCAAGUGAUCCGUAGUUACUAAAUUGAAAUUUCUGGCGUUUAAAUUCAUUGCAUCACUGAUGUGGAAGUAUCCUUAUCCAGGUUGUAGAAUGUAGUCAAAAUUCACUGAAAAUGUAUCAGAUGAUGACAAGUCGGAGCAUCCUUGACACCAAAGAUUUCAGAAUGUACAAUUUAUACAGAAAAAAUAAAAUUGUCCAAUCACAAGGAAAAAGCACGAAGUGGGGCAAACCUCAAUUUGGCAUUCAUGGUCUCACACCUUUUGCAAAGCCAAGUUUUGUGCAGUUCAUCCUAUCAAUUUAGAUGCAAAUAAUCAGCUUAAAUAUCUGGUGAGGAAUAACCAAAAAGUCAAGAAGUUGUGCUUGCAGGUACAUUUAAGGACAAAACUACUAGGAAACAGCAGAGAAUGAAGUAACAUUAUUUCCAAAAUCAGGUUUAUAACCUGUAGCUUCAAGAAUACAACACUGUGGGGAAGGCAACUUACAUAUUUAUGUUGAUGCUGCAACUUAAUUUCUUUAACAAGCUUGAUUAGCACACCUAGUAUCUGCUCCAAAACCUUGAAUGGAAAGAAUGACCUUUAAGUGCUAAUUAUAACUAACUAUGGAAAGUAUUAUAUAUCAUCUGCAAAUGCAUGUAAAUCCAGAAGUUCAAUAAGAAAAAUGGAAGAGAAAAAAUGGAGGGACUUAGGAUGCCAAGAAGACGAUACAUUGUAAUAUUCUGCAAACUUUCUGUCAGAUGAAUAUAGAUCCUCCCUCCAUGCUGUUUCUUCUCUCUCAAUCUCCUCAAUAAUCAACUUUAUCCUGUUAAAGUUAAAAGCCAAUCUAUUGCUUAAUCACAUUUAUGCACUAAUAACUUAAUAUUAGUGUAAAAUAGCACCUAAAAAAUGAUAUGUGUAUGUACUUAAUUCGAGAGAAGUUAUACAGGCUAUCCAAAACAAUCCUGCUGGACCCUGUAAUAACUUGGGGAAUUCUGAUUAAGCGGAAAAAAGGCACAAUUAUGUGUAUUUUGACGUUAUUAUUAUUAUUUUUUGGUCUGCGAUGGUGUGGGGAGGCGGGAGGGGAGGGGGUAAAACCUGAAUCUAUGGUCACAUUAAUAGAAUUUUCUCUAAAUGGAAUCACAUUUUUCAGUGGAUUGUUUUUCACUUCAACAGAAUGACAAAACAGUAACGUUUGCACAACCUCUUGAGCAUUUAAAUAAUCAUUAAGAAGAGUCAUCAGAGUCUGAGACUGGUAGUAAUAUUUUAUCAAUGAUUAAAUGGAAUCACACUGACAAGAACCGGCUAAAGAUCACUGAAAGAUACAAGAAAAACUGGCAAAUGCAGCCAAAACUAUGGGAGUUCAUUGAAUUAUCAACACUUGAUGUGGCACUUUACAUCAGAAUGACGAAAUAGCAGCCAGUGCAUAAGAAACAUUUUAACUUGAUAACAUAGAUACCCAUAAAAACAGAACCUUUGUCAUGUUAAGGUGCCGGAAAAAAAAUUUUAUAUCAAGGCUCGGACCUUUCUGGGAGCCUAGCAGUUGAAUUUGGACCACUGGUUGGUGAAUCUGCAAAGAUAAAGGAACUUUAUAUCUUGGAAGUGUUUACAAGCAAGUAUUGUAAGAAAACUUAAAAUGACCAAAAUCUUCAAGUAUGAAAAUGUUUACUAUUGGGCGUUGAGAGAACGCAAUUAUUUGAAGUAAGUCAUACUCAGUAGUUCAGCAAAAAUAACAUGAGCAUGGCUAGGAAAUCGAUAAAGUAAGAUGAUCAUUUUCCCUAUUCAUUAUUCAUUGCUUCAUAGUUAUCAAAAUUUGGAAUAAACGCAGGCACCCAGAUGUCCAUUCACUAUCAAGUUAGUUUAAGAGUGUAACAACCAAUAAUCAGAACUUUUAGCCUAUGAACUUAGUAGCUUUUCCAGGUCAAUGAACUUGCCACUAGUAGCAAAUGCUCACGGACAAUAGUGACCAGGCAACCAAUCCACAUCCACAAGCAGGAAUAUUUUAGGACAAUAUCGAAACAACUACAAAUAUCUUGACUUACCGAUGUCACCUGUAACCAUAGCAUCUAUUAACUUAUCAGACUUAAUGUCUAGUCGACUGCCAAUCUCCCGGGCAAGUGACAUCUGGUAUUCUGCCAUAUCCUACAGUUGCAUAACAGAACAGGUUUUUAGUUCAUUGGUUCAACAUUUUAUUCUUCCAAAGUAGCUCCAACUAAGAAAAAAGAUUCACAUAUCAGAAACAGAACUUCCACUUGAUCACGUGUCAUACAAAGGAACCAAAGAGCAAAAGGUUGCUUUUAGAUCAAGCAUACAAGACAUUCUCUAACUGCACAAAUUAUCAGUAAAGAAAUCUCUGUCCCAUGGGAUAAAGUCAUCUGAUGUCAUACCAUAGGUAAUGGAAGUUGCUGAAGUUGAGUUUGCCACAAAUAAGCAGGAGUGAUUCCAAGGUAUCGAUUAGGAGCACCACCAACUUCAGGUUCUGAUGCAUCAGCGACAACCACUGAGAUCAUAGUGCUGGCAGGAGCAGAGGUGCCAAGUGCUGAAAUAUUUGUAUAAUUAGUUGAAUUUGAGCUUGAGCUAAUUGUGACACUGGUACAGGUACUAUCAAGGGAGCUUCUUGACAUUAUACUCCAUUUUUCAAUUUCUUCCUCGUGUAUUUCGCCAUCUUUGGAUAUCAGGGGAAGCCUCAGCUUCUGAGCAGCUUCUGCCACGACCAUUCGAUGCUCAAGAGCCUCGUAAAGCUGAAAUAUGUAUAUCACAGUGCAAUUUUUAACAUGUCCUCAAGUAAAACUUUUUUUUUUCAAUUAAAAGUCUGUAGAAGUGGGGUCCAUUUUACAAGGCUCAAAUCGACAAAUCCUGCUCAAUGACAGGGAACAAGAUAGAUACACAGAAAGAGCGAGAUCUCAAAUGCAACCUAUAUUACCUUUACUCAAGUCAACAGACAGUUACAUAACUACAUAAUUAACAGAUGCUUGGGAAUGACUUCACAUGAGACUUUGAUACAUAUCAGCUCCAGUGAUGCCAAUAAAAUGCAUUUAUAUCGAGCUUAUAUGGCACAGAAAACUAACAAUGGCAGCACGCUUAGCUAAAGUAGUUUCGCAUUCCCAUCUUGCAGAGAAAUAUACUACUUAGAAAAUUUUACAGAAAUACUCCCAACAAUUGCUGUUAAAUAUAGGAAAAAGAAUCAGAAAACCUGAGGAGGAUUCUUCAAGCCAAGCUGGGAGUAAAGACCCUGAACAUCGCGAAUGCCCCCAAAAUUAGCCACUGAAACCGCCUGCUGAUACUCUUCCACCAUUGCAAUCGCCUCGAUGUAAAUUGCCUACGGUUGUAUUAACACAGAUGGUAUCAAUUAAAUGUGUCAAAAAGAAAAAAGAAAGCAAAACUAACUGCAACAAACAAACCCAAAAAAAAAAAGAACGAAGAUUCUCAGUAGAGAGAAUACCAAGGCUUCCAAAUAACGCUGUCGUUCUUUGCACAUUUCCUCCCUCGCCUGCAUCCAAUCCACAUUUGCACUAAAUUCUUACCUCAAAUUCAUUUUGUGAUAACAUAGAGAAAGGAAGAAGAUAAAAUUGUACGAGAGAGAGAGAGAGAGGAGAAAGUACGAGUUGGAGAUCGUAGUGAGUGGAUUUGGCAAUGAGAGAACCAUCAGGAGCUAAGCAGUGCCGCUCCAACUGAUCUAAUAGCUGGAUCACGUCUGCUCCUAGAUUUUGUGCUGCAAUCCCCUUCCCCAUUUCUCCUCUCUUCGACAAAUUUCACUUGUGACUUUUUUAGGAAUAUCUUGCUUCUGCUGUUGGUUUCUGUCUUUCCCUCAAAAUUCAAUAUCUCAAUUCGGGGAAAUAGUCAAUUUUGUCCCUAAAUUUUUUCAUUUAAAUCAAUUUCUUCCUUUAUGAUUUUUUUUUUUACCAAUUUAGUUCUCAAACAAUUUUAUCAGAUUCAAUGUAGGACUUGUUUGGCGGUACCACCACAUUUUAUGUAUUUCGCAUGGCGGGCCAAUGGUAUAAUUGGAAUGAUAAGUUCGAUUGUCUAAUUAUAGGGAUUAUAACAGAGACUUUUAGAUGAUUAAAGACAAAAAUCUCUAAAAAUUGAGAGAGAAGAACACUAAAGAGAAACCAGACCUGGUGCUAAUUUAUACGUUGAUUUGUUAGUGCCUUCUGGUGUUAAAUUUGCGGAAAUAGAAUCGUUGAUCGAGCUGUGUGACUUAAUUGCUAGAACAAAAUAUGAUGUUCUCUUAGAUUUGUAACAUCUCUCACCUAAUAGUUUCUCUCACCUAAUGUAGCAUAUCUUGAUUGCAUUAUUGAUAAAGAUGUGCUGAGAAAUGAGCUUUAGUUGUAUAUCCAAACGGUGGUUUUUUCUAUUCCUUAUGAGAUUUGCUUCGGUCGUACAUUUUCUUCUCUUAAGUUAAAUUGAAAAGUUAUUCUGUUUACUGAUUUUAUUACAUGGACGCUUGUUUUGGGAGAUUGGUAUUGAUCAUCAUUUAAGCUGUGAAGAAUGAAUGAAAAAAAAGCAUACCUAGCAGAAAACUCUUUACCAUUUUUCAAGUUCUUUGGGGCAUUGUGAUUUCUUUCACUGGCUGGUCCUUAUUGAAUUAUCAAAACGAAUCUAAUCUUUCUAUGUUGGCAAACCUCAAUCCUCUCCUCUUUUGAAUGCCUCUAAUUACUUCUUUUCAGAACCCAAACAGACCAUGGCUAGGGAAAAAUAUGAAGUUAUGAUUCUAUAGAGACUCGUCCCAAGGAUGGCUUUUGAAAACUUAUCACUGGUAGGGUUUCAAAAGGCAAUCUUGGAGUUGCUGUAGUUGUAAGGAAUUGAUAUGGAUUUUGGACCAUCGGAUCAGUAAAAAGAUCAGGAAUAGCUUCCAAUCUUCAUAGAUCAUUAUUGCUACAAACUGGAAUUGGAAGUUGAUGCUAUUAAUAUUUUUAAUCUUUUAAACCAAUAUGAUACUGCUAUUUACAAUGUGCUAUGGUUAUAUCUGAUUGUAAGUAUCUUAUUGUAUUUUGGCAGCAAGUCUUGAUCAAAGCAUGUAAGCAGUGAAGCAAAUCAGAUGGUAGAUUGUUUAGCUAAUGUAUAGGAUGCUAACAACAGGAUAUCUUUUAUUAUGAUGUUAUGCCCCACUAUCUUUUAAUUGCAAGAUGACUGUUUGGGGAUUUUAUUCUCAUUUUGUAUGAUUGUAUAUUAUUUUAAAGUUUCUUUUAUGAAAAAAAAACUUCUAAAACUACGAAAAGCUAAAACUGUAGCUUAUUUUUACUAUUUAAUAAAAUUACAAAAACAUAACUGCAAAGAUAUUGAUGCAUUUUUAUGUAACUUUUCAUAUUUAAUAUCUAAAUUUGAAUAAUUGGGCAUUUAUGGGCAAUAUUGAAAAUCACACCGCACAUCGUGCGGUGUUAUUCUCCUAAUAAUCCCUAUAAUUAGACAGUCGAACUUGUCAUUCCAAUUAUACCUUUGCCUCGCCAUACAAAAUACAUAAAAUGUGAUGACGCCGCCCAAUAAAGCCUACAUUGAAUCUGAUAAAAUUAUUUGAGAACUAAAUUAGUGAAAAAAAUGAUAAAAUUAUUUGAGGACUAAAUUGGUGAAAAAAAAUCAUAAAGGACGAAAUUGAUUUAAGUGUUGAGAUUAAAUUUACGAUUUUCCCUUUCAAUUCCCAAAUUUGAACUGCCUUUACUAGCCGGCUUGCACGCCAAAGCCUAGCACGACGCAAUAUGACAUCGCACCGUCUCUCUCCUUUCGUUUGUUUCCUUUUUUCCUUUCUGAUUGAUAACAAGUUUUUUCUUUUAUUUUUUUAAGUUAUUUUUUAUUGUUUUUUUUUGGGAUUCGGUAAUUAAGUUCAUUUUUUCUUUUUUGGGAUUCGAUAAUUAACGUGGAAGGAUUAAAAAAAAAGGGGGAGUAUGAUAUAAAAUCGUUAAAUAUAUUAUUAGGUGAUAUUCUGGCAUGAAAAUAAAAUCUUCUAGGUUGAAUCAUUGAAUUAUGAGCUACAUUUUUAGGUGAAACUUUGGGACCAAAAUUAAAACCUUGCCAAAUAUCAAAGUGAAUUGUUGCAUCAUCUAAAAAUAAAACCAUAAUUGAAGAAGGUUCAAUUAAACAGUAAAAUGCUCAAUGAAUGUACUAAUACCAUCUUUUAUCAACCAUAAAUUGUCAUUUGAAAAACACAAAACUUGAUCAAAUGCAGUAAGAGAUGAGAUUGCAUUUCUCCUUUAUUCCUUCCUAGUCUUAUUAGAUGUUAGAAUUCAUCAAAUCAAAAGGAAAUCCUACUAGUCAAGUGGCAUGCAAGAAUGUUUGCAAGGCUCUCUAGAGGCUUGUCAAUAACUUUCCAAUCAACGUACACGACCAUUAUUCUUCAAUUCUACAACUUCGACCCUCCCAUCCUUCCCGGUGCAAUAGAAGGAUCCUUGGUAGAACAAUGGAGCAUUGGAACAUGGCUUGAAACUUGAGUCGGCAGCCAAUUCCACAAAAUGCCAGUCGUCAUCUCCUGGAUUCUUGAUUUGGACAUAAAGUUGUGAGCUUGUAUACAACUAUACAUCACACCAACAGUUAAAGAAUCUGAAGAAGAAGGACAGGAUGUAAAAAUGAAGCUUGAAAAUGCAUAGCCAAUAGAUUGUACGUCUUUUGUUAUUGGAUCAAAGGCAGCAAUGGGUGUUUCUUUGUCCACAAUUCUGGGAUGCUCCUGGCCUCGCUCUUGAAAGAAUCAGCAGAUGUUUUUGUACGGAAGGUUUGCUCCCUGAAUCCUUUUCCGCGAUAGUAUAUCAGCCACGGAUACUUUCCCGCGACUGACGGUUUUUCUGAUAAUUAUAUAAUAGCUCUCCGAUGAUCCCUCCGUCUGCAUCUCCAUCUCCAUCCCCAUCUCCCUUAGACUUGGAGUAAUUAAUAAUAAAGCCAAUAGAUUCUCUGUGUACCAAAUGUAUGCAGGCAGACUGCUCCUCUCGUUUCAUAAUACGAUACUAUGAGCUAAUAAGACUUUUUACUUUUUACAAGAUCACUAACUGCCACGUCAUCAGGCAAGUCCCAAACAACUUUCUUCUCCUUUCUUUUCUUCCUUUUAUUUUUAAUUUUUAAUUAUUUUUAAUUUAUUUUUUUUUGCAUUUCUAAUUUCUUUCUUUAAAAAGGCGGUGAAUCGGACCGCCAAAUAAGAGAGCAGCUGAGAAUUGUCAGCACAAUCCUUCAAAUCCCCGGUUUGGUUUUCCUUCUUCAGCUGCUCCCUGCCCCGGCUUGUUGAUGGAAAAUGUCAAAGCCAGAGACCUAACGACCUCGUUUCAACAGCUCGAUUUGCAUCUCAAUCCCAACAAGGCCACUCAGAAAUCAACCAAGUUUAUGUCUUGGCCACUCAGAAAGCCUCCCAGCUUGGUGAGUUUAUGUCUUGGGGUAGUUGGUAGGCAUUUUGAGGACAUCAUUGAGGACUUGCCUGAUAUUGCCCCGACUUUUCCACCUAAUAUCAAGGUUAAAAAACAUCAAAGAACCCGUCUUCUUCUUCUUCUUCUUCUUCUUCUUCUCUCUCUCUUUCUCUCUUUCUCUCUUUCUUUCUUUUCUUUUGUGCAGAAAUUGAUGUAUUGAUCCUUCCUAUUGUGUAAUCACAGCAAUGAGUUAAAAUGGUUAUCUUGAUUGGCAGUGAUUUAAUUCGUAAUAUAAAUUGUUCUAAUAUUUAUGUGGCUAAUGGUGCUCCAGGGCCGUUAAUAUGUGAUUGAGAUUUGGUGUCUCAUUGUUGCCUAAACUGCUUAAACUUGUAGUGCUUGCUUUGAAGACUCUAUUUUUGUUUGCUUUUUCCCCUAAAUUUUUUGGUGGUAUCAUCAUCCAUUCUUAUUAAUAAAUUUGAGGCCUUUGCCGCUUGUGAAAUCAAUUGGCUUUAUUUGAUCAGUCGACAGUGUUAUUGUGAAAAAUAAGUGCCUUAAGAGAGCAUUGCCUCUAUGUCCUUUUAAGAUGGCUUAAGGGCUUGCAAUUUGUUAUGGAUAAUAGCAGUACAUGAUCUCAUAAAAUCAGUCUAGGUAUGAAAAGCAGGGGUGCAUAUAUGAAUGAAUUAUUGCAUAAACCUUGUUCUAUUUAAAAAAGAAAAGAUAUUGACAUGUCCAUGCAAAAUUGUCAGAUGGCCCUCGCCGCAAUUGCAAGAAGACGAAAGUUACUGACUGAUGAUGUUAUUAUCGUAUUAGCUGAAAGUUCUUGGGACAUACUUGACAUAUCAGGUUCAGAUAUUUCUGAUUUUGGUUUAUCACAAGUACUUCAGAUAUGCAAAUCUUUGCGAGCAGUUGACAUAAGGUACCCAAGUUGUGAUUUUGUGUUAAUUCAGAUGCAAUUUGUUAUUCUUAUGUAGCAAUAUGGUAGGAACCCUAGGACGUUCCAUUUGGAAUUGCUGCCACAUUAGUAGAUUUACUUAGAAUUUAACAUCUUCUUCUUGAACAAACUUUUCAAUUAUGAAUGAUUGUUAUCCUUUGCGUUGCAUGGGCUAUAAGAAGCCAACAUUAUGGUCCUUUCCAUUGAAUUUUCAAGAUCAGUUGCUUGGUUAUCAUCUCAUACUGUUGGACUUUUCUGAAGAUUUAAAGAUGCAUCAACUUGGUUACAUCUUUUCAAUGACUAGGCGAGAGAACCAAUCUGACUUAUGGGAUGUGGUUUUCUUUUGUAACUUUCAGUUCAUUCUCGUGGAUUUUUUGUUUAAAAAGCUCCCAAAUGUUCCAGUUCUCGACUUGCAGAAAGUUCUAUAUUGUGAUUGUUUUUUAUCCUGAUGGGGUAUCACAUUGCAUAUGUUGUGCUAUUUUUUACUAUACCAACUUUAUUCAUCUAAUGUGACUUGGCUUUUGUUUACGCUGCUAUCUUUCUUUACCUAGUCGGUGCAGCAAACUCACGUCAACUGGGAUUUCUGAACUCCUUCAGCAUUGCCAGUGUUUGGAGAUAUUGAGAUGGGGGUAUGCUAUCUUCCUUGUACCUUUUUCUGUGCUAUAUUUUUAUGUACAAAGCGAUGCUGCUAUGAUUAAAUUCACCGGGUUGGUUUUUUUUAGGUGUGUACAACCUCCUUAACUUCUAACAUGAUUUUAAGAUUAAUAUUAGGAGAUACAUACAAGAUUGUAGUUCAAAUACUUUUGUUUGUUUUUUGUUUAAUUAACUAAUUGGCAUUAACGCCUAUGUUAUAAUUGUUAACAUUAAGGUGCUAAAUUUUUGUGCCAUUCACCUGGCAGUCAACUCAUUGCAGAUUUUUGAACUUGUGUGUUCAUAUAUUGAUCUUGUACGUUUUAACUGGAACCUGGAUCAUAGUUGAGUUUUAGUAUCAACCUAUGUUUUUGCUGCAUUGACUUAUAGCAAAAAUAUAUGUGUAUAAUUAAUAAAUCUAGGCUCAUUUCUGUUGUCUAGAUUGAUAUAUGAAGGAUGGAAAAAGGACAUUGGAGGCAGAUGAAAAAACUUAUCAGAACUCACUCAACUUUUACUUUAAAGUGAUAUUUACUUAUUCCAUUUGCUGCAUCAAUCAGAAUUGAAAUAAACUUCUAUAGACGUUUAAAGAGCUUCCCAGACCCCGGUGCAUGUCUCGACUUUCUCGAAUUAAUUGUCAAUCCGUGCCAGUUGAGUCUUUCAUACUAAUAGAAAGAAGAAAGUAUAACCACUUUGAAUUUUCUCUUCGAGUAUUCUCGUCAUCUUAUGGGAUAGAAUGACCCAAUAGAUUGGGUUUUGACCAUGAGCAUAAACCUCAAUAACAGGAAAUGAACCAAAGUUCAUGUUGCAGAGGGUGCCCGGCAAGUGACCAAACAGCACGGAGAUGCUUAAGUAUCUUGAAGCCUAUUUUACAUGAUGUGGCAGGAGAAUCUUGGGAGGAACUGGAGGCCACAGAUAUUGCCGCUGCUGCACAAUCACUUCGUUGGCUUGUAUGGGUAUGGUUUCCUUUUAAUGUUAGUUUGUAAGUUCCGUUUUGCUAUUAAAGAUGACCGUUGUUCAGAAAUUUGGUUUGCUUAACCUAUGAUACUAUAUUAAAAAAAUGAGCGGGGUUAGUGCUCUUAUUUGCAUGGAGUUCUGAUUUGUGAACUUUUAACAGCCAAAAGUUGACAAGGAUUCCUUAGAGAGCUUGUCUGUAGAAUGCCCCCGCAUAAUUAUAAACCCAAAACCAUCAGCUUUUGGAUACAGAGGCUUGGAAAUUCCUAGAGAAGCCUUCCCGAGUGCAGCAUUGGACGAUCCAGUUGUUGAAGAUAUUGAUCCAGAAACAUGGGCGAUAUCUGGGUUUACAGCUAGGUCAAUAAUUGCAUCAACUUCUGGAUCUGACGAGUUACCCAUGGCUGAAAAGUUUAGGCUUGCAUUUGUAGAGAGAGAUAACCGAUUGGCACCAAAGCGUGCAAAGAAUGCAAGGCAGCACCAGCGACGAGCAGUGAGGGAAUGGGUGAUGAUGAGUUCUAGAGCAAAAGCAAUGGCACUUGCCUCCCAAGCAACCAAGUCUCUACACCAUCGGAAUUAGGCUAGAACGUUAUCCUGCUUUCAUAUCAUGAUACAGCUAUGUUUCAUUCUUUAGAUCCUAAGGAUUAAGUUUUAUCACUUUAUUACUUGAAAGUUGGCCUGAAGUCUAUGCGGUUUUGCAGGCAUGAUUUUCAUUGUUUCAGUCUUUCUCGUUUUCAUAAUGUAGAAUGUAUGUUUUAGGUAUCUCUAGCGAUCCAGUGGAUGGGAGGAAUUCACUGAUCAGGGAUUGGGUUAUCGUUCUUCUUCUGCUUUUCCGUUGUAAAGUAUUUUAAGUACCGUGAAGUCUGGUUAAGACACCCGCCGUAAAGUAAUGCAUUCCAAAGAAAUUUCUUGCUUCACAAGUACUGCAUAAUAAUUUCCGUCUAUUUUGAGAAAAGGUCAAAAAAAAAAAAAUUAGGUAAAGAAGAUUCACGCAGCUUCUCAGACAAACUUUAUUCUGGCCGAUGUACAUGUUGCUUGACCUACAAAAAUAUGUUUAACUCAAUAAACAAAAAACGCGCAGGUAUCUUUCACCGUUUGCAGGGCCUAAUCUGCCCCCAGUGGUCACUUUAGUAAAAGCACUAAUAUUUGGAAGAUGCACGGUAAGUAGAGAUGAUAUUAUUCGUCAAACGACAAAGGAUAACCUUUAUAGACUUAACAACCUUUAUCACACGUUGACAACACGCCCUUAGUCAAGUGAGAGAAGAAAACUGAGACGAGAAAAGAUGGACAAUUGAAGAAACGCAUAACAGGAAAAGUUUAACAAAACAAGCACCGACCCCGUGAUUAAAUUCAACGCAACAGCCACCCCACAGUGGCAUUUGUAUCUAAGAAAGUUUAUCACCACCGCCUCCAAAAAAGACAUGCUAUAAAUUACGCCACAUGUUCCCACUUUACCAGGGCCAAAUUUAAAUGAGAUGUAAAUUUUCACUAUUAUCCGAAAGCUUUAUUUGAAGGCAAGAAACAACUCCGUGCAAUAAAUCUCGAUAGCUCAUGAACUGAGAGAGGAUUGUAGCUGUGCUGUAGUCCCUGCUGUCCCAGUUCUGCAAUAACUGGUCAUCCUAUGCUCGAGUGAAACUCAAGUUUUCACUUGGCCAAGUUUCGAAUAACGUAGGGAAGGAUUCCACCAUGGUCGAAGUAUGUCAGUUCAACCUGCAAACACAAUCAAAUAAUGAUUUCAGAAAACAAUUUUUCAUUGUUAGUUCUCAAUCUCCCCAGAAAAAAUAAAAACGUAAGAAAUCUUUAAUUUCUCUUAAACUUUUAACCUAACUCACACGGUCCACUUUCAAUUUUUUUAUUGGAUCACCUCAUCCAUCACGAAUUAUAUGUAUUAAGAUAGAAUCACUAAAGAAAUCCUAUCAAGGAAUUCUACUACUUUAAGUAGUGCUGCUCAAUGACCAUCAGCUACAACGAGAAAUUAUUGUUUAGCUGUGGCAUUCUGAGAAAGGGUUCAUCACUGGGAUUUGGCCACUAACAACCCCGAAAGGGAUGAAGGGAAUAAAAUAGUAUCGACCCAUGGCCACAAGUUUUCCUUGCAAAUUGGCAUCAAGUUAGACCUGAAAGUGCUAAAACAGUUAUACAUACCUCUGUGUCAAAACGGACUACACAUGUGAAAGACUUUCCAUCAUCAGUGGUGACUGUAAUGUCUUGGCCAGGUCUUACAUCGCUGACUUUCUUUGGAAGGUCUAUAGUGUAACGUUCAUAACCUGUCAGGCCCAGCGUAUCAGCAUCCUCGCCAGGUUUGAAACAAAGUGGAAUAAUGCCCAUCCCUGCAAGAUUACUGCGGUGUAUUCUCUCAAAACUUUUGGCAAUCACCGCUUUGACUCCCUAAAUCAGAAGCAGAAUAUGGCAGGUGAAGCAAAUAGGGUGUGCUAAACAACCAAACCAUCCAAAAAUGUUUUGCAGACAAUACCAACUUACCUGCAGCAUUGGACCCUUAGCUGCCCAGUCUCGAGAACUGCCACUUCCAUACUCUGUACCUGCCAGAAUUAUGGUGUCCUGACCAGCACUCUUGUACCUCUGAGAACAAUUGCAGUGUCAGUUUAAUUAAUAAAGGUUAAAGAUUGGAUUAGAAUGCUACCAAUUAACAUCCUAGUUGAGAGAACAGAAAAUCAAUCUUAAGCAGAGGGGGGGAAAAAAGCAAAGAGCAAGCCACAAUGGAAGACUCGCCUAUCUAUUCAUUCUACCAGCAUGAAGCGGCAGCUGGAGAUACCCCCAGCCUUUAUAAUUCAUGUAUCCAUGGACACAGAGAAUCAAAUUAACUCCACAGACUAUCCAAGUCAAUCAACACUGAUCUAACUAAAACUCACCAUUGCUGCAUCAUAAACAUAGAGCUCCUCGCCUGUUGGGAUGUGAAUAGUCUUUGGAGCCUGUUUGUUUAGGAACUUAUUCAGAAGUCUAAUAUUUGCAAAGGUACCCCUUGCCAUCACUUCAUCAUUGCCACGACGACUACCAUAAGAAUUGAAAUCUCUACGGUCAACCCCACGCUCCAUCAAGUACUUCGCGGCUGGACUAUCCUUAUGGAUGCUCCCUGCUGGAGAAAUAUGAUCAGUAGUGAUACUGUCACCAAAUUUCAGCAAGCAAUACGCAUCAUUGACUCCAUGGGGACCAGGUGGAUCCAUGGUCAUGUCCUUGAAAUAUGGAGGUUGAUGGAUAUAUGUUGAGUUGGGAUCCCAUUCAUAAAGCUUUGAUGAAGGAACAGACAGUUGAUUCCAGAAGGCAUUGCCUUCUGUAAUAGCUUCAUAAGUGCUCUUAAACAUUUCUGGGAGCACGCUAGACUGCACCACCUGUGAUCUCAGCAAACAAAGU